Molecule: long non-coding RNA, 231283 nt
Filed under: Capsicum annuum
Lineage: Eukaryota; Viridiplantae; Streptophyta; Magnoliopsida; Solanales; Solanaceae
Description: long non-coding RNA (CANN_LNC018055)
Rfam family: tRNA (bases 22553-22633)
Source: RNAcentral
UGCAACGGUUCACUAGCGAAGACGCUCCUGAGGUACUCGAGGGAACCUCGGACAAAGACCGCUUCAUUAUUGUAGAAGUUUGGAAACAUUCGGACUUCCUUUACAGAAAUUAUAUUCUGAGUGGUCGGUCUCCAAGACGACCUCUACAAUGUUUAUAGUGGAACCAAGACAUCAAAGGAACUGUGGGGGCACUUGAACGAAAAUAUAAGAUGGAGGACGCGGGAAUUAAGAAAUUCCUUGUUACACCGUUUCUGGACUUCAAAAUGAUAAAUAGCAAAUCUGUUGUCUCUCAAGUACAGGAGUUGCAAGGCAUCAUACAUGAUCUCCUAGCAGAAGGUAAAUCUUUGAAAAAUAGCUUAGUUGAACAAAUUAAAAAUGUUCUUAAUACUUACAUAAACUAUUUUGUAGGUUUAAUUGUGAAUAACGCUUCCCAAGUAGCAACGAUAGUUGAGAAGCUACCACCUUUGUGAAAAGACUUCAAAAACUACUUAAAACAUAAACGCAAGGAGAUGACUGUUGAAGAUCUUAUUGUCCGACUUCGUAUUGAAGAGGAUAAUAAAGUUGUUGAAUGAAGGUCAAAGGGGAAUUCUACAAUGAAUGGAGCGCAUAUUGUAGAAGAUGACCAAAACAAUUCCAAGAAAAGGAAGAAAGCUGAACAAGGAAGCAAUCAACCCAAGAAAAAGUUCAAAGAAAAAUGCUUCAACUGUGGCAAGAUUGGCCACAAGUCCACAUAUUAUCGUGCCCCAAAGAAAGGCAAGAAGAAGGAUUAAGCAAAUAUGAUUGAAUCCAACAAAGAAUGCGAUGAUCUGUGUGCUAUGUUCUCAGAAUAGAACUUGACGGGGAAUCCUCACGAAUGGUGGAUGGAUUCUGGUGCCACCCGCCAUGUAUGUGCCAACAAGGAGUUGUUUUCGUCAUUUGUACCGACUCAAGCAGAAGAAAUGAUCUACAUGGCUAACUCCGCUACUGUUAAGGUGGACGAAAUAGGAAAAAAUUGCUUAAAGAUGACUUCCGGCAAGGUCUUGACACUGAACAAUGUAUUAUAUGUUUCGGAGUUAUGUAGGAACUUAAUUUCUGUUUCACUCCUAGAUAAGGACGGAUUCAAAUGUGUAAUCGUUUCUGAAAAAAUUGUAAUUAGCAAAGGAGAAAUGUAUGUAGGAAAAGACUAUCUGACCGAAGGCCUUUAUAAGAUGAAUGUAAUUACUGCUGAAAUAAAUAAAAGUUCGAAUUCUUCUUAUUUACUUGAGUCUUAUGAUUUAUGGCAUGAACGUUUAGGCCAUGUUAAUUACAAAACGUUACAAAAACUGAUUAACUUAAAAGUUUUGCCAAACUUUGAGUGCAAUAAAUCAAAGUGUCAAACGUGUGUGGAAUCGAAGUAUGCAAACCAUCCUUAUAAGUCCAUUGAAAGGAAUUCCAAUCCCUUAGACUUAAUAUACACUGACAUUUGUGAUAUGAAGUCAACACCAUCACGUGGUGAAAAAAAGUAUUUCAUAACUUUUAUUAACGAUUGCACUGGAUAUUGUUAUGUCUACUUGCUAAAUAGUAAGGAUGAAGCAAUUGAUGCGUUUAGGCAAUAUAAAACUGAAGUUGAAAAUCAAUUAGACAAAAAUAUCAAAAUGAUAAGAAGUGAUAGGGGUGGAGAAUAUGAAUCUCCCUUUGCGCAAAUAUGUGUAGAUAAUGGAAUAAUCCAUCAAACUACGGCCCCAUAUUCACCUCAAUCUAAUGGAAUUGCGGAAAGAAAAAAUCAAACUUUGAAGAAAAUGAUGAAUGCCUUACUUAUAAGUUCUGGUUUACCACAAAACUUAUGGGGGGAGGCUAUCCUAAUAUUUCAAAGUGUGGGGGUGUCUAGCGAAGGUGCAAGUUCCUAUACCUAAAAGGGUUAAGAUAGGACCUAAAAUGGUGGACUGCGUGUUCAUAGGAUAUGUUAAAAGUAGUAAAGCAUGUCGAUUUUUGGUCCAUAAAUCCAAACAUCCGGAUAUUAAUGAAAAUAUGAUAAUUGAAUCAGAUAAUGCUGAAUUCUUUGAAAAUAUUUACCCGUAUAAACUUACACAUGAACAGUCUAGUGGAGGAUCUAAACGAGUUCGAGAUGAACCAAGUGAGAAUGUACAUAAUGAAAAAAAUCUAAGACGUAGCACACGUCAAAGAACGUCAACUUCAUUUGGAUCGAAUUUUGUAACAUUUCUCUUAGAAAAUGAGCCUCAAAUAUUUAAAGAAGCGAUGUCGUCGUCAGACUAAUCCUUUUGGAAAAAGGCGGUUAAUAGUGAGAUAGAUUCAAUCUUAAGCAGCCAUACAUGGGAAUUGGUUGACCUUCCUCCCAAAAAUAAAUCGUUAGGUUCUAAAUGGAUCUUCAAACGGAAAAUGAAGGUGGAUGGUACUAUUGAAAAAUACAAGACAAGACUUGUAGUAAAAGGCUUCAAACAGAAGAAAGGCCUUGAUUACUUUGAUACAUACUCGCCAGUAACAAGGAUAACCUCGAUUCGAAUGUUAAUUGCCUUGGCGGCAGUAUAUGAUUUUCAAAUCCAUCAAAUGAAUGUGAAAACCGCUUUUCUAAAUGGAGAAUUAGAGGAACAAAUAUACAUGGAGCAACCUGAGGGUUUUGUGGUUCCAGGAAAAGAAAAUAAGGUGUGUAGACUUAUUAAGUCGUUGUAUGGACUAAAGCAAGCAUCUAAACAAUGGCAUGCGAAUUUUGACCAAACCAUGUUGGCAAACGGGUUCAAAAUAUAUGAAUGUGAUAAAUGUGUAUAUAUUAAAGACACUCCAAAUCACGAAGUCAUUGUUUGAUUAUAUGUGGAUGAUAUGUUGAUCAUCAGCAAAGAAAUUUCCGACAUAAAUGCAACAAAACGAAUGCUCGAGAGCAAGUUUGAUAUGAAAGACCUUGAAGUUGCAGAUGUGAUCUUAGGUAUAAGAAUCCAUCGAACUCCACAAGGGUUGGCAUUGUCACAGUCUCAUUAUAUCGAAAAGGUACUUGACAAGUUCAAGUAUAUGGAAUUCAGUAUUGCCAAGACUCUAUUGGAUGCGAGCUUUGCACUUCAAAAGAAUGAAGGUGAAAGUGACUCGCAAUUGGAGUACGCAAGAGUAUUGGGAUGUUUAAUGUAUAUAAUGAACUGUACACAACCAUACAUAGCAUGCGCUAUCAGUAAAUUGAGUCGGUACACGAGUAAUCCCAACAAAACUCAUUGGAUGGCAAUGAAAAGAGUUUUGGGGUAUCUUAAAUACACUCAAAACUAUGCUUUGCAUUAUAAUAAAUAUCCUGCGGUACUUGAAGGAUAUAGUGAUGCAAAUUGAAUCACCGGAUCAAACGAAGUAAAAAAUUCACAAGUGGAUAUGUAUUUACUAUCGGUGGAGGAGCAGUUUCUUGGAAAUCAUCCAAACAGACUUGUAUUGCUCGCUCUACAAUGAAAUCUGAAUAUAUCACAUUAGAUAAAGUCGAUAAAGAAGCAGAAUAGGUUUGGAAUUUCUCGAAAGAUAUUCCGUAUUGGCCCAAGCCAGUGGCACCAGUAUGUAUACACUGUGAUAGCCAAGUGGCAAUAGGUAGGGCAGGGAGCAUGACGUACAACGGUAAAUCUUGUCACAUACGACGGAGAUAUAAUACCGUUAGGGAACUUCUUUCUAGGGGAAUUAUCACUAUUGACUAUGUAAACUCAAAGGAUAAUGUGUCGGAUCCACUUACAAAAGGCCUAUCUAGAGAAGGAGUGGAAAGAACAUCCAAGGGAAUGGGUUUAAGGCCUAGGACGAGUCAGCAUGACGGUAACUCUACCUAGCAGACUGGAGAUCCCAAGAGUUAGGUUCAAGGAGAUCAAACAAAGUUGUGUCUGACAGGUUCGACAUUGUCAAUUACGCAACCCAUUCUCAUGAUGUAGACAAUGCAUAGUAAACUAGGAUAAGAUUUAAGGUGAAAAUUCUUUUAAUGAUUAUCUAAAUUUGGCUUAUUUGACCAAAUAGUUUAAUCUAUAGGAUUGAACGUUUAGAAAUCACCAAUGCAAGGGUGAAGUGGAAGCCGCUUCAAAGAGAAUGUUAGUAAAGUCCUAUUCUCUAAGCUCUCAUGAAAUCGGGACAUGUUCAUGUCUGAAAAGAACAAAACCAUGAGAACCAUAAACGUUAAAAGGAUGGUUGUGUGACAUGUAUUGUCUAGGUAUACAUUAAAGCUCGACGGUUCAAAGAUAUCAAAUCUACCGAUUGACCGAGUGCAUCCGAUGCAUGUUCACUAUGGAAAGUUCAAAGGAAAACCCACUUAUCCAUAUGCAAUCAGUCUUUACUUGAUGAUCACAUACUUGUCCGUAAAAAUUUUACGAAAAAUAGCCAUUCCCUAUUCAUAUGGGGGAUUUUUGGGUUCAUAGUAUAUGAAAGAAAUGCGAAUGGAAAAAUGAAGAAUAAAAUGGUUGAGGUGAAGGAGACACUAAAAUGGAAAGUGUACUCCCAAAUUAGAAAGUUUACUCUUUCUCCCACACUGGUGGAAGAAGAGAACUUGAAAGUAUUUAUAAUCAAGAACACUUGCUUCACAUGGCAAGUGAGGCAAGAAAUAAUAGAUGCCUCGCACCGUCGUCGUCGUUCGCUCAGCUCAGCUUCGGCUUCGGCUUCGGCUUCGGAUUUGGAUUUGGAUUUGAAUUUGGCAAAUGAUCGAUCGAUGAGAUAUAUCUUUUUGGACAAACUUUAUUUGAAUUCCAAAGAAUGCCAAGGAAAAAUGCAGUAAAAAUUUUUCUGCAGUUUCGGACCUCCAUUUAUAUAUACAUGCAGUAAUAGUUGCACUAUUUCAAGUGAACUGAUGCAUUGUUUUCGAACUAGUGCUUCAGAAAUGAUACAUUGUUCUGAACUGAGGCUACAGAAGGUUGCAAUAGUUCAAAAUAAUGCUUCAGAAAGAUGUAAUCCUUCAAUGAAGUGACACACUGACUCAUGAAAUGAGAUGACUGUUUAGGAAAAGAUGCAAUCUUUGAUGAACAAACAUGAACUUACAGCAAAGGUAUAACCUUUGGCGUGAACCAUUGCCUCUUUUUAGAAGAGGCAUAUUGUGGUUAUAUAAACCUGAUUUCUUCCCCAGGUUUAGUACGAAAAUUUUCAGAUUAAAAAACUCUCUUCUUGUCUCAAAAAAAUAUUCUGUGUGAUCACUCAAAACGUUUUGUGAGUUUGAAGAUAUUCCAACCGUUUGAGGUACCACUACUGUUGGUCUGUUAGCCAUUUUAUCCUGGGAGGAAAAAUUUCACAACCUCGGGUACAGUGAGAGGGAUUAUUUCCUUAACGAAAAUCCGUGAAUUCGGACGACUUCGCUAUUUUCUGUUUUAUCUUAAUUUCUACAAAAUAAAAUACACCUCUUGGAAAGGUCAUUUUGAUCUUGUGUUGAGGGUAUUUGAUAUACUUCAUUGUGUUCUUAUUUAUACUUGAACUCAAGUUGAAGUUGGUGUUGUAAUAUACAGAUUCUGUGUACCCAAAGUACGAACGAUAGAUAACAAUGCUUGUCUAUCUAGAAAGUAUUUUGAUGCAGAUAAAUUAGGAACUACUUUUGAUAUGAUAAUUAUGAUGCUGCUACAAGUCGUGGGAUGUGAACAGGAGGUUUUAAGUUCAAGUCGUGAAAAUAGCCUCUUGCAGAAAUGUAAGGUGAGGUUGCGUAUAAUAAACCCUUAUGGCGCAGUUCUUCUCUAAAACCCGUGCAUAGCAAGAGCUUCAUUGCAUCGGAUUGGCCUUUUAAUACUCCCUCCGUUUCAAAAAGAAUAACCUACUUUGACUUGACACAAAGUUUAAGAAAAUAAAGAAGACUUUUGAAUUUGUGACCUUAAAUUAAAGUUGUGUCAAAUGUACCAAAAUGCCCUUUAAUCUUGUGGCCCUAAAUAUGCCAUGUGGAAAGUUGAAAUUAAAAUAUUGUCAAAAAAGGAAAAAGGUUAUUCUUUUUUAAAUGGAUUAAAAAAAAAUAGGUCAUUCUUUUUUAAACGGAGGCAGUAGCACUUUUUAUGGUGCCUCUACGAGCACCACCUUUUGUAAUGAUGCAUAUUAACUAUUUAUAAUGUUUUUCCCUUUGAAACAAAAGAAAGUUAAUCGACAAAGUUGUCACACGCCAUUUAUGAUUUUGCAUGAUUGUUAAUUACUCACUUUUUCCGGUUCAAUAAUAUUGACGUGUACACUCCUUAAGAAUUAAUAAAUAUUAAAUAGAAUAAUACUUUUAUUAUAUUAUUCUUUUAAUUUAAUAAAUUUAAUGUGUUAAAAAAUGCAUUUGAGAAAUGUCUAUAACUAAUAAUAAGAGCAAAUUAGGAACUUAAUGAUAGUAAGUUUUCUCUUAAUUUUUUCAAAUUCCCAAAUUAAAAAUGAUCAUCUAUUUCUAAUGGUGGACAAGUUAUAUAAAAAUGGACGGAGGGAUAUUUUGUUGUCUAAGUUAGUUCCUAAUUUAAAAAGAACUAAAUAUCCAAAACACAUCUAAACUAUUUAUCAGCAUUAGUGAAAUACAGAGAAAUGGGUAUAGCAAGUAAGAGUUAAAAUCACAGAAAUGUGGUUCUAGAUGAAAAUUGUAGUAGUUAUAAAUUAUAAUACGAAACAUUUAUAAAAUAGGCACGAGGUUUUGUUAGAAUAGCAAGGAUAAAUAUUUUUGUGGGACAAUAAUGUCCUUUUUUUACCUAUCAAAUACUGCUAGAUUCUAGUAAUCAUUCCUUGAAUUCCGCAUAUAAUAAAAAUUUUAGUCCACUAAACUUUUCUUUUAUCAAAGACUACAAAUUAAAUCCUCAUUAGGUACUACUAGUAUGUCUAACUUGAAUACAAGUAAAAGCCAUAAAAUAACACUAACCGUGUCAAGGGAACCGUUCUCUUUCCUUCCCCUCUCCCUUCUCCCUAGUCUCAAGUUUCCAUCCACCAUGGAUGAAACUCUAACACUCCCUCUGUUACCAAAUCCACCGAGAAACAACCCUUCCAGAGAAAUUCUCAUGGAAGAUCCUAUCCCCUCGUAUAAAGAUGUUGCCGCAGGAAAAUUAAACUCCCUCAAUCAACCAGGACUGCCGAGGCCUGAUCUGGGAACAAAAGAAAGAUCUGAAGCCAAGGGGAUCCUAUUAUCCAAAGAAGACAAGCUACGUCUCUAUACUCCUUGGAUUCACUCAAUUAUCAUCAAGCCAAUAAAAGGAAACUUCAAUUUCCAAUACCUAAAAAGAAAGCUCGACGAUCUGUGGCAACUUUCAGAACCCCUUUGUCUCAUAGAUCUUAGAUUGAGAUUCUACACAGCCAAAAUCACCACCUUGGAAAGCCAAUCACGCAUUCUCCAGGGUAGACCAUGGUUUAUAGCAGGCAGUUACCUAUCGGUAAGAAGGUGGGAAUCAAAUUUUGUACCAAGUUACUCAAAGAUCGAUUCUACGUCGAUCUGGAUCAGGCUCCCACACCUUCCCACAGAACUCUAUGACGCUGCUAUACUUCAUAGAAUCGGCUCAGAAAUUGGAACCCUGCUAAAGGUCGAUGCAUGCACCUCAGCGGCUCUGAGAGGCAGAUACGUUAGAAUAUGUGUCCAACUUUUCCUGGAUGAACCGGUGACGCCUACCAUCACUAUAAAUUAUCACGAACAACUCUUUUACGGGGGAGAGGGCUUUCUCUGCAAAAAUUAUGGCAAAUUGGGGCACACGAUGAGUGGUUGUUCCUUUCCCCUGUACAAUCUCAAAUCGGCUGAAGCUACUACAAGCAAAGAUGGGGACUUUACAAAUACCCCAAUUGAAUCCAAGCUACCAUCGGAAGGGAACCCAUCAGAAUGGAAAACAGUAACCUUUGCCAAGAAAAAGAAACAAGGAACAAAAGCCCAACCCCACACGAAGGGAUUGAACACCGGAAAAACAAAAGCCCAGGCGACGGCUCCAGGUAAGUGCCCUAACCCUACGCUGAGCGGGUCAGCUAGGCCCACCAUCUUUUCUUCCACCUCCCUUAGGCUGAACCACGAACAUCCCUCAAAACCCAAUACGGGUACCAAAAGGAACAUGGGCCAAGUGUCUAACCAGGCCCAAUCAGCUCCCAGCCCUAAAGGGAAAGAAAAAACAGCUGGCAUGCAGAGGACCAAUUCUAGUGCCCCAAUUGGGCCACUUGGGAUAGCCCACAAGGCCCAACUCCUUUUUGAUUACCCCUCAAAUUUAAUUGCCCCUCUCUUCUAAACAUAGAUACUAAAAUGAAAAAGGACCAUCUCAGUGGGUCCCUAAAGCUGAGCUGGACAUAAGCAAUGAUAAGCCUACUGGCAUGACAACGGGAAGCUCUUGCACUUCCCCUUGUGAUUUGAUGGAAGGUAGCCUCAGUUCAAACACAGCAUUAAAUGCUAGUGGUCUUCCCAAACGCCAAACUCCUUAGGUUUCCUCAGACACUUCUCACCACCCCUUAUAUAUGGAGGAAUGCACGAAUAAGAGCAUUCUAGAAAUAACCAUGGACAACCACAAUUCCAACAUAACUAUCAGAACGGUCCCUCUAGCAUCGGAUCACCAACCAACCUCAUGGCUGAAAAUUUGUCUAACUAACCAGACAGUCCCAAUUCACCUGAAUGGGAGGGAAGAAAAAUCACCAUACUCAUCCAAGACCCUCAAUAUUUGGCUCAACUGGCAAUGGCUAGUUUGAACCAGGGGUUACAAACUUAUGGACCCAAUGUCUGGAUGGCCACACUAUUCCAAGUAAUCAACUCCCCUUUCCAAGAGGAGCUAAGCACAGAGUCCCUCUCCAGUAUUAUGAACGAAAUAAGCCUGAGCCACCCCUUUUUUCCAGCUCCCAACCCUGCUCUGAUGCUCCUGGGACCAUCCUUUGCCCCACCAUCGGAGGCACCCCAAGUUAUCCCACCUUUUUCUUUUGUGCCCUCAAUCUCUCACACCUAACGCUGGAGAGGAUGGAGAGUGUAAACACCCUCGAGGCACUAAAAUAAUCCGCUAAAGAGUUGGAAGAAUUCCUGUCACUGCUAAGAGUAUCAAGAACAGAGGUUCUAAACAUGGUCGAACCCCUAACUCUCGACUUCUUAGAUCCAGUCCAAGAGAAAGUGACCAUCCUGAUCCCACUAGGGCUAGGAAAACUGGGAGUAAGUUCACAUAUAGUGAACAGCCCGACGAAUGAAACUCCCAGGGUCACCUUGACCCCCUUAAAUAAGAAGAGGAAGGCCUCAACUUUAUCUCUCACCUCCAACCCCUAGGGGAAGGACAAAGUGAAUGUGACACAGCAUCCCUAUCCCCUGUACUCCAAAAUGAAGAACUGUAUAAUAUGGAAUGUUAGAGGAGCCAAAAAUACUGAGUUCAGGAAGCAUUGCAAGACAAUGAUCAACAUCCAUAACCCUUGCAUCCUUGCCCUUUUGGAAACCAAGAUGUCUAACCAUCAGGAUCUUUGUGAGGACGUGGGUUUUCAUAGCUACAUCUAAUCUGAAGCUUCUGAUAACUCAGGAGGUCUAGUCAUCAUGUAGAGGGAUGACUCCAUCUUCAUCUCCAUUGUCUCCAUCACUACUCAGUCUAUCAAUGCCCAAGUCAAGGUUAGUUCUCCUCCUGUAUCCUGGUUCAUUAGAAUUAUCUAUGCUAGUACAGACCUUAGCUCUAGGAUUAACCUUUGGGAGAAGUUAGAAAUCUUCUCUGACACAUAUAUUACCCCUGAAGGUAAGAGUUAGUUAGUUGGAGCGGAUUUCAAUGAAGUGCUUAGAGCCUCGAAGAAAUUUGGAGGCUCAAAAGUUAACUUCAAUAGAAUUAACAUGUUCAUGAAUUGCCUCAAUUACUGUAACCUUAUUGAUCUAGGCUUUAAAGGGAGUAAAUACACCUGGUCUAACAUGAGAUAUAGAAAUAGACAGGGGCUCAUUCUAGAAAGACUAGACAGAUGCCUUGUAAAUGAUUAAUAAAUCCACUCCUACCCUGAAGCCAUCAUCACUCACCUCUCCAAAACCCACUCUGACCAUUCCCCCUAUUCUAAACUUUGGCACCACUUCUGCCAUUGAGAAUAAGUCUUUCAGAGUGGAAUCUAUUUGGUUAAGUCACCAGGACUUCCCCAUCCCCAUUAGAGAUUCCUUCCAUAACUGUACUUGCAUUACCUCAGCCACUUCUGACUUUGAAAACAAGGCUCGAUCUUGGAAUAAACACAUUUUUGGGGAUAUUUUCAAAAAGAAAAAGCACUUGCUUGCAAGGUUGGCUAGUAUCCAGAUAUCCCCAAACUAUACUAAUAGUCACUUUCUCCAAGGGCUAGAACAAACCCUCCUGAAGGACUCUAAUAAUAUUCUCGACUUGGAGUCUGAAUUCUGGAAAUUAAAAUCAAGAAUUUCCUGGCUCAUCCAGGGUGAUUCAAAUACUAGAUUUUUUCACACCUCCACCCUGAACAGAAGGAGGAGAAAUAGAAUUAAUUCCAUAAUAAAUGAGAGUGGGUCCUGGCACUAUCACCAAAAAGAUAUUGAGUCUACUGUCUCCAAUUACUAUUCUAAACUCUACACCACUGAGCACACCCUGGGGUAUUCCAAGACUCAAUCGAAUACCUCCUCUGAGGGAUCCAUCAACUCCUCUGUACAUGACUUACUCCAGGUUGUCCAUUUUCCGGAGGAGGUCAAGAAAGCAGUUUUCUCCUUCAAUCUUGACAAAGCCCCUACCCCUGAUAGGGUCCAUCCGUUCAUGUACCAAAAGUUUUAGGACACUCUAGGCCCCCUCAUUGUUAGAUUUUGUCAGGAUACCUUCACCUCCUAUUCAGUGGAUCCUAGAGUGAACUCCACUUACCUGUGUCUAAUCCCCAAGUGUAGAAAUACCACCACCCUCACAAACUUCAGACCUAUUGGUUUAUGCAACACUCAGCAUAAGAUUAUUACCAAAAUCAUUGCCACUAGGAUCAAGCCCUUGCUGGCAAAUAUCAUUGGCCCUACUCAAGCCAGUUUCUUGGCAGGAAGAAAAGCCUCUGACAAUGCCAGCAUUGUCCAAGAAUAUGUUAUUCAUCUCUCAAAAAUGAAGGGCAAGAAGACUAACAUGAUUCUGAAAAUUGAUUUAGAGAAAGCCUUUGAUAGGAUUGAAUGGUCUUUUAUUAGACAGGCCCUCCUCUACUUUAACUUUCCCACUAGCCUCACCAAUCUGAUCCUCUCUUGUAUCUCAACUUUCUCCAUAUCCAUUCUGGUUAAUGGGGGGAAAACUUCCCCUUUUAACCCCUCUAGAGGCAUUAGACAGGGGGACCCUAUGUCACCCUACCUUUUCAUUUUGUGCAUGGAACUUCUUUCCAGAAAAAUCAACUAUAAGGUUGACACUUGGAAUUGGAUCCCCUUAUCCAUCUCUAGAAUUGGGCCUUCCAUCUCUCACCUUUUCUUUGCUGAUGACCUUACUCUGUUUGCCAAGGCAAACUCUCAAAGCUGUCACACCAUUAACAGAACUCUUCAUAAUUUCAGCUCCCAUUCAGGCCAAAGAGUUAACUAUAGUAAAUCCAAGGUUAUCUUCUCCAAGAAUUAUUCCCAAGAUACCCAGGAUAACCUAUCCUCUCUCCUAGAUAUCCAAUCUUCUACAAACUUUGGUAAAUAUUUAUUCUUUCCCAUUUUCCACAAGAAGCUUGUUAGGUCUGAUUUUCAAUUCCUCAUUUACAACUUCAAGAGCAAGCUUGCCGGCUGGAAGGCAAAAUUUCUUAACAUGUCUGGUCGGUUCACCCUUGCUAAAUCCACCCCUGCCAGCAUCCCUAACCACAUUAUGCAGUACAUCCAUCUCCUUACUUUCCGACAUAAAAUUAUUGACAAAACCCAAAGAAACUUUAUUUGGGGCACCACUGAGCUGAGGAAAAAAAUUCACUUUAUUAAGUGGGACACCAUCACUCUUACCAAAAAGGUGGAGGGCUGGAUAUACAUAAGGCUGAUAUUAAGAAUGCUGCCCUCCUCUGUGGACUGGGUUGGAGAAUGUAUUCCAACCCUAACACCUUAUGGGCUAGUACCCCAAUUGCUAAGUAUGGUAACAGGGGAAAAAAUCUUUACAAUAUUUCUAGGACUUGGUGCAGCAUUAUCAAGAGCUGGAAUAUAUGUAGGAAUGCUCUACAUUGGGCCAUUAAAGAUGGUACCAAAGUGGAUGGAUAGAUGGAUUCCUGGGAUGCCUCCCUUAGCCACUAUCAUCCAUGGUCCCAAUACCAACCCUCCUAACCCAGUUCUGGUUAAAGAUGUUUGGAAGAAGAGAAGAUGGGAUUUUCUCACUUUACCCUUCGAUAUCCCUCCUAACAUUGUUAACUUUAUCAAAAAUUCUUUCAUCCCCAGCUCCCACCUUACCAGGGAUACCCCAUGUGGGUGAUGAGGGGUAAUGAAACCUUCUCUUGUAAGAGUGCCUACCUACACAUUGCUAACAAGAAUAAAACCUCUCAAACAUCUAACAACUCUUUCAAUUGGAUAUGGAACCUGAACAUUCCCAAUAAAAUUAAAACAUUUAUGUGGCUCAUCCAGCAUAACUCUCUCCCUACAAACACUAACCUUUACAAUAGGGGCAUCAACAUUAACCCCUCUUGUCAUAAGUACAACAGCACCCAGGAAGACCAAUCCCAUAUCUUCUUUUCUUGAUCCAUGGCCAAAUCCCUAUGGGCUCAACUUAUUCAAAAGUACAGAGGUAACAUUGAACUCUACCCCAAUAUGUUUGACCCCAACAAUUGGCCUAACACUUGGGAAAGACCUAACAACCUCUACUUUGACACCACCACUCCUUGGAACAUCUUGUUACCCUUUUGUCUUUGGCAUCUCUGGAAGGUUAGGAAUGCCAACUCUUUAGAAAAUGCCAAGUCCCAACCUUGUUUCAGCAUUCCUCAUGCUGAGUAUAUAGAAUACCACCUUUUAGGAAAUGAUAAAGCAAACCACCCCAGCACUGUCAUCAAUCUAAGAUGGCUCCCCCUUACUCCAGUACUUUCAAACUCAACACUGAUGGAUCUUAUGUUGGGAAUCCAAGAAAAGAGAAAAUUGGAGGUGUCAUCCGGAAUAGCAAAGGUGAUUGGAUUAUGGGCUUUAGCAAAAGCUUUAGCCAUGAAACCAACAACCUCAUGGAGCUAAUGGCCUUAAGAUAAGGCCUAAAUUUAGCUCUUCACGAUAACAUCAAACCUUUAACUGUAGAGGUAGACUUAAUGGAAGUUUUAAAUAUGCUUCAUCAUGGUAACCCUCUCUAUGAUUCAAUUAUUAAUGCUUGCAGAUCUUUACUAGAGAGCUUAGAGAAUCCUCCAGUCCAGCACAUCUAUAGGGAGCAGAACAGGGUAGCAGACAUGCUGGCUAAGCAGGGAUCGAAAAAGGACCUUUUUGACAGGCUACAUGUCUAUACGACUCCGCUAGCUAGUGUAGGCAUAGUUUUUUGGGAAGACUUAGAAGGAAAAAUUCUCUCUCAUUCUGUAAAUGCUCAACAUGUAGUGAACCAAAGCAGCUUUAUUUUUGCGCCUGGAUAGGCACCUAUACAAACUCUUUUAAUUAUCAAUGCAUCUUUUUUAACUUACAAAACAAAAUGUCAUAAAAUAGGAGGCAGGAGGGUGAUAUGUGUAAAUCUUACUCAUAUCUAGUGAAAAGUAAAAAAUCAGUUUUUUUAUAGACUUUCGGCUCAAGUAAAUCAUUUCAAAAUAGGUUAUUGAAAAGUAAACAAAGUAUAAAUAAUAAAAAACGCUUAUGUCAUUUUUUUGUCAGUUUUAUAGCUAAAUUAUGAGUUUGCUGCUUUGUGUUUACUAUUUGCUCUAUCACAAACUAUUUAUAAAAUUCAAAAUAUUGGAUUCAAUUAGUGUGAAUGAAAAAUGAAGGGAAAGUCUUGGAGGAAAAGUGUACUCACUUAAUGAUAGUGAGGCAAGAAUCAAGAGGUGUCUCGCGCCGUCGUCGUCGUCGUUGUCGCUCAGCUUUGAAUUCGGAUUCGGCAAAUGAUUGAUAAGAUUAAUUUUUUAGACAAAAUUUAUUUGAAACUUGAAAAAAUAGGUGAAAUUUAUUAAUCCAAAAAUCCAAAGAAAAACGAAAAAUAUUUUUUUUCCAUAAAAGGUCAUACCCUUUGAGGAAAUGACACACUGUUUCGGAAAAGGAGUGACUGUUCGGUCAGAUGUAACUGUUUAGAAAAAAAACUGUUUUGGAAUGGACAGACAUGACUGUUCCGAAGCAAUACACCUUUCCGAUAAACCAUUGUUUCCUUUCCGAAGGGGCACUUGAUGGCUAUAAAUACCUGCAUAUUUUUCACAGAUAUGUACGAAAAUUUAAGAAUUGAAAAACACUCUUCUACUUCUGAAAAUUCUUUGUGAUCAUCUGUCGUUUAGUGUGUUCGAAGAAUCUGAACGUUUGAGGUACCGCCACAUUCAUAUUGUGUGUCAUUUUAUCUUAAGAGGAAAAAUUCUGCAACCUCAGAUACUUGAGGAGAAUUAAUUCCUUAAGAAUACUCAGUGAAAUCGAAGGACUUGGUUCUAUUUAUUCUUCAUCUUAUUUCCUUAAAUAAAAUACUUCUUUGAUAGUUCAUGUUGAACUUAUGUUGAAGGUGUUAAAUUUCAGUGGUGUUCUUGAAACUAAAUGUCUUGAACAAAAAUUGAAAUGUAGUGUAUAAACAUAUAGAUUGCGUAUCCGAAACAACACAAAACACGCCUCUAAUUAGUUGACUAGACCAAGUGUUUGAAUACAAUCGCCAAAAGAUUAGUGACAAUUUAAUUUUCUCAUCAAAUUUUGUCCUCACGACAACUGUCUCGUAAAUUUAGAGACGUGUUUUAAUAAAUAGUUCAGGUAGAUAAUAGUCUAGAGGCUUGAAUAUAAUCGUCAAAAGGUAUGUGAGAACUUAAUUUGUCCUUAACUUUUCGUUCACAUGACAGUUGACUCGUUAAUUUCAAUGCAUAUUAAUAAAAAAUAAAAAAUAUUCAGAUAGAAAAUUCGAGAAAAAAAAAAACUUCAACUAUGAUUUUUUUUUUCUCCUUAUUUCUUUAAAUUGGGACCUAGUUGUAUUUAGCUAGGGAGCUACUACUUACCCACUUAAUCCAUUGGAGAAAAUUGGGAUUCAAUGAAUUGCAUUCCUCCACCCACCAACUUUUAUUUAGCUAAAUACCUUAAAGGGAUCAUUUGGUAGAAUGUAUACGAAUAAUGUAAAAUAUGGUGUGUUAGUAGUGCUUGUAUUAGUAAUGCUUGUGUUACCUGUGCUUGCAUUAAUUAUGCUUGUAUUUUUCUUAUGCAGUGUUUGGUUUGAUGUAUUAGAAAUAACAAUAAUUAAAUAAUUUCUAAAAAAAAAUUUUUUUUACAAAAGAUAUCCUUCAUAUAUAUGUUGGAAAGGAUGUAAAUUUUUUUUAAGGAUAAUAGUGUUUUUUAAUCAUAUUAAUGCAUGUAUUUGAUCCAUUGCAUUGCUAAUCCCAUGAAUUUUGAGGUAUUAGUAAUACACACAUCAAUACACAAUAGAGUGUAUAACUAAAAAUGUAAAAGUAUACCAAAUAAGAUGUUAGUAAUAUACAUUAAACUAAUGCAUUCAUUAGUUUUCUAAUACACUCUAUCAAACGACCCCUAAUUCUGUUUCUAAUAAAGCUUCUAUCUUGACUAUGGAAGUCUUCUUAUGAAAGAAUAAAAUAUUGUAAAAAGAAAAGGUUGAAAAUAAGGUUGUUCCAUAUUUUAGGUGAAAAAUGGACCCCACAUAUUUGAGAAAGCAAGGUUGUUCCAUAUUUUAGGUAAAAAAUGGACCCCACAUAUUUGAGAAAGAAUUAUUUUUAAAUAAAGCAUCUAGUAUUCGUUUAAAAUUAUGACCAAAUUUACUACGGUACAUUCUAAUUUCAUGAGAUUUUGUUAUUCUUAAACUAAAUUUUUGCGUAUUUUUAUCAUUCUUUUAAAUCACGUGAUGUCUUUUGUCAAUCUUUUUAGCUGACGUGAUAUCUUUGACGUGACUUCAUUUUAUAUAAUAAAGAUAUCACGUCAGCAUAAAAGGGUGACAGGAAUAUAUUAAAAUUGAAUUCAGACGUAAUAAUAGAGUUCCAUAAAAUUAAAGUGUGUCGUAACAAUUUUGAAUUCGAGAAUAUUGGAUGCUUAUCUCAAUUAUUUACGAAGACUUAAACCUAAUUUUAAAUAUAAAAAUCCAACUAGGUCAGUCAACAAAAGGUUCUUUUUCGUCAACUUAUUAUAUUAUAUAAUUUCUUAUGAAUUAUUUAUUUAUGCUAAAUCGAUUAAGGUUCAUUUAAAUAUUAUAUAAUUUUAAAAUUAUUAAGAAAGUGUUCAUUUGAAGAUUUUUCAAAUUUUAAACUUUUUACUUCUACUCUAUGAGCUAUCUACUAUAACCCCCAAUAUUAAUAACCCAAGUUAUUUUUAUGUUUGGAGUGUUAAACUAAACUUAAAGUGUGUGCAUGCAUCAGAACGAGUAAUCUUAAUUGGUAAAGUCAUUGACAUACGAUCAAAGGUUAUAAGUUCAAUUCGGGAAAACAAUUUCUUGUAAAAAUAUAAGAAGAGAUUGUGUACAAUAGACCCUUGUACUCUUACUUCUUCCCAACAUCUUUGCAUAGGGAGAAUUUUAAUACAUUAAGCUGCCCAUUUUUAUGUGCAUGCAUCGAAAUAUCCUUUAAAUUUUAUAAUAUCAAAUUAAUAAAUUAGGUGAAAUAUUAAAAUGAAAGAUUUACUAAGUACUAAAUGUAAACAAUAACAUUGUUUUUCUAAUAAACUUUUUUAAAAAGUAAAAAAAUUAAAUUGAAACAAAAAGAGUAGUGGUGGUGUAGUACUACUAUAUCAUGUGCAUUCAAAUUUACAGUACACUUUAAACUUUGGAAAAAGAGAGAAAAAGGGUCCCCUUAGUGGAAUCUCUAGUCUUUAACAAAACCAUGGGCCAUAUGCUCUUGUUUGGAUGGUUAUCAUAAUAAUGUUUAGACAAAUUAUAUUUAUUUUUAUUAUUACGUAAUAUCAUAUAAUACUCCCAAUUUAACAAUUAAUCUAUAAAAUAAAAAAGUAAGAUAUGACCUAGAGCUAUAAUACAAAGGAUAAAUAUGAUUAUUAAUUAGAUGUUCUCUUUGUUCACUAUACGAAAAAUAAAUAUUUCAAUUUUAUGUUUGUAAAACUAAGAAAUAAUUAAUUAUCUAGCCUCAAAUUUGCCCUCAUGUUAAUAGUCCUUUUUCAAUGUAUUUUUGCCAAAACAAUGAACAUCUUAUAUUCAAAUUGUGAUGUAGUAAAAUUGACAUCUUACUUAUCGAGUGUAAGAAGUUAAUAUGGACAUUAAAAAUAGACCGACAGGUAAUAUACAACGACCAAAAAAAAAAAAAAAGAAAAGCAAAUCAAACAAUCAUUCUAGAUUGUCCAUUACAUAAAAUGAAACUUUUUACCGUUAGGAAACAAUAUAUUUAAUAAUAUAAUAACAUUUAAGCAAAAAUUUGUAUUUAUUAAACUAACAAUACCAUACAAUAAUUGGCAACAACCAUCCAAACGACCCCUUAGUGUGAUCUCCCAUUUUAUAAAAACCAGUCCCACAGACAUAGAGACUAAAAAUCAUAGCCCCAAAAAAAAAAAGAAAGAAAAAUUUGAAUACAUCAAUGGACAACAUAGAGAGCAUAGCAAAAGCUGCAAUGGAGAAAAUGAAAGAGAUGAACAUGGUGGAAAACACAAAGGAGAUCAUCAACCAAUCAACUCCAUUUGUAACCAAAUUCAUGAAGAUCUCAUCUGACUGGUUAUUCGAAAAUACAAAAGUGAUCAUCGUAAAAUCAUGCAACUGGCUAACAAAAACAGCUCCACAAGUGAUAUACACUGGAAAAAAUUUGAUUGAAAAAGCUCCAAUAUCAUAUACAAUUUCAAUAGGUGUUGUGUUGUUUUUGUUCUUACGUUGGUGUUGUGGAGGUCGAGGUAGUGGAGGAAAUGGUAAGAUGAUGAAAGCUCCAGGAAGGAAUAAUAUUAGGAUACAUAGAAGUAAGUUUGAAAGCAGUCCUAAAGCUUAUUUUCGCGAUCUACGAUCCAAAAAAUAGGCUUUUGUGAUCUGAUCUUUCUCAGAUGUUAUGUAUGUCACGAGCUUAGUGCAUCUUACUUCCCUUUUUUUAAGUGUUACAUAUGUUAUUUACUGGUUAGGGAAUAUAAUAUGCUUCGGAUCAGGAGUUUUUUCAUCUUUAUUUUCAAGUUUGACUAUGAAAUUUCUGAUUAUUAGGGAGUAAGUAAUAUCGAUAUAUGUAUAUGUUUUGUGAAGUAGGUACUUUGGUUGUGUAUUGCAGUACGUUUGAAUAAUAUUUUCUGUUUUAUUGCCGAUAUAUACAAUAGUUCUUGUAUGUAUGUGUUUCGGUUUCGUAUAAUGUUAUGUGAAUUGCAAAAGGAACUCCAGUAUAGAGAUUACUGAUUAUUUUUUGUUGUUGCACAAAAGAACAUCAUGGUAUUUGUUUGAGUAGAGUUCGACUACGGGGAUGAUUAUACGACUUAGUAAUUUUGGUUCAAAAUCUUAUAAAAAUAUAGUUCCCAUGGUUUUCCCAUCAAGUCAAAUUUCUACUCAUCUAAGAUGAACAUGUCAGUUAGUUCAGGGAACAAACAUUAAUAGUAUAUCGUUGGUUUUGUGUUGUAUUUACUUCCAUAUUUUCUCCUUCUUUACUUCUAUAUUUUCUUAGUUGCUCUUAUAUUCAUUACUUGAGUCGAUUGUCUUCCAAAAAUGACCUUUCUACCUCUUUAAGGUAGCUGUAAGGUCUCCAUAUACUUCACUUUUGCGACUAAAUAUUUAUUUUAACAUCAUGGUAUUUAUUGUGUGGAAUUUCAUCCAAUAGCAGCUUUAUAGCUAAAGUUGUCACUUUAAUGCUUCGGCUUAACCAUGAAAGUCUUGUGUCUAUUUGAAAUAAGGAAAAAAAAUGAAAAAGUGAAAGCAAUUGAAAGAAAACUUGAGGCAAACUUAACCUAUAAGUUAACUUAUUAGGGUCAUUUGAUAAGUCAAAAGUAGGAUAAGGUGAAGUAUUACAUGGUUAAAUUUGCUAUUAAAUUUAUAUCAUAUUUGGUUUAUGAUAUUAAUUUAUACCAUUCAAAUCUAGUUUUGGAAUAUUUCCUCUUAUCUCAUUUAACAUGUGAUUAUUUUAUACCAUUCCCAUAUGAUGUAAAUUAAUUUAGAGAUUAUAAUCUCGUGCGCAAUUUCAGAAUAAUUUAAUCUACAUAUCAAAUGAUCCCUAUAGUACUCUUUUAGUCCCGUCGAUUUUAACCGUCUCUUAACUUUUUCCACUCCUAUUAAAAAAUAAUUAAUAUAUAUAUAUUAUAAUUUAUAGGAUAAAAGGUCUAAUAUAUCCCUUUUACCAUGCGAAAAAAAUAGUACUCCCUUCGUUUCGGAAUAAGUGAAUCGUUGGGAUAUUUAUUGGUGUUUCAAAAUAGGUGAAUCAUUGAAUUUUUUUUUCAAAUUUACCCUUAUGAUUUGACAACCAAUUAAUUUUGAAAAGAUAUUAUAAGGUCAACUUUUUUUUUUUUGGUAAAAAUGGAAACUUUUGUUAAAGUUAUGUCUUUAAUAUUUUUUUCUUAAAUCUGUGUGUUAAAAUUCAAUAAUUCAUUUAUUAUAAAACGGAAGGAGUAAUAAUUUUACUCUUCCUUAUAUGUUAGAUUCAAAAAUAUUUUUUAACCGUUAUCUAAAUGGCUCAAAUAAAUCCCUUUCUGUUGCUGUCCAAAGUGAACGCCUACGGACUGACAUUUUGAUUAAAGACCAUUAUGGAAAAGCUAUUGCUUGUGUGAGUUUACCUAGCCAAUAAUUAAUGUUGUUGGAUCAAAGUUAGGUAGAGUAUAGUUAUGAGAAUUAAUAUCAAACCUUGAGAUAUUGUUUAUGACCAGUUAGUACUAUUGCUCCUCCUAAUUUUCAAAUGAAAAGUCUACCAAAGCUAAAAAGAAAAGGUCCAUUAGUUUCUUCCAAGAAAGUGUACUGAGAGACUUAAGCGGAACGUCUAUCAAAAACAAUUUCUUAUUUGAAGAUCACGUUUAAUAUAUUAUUGUUGUUAUCGUUAUUGCAGUAGAUAGAGAGAUGGGAUUCGAAAGAGGCGAAUUGAAAGUAGCAGAGAAGAUGAAAUCAAUAGAAGAAAUAUUGAAGAAGUGGAUGGAAUCACCAGAAUUAGGCUAUACAAUUACAAUUGGAUUGGUUUUGAUUGUGUUCUUUUCCCUAAUAUGUCGUUGCUGCUGCAGAGGGAAUUAUAGGAGAAAUAUUCAGAUGAAGAAAGUUCCACGUCGUAGGAAAUAUAAUUGAAGGCUUAAUGCAGAGGCGUGGCCAGAAUUUCUGCCGAGGGAUUCAAAGUUUGAAGAAAAACUAGUCGAAGGAGGUCCAACAUCUACAAUAUAUAUCUAAAAAUUAUUUAGUCAUGUAUUAAUAGUAUAAUGUUCUGCUAAAGGAAAUUCGAACGAACCGUUCUAAUGAAUUCGAUAUCUAAACUUGAUGGUUGAGUUUGAUCUUUUUAAGAUUUUUAGCAGUGAAUGUGUUGUGCUUCUCAUGCUAAUGAAUACCACAAGCUUGUAACAAUAUUCUUUGUUAUGUUAUACUAUAUAUUUGUAGAAAUUACAAGCCAGAUUGCAGUUCUUUCUGAAUUUCUGCUUGUCAUUGUUCGUAGGGGUGGACAUGGUAUGAUAUUUGAAAUUUUUGUACGAUUAUUUUUGUUGGGUUUUAUAUUGGAUUUGUUGUUGUUGUAUUUUUGUUGGAUUGGAAAUCAAGAGCGUGUCAUUUGAAAGCUAAUAGUUGCAAAUCAUGAAGACUAUAAAUUAGAUGACACAUAAAACUAUACUAAAAAAAUAUAUUAUUGAAAAUAGCAAAAUUUUGGUUGAAAAUAUAAAAUCUAAUGUUGUGUGAUCGACUAUCUUGAUUUGGUAUUUUAAAUUUUUGAAAUUGAAAAAUUAUUACUGAAUUUAAGAGAUUCAUUAAUCACACAUUAAUAGAUAUGACGUUAAUUGCGUUCUACAUUAAUGAAAAAUUGCGUUAUUUCCUUAAAUAUCGUUAAGGAAGUUAGUUCUGCUACAUAACAUACUUAUGUAUAUCAAUAUUUAGUUAUGCAUAUGAAUAAUUAAAAUUCGGGAGAGAGAAAAUUUAUUGAAAAGAUUGGAAGAGAGGUUAAUUAAGCUUUAAACUAUCGAAGUUUGUGUUAUUUACCCUUAAAAUAUUUGUUUAAUUUAGUUUUUUAUAUAUAUAUAUAAUCAAUAGUAGAAUAUUACUCUUUCCGUCCCAAAUUAUCCGUCUCAAAUUGAGAUGACACAUUGACUAAGAAAAAUAAUUAAUAACAUGUCUAGUUUAUCAUAGUAACCCUAUUAAAUGGUGUUUACAUUUUAAUUUGAAGAAAAAGUAACUAAUGCAAAAAGUAAAACAUGAACAAAAAAAUUGUUUCUUCUUGAUUAAUGAAAAAAGACAAGUAAAAUGAAAAAUCAAAUUAAGAAAUUUGGGAUGGAUAAUUUGGAACAGAGGGAGUAUUACUUCUCCGUUUCAAAAUAGUUGGCCCUGAUAAAAAUAUUAUUUCAAUUUAGGUGUCCUUUAUGAAAUCAAGAGAAUUUUAUUAUUAUAUUCUUUCAAGUUUAUCUUUAUUAUUAUAUGUCUACAUAAAGUGUAUAUACUCAUAUUUAUACUUUCAAAACAUAAUUAAUAUAACUAAUCAAUAUAUAUAUAUAUAUAUAUAAAGAAGAAACAAAACAAGGAUGGUGUGAUACCUCUCUAUGACCACCAUUUCUAUUUAUCUUUUUUCUUUUUUUAAAAAAAAUAUUUUUCUCUUGUAUUUCUCUCAAAAAAUGUUGUUGAACAUUAAAAUUAAAACCACUCUAUCGAUUAUUCAAUAAUUAUCCACAGUUAAAAGUUGUUUGAAGUAGUCACAGCUUCAAUUAUACACUCAAAAGUUGCACCUCUUUAGUGUUUCGGUUAAAAGCUCAACCAUCACACCAAUUCAUUGAUCUUUUUAUUUAUAAGAUCCCAUCCAUUAACAAAAUGCUUGGCCACUACGUAAACUAAUUUUCUAAAUCACUGAAUGGAUAUGAAUAGUACUCUCUAAAUCACUUUCUUUAUUUUCAUUGUUUAUUUAGUAAAAUCGAUUAAUAUUAUCUUCUUUCACUGUAAUAGAGAUUAGAGAGUCGAAGGAAAUUCUCUCUCCUUGGGAAAGUGAAUGGUUUAUCAUAUGACAGGAAAAAUGCAAACAAAAAUAUAAUUUCUUCUAUGUUAGAGGUGUUAUUCUUUAUUUUUCUUUGUUUUAUUUAUUUUUUUCUUCAUUAAAUCAACUUAUUGUAGCUUUUUUCUUAUCUUUUCCAACCUUUUAAUUAUUUUUGUUACUUUUUUAAAUUUUAAAAUUACCCGUGUUUAUCUUUCCUUGCUCACAAAAGAGCACGAAUACGAAUAUCAACUUCAUCUUAGCAACCUAAACAGACUGAGGAGAUUAUGAAAAUGUGAAACACCUAUUUACAAGGUAAAAAAAUUCUACCUUUUUUUUAGAUUAUCAAGUUUUCUAUGUUAUCUCUUUUAAAUUGUAACAGUUAUUUUUAAAAUUUUUCAGGAAGAUUUUAGGUGUAGUUGUUUGAAGAAUCAUCUUUUUAGAUUCAGUAGAUGCACAUAGGUUGAUUUGUAUUAAUAAUUUAGCUACAUAUGAAAAUGUUACUCAUUUGAUCCGCUGUCAUCCUACUUUUUUGUGUGUUAUGAAGCAUAGUGAAUGUAAUUAUUCAUUUCAACUAAAAGGAUUAUGAUAACAAGUUUCACUCUUAUUAUCCUCACACAAAAAAUAAAGAUGAAAUGUUAAUUUUAUGAUGUCAUUAUUUUUUCUUUUGCAUAUAUAUGCCUUGAUGGUGAAAUGGUAGAUACGCGAGACUCAAAAUAUCAUGCUAAAGAGCGUGGAGGUUUGAGUCCUCUUCAAGGCAUAAUAUUGAGAGUGCUCAUUGAAUGAGCGUUCUAAAUUGAAAUAAAUUCGGCAGCGAAUUGCGAAAUCUUGGUGAUCUUCUCUAUCUAAUGAAUGGGGAGUCCACUUUAAAAUCGUCCGCCCUGCACCCACCCCCGAGUAUAUGCUUCAACAGGAAUCACACAAGGGUAGAUUAGAAACCUCUGGUAAAAUGCCCGCCCAUAACCUAGAUAAACUACAUUACAUAGUUCAGGAAUUGACGACUUACCCAUUCAGUGACUUUGUUUUGAUCGAUGUCCUUUUUUAUUUGAAAUGUACUUAAAAAAUUUUCCAUUCCAUUUUUAAUUAUUUUGCAAAUGCAAUAAUGUAGGUUGUUUUUAUACGUCUAACAACAUAAGUAAGAAAAUAUCUCUUACGCUGUCAACUCAUUUAUUUACUUUUUUGUUCACUUUUUACUUCCCUCUCUAUUUUCAUCAUUGAUCUAUUUAUUCUUAUAAAUAAAAUCAAUGCAUAAUAAAUAAUAUAUUUAACAUCUUAUAAAUUAUAUAUUCAAAUUGUUAUAAUGCAUAUCUUUUCACCUUACUUAUAACUUCUAUUCUUAAAUAUUGUUCUUAACUCUGGGGUAUUUAAUUUUCACGAUUCUUAAAAAUUCUUAUUAAAAUUUUAAAAGUUUAUAGCAAAAACAAUGCAACACUAAAGACACAAUGAGUUCAAAAACUUCUUUUAAGAAAUCAAAGUUUGUAUUCGGUGUAACAAGUAUUCCUACAAAAAUAGAGGAAAUUAAAUAAAAAUUAAUAAUUUUUGUGUGAUACAAUGUAUUAUUAAUUUAGAAAUAUAAUUUCUGCGUGAAAUGCGAAUGAUUUUACUAGUUUAAUAAAAUAAACACUGAAUUAAUAUUUUCAAUGCGUCAACUCAACGCGAAACAAAGAAAUUAUAUAUAGUAUAUUCCUUUUUCCAAUACUACCCUUUCUUGUUUUUAAAUGAAUAAAAAAAUUAGAUCUUCAAAGUAUUGUACAAUCAAUCGCAUUGAUUCCCACAUCUUUUUAUGCUUUCAAUUUAACAAGUUUCCAAUCAAAUACAGGGGAAGCGAAAUGGACAUUCAACAAUAUCAAAGUGUUCUCCAUUACUCAACUUUUGUGCGGAAAGAAGAAAAAUAAUUGAAAAAGUGAACAUGAUUGCAGCAAAUAAUGUAAAAUACUAGUGCUAGGAACAGUAAACAAAGAUGAUGGAGAAAGUGAAGGAAGCUUUACUGAAGUUGCUAAAUUGUUGUGGGCAAGGGCUAGUUCAAGUGGUAAAAUUUGGUGGUCAAAUGGUAGUGGAACUGAUAACUUAUGGUGGACAAGGAGUAAUGGACGUAAUAUAUUUUGGUGCACAGGGAACAUGGAAGAUAGUAAGUAUCAGUAGUAGGCAAGUUCUACCAAAGCUGUUAAAUUUUGGUGGGCAGGUGCUACUGAAAAUGGUAACUUUUACUGGACAGCAACUGUUACCGACGGUGGUAAGUUUUGGUGGGCAACUGCUGCUCAAGGGGGUAAUUUUUGGUUGGUUAGUGAUACCGAAGCUGGUAAAUUUUGGUGGACAGCUGCUGCUGAAACUAUUAAGAUUUGGUGGACAAGGGAUACUGAAGCUAGUAGGCUUCGAUGGGAAGCUGCUAUCAUCAUUUCACAACUUUUUCGGGCAAGUGUCACCGACGAUUAAGAAUUUUGGUGGGCGAACGUUACAAGUGCUUGACAAUUUUAGUUGGCAAGUAAAGAGUUUAUUUGGGCAACUUGUGAGUUGGUUCGAGAGUAUGAAUCAAUUGUUUCAUGCUGCUUCACCCGAGAUCAUAGUUAUCGCGUUGUCUCUAGCACUCAUCCUAUACUGUUGCUACUGCCACGGUGUCUUACUGCUCAAGGUGAUUGAUCUCUUGACUGCUGAAUGUCUAAUGAAAGUUUAUCAUGUAUUGGUCGAACCAAGGUCUACUCCCAUAAUAGUUCUGAUAGCGUCAAUGCCGUAAUUGAUUACAUGUUCUCUAAUUUUGAUGCUUAAAUGUGCUUCUUAGUAGCCUAUAUCAGGUUGUAGAGAUUAACAGGCAGUUAAGUAGUAAUUUGAUGUUGAAAUAUAUGAAUGAACUCCCCGUAAAUUUCGUGUAAUUUCCUCCCUUUCUGUUCUCCACAAAAAAGAGAAGAAGAGCAACCUUGCUUCUAUUAUAUUUGAGAAGGCAGAGUAGUAAAAUGGCUAACAUAAUACUACCUGUUUGUUGGAUAGAAUUUAGUACUCAUUAUGAGGGAAUAUAGUGCACGUAGUCACUUGAAAAAUAUUACCUCUCAUUUCAAUAGUGGGAACUAUGGAUAGGAGUUGCCAAUGCUUUACCAUGCUUUGUUGGAAAAUGAUGGUGGGUAGAAGCUCUUAGGAGAAAUAUUGAAGAGGAAUAUGACUCAAAAAAAGAGAGAGGGGGUGGAUUACUUGUUGGGGAGAACAUGCCCAUGUGGCACUCAAGAGUGUGGUCUAAUGGUCAAUAAAGUGGACGAGAACCAUGAGGUCUCAGACCAAACGAAAACUCGAGGUGAUUUCUUCCCAUCUGUCCUUGUCCUAGUAUUGGUGGAUAAAGUUACCGGGUAUCUGUUGUGAAAUCGUAUAUCCUAGCCUUGGUGGAUAGAGUUAUCUGAUGCUUGCUGUUGGUGGACGGUGAUAGAUGUCCUGUGAAAUUAGUCGAGGUGCGGGCAAGCUGAUACCACAGUUAUUUCAACAAGCCCGUAAUACAACUAUUUGGAGUAGCUUUCGAUAGCUAUUGGGGUAGAUCACUUGUGUCAUUGGCAAGUGUUUACGAAAUUUUGGAAGAUGGUGAUCUGUUUUGAGGGAUCAGCUGGAAGAUGCUAAUCUUGAUGAUGGCUUUGUCGUUUUUUAAAAAGCGAAAAAGAAGUAGGACAGGUAAGUCCCUAACAAGCUGCGUGCUGUGUGUGGACAAUGUUUAAGGAGAGAAAUAGGGUGCUCUCGUCCCUAAUCCUAAAUUAUAGACAUUCUCUUCUUACGUAUAUUUUGAGCAUGCUUCAAGGGCAUUGGUCUAAAAGCAAGAGUAUAGCCAGUGAUGUGUGGUUUAGGUGCAUGUCAAAGGUAAUAUUCACGGGAAAGAGAAGGGUAUAGGGAUGGGUUCAUUAUCCAUCGAGUUUAUGUUAUGUAUCUUUGUUAAUGUGAAUAUAUCAGGUGAGCGUUAUGUUAUUGGCUAGAUUCCUGUUUUGGUUGAAGAUAUACUGUUAUCUGAUGUGCUUUUUACUUACUCAGGAAGAAGAAGCCAAGAAGUUGAAGGAGUUGCUGAAAAGAAAGGAGGCUGAAAGUAUCCGUUUAUCAGAAAUCGAGAAGAGGCAAAAACAACGUGUGGAGGAAAUGAGAGAAACACAAAAGAAGGUAUGACAACUUGGCUUCUUUUGUUGUCUAUUUCGCGGCUUUGUGCAGCCUCUUUAUCUCUAUAUUUCUUUGUAUCUUUCUCCAUGCCACUUAUGAUGCCUCGGUGUUAUAGCAUAUUUGGAUUUUACCUAGUGUAUGAACCAUCUGAUGAAUCUGUUUAGGACCUAGAGAAUACGAAGUUGAAAGAGCAGUUACGAACCGAAGUUGGAAAGGAACUUGAUAAGCUUGAAAUGGCAUGCCGUGAUAUGGCUUCAGUGUUGCGCGGAUUGGGAAUCAAUGUUGGUGAUGGCACUAGUCACGAGGUUUGUUUACACCCAGUCACUAAAUAUUUUCAAUUUUCGUAAUUUUGAAUUACCAGAAUUCUGAAAAUAAUUUCAGAGAACAUACUUUUGUGAAACAUUGGCAUUCUUAUUUUGCUUUCGCCCUGAUUUGGUGGUUGGUGGUCAUUUGAUCCUGUCGUUUCGCAUUCUGAUCUAUGUACCUGUUUUAUCUUUCUCGCAGUAUUGUCUCGUCUUAUUGUGUACAUUGGCUGUAGUAAUAAGUCUGUGUUGAGACUUGGCUCUCCAGAUUCGCGCCCAUAUUUCAGCAUGCCGCGUACUUAAGAUGAGCUAGUCUUCAGGAUAUGCAGCCACUCUUCUAAUUUCUUGUGUUUUCAAGUGCAAUUUUGGCAGUUAUACUUGAUUUUGUCUUACAAUAUUCUCAGUAUGACCGUCUCUUUCUUCUAAUUCUAUUUGUGAAGUGUUAGUAGCAGUUAGAAUGAUAGCACACGAGACAUUACUUAUAAUAAAUUCUUGUUUCAGGUGCGCGUUGCUUACAGAAAAGCCUUGAUGAAAUUUCACCCGGAUAAAACUUCCCAAUCUGAUAUACGACAUCAAGUUGAAGCUGAGGAGAAGUUUAAGCUUAUUUCUCGAAUGAAGGACAAAUACUUAACUUUAUGACUGUGACAUAAGAGAUAUAUGUAGUUUGUUCUCUGUAAAAAGAUUAUUAGGAUGGAAAUUUUUUGUAUAGGCCUUCAAUGCUCGAGCUUUUUUCACUAUGUGAAAAGUUGCACUCAAAAAUGGCCAUGGCCUGGGAGGCCCUUGUACUUGUCCCGGAUUGUCAUCCCGCCCCCUCCACUCCCUACUUUGCUAAUGGAAUACUUAAACCCUUUGAAACUUGACAUUUAAUGAUAAAUUUUGAUCAGUCCUUAGUUGCCAUGAGGUUCAAAGAAAGAAUUACAUGUUUUCUUCAGCUAACGGACUUAUCAGAGCAUUUCGUUAACAUGCAUAUAGGCAAACCUACUAGAAGAAACCCAAAGUUGGUAAAUAUUUGAAUAUUGGCUCUAUGUUAAGGUGCUUUGUUAUAUAUAUAUAUAUAAUUAUAGUGUGCGCCGUGCGCAUUAAUUUGUGUCCACUCAAUUAAUUCCAUGAGAUACCUAUCACUUCUCAUACCAUGUAAUUUUGUCCACUUAUUGACUAGGAAGAUGAGGCCUAGUGAUUUUGUCUAUGCUCUGAGAACUCAUGGUGCUAAUCAACCCACUUCAUUGAGUACUAAGACAAACCCUCGGUCUCCGGUGCUAACUGGUCUUACCAUUUUCAUUCAACACAUUGUGGAAUAUUGUUUCCCGAUGCUUAAACGUUAGGAGGUAAAAUGGAACUGACCCAAGUUUUAACCGCGACUACUGUACUCCUAGUGUCAAAAUAAGUUUUGAAGGCAAAUUUUAUCCUAUAUAGGAUUGAGUUACUCCCUAUACGUUCAUCUUUACUCAGAUUACCUUUGAAUAUAAUAAAUCGUAUUUAGUGCUAAGUGUUGAAUGGGUAGAAAUAAAUAAAUUAUUUAUUAAUUUUAUAAAUCGAACAGAUAUUGUUAAACAUUUUAAAAUAAAAUAGUGGACAAAUAAAAAUGUCGGAGAGAAUAGUUGUCUACAAGUGCAUAAAUGGCUGCAUGCAUAUAUAUUGUCGACUAAUCCUUCCACACUUGCCAAGUGACCAUAUAACAUUUCAUAUAUAUUAUAAAAAAAUCGUUUAGGCCACAAAAAUUUGGUCCAAGUUUGGUCAUAAUAGUAAAAAAAUAUAUUCAUACUAUAAAUUAGUAAUUGACUUUUAGACAUUUUUGCUUUUUUUUUUAUCCAAAAUUUAAAUUUUUAAGACUAUUUUAUUUACUACCAUUUCCCAAUAUAUUGAAGACUAUUCUAAUACAUGGGAAUGAACAAUUUAUGCAUUCUAUUUUAAUUAUUUAAUUUUUUUAAUUAAUAAUUGCAUAAUUAAAUAGUUGUCAAAUGUAGUAGUGUGUAAUUAAGAAAAUAAAAAUUAAUCAGUACAAAUUUAUUUAUUAGUUGUUCGUUACAUUUUUUUUUAACGUUUGAAGUAGUUUAAUUUUAGUUAAAUUUUAAUUACGUAUAGUUUAUACUUUUUACAUUUUUCGGGAAAUUUAAUUAAAUUGUUUAUUUAUUUUUUAUCAUGCUUGUUCAAUUUUAUGAUCUUUUUUAAUGAAUAUGAAAACUAGUGUAUGAAUAUAGAAUUUUAAUAAUAAAAUAUUUUGACAUGCUUAAAAUUUUGUUACUUUACAUUUUUUAUAGAUAUAUUUACUAAAAAAAUAAAUCAUAGUUAAAUGUAAAAAUUUAUUUUGCUAAAUAAUUUAGCAAUAAUUUUUUUUUUUGUAACAUUCGUAGAAAUAGAUGUGGCUAAAAUUUAUUUACCAUUUUUUCAUGGUCCAUGACUAAGAAUUUAUACUCAUUGCUAUGUAAUUUUAUUAUAUUGUAGACUGUAAUUAUAAAUAAAUAUUGUUUUAUAAGAAAUAUACAUAUAGUAAUUAAUUUUAUUCACGACAAAUAAUUUGUAUCUAUCUACAUAUAAUUAGCGAGAAUUUGUAAGAAAAAAAUUAGAUUAAGUAUAGUAAUUAAUAAAAUAAUUAGGCAUAAUAAUCUAUUUAUUCAGAUUAUAUUUGAAACUUAUAAAUAAGAUCCUGUAAAUUUGAAUUGAGCCAAAUAAAAACACCUCUAAUCAAAUGAUAAUUCUAUAAACACUUGAUUAGGAUGAAGCUUGAGUGAAAAAUAUUUUAUUUUGGUUUAAAUUUUUUAAAUUAUUUACUCAAAGUUAAUAUAAUCAUUUAUUUUUUUAAAAAUUAUACUUAAAACUUACAAGUUAUGAAAUUAGAAGCAUCAUUGACAACAUUAAUUAAACUAGCUUGAUAAAGAUAUCAUUUCGAUGAAACAAUUCUAAAGUAAAAUUUUUUAAAGUUAAUUUGUUUAAAUUUGUUAUAAUUAGUUAAUGAAAAAUAACUAAAUUUAAUCACUAAUCUAUUUAAGUAUAAAUUAUUGUACAAAUACACUCCUCUGAUAAUUAUGUUCAAUUAUUAGUCUUUGGUUCAAUUAAUUCUAAAUAAAUUUAUAAUAAUUACUAAUUAAUUUAGUUUAAUAGUAGACCAUAAAAUCAUUGUUAAGAUAUAUGAGGUUUGAGACUUCGAAUAAAAUAACAACUGCCAUAUCGAGACAAAACUUGAGUGAGGCAUAGUAAAAUUUUGUUUACAUUCGUUAUAAAUCACAAAUUGAAAGCAAUUAUAUUAUAACUAGUGGUAAUCACCGUGCUUCGCGCGGUUACAAACAACAUUAGUACAAAUUUAUUCUGAUAGAUGUUGUUUCAAAUUAUUAAAAUGCUAAUGAUUUAGUUUUAUUAUAUGUAUAUAUUAAUUAUUUUUAUAUUAUUGAUUAAAUUACAAAUCUUUACUUGUGUUUUAAGUAUUUUGUUAGAUAAUAGACUUUUUGUUUUUCUUUUUUCUUGUGUAUACCUAAACAACAUAAUAAUGGUAUAAAUAAUUACAGAAAUUUAUAGCAGAAAAAAUACAAAUUAAAAGGAAGAGCUAAAGUUUUGCUAUCAAUCUAAAAGACAUUUAUAAUCUACUUACCUAUAAAAGGAAAAGGGACCAAUAAAAUUGUGUCAAAGCACAGUAGGUCAACAUGCCUGCUUUGGCAUAAUUUCUUUGAUCCUUUUUAUUUCCUCCUUUUUUUUCUUUAUUUUAAUGUUUUUAUCUUAUUUUUUUUUAUAUAUACUGAUGAUUGAUUUUUCAUGAAGAAAAUGAAUGCUUGGAGUAGUAAAUAUUUAGACUUUUAAAGUGUAUAAUAAAAAAUGAAUAAGUGGAAUAAUAAAUUUUGAUAUAUGUAAGUUUGAAUAUAUUUAGGUUGUUACAAUAAUGAUAUAAAUAAUGAAGGAUUAAUAAUUAACAUAUUUAUUUUUGUACAAUAAUAAAUAAAGAAGUAAAUAGAAAUAUAUAAAAAAUUACCAAAAAAAUAAAUAAGAAAUAUGAAACAAAUCGAGGAACACCGAACAGUAUAUGGAUGACCCCAUAAUGACAAAGAACUUGACUCGUCUAAUGGAAGCAAAGAAAAUAAGUCUAGAUUUCCUAGAAAAUGAAAUUGAAAGUAAUCAAAAUGUGCAUGCUUCGUACUUUAUUGUAUUGGAUUUUACUAACGUCUAAUGUUGACUGAGGAAUUCCAAGAAAGUGCUGCUUAAGAAUUAGCAAGACGACUUUCAUUCUUUCUUCAAAUAUUCCUCUUUUCUCAAAAUCUAACAGAUGAACCCCAGGAUGACUUCCCAUCUUUAGCGUUGAUUUUUCUUAUCCAAAUAACAACCGAAGCCUCGAUCUUGUACUUGAGCUCUCUAAAAUUUUAUGUUCUGACGACAUGUCCAUAGUUGUGAAGAAGUAAUCUAGAUCAAAUUGUUCUUUGGUGAUGCUUUUGUAGAUCGAAUCUCCUCGGCUUGCUCUCCUAUUCUAAAUAUAGUAAAAGGAAAAUGUUAACUCAAGAUCACAAACCUGAAGUAAGUUAAAAGUGAGAUUCGUGAUUUUUUCCUUUUACAUACCUUUGGUAGGGAUUCUAUAUACCUUUCUGAAAUUGCUAUUUCUGACAAGACUUGAGAAUUUAUGUCAGUGACUGCUUUAUGAACUUAGUUUACUGAAUCCUUCUGAAGUCGCAGUCAUUUUAUCAUAGAAUCAAACAAGCCAUUAGGAAGAGCCUUAGGAGCAGGUAUCCACCAUUUGUCAUCUACAAUUCAGAUAAUUCUACAAUGACAUAAGGAAAAUGAAAACAAAAAAAAACUUCGUAUCUCUUACAAUAAGUAUCACAUCUAGCUUGCAUAGUGUUGGAAAGUUCAUUUGAAGACCGGACCUCUGCUUUGUUACCAUAACCUGGUAAAUAAAUGAACAUAUGAUUACUCUUGUUGUCUGGUAAAUAUACGCAAUACACAACAAAGAGAGAAAGAGAUAGGUACCUCCAAGUUUGUUCCACCUUUUGAUUUUUGUUUACAAGGAACAAAUUCAAUAAUGUGAUCGUGACAGAUAAAAGACAACCAAUUUCUUUUCUCCAUUUAUAAUGUAAUACAUAACUAAAACCAUUGACUAAAUGUUGAAUAGAGCAAUAAAACUCGCAUUACCUAAUGUGUAGCUGAAGAUUGAGCACCAAAUCAUAAUUCCUAUGUCCCCUGAUUAUUGGAGAUAUAUAUAAAUUAUACAAAAUGAUACAGGGUGGUUUUUCAAUUCUCCCAUUACCCUUGCCUUAAUUACAAAAAUCAUUAAUGAUAGUCAAUAAAGAGGGUAAAAUAAUAUUAACUUUUAAUAAGAAAAAUAUAAUGUGGCACAAUCAUAAAACGGUAAAUGCAAAAUUUUUUUUUUCAAUUCUCCCAUUACCCUUACCUUAAUUACAAAAAUCAUUAAUGAUAGUUAAUGGUAACCUUUUAAUAAGAAAAUAAGGAAAAUAUAAUAUGGCUUAAUUAGAAAAGAAAACGAUAAAUUUAAAAAUGAUUAGAAUAUGUAUAGAUUAGAAUAAUCAUUAAUGAUAGUUAAUAAAUAUGGUAAAAUGUUAUUAAUUUUUAAUUAGAAAAUAGGAAAAAAAUGAGAGAAAAUGCCCAAAAAAAAUGACAAAAAAGAUAAAUGAAAUGAUGACUUUAGAAGCAUGCCACAUCAGCAUUCCUAUAUCUUUCCUUUAUAUAUAUAUAUAUAGAGAGAGAGAGAUUACUUAUUUAAUUAAAUUAUAUUACAAAUUUACUAGUAAGACCUAUUAAGAUUGAAUCAAAUCAAAUUAUGUUAUAGUCACUUAUUUAUCUAAACCAUAUUUCAAAUACUAAUAAAAUUCGAUAAGAUUGAAUCAAAUCAAAUGAGUAACACAUUUAAUUAUCUUAUAUCGAUGGCGUUUGAUUUUAUAAUAAGGAUUAUUCAAUCACUAUAUAGAUGUGAUAUAAUAUCUCACUCUCAAAUGUAACCUUUUUAGUUUUUAGUGUUGCUACAACAAAUUUCUACUCAAGAUAAAAAAUAAUUAUUAGCUAUAAAAUUUUAUCAAAAAUCAUUUCGCCAUAACAAAUAGUUACGGAACUUGAAGCAAAAUUAUUUAGAACUUGAAAUAAAAAUACUUAUUUAGUUACAUUAUUUUUCUUGAGAUAAUUUAUUGUACCUAAAAAGUUAAUAUUAUUGUUGUAAUUUUAUUAUGACAGGGACAUGUCAAAAAAUACUUAUGCGAGAGAAUCCUUUUAGUGAAAAAGGAUAAGAGUGGAUUUCACUUUCAAGCAAUUAAUGAUUAAUAUAUGUAGUUUUUCUCUACUACUUUUACCCCUCGUAUGUCUUCUUUUUUAAAAAUUAUUACGAAAUUGAACCAAUAAUUUUGAUGAAUAAUUAAUUCUUAUUUUUAUUUUAUAAUUUGUUAAUAAUUAACUGAGUUAUGUGAAAAUUGUGGAACUAAACUAUGCGUGUUGUACGUGAAAAUUAAAAAGAAUUGAAAAUUGAAUAACUGAAAUCAAAGAUAGGUAAAAUUUAUUUGCUAUCACCUAACAUUGAUUCUAUCACAUAAAAAAUUGGCUUCAAUUUUGUUAAACAUAAACGUAAUUUAACUUUAAAAAUUAAUAUAUUCAUGACAUAAAAGUAUUCUACCUUAAAAAUUUAGUACACACAAAUUAUUUGACCACAAUUUUGUUUACUAUUUAGAAAAUAACAUAUUAAAGGGCAUAUCAAUAACAAAUGUCAAUAAUAAAUAAAAAUGCUUAAUCAAAGGACAUAUUAAUAACAAAUAUCAAUAAAUAGAACUUAAAUUUAUUAAUUAUUAUAUUUGUUAUUAAUAUGUCCUUUAAUUAAGCAAUUUUAUUAAUUAUUAUAUUUAAAUAAAUUUAAGUUCUAUUUAAAUAUAAUUUAAAAAUAUUUCAAUAUCGAUAGUCAAAAUUCAAAUACUUUAAACAUGGUAAACAUCGAUAUAUUAUAAAAAUUAUAUUUUAAUAGAAGUAUCGUAAAUCACAAUAAUUAAAAAUUUAAAUUAUUUUAAUGAUUGAUUAUCUAAAUUAUAUUCUUGUCACAUAAAUUGAGUACGUCUAGUAUCUAUAUAAAUGUGAAAUCAUUCUCUCUCUUUCUCUCUCUCUCUCUCUCUCUCUCUCUCUCUCUCUCUCUCUCUCUCUCUCUCUCUCUCUCUCUCUCUCUCUCUAUAUAUAUAUUUAUCUUUUUUCUCCUUUUUUUGGAGCUUUUAUUAUUUUAAAUUAAUAUAUUAUGUAUUAAAAAAAUGAAAAGCUACUUCACAAAAGACAUCUCUUAAAUUCUCUUAAACAUAUUUUAAUGUAUUUAUUGAAUUUCAUAAAUGUUAUAAUUUCAUGUGCGUUACAAUCUUUUCACCUCCCACAUAUUCUCAUAAAUUCACAUUGAAUCUUUAUUUAUAGAUAAUGGAUGAAUGCUCAAUUGUGUUUUUCAAUCUCUAAUUUUUUUUUUAUUUUUUUUUAGUUUUAGCAUGUGUCUAAUUUGUUUAAUUUUGUGUUAGUAAUUCCUGUUUUCAUUUUUAUUGUAUGAAAUUUGCAGAAAGUUUGUUAAUGCAGCAAAUAUUGAUAAUAUGGACAUAACAUCAUCUCUUUCUUUAAUAAGAUACAAGGUAUCCUACUUUUAUUUUAAACUUUGCAUUUUAAGCUCUAACUAUUCGUCUUAGAAUUAUAAUAAAGUUCAUAUUUUCAUGAGGAGAUCGAUGAAGUUUUUAAUAUUCUUUACAAUGUUUAUAUUUGAAGUUUUUGCAUUUUAAGCUCUAACUAUUUGUCUUAAAUUCUAAUGAAAUUCAUAUUUUCCUGAGAAGAUCGAUGAAGUUUUUAGUAGUCUUUACAAUGUUUAUAUUUUAAGUUCUAAGAUACAAGGUAUCCUACUUUUUAUUUUAAACUUUACAUUUCUCCUUUUUUUGAUAUUUUUUAUUUUUUCUUAUUUAUAAAUAAAAGAGUUAAUAAUAUUCUACAUUAUUUAUUGAGCAUUAUUAAUAAUUAUUAAUAAUUGGUGUAGUUAAGCUAAUGGAGAAUUGAAAAGCUCCAUUAUUUUUAAGUUUAUCCAUUAUGCCUUAAGAGUGGUUUAAAACUUUUUCCUCUCACACAUUUAAGAAGGACUGUUAAGUUUUUUUUUUUUUUUUUUUGUUAUUUAAAGAGAUUCAUCUUUCUCUUAUGCACCAAAUAAUGCUCCAUAUCUUAAGAUCUUUAUAUGCUAUUCCUACCACCAUCUUCAUACCUCAUUCAUGGUGACAAUUAUCUCUACAUUUUCCUCCUACAUUUUUUUCAUAUUAAGAUUUUCCUAUUUUUCAUAAGAAAUUAAACUUCUUCUUUUUGAAGUUUUUGUCCAUCAUUUUAAAGUUUGUCCAUCAUCAGUAAGAAGCAUGCGAGUUUCCAUCAUCAGUAAGAAGCAUUCACGCAUGAUGCUUAACACACCUUUGAUUCUGAAGAGUUUUAAAUCACUUUCAAGUUUGUUCAUUAGUGACAAGCAUUCUCGCACGAUUCUCAUAUACCUGUACUCAAAAGGAUGGGUGAGUUUGAUUUGAGUGUUCAUUAAUCCAACGGAUUUAUAUGUUUCGGAGUAUUGAGCGUAUUUUGAUCAACACAUAUUUUUUAGAUAUAGAGGGUGUUAAAUGGAGUUCCUUCGUAAGAUCAUUGCUUUUACGAAUGUAAUUACAAAAUAAUGUUUAUCUAAGAAAAUUGACUAACCUAAAAUGUUAGCUACUAAAUUUUAGAAGCUAUAUUAAUAUAUUAAUUAAAAACUUUCUUUGUCUUGUGUAAUAAAUAAUGUAGAUGUUAUAUGUAGAUGUUGUAGCAGUUUUUAUGAUUAGACUUGUAUUUUUUGUUUCUUUUGAGUCUUUUAGAAUGAUAACCUACAAAUUAUAUGUUCUUUCAUCAUUUUAUUUUUCAACUUCUUUUUGAUAUGAUAUAAGUUACAUUAUGUCAUUAUUAAAAGAAAUCUCUUAAAUUCUUAACAGUCUCACCUAAAUUCAAGAAAUCACUUAUUACCUUUGCUUUUUUUUAGUUGUGAAUUAAGUUUUGCACAAUCAAUAGUUAGGAGUGUAGUUUGACUAAUCUAAAUCUUUAUUAAUUCUUUAAUUUUGUCCCUCUGAACACUAAAAUAAUUAAUUUUUUAUUGAUUUUUAAAAUUGACAAGUAUUUAAAAACAUCUAUAUUUAAAAUAUACAAUAAUUAAAAAGAAACGGGAGAAAUGUCAUAUGAAAAAUUCUCUUUUCAUUUUAGACGUUACUUAAUUCACAAUUGGUGAAAAGAAUUAAAAACUCUUAGACAAAAAAAGUGAUAGACCAUAACAUUAUAUGAUAAUCUAUUUUAUUUUUGUUUAUUAAACAUUGUAGACACCUAAUUUUAUUCCUCCCGAAGUCCAAUUUUAUCCAUUUUUAGCUCACCUUAUCACGCACCCUCACCCAUGUAAUUAUUCCUCCAUAAAAUGACAAAAAUAAUAACCCUUAACUAAUUUUAUCUUAUUCUAACAACCUCUCCCUAUUAAAUUUUAACACCUCACAUACCCCACCUCACCACCUACCCCACCUAACCCCUACCCCUACAUACCCUUCCUCUCUCACGGGAUACGCAAAAAAAAGACUCACUGGAGGCCCACCACUAAGAAAAUGGGGGGAAUCAUCACAUAUAUACAGAGAAUUUACACGGGGGAACACAAUUCAGUUGGGGGCCAUUUUUUUCGAAUCUUGGACCGAAAUAAGUCAUUUUUUGAAUCAAUUCACCAAAGUAAUUUGUAUUUUGAAAAUUUUACAAAACUAGUAUAAACGUUGUUCCCAAUAACAUUUUAUGUUUUAAAAAGGUUAACGGCUCAAACGGAAUUGGCUUUAGACGUUAGAAUAUAAAACGUUACUCACAGUAACGUUUUGACAUAAAACGUUACUCUCGGUAACGUUUUGGACAUAAGAUGUUACCGCCAGUAACGUUUCUCUGUAGCUUUGCCACCCAAGAAUCUCUGUACAAAUCUGACAUUAAAUACGUUAUCACCAAUAACGUUUUAGCUGUAAAACGUUACUCCGAAUAACGAUUCUAUUAAAUCAACCCAACAACUUUUUUGAUCGAAAUUUUGCCUUGAAAUCGUAAUCACUAGUCACAUUUUUAGUUAAAAACAUUACUGUGAGUAACAUUUCUAGCGAAUCAAAUCACAGACCUGCAAAGUUUUAGGACAACAGAUUAUAUAAGUGACGAUAUGUAUAAAAUGUUCAAACACAUUUUUACAAUCCUAACCAAAGCUUUUGCUUAUGUGCUUUAUUCUAGAAGCGACAUUUACAAAGUUUUAAUAGGUAUGGCUAGCCAAUAUUUUGUAAUGCAUUAAAAUUAUUUUGAUGUUUUAAUAAUUAUAAUACAUAUCUUAUUUUUGUGUAUAGCAGAAAAAUGGCUAAUUUUGAAGAAAAUGUGAUGGUUGCUUUGUAUUGGCGUGGUGAAAUAAUUUCUGAAAUGAGCAGAUUUAGAUACAACGAAGGUGCUAGAAUGAUUGUUAGCAUGUCUAUUUCAACUAGCUACGUUGAACUAGUUGCAAUGUUGCAUGAAAAAAUGAGGACAAAUAGUGAAAAUAUUCAAAUGGAUAUUUCUGGAAAAUAUCUAUGCUCAUUUCAAGGUAACAUUACAAGGUUUAUUGAAUUUAAAAUAGAGAAUGACCAGUCUUUGCUACAAUUUCUUGUCAUUCCUAAAAAAUUUUCAAAUAAAAUUGAUAUAAAUCUUUUGGAGAUGUAUGUAAAGACUAGACCAACAAAUCAUGAUAAUCUAUUUCAAAUGAAUGGUCAGCAUGGUUAUCAUAUGAAUUUAGUAGCUCAAAAUUAUGGAUUUGCCAUGCUCAGUCAUCUCAUUUUGCAUAUACUGCAACCCCUAGUAUCCAUCAAUCACUUGAUGCAAGCCCUAACGAACAUGAGUAUCAAUCAUAUGAUGAAGGAUUAAGUAGUCAAGGACACAUUGAAAGUGUCCACAAACAAUAUGAGAUCAGGUGGGUGAUCUUUACUUUUUUUGAAACUAUAAGAAAUCUUAUGCAUCACUGCUUCACCAAUUCAUUAUUUUUUUUUCCACAGAGAAGAUGAGGAUAACUUUGAUUUNNNNNNNNNNNNNNNNNNNNNNNNNNNNNNNNNNNNNNNNNNNNNNNNNNNNNNNNNNNNNNNNNNNNNNNUGACGAUGGCAAAAAAGAUUUAAAAAAAGAAAUGUGUUUUAGCAGCAAAGAUAGAUUGAAACGGGCUGUGACAAUUUGGAGUUUGCGCAAAAAUAAAGAAUUCAUAGUUGUAACAUCAAGCAAGAAACUAUGAAUUGUCAGAUGCAGGUUUCACGAAUCAUUAGGUUGUCGAUUGUUUCUUCGAGGCCGAAAGAUUGGAGGUAGCCUUUGGAAGAUAUGAAAGUAUUUUGAUAAUCAUAGAUGUGAGACUGAAGGGCUUACUACAGGUCACGCUAACCUAGAUACCAAUUUAAUUGCAUCUUUGUUUCUAAAUCAAAUAUGUAAAAAUCCCAAAUUGUUGGUAGUAGAUGUCAUUUCUAAGGUUCAUGAGAUAUUUGGUCAUCAAGUAACAUAUAGGAAAGCGUGGCUUAGACAUCAACGAGCAUUUAAAUUAGUGUAUGGUGAUUUUCGGAAAUCAUUUAGUGAGCUUCCUAAGUUUUUUGCAGCUUUUCAAUACUUUAACCAUGGAAAAAUUGUAGAAUGGAAACACGAAGAGUCAAUGAGUUCUUUAGAGGUAAAAACGUUUAAAUUUGUAUUUUGGGCUUUCAAGCCAUGAAUUAAUGGAUUCCGAACUUGUCGUCCAGUUAUUUCAGUAGAUGGAACCCAUUUGUAUGGUAAAUAUGAGAUAAAAUUAUUAUUUGCUGUUGGAAUUGAUGGAAAUGAUAACAUUCUUCCUCUAGCAUUUGCUAUUGUUGACAGGGAAUCGAAAGAGGCAUAAUAAAGGAUAGAAGAUGUAUGUAUUAUCUAUGAUAGGGCAAAAGGAAUCUUAGCUAGUUUAUCGGAGUUGUGACAAUUCCAGGAGCCUCGGGCCUUUCAUCGAUUUUGUGUAAGACAUCUUAAGAGUAACUUUCAAUCUUAUUUUCCAAAUAGGAAUCUCAGUGAUCUGAUGUGGAAUGCUACAUCGGCUCAUCAAGUAAGGAAGUUCGAAGCUUUGAUGUGGGAAAUCAGGGAAGAAAAUUAAGAAGCAUAUGAUUAUCUCAUGCAAUUUUCAUUGGACAAAUGGACGAUUAGCCAUGAUUAUGGAAAAAGAUGGGAAGUGUUGACAACAAAUCUUUCAGAGUCUUUCAACGGUCUUCUAAAGAAAGCUCAAGGAUUGCCUGUCACUGCCAUGGUGAGACUUUCAUUGGAGUAAAUAAUUGAACGGUAUACCCGUAGAUCUCAAAUAGCGCACCAACUUGUAGAGCAAAAGGAAUUAUGGACAAGCAGGUUCAAAGUAAAGUAGGAGAAGAACUACAAAUGUUCAAAAAGACACUUUGUUUUUGAUUGGAAUAUAUCCACUGGGACAUAUGAGGUUAGAUCUAUUCAAGUUGAUGGUACUGGUGGUAAUCCUCAUCGUGUUUCACUAAAUGAUAAAAAAUGUGAUUGUGGAAAAUGGGCUAAUUUGCACUUUCCGUGUUCACAUGUCAUGAAGGUUACUGAAAGAAUGGGAGGGCUAGCUAGAAAUUUUGUUAGCGAGCAUUUCACAACAGAGAAUUAUGUUGCUACAUAUUCCGGGUCAUUCUCACCGGUUGGGCACGAGGCAUAUUGGUCAUCUCCAAGUUUUAUAAUGAGAAGUAAUGAAUUCUAUCGUCGUCCUAAUCGACAAAGGACAACUAGAGUACCUAAUGAGAUGGAUCGUGGUCCUGCAGUAUAUGGGCGAGCUUGCGGGUUGUAUAGACAGACUGGACAUGAUAGGCGCCUAUGUCCAACUCGUAAUCAAACUUAAGUGGGUACUCUUAAAAUUUCUAACCGUUUUAAGUCUAAUGAAUUCUGUUUUGUGGAUUAUUUCUAAGUCUAAUAAUUGUUUCAUGAAUUAAUUGAGUAGAAAUCUUGUACCAACAUUCCAGCUAGCAUUUGUAGCAUUAGUACUUAAGACAUAAGAGUUGUUGGUGUUUUAUGUGAAAUGAUUUCCGAUAGAGUUUGCAACUCUUUUCUAUCUUUCAAAUGUCAUCUGUGAGUAUUAUGUUUCAUCUUAUAAAAGAACUUCAUUCCAGCUAGCAUUUGUAGCUAUGCUUCGGUUUUUAGUAGUAGUAUCAUGAUUCAUAGCCGGUCAAUAUAAUUUCUAGUAGCAAUUGUACGUUGCUUUGUACUGUGUGUUUUUUCUGCUUACAAACGCACCUAAAGACAAAUCAAAUAACUUUCUAACACUUUCCUUCUGCUUCCUUAGCAACCAAACGUACCCAAGAAAAAUGGCUAGAAUAUUGUAGGCUAGAAUAUUGUAAGGCACGUCAAGAACUCAAUCUUUGAAAUUCCAUAAGUUGUAUAGUCUUCUAUGAAAUUCCAUAAGAAAAAAGGACACUCUUUAGUUUACAGUGAAAACAGUGCAAUUCCUUACUGCUACAGGCUGGAGAAUUUUCAGCCGCAGCUUUUAAAGCAUCCUCUGAAUUCAAUCGUGCUAACGUCCAUGGGCUAAUCUUCACAACAACUGGAUUCUUUUUCUUAAUUUGUUCUUAUGCUGUUGACCUUUUACCAAGUGAACUGACUGAUACGGUGUCAGGAGGAACUACAUCAUACUGCAGGGAAACACGAAAAGAUUAAAUAAAAGUUAGUAAAUUAACCUUUUUCUAUGCACUUAUACAAAAACAUUAAAGCAUAAACUUUCCAGCUCAAGAGGUAUACUUGAUACUACACAAUCCCUCUUAUCCAUGCCAUACUGUUCUUGAUCCUCUUAACUAUAAUUAGACCAUAUGAAGUUAUACCGAAUACAACCAGAUAAUCCCUUAAUGGUUGUAACAGCCAUACCAAAGAAUCAACUCAAGAGGAACUGUUCAAGAUUUGCUAAAAUAUCCUAUAUCUUUUGGCAACAUAAGAGACCUACCAAGCUCAAGAUUAAACAUAGUUUCUGUAAUACCCCAAAAAAUUUUCUUCGUAAAGAAUUCGUGAGAAAAGUAUCGAGUUCUACGCUUUAGAGCGAUCCAUAAAUUUUCUGUGUAGUAUUUCUAAGACGUUGACCUACCAUUGUGUAUAUUAUUGAAUAAGAUUUCCAACUAUAUUUAUAUCAUCUAAAACGGACACUCGAGCGAUGAGUUACGACCAUUCCGAUCGAACUGUGAACAGUAAAAUAUGCAGGAAAUUAAAAUUACUGCAGGCAGGCGAAUUUUAGGGUCAACUUCAAACGAUCAUAAAUCCAUGUACAUAAUGAUCUGGGUGAUAUACUAUAUAUCAAUGGAAAUAUCUGCGAGUUCUCUUUCUAAUGAAAUUGGUUUCAUCCAAUUUGACUAGCGGAGAAAAAAGUUAUAGUCAAUCUAGUUCAGCGCCUAUCAAAAGCGAAUUUUUGGAUCAACUUCAAACGACCAUAACUCCUUGUACAUAAUGAUCUGAGUGAGCUACUAUAUAUCAACGGAAAUCUCUAAGAUUCCUCUUUCUAAUUAAAUUGCUUUCAUCCAAUUUGGCUAUCGGAGUAAAACGUUAUGGUCGAUCUACUACAGCCUAUCAAAACAGUCCACCAAUGAUUGAAUGAAUAAACUUUGAUUUAUAUGAUUAUCUCAAUGUUUUCAUGAUAUGAUUUAAUAGUUAUCAUUGCGAAUUACACACUUUUAUCACGAGGUGGUAUUUUGAAUAAUUUUGGAACGUAUGUCGAGAUGAUAUUUUGGAAUAAUAUUUUGAGAUAUGUGUGUAUUUUGGAAUAACGUUACUACUUUUAUGGUCCGUUAAGUUUUUACUCCGUUACUUUUGACCCUUAUAUAUUUUUAAUAAAAUAAUAGGGUAAAAAGUUACUGACAACUACGUAUAUACUAGUUUCAUAAAUUUUUUAUAAAGCAUAUUAUUUUGGUCAAUUGCUUCAUAAAAUGGUUUAUUUGAGUCAAAAAUUCCAAAAGUAACAGAGUAAAAAUUUAACGGACCAUAAAACGUUACUAGUAGUAACGUUUUAUGGAUAAGUCGUGACUGCCAUUCUUUUUUUUUUUGUUUUAAAAGCAAAUAAAAAUGAGACUUAAAGUAUUUUCAAGUGUAGCCGUUUCCCUAAUUUUGAAAGAAAUCCCCAAUUCUCUUCUCUCCCUCUCGUCUCUGUCUCUCAUAUCUCGUCUCUCGUCUAUCGUCUAUGGCUUCUUACUUUGUUUUUUUAGCAAUUUCAAUCAUCUGUGGUUGAUUCAAUUGAUAGUGCAAUCUCUUUCAUCGAAGUAAUUAAUCAUUCGUGUUUCAGAUUUAGAAACCCUAGCCUCAAGUUUUGGUAUGAAUAUACUCUCUGUUCUCCUUGCCUCAACUUGACUCUCUAUUUUAAAAUUUAUAUUUCUCGAAUUUUAUUCAACUAUGCUCAAAAUUAUGAACAAUUAUUUGUAGACAAAGAAAUGGGAUAUUUUUUGAAGGAGAAAGAAUUAUCUGUAGACUUUGUUAGAGAAUAGUUUUUCCUUUAUGGCUGGUUAAUUUGUUUAUUAUAGUGAAAAUAUUUACUUAUGUAUAGGUACCUUUUUUAUGGCUGGUAGUAGUUCAUACAAGUUGGAUCCUGGGCCACUUGAACCGUCUGUAUUAACUGAACAACUCACUUAUAGGUUACGGGAUAUAUGGGAUGGAAGUGUUGAUAUGGUUCUUAAUACGAGAAAGAGUGAUGGAGGUUUUUAGAAGCUCGCAGAAAAAUAUCCUAUCCAUCCACGAGUUUUAGAAGUGAUUAGAUUAUCUGGAUUGUAUGGUGUUUAUAGAUGUAAUAGGUCUGCUAUCGAUCGUAGUUUGAUCACUUCAUUAGUUGAGCAGUGGCGUCCUAAAACACAUACUUUACACUUUAGAACAGGUGAAACAACUAUCACCUUGCAAGAUGUCGAGGUGUUGUAUGGAUUACCCGUGAAUGGUGCUCCGGUACUUGGUACUGAGACGACGAGAACUAUUAGAGAUUGGUAAAACAUUUGUCAAAGAUUAUUAGAUUUUUUUCCAUCUCUUCAGAACUUUAAAAAUAGUUUCCUCAAGGUCUCCACGCUUAAAACACACCUGCUAAGUGAGCCAUAAUUGUCAGACAUGUCAACCCAAGAAAUAGUCAAUCAGAAGGCUAGGUGUUACAUAUUUUGGAUAAUUGCGGGUAUGAUGAUGGCAGAUACAUCUGGUGCUUAUUUGAAGCUUAUGUACCUGCCUAUGCUCGAGGAUGUCAAUGCAAUUGGGUAUUAUAGUUGGGGUAGUGCAACUUUAGCGUACUUGUAUCGUGUAUAUAUAUAUAUAUAUAUCAGGUUUGGGCAGGGGAGAGGAUCACUGUCCUUUGGCCACAGAUAGUAGGAAAAAGAGGUACAAGAAAUAUUUUUACUGGUUUACCUAGGGGUCCAUAUGCUACUAGAUGGUUUUCACACUUUAGUUGGAAUAACACUUCUAAGCAUGUGCUGAAAGUUUAUAGGGAUGCACUUGACUCUAUGACAGAAGAUCAUUACAAAAUCUGUUCAAACAUCAAAAUAAUUUGAAUGCAUUACAAAAUAUUGGCUAGCCAUACCUAUUAAAACUUUGUAAAUUUCAUUUCUAGAAUAAAGCACAUAAGCAAAAGCUUUGGUUAGAAUUGUAAAAAUGUGUUUGAACAUUCUAUACAUACCGUCACUUGUAUAAUCUGUUGUCCUAAAACUUUGCAGGUCUGUGAUUUGAUUCGCUAGAAACGUUACUCACAGUAACAUUUUUAACUAAAAAUGUGACUAGUGAUUAUGAUUUCAAGGCAAAAUUUCGAUCAAAAAAGUUGCUGGGUUGAUUUGAUAGAAUCGUUAUUUGGAAUAACGUUUUACAGCUAAAGCGUUAUUGGUGAUAAUGUAUUUAAUGUCAGAUUUGUACAGAGAUUCUUGGGUGGCAGAGCUACAGAGAAACGUUACUGGCGGUAAUGUCUUAUGUCUAAAACAUUAUCGAGAGUAACGUUUUAUGUCAAAACGUUACUGUGAGUAACGUUUUAUAUACUAAUGUCUAACGCCAAUUCCGUUUGAGCCGUUAACCUUUUUAAAACAUAAAACAUUAUUGGGAACAACGUUUAUACUAGUUUUGUAAAAUUUUUAAAAAACAAAUUACUUUGGUGAAUUAAUUCAAAAAAUAACCUAUUUCGGUCCAAGAUUCCAUUUUUUCCAUUUUCCAAAAAAAAAACGAGAACAGAGCACACACACAGAAGGGAGAAGGAGAGAGAACGCAUCAUUGUCUUGCUCGUUUUCUUUUCCUUUUCGAAUCCACGAUCUAGGAGCACGAAAAAGAGGCCAUUUUUUCUUUUCUUUUCUUUCUGGCUGCGCACACAUACACACAGUAACAACCACACUCACUAAUACACGUAGAUCGGGAGAGAGAGGGAGAAAUCGAGAGAGAAAGAGGGAAAAAUGCACGGAGGAGAGAAACUCACGUACACCUAACCAGUUUCAUGAUUCACUCAUCGAUACAUUCACGCACACACCAGCCAAAGGGAGAAUCGGAAAAAGGGUACUGCUCCGGCGAAUUUUGCCUGAGAGCGAAUGAAAUCUGGUCCGUCUUCAUUGCUUCUCACCAUUGUCUGAGCUCUCCAAAGUUUUGGCGGUGCGAAACAGCGACUCCCAAUCCUUUUUUUCUCAGUUUCCCAUUGAACUCUAGCCAAAAAUAGUGAGCCAGCGAUCAGAGUGAUGCAAUACGAGCUGUUUCAGUCAAUUCCAACCAAAUUCCAUCUGACAACGAUCAAAAAAUAAAAAUGGAUCAGUUGGUUCAUUUGGGUUAAUUCGGAUUUGGGUUGGUUUUUUCGAGUUGCGGGUUCGACGUUGAGGUUCCAGUUAGGUCGAGGUUCCGUUGCUCCGUGAUUUUGAUCCAUCACUGCUUGUUUGGAAUAAAACCAACAAUUGAGGUCCAAUUCUAUAUCUUUUUAUCUCUCUUAUUUUGAAUUGUGUGAUUUUUGGUUGAGAUGAUUUUAUUCGUUGUUAUUUAAUUGUUAAUCUUGGUGUGAAGUAUGUUAAUCACAUAGUGAAUUUAGGGUUAAGUUGGAUUUUGGGGAAAAGAUUGAAAAUUGUUAAAAGUGAAUAUCGAUUUAUGUUGGUUCAGUUAUGAUGACUUGAUUCAGAAUCAACGUUGACUUUAUUAAGUUCAAUAGUAUCAUGUUUUAGGCUGUGAAUUGUUAGGCAAAUGGUAGGGGGUAGGAAAAUUUAGGAGUAACGAUUUGUUAAGUGUUUUGAAUAUGUGUGUGAAUGGUUCGUUCUAUUUUAUCGCACAAAAAAUUAAAAAAUGUACUCAUUCAGUCGGCGAAUGCCCCGAAGAUAUUUAUAUUUGUUCACCGGGCAAUGCCCCGACGUAUUAUGUUGGCGGAAGAUGAUCGUGAUGAAGGCCCGAGGUAUCGGGUAAAGCACGGGCGUAAUUAGGAUUAGUGUAGGUUAGAUAGGAUUUAUUUUCUCAUUUUUAUUUAUUUUGGACUGUAUAAUUGGACUGAACACUUUACUUUAGAUUUUGUUAUUUUGUUUUGUGUGUUUGUUUGAUUAUUUUACGUAUUUUUUGUGUGGUUUGUACAUUCGUAGUGUCAAAUUAGCCGAUACGCUCUACCAAGCGACCGUGGUCGAACCACGGUAUCGAGGGGUACCUAACACCUUCCCCUCGGUCAACAAAAUUUUUUAGAUGGAAUCUCUGUUCGCAAACCAGUUUAAAGAGUCAAAUCGUUUUGAAAAGGAUCUUUCAAAGGUGACUUGGCACACCGAAUUAUGUCAAGUGGCGGCUCUGAAUAAAAAAUGUAAAUAGUCCUUUUUCGAAAUAAAUUUUUAAUCUUUUGUCACUUUAAUAAUAAAAACCCUUUCAAAACUUAAAACGAAUAUUCUUUUCGGAGUUAAAAAAAGAGGUGUGACAACUCUGGCGACUUUGCUGGGGACUUUUCAUAAUUCGAGCUUAAUAUUUUUUUUGAGUUGUAUCGGCUUAGUUUGACAUUAUGAGUGUAUAGACAUUGUUUGUGUUAUUGUUUGUACUUAUUUUAUCAUUAUUGCAUGUUUACGUGCUCUUUGUUUACAAUUUAUUUUCUUAUGUGUUAUCGCUUUAUAUCUGGCAUCAUGUGCAUGACCCGAGUCAAUUCUUUCUGCAACAAGUCCGUAGUACACGCUGUGUACACGACCUCUAGUUAUGUCACAUUUAUUUUAGGAGGGGGAGUCGUCGGCUGGUAUGGAGUGGGUGGAAAGCUAAAGUAGCCACUAUCAAUCAUAUGUUCCCCCGAACAGCCUUGUUAGUGAACCCCAACGUAGGUCAACCUUUAGGUCAUGCUUAUUUGCAUCAUAUUAAAACCUAGUGGGACCCACAUGGUCCUUUGUAGGAAACUCACCUCUAAGGCAUCCCUACGUGCUAAAUGUUGCAUCUUUGAGGGUAACGAGGUCAUUUGACAGACUGAUUUGGGCAAAAACAUGUGUUAGAAGCAAAGUGUGUAGGCAAGAAAUUGUUGAAAAAAAAAAAGAAGAAAAAAGAGUGAAAAACAAAGAUUUGGUAGUUUUUAGGGCUCUUUAUGGCUUUUAUUUUUUUCACAAUUCAAAAAAAAAUAUUGUUUUUACUUUUUGCACUCAUUUCCCAAAAAAUAAAAAACAUUAAAAAAAAUUUUCUUUUAUUUCUUUAGUAAAUAUUCACAAUUCGAAGACUCCACAAAUAUUUUUUCCUUUCAAUAGGAGCUUUGUACAUUUUUAUAUAACGAAAAUAUCAAAAGAUUUUUUCUUCCAUAGUUGUUGGUGUUAGUUUCUAAUUAAAAACCCAAAAAAGAUUUUAUUUUUUAUCGUUUGUCUUUAGUCGCGUCUCUCAAUUCAGGGUUUAGUUUGUCAUUUAAUCCUUAAUUGUCCAAUCUGGACGAACUAUGCACCCCUGAUUCUCCUCUUUCGGGAUGUGAGAUACGUAGGCAACCUAUUGUUGGUUCAGAGAUCUUAUUCAAAAAUCCAAAAAGAUUUUCUUCACUCUUCUUUUAGAGUAGGUGUUUCAUAUAUAUUUUCAAGAGAAAAACUACAAAAAGAUUUUCCUUUAAUAGGUUCAAGUUUCAUUUUCGCAUGAAAUUCAAAAUGGAAAACCCAAAAAGAGUUUCUUUGGUAAACAUAAGUUUCAUUUUGUAUAGGGAUGUUAAGCCUAAAAAAAUGCAAAAAAAGAUUUUCGUCAAUUCUUUUGACAAUUUGUUAUUUUCUUUUCUUCUUAAAGUUUCAAGAAAAAAAGAAAAAAAAAGAAGACAAAGAGUUCAAUUGGCCAUUUUGGAACGACUUCACGAACUACGCACACCUGAUUUUCCUCUCUCUCGAGGGUGAGAUACGUAGGCACCCUUCUUGGGUUCGGUCUUUUCAAAAAAAAAGGGAGAGAGGUUUUGAAAAAAUAUUAAACUCUAACAUAUUUGUUGCCUCUUGUUCAUUUAGUUUAAGGUGGUUGGUUUGUGGCUUCCUGGCUGGUCCUCCAUAUCACACCAAAUCCAAGGAAGAGUUAGUUGUGUCCAACAAGGAUAUAGAGAGUGGCAUCAUGGAUGCAACAGGAAAUUGAGAGUUUAAAGGAAAAGAAUUUGAGACUAAGACAACAAAUGAUGGAAAUGUAUCAAGCUUGGGCCAGUGGGCUGCCUCCACCUUCGUUCCCCACUUUUAACCUUGCAAAUACCUUGAGCCUUCCACCAAAAUCGAAAAGUCAGUUGCCUUCUGUUGUUGAUGCACCACAGCAUGCCUCAAAAUUCUUUCCACGUCAAAUGCAUCUCAAUACUUCCACCACUCUUUCUUUAGCUCCUUAGUAUAAGUCUAACACAUUCACAGCACCACAUACCGUCUGUGCUUUUGUUGCUCAACCUUUUACUGAGGCUUUCACUUAGGCUAUCAAUCCAACAGUUGUGUUGUCCCAAUCUAUUAGUGGACCCAUGUUCAAGGCUCUUGAUGAUCAUUGUUGUACUCUUGAGCCUACAGCUAAGCUAAGUGGACCGCCAAAAUUUCUUAACAAGCAGCCUAGUAUGCUAGAAGAGCCCGAGAAAAUGGUUGGGAAAGUUAUUGGGACUUGUGGGAUAUAAAGAUGUUUCAUAUAAAAACUGGGGCAUGUUUUCAAGUGUUAACUUUCCUCCAAGCUUUGAGACAUCAAAAUUUGAGGAUCUUGGUGGACAGAAUGAUUCUGUGAAACAUUUGGGACGAUAUUACAAUCAAUUAAGAGAAACUGAAGGAAAGAAGAAAGAAAGUGCAACUAUUGUUAUGCCAGGGCCAAAGGAGAGUUUGAGAGGUCUAACUCACCAAUACUGUCAGCCUUAAUCCCGAGCUUACAUAUCAAAUUCACUUAUUCAUCUGCCACAAGGUUCCUCUUUUUAAAAUCCAAGGAGUUCCAUUCCACUUCCUCAAUGUCCUUUGAAUAAUGCACAAUUGUGUACCCAUCCGUCUUCUUAUCCACAAUGGCAUGCACCUGUCCCUCAACAUCGUCCUCAACCCCCACAAAUUUACCAAGGGACCUCUAAAUUCUAGUUUCAUCUGAGGCCAGAGUUCGUAAAGAGGAGGAAGAAAAAGGAUAAUUUCACUCAUAUUAGGGAGUCCUAUGCCAGUUUGUUCCAGAGAUUGAGACAUAGGGGCAUGAUUACUCCUCUUCUUGGGUAUACACCCAAUCCACAUUCAAGAAAUUUUGAUCUUAGUGUACGAUGUCCAUAUCAUUCUGAUGUUCAGGGUCACAGUAUUGAAGAUUGUCGGGCUUUGAAAAGAGAAAUUGAAAAAAUGAUUUAAGAUAGAUCAAAUAUGGGGUAGAACAUUGACAGUGAGGAAAGCUCUAGUCAUGCUGAUAUGCAAACCAGUGGCUAAGAUGUCAGGAUGAGCAAUUGAGAAGUCACCUCUCUCCCUCUUAGGAAGAGGUAUGGUAGUUUGUUUUGUUUUAUUUUAUUUUUUGUUAUCUGAAUUAUUUCAGGGUUGUAGUCCGGGCUUUAUCUUGUUUUUUUCCUUUUGUUGUUUAUGUUCAAACCGUUUCAAUCUUUUGUUUCAACUAAAUGAAGUGUCCCAUUUUCCUUUGUGUUUUAAAUAUGUGUUGUUUGUUUUUUUUCUUUACAUAGUACAUUUUAUGUUGACUCUAGUGAUAUGACAUGCUAGUGAAAUUUUCAGCCAGCUCUUAAAAUCCGGUUUAAGCAUGAGCAUUGAAUCAGAGGGUUAAAGUUAGAAAAAGAGAGUGUCUGAGAAAAUACAUAGAGUGCUGGGGCAUUUGGUGAUCAAUUUAAGGCCUUUUUGAAAAUUAAGGCUAUUAUUUUGUGAAUCGUGAGAAUAACUUGUUCAACAUUUGAAAAACAUGUCUCAAUCAGGUCAAAUAAUGGAUGUGUGAUCCUACAUCAAAAGGAAUAGAAAAAUUAGCUCCACGAAAGCAUGAGGAAUGUACAACAAAGAUGGAGUUUAUAGAAGUAGUGACACAGUCUCAGUUAAAAUUAGUGCUGUAAAAAAAUGUCACACAUGAUCUUCAUUUCUCACUUUCAUAUUGCAUAAUGUGUACUUGCAUUUUCAAGGAUUGAUAUGAUGAAGGCAUUUCGUUCUGCUAUCCAAACAUUGUGUCAUCCUUUGUUUACCUCAUUUGAGCAUUAGUUCUAUUUUCUUUCGUACCCAUCUUUUGGAAUCAGGAUAGAGUCUGCAACGUCUAAGAAAAAGUGUCAAAAAAAGGGGUAAAAAAAAAGAAGUUUCAAAAAAGAGACAAAAUGUUUCCAAAAAGAAAUAAAAAAAAAGAGUGUCAAUAAAAGAAAAAGAAUCAAAAGUCUAAAUCAUGCAAAACAAGCUGCCAGAACUACGCAUAACCUGAUUCUCCUCUCUCAAGGGUGAGAUAUGUAGGCUGCCCUACUUAGGGCUCGGUCCAACCAAAUAAAUAGUUUAGUGUCACCCGGUCAAAAGAAACUGGGGCAUGAUUUAAUCCUCAUUGUUUGAGUUGAUUUCAAAAGUUGUAAGUCCUAUCCCACUUUAGGUGUCGUUUGGGCCUUAUGCUAUCUUUUCUUUCUAACCCUAUCUAAAAUCCAAGUUACAACCAAAGAAAGACCUCCAGAUCAAUCUUUAAGAAUGUUAAGGCUAAGCAUGAAAUGAAUAUUAUGAUGCAUUUUGGGAACUACUUGUCUACCUUAGCAUAAGGAAUCAGGAGAGAAAUGAAAAUGAGAGAGUUUUAUCGGUAAAAACCCUCAUGGGCACCAUAAGACGAUGGUAAGUUGAGAGAGAUAAAAAUAAGAGAGUCUUAUCGGUGAAAACUCUCAUGGGCACCGUAAGACGACUGUGAGUGGAAAACCCUUACGGAUACCAUAGAGCAAUAGUGAGUUGGGGAAAAGAAAAUGAGAGAAGCUUAUUGGUGAAAACCCUUCAAGGUUGACUAGCCGAAUGAGGUCUUGAAUCCAAUUUACCUAAGAAAGUAACUCAAUUUCAAGACCGUUAACUUAACAACAAUUGGUGGAAGUUUGGAUGAAAUUAUCAAGCUGCUUAAUCCAAAAUUCAUGGCAUAAUCAUUAGUGUUGACUGUUAUUUUUAGAUUAUUUUUUUGUUUCUUUGUUUUAAAAGGGGACAUUUAUUGUCUUUUCUUUCUUCUCUUUAUUUUAAUUUUAUCUUUCUUGAGUCUGUUAUCAAAACAAAAGUUGUCACUCUUUUUUUUCAUUUCUUGUCUUUGAGUCAAGUCCGUGUCAAAACAAGUGAGAAAAGAUUUCAAAACUGGCUACCAACUUCUUUAAUUACACAAAUCAAGAUAAAAGCUAGCACAUGAAAGAGACAUGAUUGUGAGCCAAAAAAGGGCAUGCAGAAAGUUUUGUCAACAGAGAAGUCGGGGAACUCAUGAAAAUACCAAGGUUUAAAGGGUUUAUUUGAGAAACACAACAAAGCAGAAAUACUGUGUUUGUUUCAGAGUCAUUCUUAAUAAGCUGAGUUUGGGUCAAUGAUACAACAAGUCAAUGACAUAUGCUAAUGGUUGGAAGCAAAGGUAAAUGUGACAGGGGCAGGAGCAAUUGCCUCAAAAGCGAAAGCCACAAACUAGCCACCAUGUUUUUAAAAUCACAAUUUUUCUUUGUAUGUAACAGGAAUACAUGUUGCAUUCAGAUUAAGGAUUUCAGAGCCUAAACAUCAAAGGCCAUAAUUUCUCACCUCAACAAAUGUAAGAGGCAAGGUUACUGCACAGGUUUGGUAAUCAAAACCAUGGUAAAACUCAUAAUUCAAGAUCUCUAGGAGACACACUUCAUUGUUUUGAUAAUUCAAACAACAUUGGUAAGGAAACACACUUCCUUGAUUGGGUAAUUCGAAUUUUGCUUCUUAGGUAAUGCACUUCCUAACUUAAGUCUUGAUUCCUAGAAGAUGUACCUUUUAGUCGAGUCAGCUUUCUUUAAUUCCUAUAAGACGUCUUUUAGUCGAGUUAUUCCCUUUGACCCCUAGAAGACGUACCUUUUAGUGGAGUCAUCCCCCUUGAUCCCUAUAAGACGUCCCUUUUAGUCAAGUUAUUCCUUUGAUUCCUAUAAGACGUACCUAUUAGUCGAGUCAUCCUGUUGAUUCCUGUAAGACGUACCUUUUAGUAGAGUCAUUUCCUCUGAUUCCUAUAAGACGUACCUUUUAGUCGAGUCAUCCCUCUUUGAUUCCUAGAAGACGUACCUUUUAUUCGAGUCAUCUCCCUUGAUUCCUAUAAGACAUACUUUUUAGUCGAGUCAUCACCCUUGAUUCCUAUUAGAUGUACCUUUUAGUCGAGUCAUCACCUUUGAUUCCUAUAAUACGUACCUUUUAGUUGAGUCAUCUCCCUUGAUUCCUAUAAGAUGUACUUUUUAGUCGAGUCAUUCCCCCUUGAACCCUAGAAGACGUACCUUUUAGCCGAGUCGCUCCUUUGAUCCCUAUAAGACGUACCUUUUAGUCGAGUCAUUCCUCUUGAAACCUAGAAGACGUACUUUUUAGUCGAGUUAUCUCCUUUGAUUCCUAUAAGACGUACCUUUUAGUCAAGUCAUCACCCUUGAUUCCUGUUAGACGUACCUUUUAGUUGAGUCAUCACCUUUGAUUCCUAUAAGACGUACCUUUUAGUCGAGUCAUCUCUCUUGAUUCCUAUAAGACGUACCUUUUAGUCGAGUCAUUCUCCUUUGAUCCCUAGAAGAUGUACCUUUUAGUUGAGUUGCUCCUUUGAUUCCUAUAAGAGGUACCUUUUAGUCGAGUCAUUCCCCUUGACCCCUAGAAGACGUACCUUUUAGUUGAGUCAUCUCCCUUGAUUCCUAUAAGACGUACCUUUUAGUCGAGUCAUCACCCUUGAUUCCUAUUGGACUAAUUUUUUAGUCGAGUUAUCUCCUUUGAUUCCUAUAAGACGUACCUUUUAGUCGAGUUAUUCUCCUUGACCCCUAGAAGACGUACCUUUUAGUUGAGUCAAUUCCUUUGAUUCCUACCAGACGCACCUUAUAGUCAAGUCAUUCUCCUUGAUUCUUAUAAUGAUGUGACUUUCGCAAAAGUCCUUUGAUGAUAAACUGGGGCAAAAUUUAAUUCUUGUGUUGGAACUUCACUUUCCUGGCAUAUGAAAUCUCUUAAUAAUAAUUUUUAUUUGGGAUAAUUUUCUUUCUAGUUUUGAUGUGAUUUCAGGAGCCUUCCCGAAGCACAGGUCGAAUAAAUGGAAAAUCAAACAACAAGGUGAAGAAAAUAAAAGUUAAACUGAUUGAAAAAUAGCAAGUCAAGAGACCGUCUGCAGAACAGGGUGAAGAAAUUGGAAGCAUAGCAACAAGUUGAUAAAAUAGCAAGUCAAGAACCCGCUUGGAGAACAUGGUGUAGAAUUUGAAAGGCAAGCAACAAGUUGAAGACUUUCCCCAUUGUUCCUACCUGUUUCUGGGUGCAGGAACACUAACCGAAGAAGGUACGGGCAUAGAUGAUCGAUUCUGAAACUGCAAACGAUUUCCUCCUCUAGACCUAUUCUAACCAAAAUCAAACAUCUCUGUUCUAGCCUUCUUAUUUACUCUCUCUCUCUCCUUCAAUUUCUAUGCCUCAAUCUGCUGAGCAUGCAUCAUCAAUCUAGCAAGAUCCAUGUCUCCAAUAAGCAUGGCAGUCCUACACUCUAUAACUACCAACCCAGAUACACCGGUCACAAACUUACUCAUGUUUGACCUAGGGUUAGCCAUCUGAUCAAGGGCAUAUUUAGUCAACUAGUUGAACUUGAGGCAAUACUCCUUCACUGCCAUUGAGCCCUGCCUUAGGUUAAUGAACUCUUCUAUCUUAGCUUUACUCAUCUCACGUGGGAAUAACUUGUCUAAGAACGCAUCCUGAAACAUCUGCCAAGUCAUGUGAGCUGAAUUUUCCCCUUUACUUUUCUACCACAUUACUACACAAUCAUAUGCAACAUCCUUCGGCCUAUAGGACGCCAAUUCUAUACUCUCCUCUCCAGAAAUAUGCAUAAUUCGGGUGAUCUUCCUCACCUCAUCUAGAUAAAACUGUGGGUCCUCACCUGCCUUUGACUUAAAGAAUUUUGGUGGGUUCAUUCUCGUAAAAUCUUGAAUUUUAGCUGCGGCUAUGUCCCCGUCUUACUGAAAUAGGACUGCAGCCUGACGGUUUCCCUGACAUUAGCUGUCACAGCUUGGGCUGGUACCUGAAAGGCAGCUCGAAACUCUGUAUGUGACACAUUCUCAUUCAAAGGAUCUGUGGGCUGAGGUGACUGGUUAUUGUUUCUGCGCGCUCGACGAGGAGGCAUUUUCUGUCACAUGAAAGCACGAUGUAGACACCUAAUUUUAUUCCCCCGAAGUUGAAUUUUAUUCAUUUUUUGCUCAUCUUAUCACACACCCUCACCCAUUCUACAUUUUUUCCACAAGAAAACAAAAUACAAUAAACCCCAACAAAUUAAAUCUCCAAUCCCAAAAUAUUCUCUUAUCCUACCUAAUUAUUACUCCUCACCACCCCAUAACCCUACCCUGCCACAUCACCCCCUCCAUUUUUGAGAACUUGCAUCAAUACACGCUAGAGACCCAGCAACCAAAAGAAAAGGGGGCCCUUUCAGGAUAUAUACGCACAUACACACAAUAGGGAAAAGGGGGUAUUUUUCUUUUUCUUCCUCACAAUUCAUCACUCAACAGAGAAAACAACACUCACACUACCAGACCACAUUCUCACAUAUGGAUACCCAUUGAAGAAAACCAGAAGGAGAUCACGCAUACAGAAUUUCUAUUCCUCAAAAAAAGAGAGGCACAAAAACACACAUAUCUGUCAUCUUCUCCACAAUUUUUUUGAUGUAUUUGACUCUUGAGUUGUAUUAGUAGUUCUUACACUAUUGACACCUGAUUUUGGGCAUGAUUGGUAUUUUGGAUAAGUUCUUUUUGCAUUGUUAUGAUUAUUUAUAUAGUUCGGCUUCGUUCUAGAAGUCUUACCUUGAGAUAUUUCUGUCUUUUUUUUGUAUCAGUUUGGGUGAUAGACUUAUUUGUCAAGGUACACCGUGACAAGUUCCAUCAUGGCCCUCGUUUCUGGGUCGUGACAAAAAUUCAAAAUACUUUAUACAUGGUAGAUAUCGACAUAUUAUAAAAAUCAUUUUUUUCUUAUGUUUUGAUCUUAAACUCAAGAGAGUCAAACAUUAAUGUUGUUGUCUUACAUCAUUAUGUUAUUCCGAUUUUAUAAUUUCAAAUCAUAACUUAUAUUUAUAAUUAAUAUGAACUCUAAUUAAGUAACAUUACAUUUAAAUAAAAAUUAAAUUAUAUAUUUAAAUAUUUUUUAAAUAUAAUUUGAUAUCAAAAUUCAAACCACUUUAGACCUGAUAGAUAUUGACACGUUAUAGAAAUAAUGAAAACCAUAAAUUUCACAUGUGUCGACCCGAGUUAACAACAUCUCAAGAUGUCAAGAUGCAUUAAUGUUGUAGUGCACCUCUAUGUUACACUAAUUUAAUAACUUGUGAAUCAUUACUUAUAUUUGUUAUUAAUAUGUACUCUAAUUAAAUAAUUUUAUUAAUUAUUAUAUUUAAAUAUAUUUAAAUAAUUUUUUAAGUCUAAUUUGAAAAUAUUUCAAUACUGUCCGUCAAAAUUCAAAACACUUUAGAUAUAAUAAACAUUGACACAUUUUAAAAAAUUAUAUUGUUCAUAUUUAUUGACUCUAGCUAAUGUUUUAAAAAAUUGUGAUAAACUUUAGAAUUGAAUGACUUUUAUAUAUUAAUAAAUUAAUAAAUUUAUGCGAUCCGUUUAAAAUUAGUUCAUCAUUGAUGGACUUUUUCUAAAAAUAUUUUAAAGGAUUAUGAUCAAUAUAGUAAUUUUUAAAUAAUUAUGAUCAAGGUAGUAAUAAAACUAGUUUUAAAUUUUAAUUUUUUUUGAAAAAAAAAAAGAAGAAGACUAAAGUGAAGAUUGAGCAAGAAGGAUGAAAAUGCAAUGGGUGAAGUUAGGUGGGUUGAACAUACUAAAGUUAAUUAAAUAAUUUUCCUUCACAUUUAAUGAUAGUCAUAACUUAUCCCACAUAAAUUUUAGUUGUAUUUAAUAUUUAUAAUUUACUUCGUUUUUAUUUAAGGAAAAGGUUAGUAUGGUCUUUGUACAUUUAUGGUCAUAUUUGGCUAAAAAAUUAUGGCCAUUUAGCAGCUCCCUUAUUUAUAUAUGCAUAACUCAAAUCAGCUACUUCCUUCGUUCCUAAAUACUUAUCAUAUUUUUUGUUGGCACAGUUUUUAAGAAAAACAUUAACUAGCAAGAGGUUACAACAAGAACAACAACCCAGUAAAACUAGCAAGAGGUUAAUUUGACUAAAUUAUCCUUAUUUAUUACUCAUUUUUAUGUAAUAUUUGUCAUAUCCUAAAAUCAAGAUCGUGAUGGCACCUAUUCAACCCUCAGUGAUAGAUAAGCCAACAAUCCAAUCCCAAACACAUAUCUCAAAUGUAUAGAAGUGGAAGAAAAUAAGAACAUAAUAAAAUUCAAAUAAUCUCCAAAGUAGAUUAAUAAACUAGUGUUGACACCUAAUUUUUGCCUUCUGCAAUCCAAUUUAACUUCGAGUUUCUUCAAUUUUAAAAUAAAAUCACAAUAAUUAUUUUGCUCAAAUAAAUGCUGGUUAAAGUAUUUAUUCAAGGCAAUUUUAUCAUUUAAUUACGAUUAUAUAUUUUUUUAUAUUUUUUAUAUAUGAGAGUGUAUAAAUUUUGUUAUUUAAAUGAACAUUUUAUCAAAAUAAGAUUUUUUAUAGAUUAAACUUGAAAAUUAAUUCAAACGGAUAAAAUCUUGGUUUUAAAUAUAAUUUGCUCUCAAAAUAUUUUAUUUGGAGGAAUAUUUUUUGGAUUUUUUAUCAAAUUAAGAAACUCGAGGUUAAUUUGUUACUUGAUUCGUGCCAGAUUGCGAUUCAAUUAGCGAACGAAUUAAAUGUGACCUCAAUUGAAAUCAAAUUGGCCCCAAUUGUAAUGCAAUUGACCAAUAGAUAUUCAAUUUGUUUAUAAUUUAAAUAGGUCAUUUAAAUUGUAAUCAAAUCUUAAUCCCCAAAGUUACCAUUUCUUAAUUGAGAUUUUUUUAAUCCGAUUAAAUUUAAUUAGAGUUAUUUUUAAUCCAAUUAAAUUUAAUUAUGAAUAUGCUAAUCUAAUUAAAUUUAAUUAGGGUUAUUUAAUAACCCAAUUAAAUUUAAUUGGGGUUAUUAAAUAACCCCAAUUUCAAUCCUUUUCUUAUCUUUAAUCACGAAAACCCAACAAUAAUCAACCCAGCAGCCCAUUUAAUUUCAGCUUUUCUAGCCCACUACCCCUUUGCCUGACCCGGGCGCAAUUUAUCUUCUCUUCUAAAUCGGCAAGAACAAUCCUCCACCAAGUACAACUUCGGCCAAAUCGCAACAACCUCCUCCAUCGAUAAUCAGCUCCAAAUGACCCUAACCCGUAUUCCUCAAAAUCCUACGAGGCAUCUUCUCAACGCAGACCCGAGUUCCAACCUGCCUAUUUCUUUCGCGUCACAUGGCUCUCACGCGAGGAGGUAUGAAGAAAACUCGAGAACCCUCUAGAAACAUGCUUAGGUGUCCCCUUCUAACGGAUACCUCCAUGAAUCACGGAUUACUUAUACAAAUUCGUACAUAUUUGGCAAUUUUUCAUUGGGUCUGGGGGGGAAUUCAUUUAUCUCCAAUUCUAUUGGUCCACCAAAUCCAAAAAUUAGUAUGAAUUGAGACGAAAAUGGGCUGCGGAGGGAGAUUUUUGGAUUUAAAAUUCAAAAUAUCUUUUUUCAAAGCCGAAAAAGGACCCCUAAUUUGUCUUCUAUAUAUAGACCCCUUGGGUCACUAUUUUGGGGGAUUUUUUUGGGGAUUCUUGGCUCUAGGGUUCUAAGUUUGGAGCUGGAAAUUUUGAAGAAGUUUUUUUUGUGGGUUCGAAUGAUUCAAAAAUUGGGAGAUGGGGGAUUCAGAAAAAACUAAGGGAGAGAAAACUUUCUUUGAGGAAAAACUCAGUAAAAACUUUAAUUUUAUAGUAGGUUUUUGAAAUCGUCGAUUGAUCGGAACUCUAGAGAGGUCAAUUUUCAAUGGUGUUGGAAUCCGAUAUUAGCUCGAAAGUCUCGUUUUGCUGCCACGAAAUAGGUGACGCUCCGUUCCUUUUAUCUUUCGAAUGUUUUCUACUUCAUCUCCACUUCUGUAGCCGUAUGAAUGCUUUGUUACGAGUAUUGUGUGCUGGGAUUGUGUGCUGUAGAGGUUUUGUAAGACCAUAGGAUACGUUGGAUUAUUUAGUCUUUAAAACUUUCAAUUUCAAUCUCACUUGCUUGCCUCGAUUUUAUAACCAGUUAUCUGAUUUUGACAUCACUAAUUAUCUUCCAAUUUGCUACUUUGUAUUGUAUAUAGCUUCUAAGUUUGACUUACUGAGUUCGAUAGAGAUUCCUAUUUCAAUUUUUCGCUUUACCGGCUUGCUGAAUGUUUGUUUUGUUCGAAUAGCCACCCUUCUGUAUAGCUGGUGAUAUCACUAGCAAGACCACUUCUGCCAGUUUCUUUGGAUUCUCAAAUGUCAAAGAGAAUGACCAAAAUGUGUCCAACAAUGAAAGGUCUCUAAGAGAUCCAAUAAUCUCCUCGACGGCCAUUUCGUUUGAGUCUAUCGAAAUAAGGAGGAGAACAAAAGAUACCGUAUCUCAUUAGCUCCUUUCUUUAGUUUAUUAAUUGUGUUUCCUUUUUUUAGUAAAAUUUUGAAGAUUGAUUCCUUGCUUUGGAUUCAUUUCAAGCCAAUAGUCUUGUUUGUUUGAAGUCCAUGAAAGAAUAAAAUGGCUUUGUUGAAGAAUAUUAUACAUGAGAAUUGAUUUGGUCUUGUCGAUGUCCAAAAUCAUUGGUAUAUGUGUAUUCUCCCUCAAGGAUGGCUCGAUAUUUCUUUUAGUUAUUAAUUUCAAGGUCUAAAACUCUUGAGGUUUUGUAAGACCAUUGUUGGAGAAUAUCCAUAUUCGACUCUCAAGCCUGCUGUUUUGAAUAACGGAAAUUCGAGAGACUGCUUUGCACUGUCGCGACUUAUGUAGUUUGAGGUUUAUUUGGAGUAAGAGAGGAACUUCUGGGGGUUUUGUUUUUCUUGAAUUUUCUAUUAUCUAUUUUAAGGCAUUUGCUUGUAUAAUUUAACGCGACUCACGAGGUCUUUUUAAUUCGAUGAUAUUAAAAGAGACCUAGGAGUUUGCCAUAGAUCUGUGAUAAUAAUCCAGGGAAUCUCUAAAUAACCUUGGUUUACAUUCUUGCACUAUUUGGCAAGGAGAGGAGAACCUGUUCAAGGUUGUUAGCCUAAUUGAAUGAUAUUUGGAUUAGUGCAUAGAUUGUUUCCGCCACUUGGCUAGGUUUAAAGGACUUAUUCAACUGACCAUGGUUUUCAGAUUGCGUUUCCCCCCCCCCCCUUCUUUGGCUCUAUUUGUUUUCCUUUAGAGUGUGUCAUUAUUUCUGCCUCCAUGUUUCAUUCUCGCUUUUCCUUGCUUUCUUUUCUGGUUGGGGUUUUCUGCAAUAUGUGUGGAAGUAGGCUUCGGGUAGGGUAAAGUUUCUGCAUGGCUUAAUGAUUCUAUGUGAACAUAAAAGCUAGAUACGACUAAUAGAAUUAUCGCUUGCGUUUGAAUUAAUCUGAAUAAUUAUACAUUACUUGACUGAACAAUUAUGAUGGGUAUAGUAUGCUAUAACUUAGAGUUGAGUAGUUUAUGCUUCAUGUACAAUCCCAGAUUUUAAGAUUAACCUGUAUUCCAUCUGUCUAUUCGUAACUUCGAUGAUCGUUGAUGAUAUCUCUAAAAAAGGAUAGAUAGAACACUCUUAAAAUUUAAACCCCGAAACCUUUUCCCAGUGUUUUUUCCUGAAUGUGAUAAUGGGUGUUAAAUCCUCUUAUGUAUUCUGUGGGACCACCUUGAGCAUGAAGUAUAAUCUUUUUGAUUGCUAUUUAUGGUUUUUUAUGGUGAAUGAUCAGUUACACUAAGUUUAAAGAUCCAAUGUAGCGCCUUAACCCUUUUCUCUUUAUUUCGAUACAUGUUAAUUCAUUGGAGUCCAAAUAGAAUCUUUGCAUUCCCUAAUGGGCCAAUAAGGCCCAUCCAUUGAAUCGAGCUCGGAAGAGAGUAUAAUGUAGCAUAGCAUACGAAUGAGAGUCGUUGAAGGAAGAAUAAAGUAGAUCAGAGUUUCAUCUUUGAAGCAGCUAUGAGAUUCGAAAGUCUCAUUUAUUAUUUUGUCCAUUUACUUAUUGCCAUCUUUAUUUAUUUAUUUAUUUUCUUAUUUACGCAUUUGGGCCUCAAGCCAAAGUUGUACUUAAUACAGGUGAAGCGGGACUCGAGCUAAAGGCUCAAAAACAUAGAAUUAGGACAGGUGAAAAUGGGUCGACAACCCAACUAGAUUAGGACAGGGUCGACGGUUUGGGCUUAAAAGUCUAAAUCACUACUUCCCCGUUUUUCCCCUUUUCCUUUCAUUUACUUGUUUGCUUGUCUCUUUGUGAACCUAGUUAAAUCCCUAACUAAGUCGCUAAAAAACUGAUUUCGCGAAAACCUUUUCCUUAACCAAUUACUUUUUCAACAAACCGAUCUUCCAAAGUUAGUCAAAAGACGUUUUCAAACAGUCUAGAUAACCGCAAGUUAGCGGACGUUUUAGGUGCCUAACACCUUCCUAAAACGUUAAUAGGAACCACUUAAUCGGAAUCUUCAAAACUUAAAAUGAUUUUUCUAUUUUGAAUCGUUUGAAUUAACUCUCUAAAGGUUUCUUAAUUCCUUUUCAAAAUUAAGUGGCGACUCUCAAAAAGUCAAAAUUUCUACAAAACAGAAAUGGCGACUCUGGUGGGGAAUUUUUGAACUAGGUUCUAACCAAAUGUUUGAUUUCGUCUUUUGAUUAACUAUUUAUGUGUUUAUAUGUUUCGAUUCUAUAAAUAUUAAACUAUCGCAUCUCAUGGCAUAUUCCUGCAUUAUUUAAACUGUUUCGAGGUUUCGUGGAUGUCUCAUCCCCUGUUGUUCAAUUUCAAAAUGUGUUGGAAAUACGAACGACUUAUUAGCACAUGAGUCGUCUGACGCUGUUCAUAUUUUCAAACUCAAGUUGUCCGCUUGAGAACCAGUGUUCAAACCCACUCUAGACACCGAGGAUAGAACAAAACCAAAACCCUAUUUUAGGCAUGAGCCUAGGAUGACCCAAUACCCGAGCGGGGUAUUGGGCCCAUUAGAAAACCUGCCCUGCGUCUAUUGACCCUGAGUCAAUUACAGACGAAUCAUAUUUAUGUGUUGAAAAAAUACAUGCUUGUCUAAUUCAAUCUACUAUCCUUUGGGGUCGGGGGAAGGCUUAUCUUUGUCUGCUUUCAUAUAAGAUAUGGCUCAACUACAUUCCUAUGAAAAGUUCAAGAUGGUUACUAAACCUGAUAAUUUCUUGAAACUAUGGUGGGACAACAUGAGCGCAGAAGAGAAAAAGAUUGUAAGAACACACAUUAGGCAUCUUCCUUCUUUGAUCGAGAUAGACGCUUGGCCCGAAAUGAUCCAUGUAGUAACAACUUUUUGGGAUGAUCAGAAUAUGGUAUUUCGCUUUGGGGAUGUUGAAUUGACUCCUAUCAUUGAAGAGUUAUUGAUUUGUUACGAGAGUAUGGAAAUAUGUUUUAAGAGAAGGGAGAUGCCUGAUAAGAACAUUUUACUCCCGGUUAUGUGGGAUCGUCAAAAGAUCGAGGUAUUUUUAACUGACGACGACACCUGGCUAGGAGAACGUGAUGGAGCAAAUAUCACUUUUUGUGAGUUGUAUCGUUGGUUCGGAAGAUUCAAUGCUUUUCACAAAUUUGGGCAUAAAUAUGAGUCAAAAGCAAAAUGGAAGGAGACGAGAGCCUUUGCGUUUGCGGUAGGCCUACUUGGAACCAUGACGUUCCCACAAAGGGAUAAUGGCACAAUUCAUCCGAGGGUUGUCUCAGUGACCCAUGAACUCUUCUUUGGAAUGGAGUACAAUUCUAAAAAGGUAUUCCACAACUUAGCUCCCAUGAUUUUUGCCGACAUAUAUCAAGCUUUGGGAAGCGGUCAAAUCGAGAAUCAUUUCUUUCAAGGCUGUAACCUUAUAUUACAAUGGAGGAUGAUGAUGCAUUUGGUGAAAAAUCGUAGAAUGGCACGACCCGACCACAAAACAAGGUGGAAUCUGCUAGAAUCGCAUAUCAUGUGGUUGUUUUUACACAAAUUCAAAAGGGAAGCAUCUCAUGAAUUUUGGUUUAAGACUCUUGGAGAAUUAAGAGAUGAUGAUGUCCAAUGGUCCAUUAACUAUCUUCGUUCAGGGAAAUACAUUAUUCGAGGAGGCGAGUGGCCUUUUUUAGUGAUUUUGGGUCUCAGGGGAACCCAUCCCUACAAUCCUGGCAGAGUUCUUAGGCAAUUCGAGAUCAAGCAGGAGACGCCUCAAAUCGAUUCUAUGCUCAGAUUCUUCACCGAAUAUGAUGAAAGCGAGCCCCCGCUCAAAGACUACAUGAUAAAUGAAUGGAGAAGGAGAUGGUGGACAGAAGUCUCUUUCCGUAUAGGGUAUGAACCUGAAGUCAGCGAUACUUACAAGGAGUGGUUAAAAAAGAGCCUUCCUGGAGCAUUGAUUCCGGGGCCGAACGUGCCCACUCGGGUAGUGGAUGUAGAAUCCGAGCAUCAAAUCCGACUCCACAGGCUUCAGGAUAAGUUUCAGAAAAAUGAAAUCGCGUACCGACAGAUGUAUGUAGAAGAUGCUUUAACAAUACAUAUGUUGAGAGAAGAGUUAAAAAGAGCUAGGCAAAAGGCUGAUGAUGCUAGGCAGUGUUUAAUCAAUUUGGAUGAUAGCAUGGCCUCUUAACUCGAUAGUAUAGGAAAAAUGACUUACGACAGCAAGGCACAGUUAUGCGGGAGUCAUCUGAUCAUCAAUACGUAUCAAAUAUCACAGGAGGUGAACAAGGAAAAGAAGGAAAAGGCAGACGAAGGAGCCUCCGGUAGCUAGUUUUUCUAUUUCCCCUGCGCGGGAACUUAUUUUCUUUCAUAUUAUUUCCCUGUUUCCCUGAAGAUUGUAUCUCCCUUUUGUUAUCUUUUGUAGGCAUUUAUGCCGUUUUUCGUGUCUACAUAAGUUGGGGGAUAAUGGAUUGACUUUAAGAAAACAUAUAUUUUCUUCAAAAUCGUUAGGCCUGAACCCUUAGCUCAAGUAGGGCCACCCCAGUUAGGAUACGCAUUAUUAUAAUGUUGUGUAAUAUAAUUAUCUUAUGCGCUUAUGUGUGUUUCUUUGGAUCAAAGGCAAGUUUAUCCGCUAUACUCCUAUGGGUAAAUUUGGCUAUGACUCAAACAACUCUACGUGGUUAUUUUUUGUCAAAUAUUUUGCAUUACUCAUCACAUACGGAAACUAACACAUCUGCCUUUAAGUUGUUUUACUUUACAGAUAAUAGAAACUACUCCGUGUUGAUAUAAGAUGGCAGGACAUCCCUACUUCACCCAGUCAAAAGCGCACAAAAUCCCAUCCCCUGACCAUCUUUCAAUAAUGACCGAAAAUAAUGAAGAAAAUGCAUUGACCAUCAGGGAAAAUCUAAUCGCGAAAUAGAGUGAGAUGAUUGCGGAAUUUGCAAGAAAGCUUGAAAUGCUUCAGGAGGAAAUAAAUCGUACUCGAGAUUUGGCUCACCUGGCCAUCAAUGUUAAUGCUCCCGCUCUAGGAGGACACGGGACUCCACUCCAAAUCCCUUCCCUCAGUACGCCUAUUCUCGGGGAUCAUCCAAAUAACAUAUUGUCUGUCUUUGCCCUUCCACUUUUCCAAAAUACCAAUCUUGAAAAUAACCUAGAUGCCUACCAUCCACAAAAUCCAUCUCUAACACCACAAAACCCAUCUUCGAAUCCAUUCCCAAAUCCCCAGAACCCAUUUGCAAAUCAAAAAAAUUCAUGUCCAAAUCCACAAGAUUCACUACCAAAUCCACAAAAUCCAUCCCCGAAUCUUCUAUUGAAUCUAUCCCAGAAUCUACAAAAUUCGUUUCCAAAUUCGUAAAAUCCUUCUCAGAUGCCACCAAACUACUCGCAAAUUCCACAAAACCUUUUUAUAUUUCAAAACGUCCUCCCCACCUAUCAACCAACUUUCUUUCAUCCAAAAAAUCAAGAAUCCCUUCCAAAUCCCCCUCAUGCCAUCAUAUCCCCCGACAUCUAUAAUCCCCUUCCUAAUCUUGAGAUGGACCAUUAUGAAGAGAAGGAGAAAGAGUGGAGGACCGAGCAUGAAAUGAAGUUGCUAGCUAUGAAUGAAGAAAUCAUGAGGAUUAAAGAAUCUCAUGGAGCGAGGGACCACGAUUGUUUAGGGUACGAUGACUUAUGCGUUCACCGUGGUGUAGAUCUACCAGAAGGGUACAAGGUCCCCAAGUUUGAAAUGUUUGAGGGUGCCAGAAAUCCAAUGACCCAUCUGAGGAGGUACUGCGAGCAACUGGUGGGGAUCGGGAAAAAUGAGGCGUUACUGAUGCGCCUAUUCAGAUAAAGUUUAAGCGGUGAAGCCUUAGAGUGGUUCAUGUCUCAGCAGCCGAAAAUAUGGACUGGUUGGAAAGCAUUGGCCGAGGGUUUCCUCGACAGGUUCGCAUUCAACAUUGAAAUAGUCCCGGACCAGUAUUCACUAGAUCGAAUCAAAUAGAAGACUGAUGCGAGUUUUCGAGACUAUGCUUUUCAUUAGAGGAAGGAAGCUGCCAAAGUACAACUCCCCAUGUCCGAGGAAGAAAUGGUAUCUGUAUUCUCUCGCGCUCAAGAAGGAGAAUAUUAUACCAGGAUGGUGUCUGCUAUCAGGGUGACUUUUGUAGAUUUGGUAAAAAUAAGCGAAUCAUUGGAAGAAGGUAUUCAGACAAGAAAAAUUACCAAAACCCCGACAUCGUCCGGGACUGCCAUGUUCUCGAAGAAGAAAAAGGAAGAUGUAGGCACAACUUCUGCUAGUUCUGUUGCCAAAAAAAAAAAGAGGUUCAACUCUUGGAAUGCUUUCUCUUCUCCGUCAUGACCAGACCUUUAGCAUGUGUUCUACGCCCACCCCCAAUACCAAGCUCUACUUUCAAAUGUCCAACCUCAGUACCAAACUCCACUCCCAAAUAUCCAAUCUCAGUACCAAACUCCACUCCCAAAUAUACAAUCCUAAUACCAAGCUCCACAGCCAAAUAUCUUUCCCCAAUACCAAGUUCCACCUCCAAAUUAUCAGUCUCAUGUCCAAUCCACUCUUUUAAAUAACCAAACAAAUAUCCAAGCACCUCUAAAUUAUCAUCAAGUACCUCCUCCUGCAAACCAAAGCCACUAUAACCCCCCACGUCCAAACUACGAAAAAAAACCUCUCGGAAACUUCACACCACUAGCUGAAAGUCGCACUCAAUUGUUUGAAAGACUGAAGAAUGUCAGUCGUUUGCAACUGAUACAGUCAAAGUAUGUCAAUCCCAACUCCCGAUUUUAUCAUCCUGAUCAAAAUUAUGCCUAUCAUUCAGGAGUAGCAGUGCACAGUAUCGAGGAGUGUAUUACCUUGAAACAUAAGAUCCAAGAUCUGAUUGAUCAAAAGGUCAUCACGCUUCAGUCACCAAUGCCAAAUGUCAACAGUAACCCAUUGCCUAACAUGGGGGACCUACAGUUAACAUGAUUGAGAUAAAAGAAGAAUGGACGUCUUGCAAGACUAUUACUAAGGUGAAUUCAGAAAAGUGCAAAAGGGUGGAAGAGGUAGAAAAGAUAGAGAGAGCUGUGGCUGCCUUAAGUGUCAAUGAGAAAGCCCCAUUUAUAGUGAUGACGACCCCGAUCCAAGUGUACACUCCCCCGCCAAGGAAGGAAUUUAUUAUACAGACUGCUACUGCCCAAAGGAUGACACGAUCGGGACGAUGAUACAUUCCUGAAGAAUUGAUCAACAAAAAAGAUUCACAGAAAAGAAGGGGAGGCUGAGGAAUUUUGGAGGCGUAUGCAACCAAAAGACAAUUCAAUUGUCAAACAUUUAGAGAAGACUCCAGCCUAAAUUUCCAUUUUGGCAUUAUUAAUGAAUUCGCAAUACCACCGACAAGAUCUAUCAAAGGUCUUGGAUGAAGCGUAUGUUCCCGCAGGAAUGAGUGUUAAGAACUUGGCUGCAAUGAUAGAAAAUAUUGUGGGGAAUCAUCGCAUAUCAUUCAGUGAUGAAGAGUUGUCGUUUGAGGGAGCGAUGCACAACAAAGCCUUGUAUGUCACUGUCAUUUGCCAAGACUAUACGAUUAAUCAGGUAUUGAUAGAUGACGGAUCUGGUAUGAACAUUUAUACUCUCUCCAUGUUGGUUAAAAUGGGCAAUGAUUUGGGAAAAAAUCAUCAAAGCCACGUAAAUGUGAGAGCAUUUGAUGGAGGGCAGAGAGAUACCAUAGGAGAAAUUGAUUUGUACAUCCAAAUGGGACAUGCUGAGUUCAAAAUUAAGUUUCAUGUUAUGGAUAUUUAUCCUAGCUACAACCUGCUGUUGGGAAGACCAUGGAUACAUGGUGCAAAGGCCAUUUCAUUACCCCUUCAUCAACUAUUGAAUUUCAUUUAGGAGGAUCAUAAAGUAGUCAUCCAAGGGGAAAGAAGCCGAGCGGAUCAUCCCAAUGAUUAUGUGUCGGUGAUUGGAGAUAUUCCAUAGGGUAGUAGUUUCUAUACGAUGGAAAUUGUAAAUACUGUGGAGAAGAAUCUAAUGCUCAAAGCGCCAAUGCCUUCUCUCUACAAAAUGAUUGCGACGGUGAUGAUAAAAAAUGGAUUCGAGCCUGGUCGGAGUUUGGGUAAGAGUCUACAAGGAAUUAUUGAGCCUAUUAUGAUCCCAGAGAAGGCCUCUAAGUAUGGGUUAGGAUAUCGGCCUACAAAGGAGGAUGAGAUUGAGAAUGAGUCAGAGGCGAGUCUGUUUAGGCCCUUACCGCUCCUGUACCAGUCAUUUCCCGUACGUGAGAUGUCAAAUGAUGAUGGUCUUGGGGAUGGGAUAGGAAAUCUGUUCGAGGAAUGCAGUGCUAUACCAAAAGAUUUCCUAAUGUCCAGUGGGGUGAAUAAGAUUGCACCAGGGGAGUCCUUGCAAAACUGGACCUCCACUCCAUUCAUAACUCGUCACCCAUCGUGGUAGAUGAAAGGGCAAUUACUAAUAGUUUUUUAAAAUCAGUGAUGAUCUGGAUGAGGCCCUGCAAUCCAUCCUUUACAUCUCAAAUUUCCUUUUUGUAUUUUACUGCUUUCAAAAGGCAUGAGCUUGUGUUUGCACGAGUCAUGAGCCAUAUUUUAUAAUUAUCUCUCAAAUUUUAAUAAAAAGGCCUUCCCUUAUUUUGAAUAAAAUAAAAUAAAUAAAUAAUAAUAAAAAAUUAUUUUUCUAAACACCACUAUUUGUACAUUUUAUUUUUAUCUUGUUAUCAUCUAACUUGAUUUGUUUGUUUAUUACAAUAACCGUAACUUAAAACCUGCCAACGUCAUGUCAUGUCAAAUCUUAGACGAACAAAAUAAGGGGAAGGAUAAUGAUUGGAAGGGAGGCGAUGAGAAAUGAUUAGUUGAAGAUGAGGAAGAGUUUGAGAACCGGGAGAAGCCCAACCUAGAGGAAAUUGAAACAGUCAACCUCGAAGAUCCUGAUAAAAUCAAAGAAACAAAUGUCAGUGUCCACCUUAUGGAAGCAUAAAAGAGAGAGAUCAUUCACCUAUUGUGGGAAAAUAUUGACGUGUUUGCUUGGUCCUAUGAUGAUAUGCCGGGAUUGAGCACCAGUAUUGUAUCACAUAAGUUACCGAUAAAUCCAGAGUUUGAUCCAGUCAAGUAAAAAAUACGGAAAUUCAAGCCAGAUUUAAGUCUAAAGAUCAAGGAAGAAGUGACAAAAGAAAUCCAGUCUAAGGUUGUAGAGGUCACAAAAUAUCCGACGUGGCUAGCUAACAUCGUCCCAGUGCCGAAGAAAGAUGGCAAGAUUCGAAUUUGUGUUGACUAUAGAGACUUGAAUAGAGCCAGUCCUAAAGAUAAUUUUCCGUUGCCCAACAUCCACAUCCUCAUCGAUAACUGCGCAAAGCAUGAAAUGUAGUCAUUCAUUGAUUGUUUCAUCGGGUAUCAUCUGAUAUUGAUGGAUGAUGAAGAUGUAGAAAAGACGGUUUUUAUUACGCCCUGGGGUGUUUAUCAUUACAGGGUAAUUUCGUUUGGUCUAAUAAAUGCGGGUGCAACAUUUAUGAGGGCUAUGAAGACAAUUUUCCAAGAUAUGAUCCAUAAAGAGAUUGAGGUGUACGUGGAUGAUAUAAUUAUCAAAUCCCGUGAGAGUUCGGAUCAUCUGACUCAUCUGGAGAAAUUCUUCAAUAGAUUAAGAAAGUACAGUUUGAAGUUAAAUCCUGCUAAGUGUGCUUUUGGUGUGCUAUCAGGGAAGUUGUUAGGGUUUAUAGUCAACAGAAGAGGCAUUGAGCUAUACCCAUCAAAAAUUAAGACAAUUCAGGACUUACCAUUGCAGAGGACCAAGAAGGAAGUUAUGAGUUUCAUGGGUCGUUUGAAUUACAUUAGCAGGUUCAUCGCUCAGUCAACGGUCAUAUGCGAGCCAAUUCUCAAGAUGUUGAAGAAAAAUGCAUUGAAUGAGUGGACAGAAGAAUGACAGAGGACUUUUGACCGUAUCAAAGAAUAUUUGUCUGCACCGCCGGUUUUGGUUCCGCCAAGAGAAGGAAUUCUGUUAUUGCUUUACCUGUCAGUCUCAGAAAAUGCAUUUGGAUGUGCCCUCAGGAAACAUGAUGAGACCGGUAGGAAAGAGAAAGCCAUUUACUACUUGAGUAAAAAGUUUACACCAUAUGAAGCCCGUUACACUCUUGUAGAAAGGACAUGUUAUGCUUUGACUUGGGCCGCACAAAAGUUGAGGCAUUAUCUAUCUUCGUACACGAAAUACCUCAUCUCGAGAAUGGAUCCAUUGAAGUAUAUAUUCCUGAAGGCCAUGCCCACAGGAAAGCUAGACAAGUGGCAAAUGUUGCUGAGCAAGUUUGACAUCCUGUAUGUAACUCAAAAAGUAAUCAAGGGGCAAGCUUUGGCAGAUCAUUUGGCAGAGAAUCCAGUUGAUGAUGAAUAUGAACCACUUCGAACUUACUUCCCAGAUGAGGAAAUUCUAUUCGUGAGAGAAGACAUUACAGAAAUUUACCCUGGAUGGAGGUUAUUAUUUGAUGGAGCGGUCAACUUCAAAGGUUCAGGAAUCAGAGCAGUGUUGGUCUCAGAAAUGAGUCAACAUUAUCCAAUAACUGCUAAGUCAUGUUUCCCAUACACCAAUAACAUGGAAGAAUAUGAAGCUUGCAUCCUGGGUCUAAAAUUGGCACUUGAUAUGGGUGUUCGUAAAUUGCUAGUCGUCGGGGAUUCAAAUUUGCUGAUUCACCAAGAACGGGGAGAAUGGGCAGUAAAAAAUUCCAAGAUUACUCCUUAUGUUGAGCUGGUACAGGAAUUAUGUGGAAAAUUCAAAGAAGUUGAUUUCAGACAUAUCCUAAGGAUACAAAAUAAGUUUGUUGAUGCUUUGGAUACUAUAUCCUCCAUGAUUCGGCACUCAGAUCAGAGUUACAUUGAUCCUUUAGAAAUAAGCUUGAAGGAGCAACCUGCGCAUUGUGCACGUGUUGAAGAAGAGCCCGAUUGAAAGCAAUGGUACUAUGACAUUAAAAGGUAUUUAGAAUCUGGAAUAUAUCCUGAAGAGGCCAGCAACAACCAAAAGAAAACAAUCCGGCGUUUGGCAAAAAACUACUUUCCAAGUGGGGAAUUUCUUUUUAGGAGGAUGCCUGAUUUAGGAUUUUUAAGAUGCGUCGAUGCUGCGAAAACCAAUAAAUUGAUAAAAAAAAGUACACGCAGGAGUUUGCGGACCCCACAUAAAUGGGUUUGUCCUUACCAAAAAGAUCCUGAGAACCGGCUACUUCUGGAUGACUAUGGAGAAUGAUUGUAGUAAGUAUGUGCAGAGAUGUCCAAAAUGUCAGACACACGGAGAUUUGAUUCGAAUGCCUCCACACGAGCUUCAUGCAAUGAAUUCACCUUGGCCUUUCGUAGCUUGGGGCAUGGAUGUUAUCGGACCGAUAGAGCCAUCAUCAUCGAAUGGGCAUAGAUUUAUUUUGGUUGCCGUUGACUACUUCACUAAGUGGGUCGAAGCUACGUCAUACAGAGCUGUCACUAAGAAAGUGGUUGCAGAUUUCAUCAGGAAUAACUUGAUUUGGUGAUUUGGAGUGCUGGAAUCAAUCAUUACUGAUAAUGGGGUAAACUUGAACAGUCACUUGAUGAAAGAAAUUUGUGAUCAGUUCAAAAUCGUGCAUCGUAACUCAACUGUAUAUCGUCCACAGAUGAAUAGAGCCAUAGAAGCUGCCAAUAAGAACAUCAAGAAGAUCUUGAGAAAGAUAGUCAAAAAUGAUAGUUCAUGGCAUGAGAUGUUACCUUAUGCUUUACUAGGAUAUCGCACAACAGUUUGAACCUUCAUCGGGGCAACUCCUUAUUUUCUGGUUUAUGGGAAUGAAGCUGUGGUACCUGCUGAGGUUGAAAUACCUUACCUGAGGAUUAUUCAAUAAGUCGAACUAAGUAACGAAGAGUGGGUUCACGUUCGUUGUGAACAACUCAUAUUGAUUGAUGAAAAGAGAAUGGUUGCCAUGUGUCAUGGUCAGUUAUAUCAGCACAGGAUGAUUCGUUCUUUCAACAAAAAAGUGAGGGCUCGAACAUUUGAAGUUGGGCAAUUAGUUCUCAAACGCAUACUCCCUCACCAAGAAGAGUACAAGGGCAAGUUUGCUCCAAAUUGGCAAGGUCCAUACAUAGUUCGUAAGGUACUAUCUGGAGGUGCUCUAAUUUUGUCUGAGAUAGAUGGCCAUGAGUAGACCAAACCAAUCAAUUCUGAUGCGGUGAAAAGAUACUAUGUUUGAAGGGCAUUCUAGUUUUGUGGUUCUUAGUUUAUCUGUAAUCUCCGUGUAAUUAUGUGUUUUAUGAUAUGUAAUUACCUAGAACACCUUUCCCUUUAUGUACGAACAACGUUUGACCUGAAUUCCCAAAAAAGGGAUACAUAGGCGGCCUAUAUCGGCUUCGGUCAACCCCUUAGAAAAUUUAUCCUUUCCCUUUAUGUAUGAACUACGUGAUGACCUGAAUUCCCAAGAAAGGGAUACGUAGGCGGCCUAUGUCAGCUUUGGUCAACCCAUUAAUUUCUUUUGUAUAUCCCUAGCAUAGUCCUGAACUACGUUUGACCUGAUUUCUGCUUCAACGAGAUACGUAGGCGCCCCAACGGCUAGGUCAUAUAACCCCAGGAAAUGAAAACUGGGGUAGAAUUUUUGAGAAGGAAUCUCAAAAAUUAAUAAGAGAAGAUCAACAUCUAACAAAGAGAAUGAAGAUCAGCAAAGACUUCAGAUCUACUCAAGAUGAUAUCAUCUCAGACUACUUUAAACUGGGGCAGAAAUUUUGAAGGAGGCCUCAAAAUUUCAAUCAAAUACUGGAAUAUAUUUCAGAUUCCCUAGCACUAGAGGUCGAAUUUGAGAUUUAAGAAUAACCACCUGUGAUAAAGUCUAGGAAGACUGAAUCUCCAUCUUUGAUAAAACCUCUGGUAGAGAGCCUCGACAAUGCUGAAUCCCUAGCUAUCCUCCGUUAAACAUCAGACAUUAUCAGAAUCAAGAGAAAGAAGGUCGUUGAGCUAGCACAUGAAAUGACUAGCAGACAUUAAUUGGGAGGGAGAGUCAUGGGUAAAAGUACCAACAUGACGAAGUACCUGAAAGAUGGCAAGGGAAAAAUCAAGGAUCGAAGGAGGUCAACAUAGAGUAGUUUCAUUCAAACUAAUCAUUUUUUGUGGAUACAGGAAUUGAUACACAAAAAUGAGCGUUUCUCUCGAAAAAUCCCCAAGCAAUCCGGGAGCCAUGACAGAGCAUAUAAUGCUUAAUAACGGUACUUUUGAUAGCCCAAAAAUGGGCUCAACACCCAUUUAUCGAUGACCUUUCGAAUUGUCCAUCUCAUUUCUUAAGAUCUUAGAGGAAAAACAAAAGUGUCUUGUCUUCUUUGCAAAUAUUUUAUUCAGAAUUUUUCUAAAAAAUGGUCGCUAGAAAAAGUGACUUUGUGUCUAAUAAUCGUCUACCUUGAGUACAGGUACAUGUAGAAAUCAAGACAUUGACAAACGAAUUCAGGUGAAACUAUUUUUAAACAACCGGAAGGACCAUUGCAUAUCAUUGCCGAGAGGGUCAUUGUAUAUCAAUGCCUAGAGGGCCAUUGCAUGUCAUUACCAAGAGGGCCAUUGCAUAUCAUUGCCGAGAGGGCCAUUGCAUAUCAUUGCCAAGAGGGCCAUUGCAUAUCAUUGCCAAGAGGGCCAUUGCAUAUCAUCAUCAUUUAAUAUCUGUUGACGCGCUAGACAGAAACACUGGCGUCGAGGGUAUCAUCAUCAUUCAAUAUCUGUUGACAUGUUAGACAGAAACAUUGGCUUUGAGGAUAUCAUCAUCAUUCAAUAUCUGUUGACGCACUAGACACAACACUGGCAUCACGGAUAUCAUCAGCAUUCAAUAUAUCUGUUGACAUGCAAGACACAACGCCGGCAUUGAGGAUAUCAUCAUCAUUCAAUAUCUGUUGAUGCGCUAGACAUAAUGCUGGUGUCGAGGAUAUCAUCAACAUUCAAUAUAUUUGUUGACACGCAAGACACAACGUUCGCGUCGAGGAUAUCAUCAUCAUCAUCAUUUUAUAUCUGUUGACACACAAGACAUAAAUGCUAGCGCCAAGGAUAUCUCAUUAUUUUAUGAAUCAGUAUUUGAAUACAUCGAGAGCACACGAUUUGAAGGAACGCCUUUAAAUCGCUAUCUAAGGAUGAAUGAUAUAUAAGAUUUCCUAGAAAUUGACAAUUUGAGGGUCAUCUAUAAGUCAUAUUAUUUUAAAUAGGAUAGUGUCCAAGAUCAACUAUGAGUUCAUAGCCUAUAGGUCAUCCGUAAGCCACAACAACAUCCUAACCGGAUAGUGUGCAAGAUCGCCCAAAAAUUGAUAGUUCAAAGGUUAUCCAUAAGUUGCAACUAAAUCCCUACCGGAGAAUAUGCAAGAUUAUCAAAUUGAUACGUCCAAGGGUUCUCUAUAAGCCGCGUCAUAUCAAAGAUCGAUUAUGUGCAGGAUUACCCAAAGACUAACAAUUUGAGAGAUUAUCUAUAAAUCAUAUUGUAUCUAAGGUCGGAUGAUGUGCAGGAACCCCUGAAAGCUAGCGAUUGGAGGGAUAUCUGUAAGCCAUCUCUUAUCCAAAGUCGGAUAAUGUGCAGGAUUACCUAAAAGCUAGAAAUUCAAAGGAUAUCUGUAAGUCUCCUCGUAUCCAAUAUCAAAUAAUGUGCAAGAUUAUCCAAAGAUUGAUAAUUUAAAGGAAAUUUAUAAAUCGAUCAUCGUCAAUAACCAAAAAAGUUAUCCUUCCACAUAUAACAAGAAUUAUAGGUGACCGAAGAAGUUACCACAUCUACACAAUAUUACACGGUUGCAAGGACCGUUCUUCAUAAAAUAUCAUCGAUGUCUGAAGGGCCACCCCGCUUUGAAGAUAUAUUGAACCGACAAAUAUCAUAAUUAUACAAUAACCAAGAAUGUUGUUGUGCCUAUUAUUGCAAGUUAUUUCCUUCCAAAUAGGUAUAAGAAAGGAUGACUUCUCUUUUUAGACAACAACUCAUGCGGAGAUAUGAUAAAAUACUAUUUACCUCUUUCGUGAGUUAUGCUUAUCACUAAUGAUUUUUGUUUGAGAUAUUGUCGAGAGCAUCCGAGAGGAUAAAAAUAUCAAACCAAAACCAUAGGUGCGGAUAACUCCAAAAAGGACGCAGCACAACGUGGAACUCUUUCUUUGCAGUAAAACGGGACAUAGUUUAGAGAAGGACGUCAAACUCUCUCGACGCAAGCUAAAGGAUGAUCACCACCACCAUCUAACCACACCCAUUUUAGAAGGCAUGUGGGUAUUUUGGGAUAUUCUGGUUUCAGCUUCACCUCCGGGAUAUUUUCUUCACUCAUACCGAGGGUAACCUUCUCUUUCUUUUAAAUUCGGGUGACAACAUACUUAGAGUUUUGGAAAUUAUUUCCAGGUAAGUUCUUAUCUAUGGGUGUGAAGGAUCCCACAUUCAUGAUUAAGAGGUUACAAGCCUCUUUUCCGCAACUCAGUCAACUUGUCACUCAUCCUGAUCCAAAGAUUGUCUGAAAAUAGAAGACUAUCUUUUCUACCGAUAAAGUCGAACUACAAGCAGUCUGAUUCCUUGAGUCUCAGGGAUAUGCAGGCUGGACUCUAUGUAGAAAACUCGACUGUAUUCCAACCUCCCUCCAAAUCCCUCUAUUCCCCAGCUUUUUGGUUUUAUCAAAAACUUUAAAACCGAGAUAGCUUGUGAAAUUUUCUUGAAAAUCGUGCUUGCAAUCAAGCUUUAUGAACUACAAGUGGCCUGAAUUCUCAUAUAACCUGAGAUAUGUAGGAAACCUGAAACCGAGGCCCUGGCAUAACUCCAUGAAACUCAUAUGAAAAUCAACCUCUUUCAGAAACGAAUUUAUGGUCGUAAGAAAUUAGGAACGUCAACCUCCCUUUGCUAAGGGUUACUUGCAUCCACUCUACCCAAAGGGAGGGGGCAGUUGUUGACACCUAAUUUUUGCCCUCUGCAAUCCAAUUUAACUUCGAGUUUCUUUAAUUUUAAAACAAAAUCACAAUAAUUAUUUUGCUCAAAUAAAUGCUGAUUGAAGUAUUUAUUCAAGGUAAUUUUAUCAUUUAAUUAACUAUUAUAUAUUUUUCGUAUUUUUUAUAUGAGUGUGUAUAAAUUUUGUUAUUUGAAUGAACAUUUUAUCAAAAUUAAAUUUUUUAUUGAUUAAACUUGAAAAUGAAUUCAAAUAGAUAAAAUCUUGGUUUUAAAUAUGAUUUACUCUCAAAAUAUUUUAUUUGGAGGAAUAUUUAUUGAAUUUUUUUAUCAAAUUAAGAAACUCGAGGUUAAUUUGUUAGUUGAUUCAUGCCAGAUUGCGAUUCAAUUUAGCGAACGAAUUAAAUGCGACCUCAAUUGAAAUCAAAUUGGCCCCAAUUGUAAUGUAAUUGAUCAAUAGAUAUUCAAUUUGGUUAUAAUUUAAAUAGGUCGUUUAAAUUGUAAUUCAAUCUUAAUCCCCAAAGUUACCAUUUCUUAAUUGAGAUUUUUUUAAUUCGAUUAAAUUUAAUUAGAGUUAUUUUUAAUCCAAUUAAAUUUAAUUAGGGUUAUUUAAUAACCCAAUUAAAUUUAAUUGGGGUUAUUAAAUAACACCAAUUUCAGCCCUUUUCUUAUCUUUAAUCACAAAAACCCAACAAUAAUCAACCCAACAGCCCAUUUAAUUUUAGUUUUUCUAGCCCACUACCCCUUUGCCUGACUCGGGCCCAAUUCAGCUUCUUCUCUAAAUCAGUAAGAACAAUCCUCCACCAAGUACAACCUCAGCCAAAUCACGACAACCUCCUCCAUCGAUAAUCAACUCCAAAUGACCCUAACCCGUAUUCCUCGAAAUCCGAUGAGUCAUCUUCUCAACGUAGACCCGAGCUCCAACCUGCCUAUUUCUUUUGCGUCACAUGGCUCUCACGCGAGGAGGUGUGAAGAAAACUUGAGAACCCUUUAGAAACAUGCUUAGGUGUCCCCCUCUAAUGGAUACCUCCGUGAAUCGCGUCUUACUUGUACAAAUUCGUACAUAUUUGGCGAUUUUUCAUUGGGUAUGGGGGAGAAUUCAUUUCUCCCCAAUUCUAUUGGUCCAUCAUAUCCAAAAAUUGGUAUGAAUUGAGACGAAAAUGGGAUAUGGGGGGAUAUUUUCAGAUUUAAAAUUCAAAAUAACUUUUUUCAAAGCCGAAAAAGGACCCUUAAUUUGUCUUCUAUAUAUAGACCCCUUGGGUCACUAUUUUGGGGGAUUUUUUUGGGGGAUUCUUGGCUCAAAGGUUCUAAGUUUGGGGCUAGAAAUUUUGCAGAAGUUUUUUUUGUGGGUUCGAAUGAUUCGAAAAUUGGGAGACGGGGGAUUCAGAAAAAGCUAAGGGAGAGAAAACUUUCUUUGAGGAAAAACUCAGUAAAACCUUUAAUUUUCUAGUAGGUUUUUGAAGUCGUCGAUUGAUCGAAACUCUAGAGAGGUCGAUUUUCAGUGGUGUUAGAAUCCGAUAUUAGCUCGAAAGUCUCAUUUUGCUGCCACGAAAUAGGUGACACUCCGUUUCUUUUAUCUUUUGAAUGUUUUUUACUUUAUCUCCACUUCUGUAGUCGUAUGAAUGCUUUGUUAUGAGUAUUGUGUGCUGGUAUUGUGUGCUGUAGAGGUCUUGUAAGACCAUAGGAUACGUUGGAUGAAGAUAAUGUUUGUCGUAUGAUUAUGUUUGACGAUUAAACUCUUAGUUUAGUUUUUAAAACUUUCGAUUUCAGUCUCACUUGCUUGCCUCGAUUUUAUAAUGGGUUAGCUGAUUUUGACAUAGCCAAUUAGCUUCCAAUUUGCUGCUUUGUAUUGUAUAUUGCUUCUAAGUGUGACUUAUAAGUUCGAUAGAGAUUCCUAUUUCAAUUUCUUGCUUCACCGGCUUGCUGAAUGUUUGUUUUGUUGGAGUAGCCGCCCUUCUGUUUAGCUGGUGAUAUCACUAGCAAGACCACUUUUGUGAGUUUCUUUGGCUUCUCAAAUGUCAAAGAGAAUGACCAAAAUGUGUCCAACAAUGAAAGGUCGCCAAGAGAUCCUAGAAUCUCCUCGACGGCCAUUUCAUUUGAGUCUAUCGAAAUAAGGAGGAGAACAAAAGAUACCGUAUCUCAUUAGCUCCUUUCUUUAGUUUAUUGAUUGUGUUUCCUUUUUUUAGUAAAAUUUUGAAGAUUGAUUCUUUUCUUUGGAUUCAUUUCAAGCCAAUAGUCCUGUUUGUUUGAAGUCCAUGAAAGAAUAAAAUGGCUUUGUUGAAGAAUAUUAUACAUGACAAUGGAUUUGGUCUUGUCGAUGUCCAAAAUCAUUGCUAUGUGUGUAUUCUCCCUCAAGGAUGGCUCGAUAUUUCUUUUAGUUAUUAAUUUCAAGGUCUAAAACUCUUGAGGUUUUGUAAGACCAUAGUUGGAGAAUAGCCGUAUUCGACUCUCAAGACUGCUGUUUUGAAUAAUGGAAAUUCGGGAGACUGCUUUGCACUAUCGCGACUUUAAGUAGUUUGAGGUUUAUUUGGAGUAAAAGAGGAACUUCUGGGGGUUUUGUUUUUCUUGAAUUUUUUAUUAUCUAUUUUGAGGCAUUUGUUGUAUAAUUUAACGCGACUCACGAGGUAUUUUUAAUUCGAUGAUAUUAAAAGAGACCUAGGAGUUUGCCAUAGAGCUGUGAUAACAAUCCAGGGAAUCUCUAAUAAACCUUGGUUUACAUUCUUGCACUAUUUGGCAAGGAGAGGAGGAUCUGUUUAAGGUUGUUAGCCUAAUUGAAUGAUAUUUGGAUCAGUGCAUGGAUUGUUUCCCGCCACUUGGCUAGGUUUAAAGGACUUAUUCAACUGACCAUGGUUUUCAGAUUGCGUUGCCCCCCCCUUCUUUGACUCUAUUUGUUUUCCUUUAGAGUGUGUCAUUAUUUCUGCCUCCAUAUUUCAUUCUCGCUUUUCCUUGCUUUCUUUUCUGGUUGGGGUUUUCUACAAUAUGUGUGGAAGUAGGCUUCGGGUAGGGUAAAGUUUCUGCAUGACUUAAUGAAUCUAUGUGAACAUAAAAGCUCGAUACGACUAAUAGAAUUAUCAUUUACGUUUGAAUUAAUCUGAAUAAUUAUACAUUACUUUACUGAACAAUUAUGAUGGGUACAGUAUGCUAUAACUUAGAGUUGAGUAGUUUAUGCUUCGUGUACAAUCCCGCAUUUUAAGAUUAACCUGUAUUCCAUCUGUCUAUUCGUAACUUCGAUGAUCGUUGAUGAUAUCUCUGAAAAAGGAUAGAUAGAACACUCUCAGAAUUUAAACCCCGAAACCCUUUCCCAGUGCUUUUUCCUGAAUAUGAUAAUGGGUGCUAAAUCCUCUUAUGUAUUCUGUGGGACCACCUUGAGCAUGAAGUAUAAUCCUUCUGAUUGCUAUUUGUGGUUUAUUAUGAUGAAUGAUCAGUUACACUAAGUUUAAAGGUCUAAUGUAGUGCCUUAACCCUUUUCUCUUUAUUUUGAUGCAUGGGGAUUCGUUGGAGUCCAAACGGACUCUUUGCAUUCCCUAAUGGGCCAAUAAGAACCAUCCAUUAAGUUGAGCUCGGAAGAGAGUAUAAGAUAGCAUAGCAUAUAGCAUACGAAUGCGAGUUGUUGAAGGAAGAAGAAAGUAGAUCAGAGUUUCAUCUUUGAAGCAGCUAUGAGAUUCGAAAGUCUCAUUUAUUAUUUUGUCCAUUUACUUAUUGUUGUAUUUAUUUAUUUAUUGAUUGAUUUUCUUAUUUACUUAUUUGGGCCUCGAAGCCAAAGUUGUACUUAAUACAGGUGAAGCAGGACUCGAGCUAAAGGCUCGAAAACAUAGAAUUAGGACAGGUGAAAAUGGGUCGACAACCUAACUAGAUUAGGACAGGGUCGACGGUUUGAGCUUAAAAGCCUAAAUCACUACUUCUCCAUUUUUCCCCUUUUCCUUUUAUUUACUUGUUUGCUUGUCUCUUUGCGAACCUAGUUAAAUCCCUAACUAAGUCGCUAAAAAACUGAUUUUGCGAAAACCUUUUCCUUAACCAAUUACUUUUUCAACAAAUCAAUCUUCCAAAGUUAGUCAAAAGAUGUUUUCAAACAGUCCGGAUAACUGCAAGUUAGCGGACGUUUUAGGUGCCUUACACCUUCCUAAAACGUUAAUAGAAAUCACUUACUCGGAAUCUUCAAAAUUUAAAACGAUUUUUCUAUUUUGAAUCGUUUGAAAUCUCUCUCUAAAGGUUUCUUAAUUCCUUUUCAAAAUUAAGUGGUGACUCUCAAAAAUCAAAAUUUUCGCAAAACAACCAGUACAGUUGAAACAAAGAUAAUCCUCGAUUUGAUAGUCACCAAUACAAGCUUCUAAAUAUAAAAAUGAAAGAAGUUUUGAGUAUUUCAAAAUGCGAAAAGCUUAUAAAAUAAGGGUGAAGGAGAUUUCAGUAGUCUCUGAAAUCAAUAGCAGCUACCUCGAAUUUCUAAAGAUGCUAACACAGAAGAAACCAUAGGAAUCAAUAACAGAGGUCGUCGGAUUUGUAUCUGCACAUAAAAUAUAGAAAAGUAAGGGUGAGUACGAAAUCACAUGUACUCAACAAGCAUCGUUGACCGACUCUAACUCAAAGUGGUGACGAGUAACACCACGUCAACCCUCAAAAACAACGAGACAACCUGCACUCAUGAACUUGUUAAAACGAUAUUUAUAAACUUGAGAUCAUGAUUAAUAAUUAUGUUUACCGCAAUAAAACAGAUAUCAAUAGCCUACUGGAUUAUCUGUGUGAAAAUGAUACAUGUUCAUAGAUCGAGAGUUUAGAAGAAAUUGUGGAUAUAAUCAGAGAAAACGAUGUUGAUGAUGAAGCUGAAGACGAUACAAUAUUUUUGGAACUAGUUACUCGUAAGGAAGCACUUAUCGCAUCUAGAACUCUUCGCAAUUUUUUUGUGCAAUUUGAAAAGACAUCACCAAAAUAUUUGGAUGCAAUAAGAAAAGUUAGAGAGGAGCUUCAAGUAGAUUUAAAUUUUAACCAAAAAAAAUUACUAGAAUCAUAUUUCACUAAAUUGUCUUAGAUAUUUUUGUAAUUUUAAAGAAUUAUUAAUUUAUAAUAAUAAUAAUAAUGAAACCAUAUAUUUAUAUAGGGGUCUUUCAAAAAUAUAUUAACUAAAUAUCUUAUCGAAAUUGAUGAUUUUUCUCAUUGGCCCAAAUCGGGAUCAAAGAAAAAUAUUAUCUUAAAGUUUAUUAAUUUACUGAGUAUGUUUUACUAUAUUCAGAUCAAUUAAGUAACAAAGGACUACAACUGUUAGUAUGAGCUUGAUGCUUUGGACCAAUUCAGUCCAUCCUGUAAUCUGAUGGGAUUGAAUUACAAAUAUUUAGAGUCCAAUUAAUUACAAGUUUUUUUAACUCGAUCCAAGUAAAUUCGCUGAUACAUGAGGCUUGGGCAAGUGAUAGGUACAGAAAUGGUGUUGAACAGUAAAGGUUUUUUUUGUCUGUUAAACAUUAAAAAAAAAUCAGCUAGAAAGGGUAAAUGAAAAAGUGCAGGCUGAUCUCUCAAUGAUAUUUCAUAGGCAAUUCAAUGAGAAUUCUUUCAAGCAGAGAUUUAUCGAAAAUAGUCCCUCUAUUGUAAAGCAUUUUUAACAUGUUGGGUUUACAAAUGAUACACAAAUUCUAAAUUCAAAGGUCCAAUGUGCAAAUGACCCCAACAAUAACCUUCGUUGCAGUAAUCCACGGUUUAUUGACUGAUGAUUUUAUUAGCAUUUUAAUAUUAAUUUAUUAUGUUUUAAUGCUUUGAAAUCAUGGCAGCAACUUCCUUUCUAUUACUAUUCUUUCUUCUAAUGAUUUUUGUGACAUUGUAUGCCAAAUAAUGAGUUCGGAAUCAAAAUAUGCCACAAAAGUAAAAGAAGUACUAAUCUAUGUCAUAUAAAAAAAGUAUCAAAAUAGGUUUUGUGCACUUAAUAAGUGCACAAUAUCUUUAGAUUUUAACGGAAGGCGUCUGGACGACGUUAAAAAAGGUGAAGUUCAGAUUGUGCACUUAAUAAGUGCACAAUCCAUUUUUUUUAUGGGUUGUGGCUAAAUAAGUGCACAAUCUAUUCAUAUAUACUUUUUUAUGGGUUGUGACUAAAUAAGUAUCAAAAUAGGUUUUGUGCACUUUUUAGUGCAUAAUCCAUUUAUUUAUAUUGUCCACUUUUUUGCACAAUUGUACACUUUUUUGUGCAUAAUCUAUAAAUAAAUGGAUUGUGAGUUUAAAAAGUGCACAAUCUUUUUAAAAAUGAAUUGUGCACUAACAAAGUGCACAAUCUAUAAAUAAAUGAAUUGUGCACUAAAAAAAGUGCACUCUGUACUAUUCAUCUUAUUCAGACAUAUCAACAUCAAUCUACUAUUGAUAUGAAAUUUGAAUAUGUGCACAUUAUCCUGUUCAAUUUUUUCAACAGUUCUUUAAAAUUUCUCUAUAAAGGGAAAACAUCGUCUUCUUCACUGCAACAACUUCAAAUUUUUUUAUAGUUCAGAUAAAUUCUUAUUCAUUUGAGUCUUAGAAAAUGAAUAGUGAACGUAUCAAAGUUGCACUUUUUUGAGACGGUGAAAUUGUUCAUGAGGGUAAUACAAUAUAUUAUAGUAUUUCUCUCAAGUGCAACGUCAUGUAUCCAAUUUCAAUUGGUUAUUAAGAAUUUGUUGAUUCAAUUUUUAGAAGGAUGAAAAUUAAAAGUGACGAUUAUAAUUUACUUAUAAUCGGACAAUAUUCAAAUUCAUUCUCAUCAAAUGGUUUGGUAAAUUAUGGAUCAAUGACGAUGAAUCAUUGACUGGAUUUUUAAGGGCUCCUUUUGAUUAUGCCAGUCAAAUAAUGUUAAAUAUUCUUCAAGUUUAUGUUAAAAAGGAACGGACGAGUCGCCGUGCGCACUCUCCUGCACAGACAAAUGUGUAUACACAACUUGAUAAUCCAACUAGUAUUGGUGAUGCCCGGUUAAGUCAAUAUAGUAAUUUUUUUGACAUGAACGUUUCUCAAUACUUCAUGUCGUGUAGCAUACCGACACAAUCUUCAAUACCUGAUUUGAACGAAACUUUGUAUCAAAGUGACUGAUAAUAUUGAUGAAUUCAUUUUAUUAUUAGUAAUAUUUAUUUUGAUUGCUUUGUGUUUAUUUGUUGUCAUAUUGUUGUUAUAUUUUUUUCAGGGGAUUAACUCUUGGUGAGAUGAAUAAUGAUGAAUUUUUGGGACAAGAUUAUAAUUAUGGUCAAUCAUCACAACUUGAUUGGGUGGACAAUGUUGGAACAUCUUCAAAUGUUUCUCUUUCGUUGAAUCUUGAUGUUGCCGAGUAUUAUCGGAAGGUUAAAUAUAGUUGUUAUAAUAUUUAUUUAUAUUUUUAACAGAUAUUAAAAAACUUCCAUGCCGCGUCACAUAUUUUUGGUUGAAUAGUCUCAUUACAAUCAAUAAUUUCAUCCUACAAUCUUUGUGAUCUGUGACUCGCUUGUAAUGUAAGUAAUGACCCAUCAUGGGCCCAGGAUGCAAGAUCUGCUUCAUUAUAUAGACCUAUACACCAAAUUUCACUAAUGUCAGAAAACAUGUCUUUAUAUUAUAUUAUAAUUUCAUUACCACUAGGAUCAAUCAAGAAAAAUGAAGAAAGGUGACAAAAAUAAUGAUGUUAAUGUUGAAUUCAUUAGUAUUUCCAUCUUUGAAAGUUGAAACAUAAUGGACUGAUUGUUAUUCUUGAAUUCAUUUGCAUUUUUCACGAAAAUUCUUUAACAUAUAAAAACAGAAGUAUAAAAACAGGCAAAAUAAUAGUCAACACUGAUUGUCAAUUCUUUCUUCAUUUAAUACUAUUUUCAAAACUCUAGUCACCCUUUUGGACAAACAUGACAUUCCUUUUCUAUUUCUUGGUUAUACCUUAAUAUGAACUCAUGAUAAGUAUGUCAACAUGUUUAACUUAAUUCAAACAAGAAUGGUCCAAAACAUUAGUAUUCUUUAAUCAACCUAGCAAAUUGUUGAAGAAGACUAAAUUAAUAAUGUAUUAUUAUCAAUUAGUUAUCCCAGGCUUGUUAUCAUACCCUUAAUAAGGGAUAAAAAUAACACUACAAUCUUGGAAUAACUAAUUCCAAGAUAAGUUAUACAGUGAUUUUAUCCCAACCAAAUAUGAAAUAAACUAAGAUUGUGGGAUGAAAUUAUUGAUUGUAAUGAGACUGUGCAACCAAAAAUAUGCGACGUGGCAUGAAUGCUUUUUAAUAUAUGUUAAAAAUAUAACAACUAUAUUUAACCUACCGAUAAUACUCGGCAACAUCAAGAUUCAACGAAAGAGGAACAUUUGAAGAUGUUCCAACAUUGUCCACCCUGCCAAGCUGUGAUGAUUGACCAUAAUUAUAAUCUUGCUCCAAAAAUUCAUCAUUAUUCGUCUCACCAAGAGUUAAUCCCUUGAAAAAAAUAUAUCAGCAAUAUGACAUAACAAAUAAACACAAAGCAAUCAAAAUAAAUAUUACUAAUAAUAAAAUGAAUUCAUCGACAUUAUCAGUCACUUUGAUUCAAAAUUUCGUUCAAAUUAGGUAUUGAAGAUUGUGUCGGUACGUUAUCCGACAUGAAGUAUUGAGAAAUGUUCAUGUCAAAAAAAUUGCUAUAAUGACUUAACCGGGCAUCAUCAAUACUAAAUGGAUUAUCAAGUUGUGUAUAGACAUUUGCCUGUGCCAGAGAGUGCGUACGACAACUCGUCCGUUCCUUUUUAACAUAAACUUGAAGAAUAUUUAACUUUAUUUGACUGACAUAAUUAGAAGGAAUCCUUAAAAAUUCAGUCAACGACUCAUCGUCAUUGAUAAUCCAUUCUCCAUAAUUUACUAGACCGUUUGAUGAGAAUGAAUUUGGAUAUUGUCCGAUUAUAAGUAAAUUAUAACUGUUACUUCUAAUUUUCAUCCUUCUAAAAAUUGAAUCAACAAAUUCUUGAUAACCAGUUGAAAUUGGAUACUUGACGUUGCACUUGAGAGAAAUACUAUAAUAUAUUGUAUUAUCCUCAUGAACAAUUUCACCGUCCAAAAAAAGUACAAUUUUGAUACGUUCACUAUUCAUUCUCUAAGACUCAAAUGAAUAAAAAUAUAUCUGAACUAUACAAAAAAAUUAAAGUUGUUGCAGUGAAGAAGACGAUGUUUUCCCUUUACACAGAAAUUUUAAAGAACUGUUGAAGAAAUUGAACAGGAUGAUGUGCACAUUUUAUGUGCACAUAUUCAAAUUUCAUAUCAAUGGCAGAUUGAUGUUGAUAUGUCUGAAUAAGAUGAAUAGUGCAGAGUGCACUUUUUUAGUGAACAAUUCAUUUAUUUAUAGAUUGUGCACUUUUUUAGUGCACAAUUUAUUUAUUUAUAGACUGUGCACUUUUUAAGUGCACAAUUCAUUUAUUUAUAGAUUGUGCACUUUUUUAAUGCACAAUUCAUUUAUUUAUAGAUUGUGCACAAAAAAGUGCACAAUUGUGCAAAAAAAUGGACAAUAUAAACAAAUUGAUUGUGCACUAAAAAAGUGCACAAUCGAGAAAUAACAUAUUGUGCAUUUUUUUAGUGCACAAUCUAUAAAUAAAUGGAUUGUGCAUGACUGUUUCUUUCAGCCUCUACUCCCAUUCAUUUGUGUUUUUAAACACCAUAGUUAGUGAUGGUAGAAUGUGAACAUAAAUUUCAUGUAACUCUUGUAAAUUUUAUCUUUAUCCUCUUCAUUAAUCUCGUAACUCUUAUAACCUAUAUCCCAUUGAUCUUCCCUCUUUACUAUUCAUUUAUUUUUUUAUUCAUUGCAUGAAAGUGAAGAUUCUUAGGAAGAGGAGGAUCAACCUUGCGUGUGUCCAAGAGACCAAGUGGGUAGGGUCUAAGGCUAGGGAUGUGGAUGGUUACAAGCUGUGGUACUCUGGGAGCGAGAGACGUAGGAAUGGAGUUGGCAUCUUAGUAGAUGAAGAGCUUAGAGGUCAGGUAGUGGAGGUGAAGAGGAUUAACGAUAGGUUGAUGACUAUUAAGUUGGUCAUUCGGGGGUUUACCCUGAACGUGUGUAGUGCUUAUGCGCCGCAAGUGGGAGCAGAGGGGGAGGAGAAGAUGCGGUUCUAGGAGGCUUUGGAGGAGGUGGUGAGAGGCGUGCCCAGUUCGGAGAAGAUUGUUGUAGCAGGGGAUUUCAACGGGCACAUCGGGGCGCUACCGGGAGGCUUUGGGGAUGUAAAUGGUGGUUUUGGUUUUGGAGAGAGAAAUGAAGAGGGGGCGACCCUAUUGGAGUUUGCGAGGGCCUUUGGGCUGGUGGUGGUGAACUCGGGCUUCCCGAAGAAGGACGAGCACCUGAUCACUUUUCGGAGCGCGAUAGCCAGGACCCAGAUUGACUUUUUGUUGCUUAGGAAAGGGGAUAGGGCGUUGUGUAAGGACUGUAAAGUCAUCCCGAGUGAGAAUCUCUCGACCCAACAUAGGCUUUUGAUUAUGGAUUUGGGUAUAAAGAAGAAUAGAAAGAGGAGGAGUAAGGAGUGUAGACCGAGAAUUAAGUGGGGCGGCUUGACGCCAGUGAAUGCGUGGGAGAUAGGGGAGAGGUUGGCGGGCAAGGGGGUGUGGGAGUGUAGGGGGGACGUGGAUAGUAUGUGGGACAGGGCGGCAAGGUGCAUCAGGGAGAAUGCAAGGGAGGUGUUGGGUGUUUCUAGGGGCCGGGCCGGUCACCAUCGGGGGGAUUGGUGGUGGAAUGAAGAGGUGGAGAAGAAAGUGGAGACCAAGAAAGAGGCGUAUGCUAAGUUGGUGGAAAGUAAGGACGAAGAAGAGAAGCGGGUAAACAGGAAAGAGUACAAGCUAGCGAGGAAGGAGGCGAAGUCAGCGGUCACGGCAGCUAAGACGGCCGCUUUUGAGAGCUUGUAUGCAGGGUUACAGGGGAAAGGAGGGGAGAAAAAGUUGUUUAGACUCGCUAAGGCUAGGGAGAGGAAGGGUCGUGACCUCGAUCAGGUGAGGUGCAUUAAGGGGGAGGACGGUAGAGUGUUGGUGGAGGACGGCCACAUAAAGAAGAGAUGGCAGUCGUACUUUCAUAGGCUCUUGAAUGACGAGGGGGACAGAGCUAUUGUGUUAGGGGAACUGGAGCACUCAGGGGAGUGUCGGGAUUUUAGCUAUUGUAGACGUUUUAAGGUAGACGAGGUUAGACAGGCAGUCCGCAGGAUGCGAAGGGGUAGGGCGACGGGGCCGGAUGAGAUACCGGUGGAGUUUUGGAAGUUCGUUGGAGAGGCUGGUGUAAGGUGGUUGACUGCAUUGUUCAAUGAAAUUUUCAGGACGGCAAAGAUGCCCGAGGCGUGGAGGUGGAGUACCAUGAUCCCCCUCUAUAAGAAUAAGGGGGACAUUCAGUGUUGCAAUAACUAUAGGGGGAUUAAGUUACUGAGUCACUCUAUGAAGAUCUGGGAGAGAGUGGUCGAGGUGAGGCUGAGACGGAUAGUGUCUAUCUCGGAAAACCAGUUCGGAUUUAUGCCCGGCCGCUCGACGACGGAGGCAAUUCACCUGGUACGGCGGUUGGUGGAGCAAUAUAGGGAAAGGAAGAAGGAUUUGCACAUGGUGUUCAUCGACCUAGAAAAGGCGUACGACAAAGUCCCCAGGGAGGUGCUUUGGAGAUGCUUGGAGGUGAGUGGAGUACCGCAGGCAUAUAGCAGAGUAAUUAAGGAUAUGUAUGAGGGAGCGAAAACCCAGGUGAGGACGGCGGGAGGAGACUCAGAGCAUUUCACUGUCCUGACAGGAUUGCAUCAGGGAUCUACUCUUAGUCCCUUUUUGUUUGCGCUAGUAAUGGAUGUGUUAACGCGGCGUAUCCAAGGGGAGGUGCCGUGGUGUAUGCUUUUUGCAGACGAUGUAGUCCUGAUAGAUGAGACGCGAGGGGGUGUGAACGACAAAUUAGAGCUGUGGAGGCAAACUCUGGAGUCUAAAGGGUUCAGGGUGAGCAGAACCAAGACAGAGUAUGUGGAAUGUAAGUUUAAUGACGUAAGGCGAGAGAAUGAGGUAGUGGUGAGGCUAGAAGCGCAGGAGGUAAAGAAAAGGGAUAAGUUCAAGUACCUCGGGUCCGUGAUCCAGAGUAACGGUGAGAUUGACGAGGAUGUCUCGCACCGUAUCGGGGCGGGAUGGAUGAAGUGGAAACUUGCAUCGGGGGUGCUGUGUGAUAAGAAGGUGCCGCCCAAGCUUAAAGGUAAAUUCUAUAGGGUGGUAGUCCGUCCGGCCUUGCUGUAUGGAGCGGAGUGUUGGCCAGUUAAGAACUCCCACACCCAAAGAAUGAAGGUGGCAGAAAUGCGGAUGUUGCGCUGGAUGUGUGGACUGACCCGAAGGGAUAGAGCUCGGAAUGAGACUAUCCGGGAGAAGGUUGGGGUGACUUCAGUGGAGUGUAAGAUGCGGGAAGCACGAUUGAGAUGGUUCGGACACGUGAAGAGGAGGGGCAUGGAUGCCCCGGUCCGUAGGUGUGAGAGGCUAGCGUUGGAUGGUUUUAGACGGGGUAGGGGUAGACCGAAGAAGUACUGGGGUGAGGUGAUUAGGCGGGACAUGGAACAGUUACAGCUUACCGAGGACAUGACCCUAGAUAGGAAGGUCUGGAAGACGCGAAUUACGGCAGAGGAUUAGGGCCUGUUCGGGUCGCUAAUGUAGGGAGGUAAUUGGUGGGGGUGUAUUCCUGGUAUGAUUCCGUAUUCAAUGUUCUGUUCCGUGUUCCGUGUUCUAUGUUUGUUACGAAUCUGUGUGCUUUCCUCUGCUUUAUAUUCCUGCAUCCCUGCUUUACUCUGUUUUAUAUUCCUUAUGGCUGCAGUAUCUAUGUUAUGUCAUCUGCUUCUGUGCUGUACUAUGUGUUUGUUUGAUAUCUCGUAACUUGAGCCGGGGGUCUUUUCGGAAACAGCUUUCUACUUCAUCAGAGGUAGAGGUAUGGACUGCGUACAUCUUACCCCCCCCAGACCCCACUAAGUGGGAAUACACUGGGUUUGUUGUUGUUGUUGUUGUUGCAUGAAAGAUUUUGCAUCUAUAAAUAGAGGUGGUCGUGCAUAUUUUUGAGUACACACAAGAUAAUAAAGUGUUCACAAAAGUUAUUAAAAAAGAGAGUUCAUUAGUUGAAGGGAGAUAUUCUUUUUGUAGAACUUUGAACUCAACUUUUGUCCAGGGUUGUUGAGUUAUUCAUUGUGAGAAGGCUGUUGUCCUGGAUGAGCCAAGUCAAAAAGAUUACUGCAAAAGCUGAACCGGUAAAACUAUUUGUUGCAAUGAGCUUGAAUCUCCUAAAAGAGAGCAAGAUACGCGCCUCAACCGAAGAAGAAGAUAUUCUUUUUAUUUUUAAUUGUAAUUUUAUUAUAUUUUCACCAAAACUUUUAAGGAGAUUCAAUGACAACAAUUGAAAAAUCUGCGGACAUCAAUUUUUCAAUUUCUUUUUAAUAAUAUUUUGAAUUGUUAGUUCAAUUACUUAGUGUAGUUUCAAGUAUAUUAAUUUUUAUUACCAAAAAAAAAAGUAUAUUAAUUUUAUUUUUUUUAAAAAUGCUGUAUAUUUUAAUUUACAACUAAAAUUAAGUGUUUUGCUUUGUUAUUUUAAAUUACUUCAGAUAAAUUAAAAUUAAGCUAGUUAAGCAUUUAUUGCAUCAACAAAUGAAAAGAAUGCAAUAAGAGUAGUGGAAAGGAAGAAAUUCAAUGCUAAUCCUUUAGUUUUAGUAUGGAUUUGACAUCUUAAACUCAUAUUAAUGCACAUAAUUUAGAUUUGUACCCUAAAGAUAUAAUGAAAGGCAAAACGUCUUAUCUCAAAUAUAUUUUUUUAUUUUUGGGAUAUCGAAACCAAAAUCAUGACGAAUUAAACGUGAAGAAAUUUCGACAAUUCAAUAUUAUAUUUUGAUGCAGUGGCGGAUGUAGAGUAGAAGGUGUCGGUUCCCGGGAACCUACUCCCGCCACCGUAAGGCUUAAAAUUACAUAGAAAAAUCGCCAAAAGUUAUAAAUAUUAAUAGGUGGGAACCCAUAACUAAACCAAGGAUAGCUUAGUGGCAGGAAAAGAGCUCUUGGGAAUCUACAAGUUUAAAAUUCUGAAUCCGUCUCUGUUUUGAUGAUGGUUAAUAAUGAAAGAUAUAUAAGUUCACUUGCACUUAUCGUCCUGGCUAUGUAUAUCGAUGAUGUCUCUAUUCAUAAACAAUUUAAGUUGUGUGUGUGACCAAGUUUAAUAUUUUAUAAAGCAAUUGUUGGUAAGUACACCUCUACAAAUAUUAAUGUUAGGAGUAAAAGUAGGCGUAUGAGGUGCUGAUAUGGAUUGCGUACAUUCUAUUCCUUUCAAAUCUCACUGUGUGGGAAUACUUGAGGAGUAUAGGUAGGUGUUUGACCAUGAAAAUAAAAAAAUAUAUUCACUUUAUUUUAAAAUUUUUGAAUUUGAAAAUGGAGUUAAAGUUCAAUUUGAUCAUAGUAUUUGGAGUUAAUAUUUAGAAUUCAAAUGUAUAUUUUUACAAAAAUAUAAAAUAUGAUCUGAAUAAUAUUGGAUAUAAUUGAAACAGAGUUAUUUAUGAAAAUUAUAAAAAAAAAAUGAAAAUUAUCAAAUUAAAUUUAAUAUUUUUAUGGCCAAAUAAAAUUUUUAAAAUAAAAAUGAAUAUAUAUUUCAAAAUAAAGUAAAUACAAUUCAUGGCGAACCAAAAAUGUUAUUUUCUUUUUUUCUUUUCUAGUGUCCCUUCUUGCAUUUUAUUAAGUGCACUUCUUUUUCCUCUUUAUUUGAUUUAUUCUUUAAAAUACUGAACAUCUAACAUGUUGAAAUUUAUAUAUUUAGUAGACAUGAAAUAUGUAGCAGAUAGUUGUAUUCAAAAGUACAUGUAAACCAUCUAAAUCGAAUCAUUACUCAAUCACUUAAUCAAUAUUAAAACGAUAUUAUUAUAAGACCACCUUAAUAACAAUAAUUCAAGCGAAUCAUUAUUAAUGCGAAAAUCAAAUAAACUACUUACUGAAAUUCCUAAGACCCGAAAGUCAUCGCACAAAAACUUCUAAACAAAGAUCAUGUCUAAAAAAGAUAUCCAAAAAUAAAGUAAAUAAAGAAUGUUUCAUUUCCCGAAAAAUGGACAAGAACAAAUAGGAUGAUCCAUGACAGUCUGAAGACGGAGUGCUCACCCUUGGAUUGAGAUCUACUAUCAAACUCUAGAGGUGAGGUCGUGUCUGACCCUCUAGAACACUUUCUGCACUCAACAAAAGAAGAAUAAGGGUAGUAUCAGUAUAAACAAUAAUGUACUGGUAGAUAUCAUAGGCUAACUCAAUUUAAUAGCAUGUACACAACAUAAAUCAAAUAACAAGUAGACAAGCAUCGUCACAUAACAAGCGUUUAAUGAAUCCACAAAUACAUCAAUAACGGGCCAAACAAUACUUACAAACAAGUCACAUAAUCAUCAAGAGUAUCAACCAUACUGUAAACAUCCACAGAAUCAACACUACCACCACAAUUAACAACUAUGUCCUUCUAAACCUCAAAAUUAGAACACCAUUAACUCGUUAUCUGCUUAAUGACCUAUACCACCUCUCAAAUUCAACACAAAUAUGUACACACAUGCUAAGGGACUUAUUUUUGCCCAACUAGUCAUGACCUGCAAGGAACAAUCUAUGUGCAUGUACAGUACCAGCAUGGUACCCGAUCCUCCAUAAACAAGUAAUAUCAAUAUCAUAUUCGUACCAGCAUGAUACCCGAUCCUCCAUAAUCAUAUUAGAUAUGUUUUAUCAAAUUUACCCUACCUCUUAGAAUAUAACAUGAUGUUCUAAGUUUACAAGUACACUUAAAGUCAUAAGACAAUUCCAUCAAGUAAAUUUCCAAUAAUUAUUUAUACAUGUCUCAGCAAUUCAAAUAUAAUCAAACUCAAACAUGUCCAAAUAUCAAUCAACAAACAUUCAAUUCAAGAACAUACAAACAAUUAAAUCGAGUCUAAACUUCAAUUAAACCACAACCUACCUCAACCGAAGAAUCUAAAUGUCAUUAGUCCACAAGUGCCUUGCCCUUCCUCACUAAUUCGGAACGUUCAAAAUCUAUUCAAAUAUAUAGUCCCCAUAAGAGUACGAAUCUAAUGACACUACUUUCUCAAUUCUUACUCCAAAUAUUCUUGACCUAAACCUCAAUUUCUUUAACCCCAAAAUAUUAAAUAAAUUAUGAAAAGAAAAGAAAAAUAAAUAAAUAAAUAAAUAAAUAACUAAAAUAUAAUAGCUGUCGGAUGCAGCGACUUUUUUUCAUUCAAAUGCCAAUAAUGACAUAUCAAAGUGCUGCCACCCAUGUUCCAAUUCUAUUGGUCAUUAUCUAAUAAUUGAUAUAAAUUUUCUUUCGGCCAUUCAAGUUUAUAUAGCUUAUUAAGUAUCAUUAAUAUUAAAGAAUACAAUCUGCAUAUGUUGAAAACUAUUGAAAAUUACUCCUUACUUGAAACGAUUCCUUUCGACGCCGUAACAGUGCAACGACUUAGUUUUCUAAUUAAUAAUUCAACCUUCUUUUUUUUUUUUUUUUUNNNNNNNNNNNNNNNNNNNNNNNNNNNNNNNNNNNNGGUGGGGGCGGGGGGGAGGGGGUUGUCAGUCGAAAAGGGUUAAACCCUAUAACUGAAAAUAGAAAUAUGAGAUGGUAAUAAUAUUGUGAUUUUGACCCAUUAAAUUAAUAAUUAAAUUAAUUAUCUAAAAUAUUCAAAAUUUCUAAUAAAUUUUUGAAAUUUAUUCGGAACUCUAUAGAAAUAAAUUAAAUAUAUAAAUUGAUUAAAAAGUAUAUUUCGAAUCUAUUGAAAAUACUAACACACUAAUCCGAGGUUAUCUUGAUCGAAGGUUGAUCGCGGUCGAAUUUAACUUUCUUCAACUCAAUAACUCAACUAAUGACUUAAAUCACUUUUGUACACCUCAAAAAUUUAUACUAUCCAUCCCCGUGAGUCAUAGAUCACAUAUACAAACUACGGGGAGAGUACAAAUGUAAAAAAAUCAUAAAAUUCAUGAAACGACUAGGAGGAUCACUACAAUGUUGAAGGCUCAUGUGUCCUAUAUGAUAAACGUGGUUUUUGUUGAAGUAAGCUGUUUUCAUUUAUUCAAAAAAGUAUGAUUCAAAAAACUAAAAUAGGGAAGAAUUCGAUGUAUGAUUUUUUCAAUAUCGUACGCGGGAUGUUUGUCAGGAUUUGUUAGACUUCUUGCUUUGAUUGGUAUCUCAAUGAUUAAAGUUAGAAAAAAUAAAACAAAAGUAUCAAGAACCAAAACUAGAUAUACAAUGGAUUAAGUCAUUUUUAAAAUAAAAUAAAAUUUGAGAUGAUAGAAAAUUCAAUUAGAGUUUAUCAUGUUUCAAUUGACAUAUUUGGGCGUCUUUCUUCCAUCUAUUACAAGUAUGCUAUUGAUCUUUUAUAUAAUUUUGAGUAAUUUUCACCUUAGUAAAAUAACUUUUCAAAAUUGAGUGGGUCAAAAUUCAUUUCAUUAUUUGGUCGUAGGUUUAAUUUUCUCAUGAUUCUUACUAGAUUAAAAAUGCACUAAUCACUUACAACUUCACAUUAUUUAAUUUUCACUUCAUCAGCGGAAUUUAGGAUUGGAUUUAAAACAAGGAUUAUGUAACAACUCAACAGGAUAUGUCAACUGCAUCCAGGCGUAGUACAAGAGAUAGGUAGUUACCGAAACACCUCAACCAGUAUGUGGUUUCCAAAUCAAGUGGAAUACUGUCUUAUCCAAAGCAGUUACAGAAUGGAUAAGAAUAAACUAGGAUAGAGAAGCAUACAUAUAGUAGAACACUAGUCUAAAAUAAACUGUCGAUAAUGUUGCUUUUAUUUGUUUCUUGUGUUUAACUCUUGGAACCUCUUUUUUUUUUUUUUUUUUGUUUAUCAGUGUAAUUCUUAAAUAGAGGAGUAGAUCCCUCCUUGUGAAUCUGCAAAUCAGUUUAUUUGAAUAUCAAUUAUCAUCAUUAUAUUUGGUGUUUUCAUUUGCCCUCCCCCUCAAAAUGGGUGUGGUACACACAAUACUCAUUUGAAAUACUUGGAUGAGGCUGUUAAACAACUCCAAGAGCAGUCCACCUCUCACACUAAAUCUGUGGAAUCCAUUAACAGUGCUCUUUAAGGCAUAUUUUUUAACUGAGUUCAUUGUGCGCCCAAUCUAAGGCACCACUGGUGUCGGCCGCAUACGACCCCUUUUUCUUCUAUUUUGGGUCGUUCUUCAAUACCAAUACCACAAACAUUUUAUCAACAACAACCUUCUUCAUCAUAUUCAGCCUUUACCCUUGUUCCACAACCUCACCACCAACUUCUUCCACUAACACAAAAUCCUUCUAAUCAAUUUCGCAGGGACAUAUCAAUUGAUUUACCUAAAUGCGAUGGUAGCAACUCCGAAAUUUGGAUAUUCCAGUCUCAACAAUAUUUUGACACCUAUAACGUGCCCGAUGAGCAUCGUAUAAAUCUUUCCUCCUUCUUUCUUGAAGACGGUGCCUGUAAUUGGUAUCAAUGGAUAUACCAAAAUCAUCAAUUGUGUGAUUAGGAUUACUUCCUAAAGGCCAUGGUGACUCGUUUUGUCUAAAAUCUACUGGAAUCCCCAAAGAGUUUGCUAGCAAAGUUACAAAUGUCGUCAUCUGUAUAGGAUUAUGUUUCUCAAUUUGAGAAAUUAGCUAAUCUGACAACAGAAGUAUCACCGCUCAGAUGCUAAAAUAGUAUUUCACAUCCGAGCUUCAUUCGGAUAUUAAAAAUUUGAUGUGUUAUCAUUUAGUCCAACAGACCUUAAUGAAGCCAUUGGACUUGCAUUCUUGUAAGAAUAAAAAUACUUGGCACAAUUCAAACCUUUAACCCGGUCUCUAUCAUUUACAAAAUCAACCCCAACACUCACUCACCACAUAAUAAUACAUGAAUUUCUAAAUCAUUUUCCCAUGUUUCUCCUUUAUCAAGUGCUUCGACUACAUCACUUUCAGGAGUUGGUCGAACUCCAUUCAAGAAAUUCACGCCUGAAGAAAUUCAACACAAACGUGAACUAAACUUGUAUUUUAAUUAUGAUGAGAAUAUCACAAGGGUCACUGUUGUUCAACCAAUCCUCAGUUGUUUAUUCUUCUACCCUAUGCUGAACCCGAUGAUGAUCAGGGCUUGGAACGGUCUACGGCACCUUCAGAUUCACCUCUUCCAAAUAUUAUUGAUGAUAGUUUCUCUCUUAUUACUCUUAGUCUUCAUGCUUUUUAUGAGGGUUCGCAUGCGACGACUCUCCAUUUAAAUGAUUUUAUCAAAGGCAUAUCAGUUCAAAUUCUAAUUGAUAGGGGAAUCACAUGCAACUUCAUUCAUCCUCGAGUUGCUCGAAAACUCAAAUUACCAAUAGACUCUCCUCAGGUUUUUCUGUUAUGGUUGGGAAUGGACAAUCUUUACAUUGUUUGGGGGUAAUUCAUGGAACUUUCAUUACCAUUCAGAGGUUUUUCUAUAGUACAACUAUUUUUGUUGUUGAUUUACAUGGGUGUGACUUGGUUUUGGGAGUAACGUGGCUAGCUACUUUGGGGCCUAGUGUGACAGAUUAUGUCAAACGUAUGUUUGAAUUUACUAUUUCAGGGCAACAUAUUUUUUGGAUGGCUGAUCCUGUUUCUUUUUCGGUUCAAACCAAUCUUUCUACCCUUCGACGUUUUUCUCAGACUAAUUUCAUUUAUUACCUUCUUCGUCUGGAUCUUCACCCCGCUGAAAAUUCCACCACUACCACAGAUCAUCAUCCUGCCUUAACUUCACUACUUGAGAAUUACGCUAAUAUUUUUCAAUCACCUGCAUCUCUUUCACCCCCUCGACCUCAAAACCAUCGUAUUCCCCUUUUGUUAGGAGCAAAUUCUGUUAAUCUGUGUCCAUAUCGCUAUCCCUAAUUUCAAAAAGCAUAAAUUGAGCGUCAGGUAUCAGAAAUGCUUAAAACUAUUGGGUAUGAAAUCGAGAGGGCAUCGUGUGGAAGCUUAUAGUUUGCAAACCAAGAUGAUGAUAAUUCAAAUGACAAAUAAAAAUAUACAAAAAAACAUAUUAUUAAUGUGAUUUGGCCAAGUGACCUACAUAUUAAAAACUAAUAAUAAAAAACAUAAAAAACUAUUAGGAGAAAAUCUCCCCCUAAACAAGAGUCUUUAAUGACUACAUUGUAGAUACUAUAUUGUUAUUAUAUGAGAAGAGGGGUCUUCUAUUUAUAGAGGUCCAAAACCUUUCCUCUUCAAAAGAGAUUAGCCAAAUAUGGAAGAGUUUUACAUUUUCGUUUUAGAAAAAGUAAAAGUAAUUAUGGUAUUACUUUUAUUUUUCUUUCAAAAAAAGUAAAACUUAAUUUUGGUAAGAAAAUCAAGGCAAAACCCCUACCAGAUCUCUCAUUUUUGGCUUAAUUUUCUUCACUUGAUCAUCCUUCUUCACAUCUUUGAUCUUUGUACUUCACAUAGUCUUCACCACUGCUGCUUGGUAUGCUUAAAAAUAGAGCUUCUGGGUUAAAAAUAUAUGAGCUCUUUUAGCUUAAAAAUAUUGAAUCCCUUUACAGGGUUAAAAGUGAGCUUUAUUUUUAAAUAUGUAACAACAGGAUUGUUGAAAAUCUAAUUAACAAUCGUCUCCACAUAUAGAUGUUGGACAUAUAUCUUCAUUAUCAUCAAAUUGGUUGCAACUUUGUUCAAUAAUUGGACCACUGAAUCAUUAAACUGUGAGCUCUGAUACCACUUGUUGGAUUCGAAAUAGAGAGAGCGUCAUAUGGAAGCUUAUAAUUUGUAAACCAAGACGGUAAUAAUUCGGAUUACAUAUAGAAAUAUAUUAAAAUAUAUUAUUGAUAUGAUUUGGUCAAGUUACCUACAUAUUGAAAACUAAUAAUGAAAAACAUAAAAAACUAUUAGGAGAAAAUCUCUCUCUAAAAAAGACUCUUUAAUGAUUACAUUAUGGAUACUAUUGUGUUAUUGUAUGAGAAGAGUGGUGUUCUAUUUAUAAAGGUCAAAAACUUUUCCUCUUCGAAAGAGGUUAGCCUUUUAUAUUUUCCUUUUAGGAAAAGUAAUUAUGGUAUUCUUAUUUUUCUUUCAAGAAAAGUAAAACUUAAUUUUGGUAAAAAAAUCAGGGCGAAAAAUCCUAACAAAAAACAGGUGUGAUUCGUUCUAGUUCAUGCCCAUAUUCAACCCCUAUUCUUUUGGUGCGUAAAAAGGAUGGGACUUGGCAUUUUAUUGUAGACUACCGAGCAUUGAAUCCAUUACUAUAAAAGAUCGCUUUUCGAUUUCAAUAGUGAUGAAUUAUUUGAUGAGCUGCAUAAUGCCAUUUUUUUCUCAAAAUUGGAUCUUCUUUAUCACCAAAUUCUCCUUCAUCCCCCUGAUAUUGAAAAGAUGGCUUUUCGCACACAUGCUGGUUAUUUUGAGUUCACAGUAAUGUCAUUCGGGCUUUCCAAUGCCCCUUCCACUUUUCAAUCCAUAAUGAAUUCUCUUUUGUAGCCUAUUAUUCGUCAAUUUAUCCUAGUUUUUUUUAAUGAUAUUCUUGUUUAUAGCAAAUCCUGGCCAGCUCAUUUGGAUCAUCUAAAAUUGUUGUUUGACAUUCUUCACCAGAACUCUUUGGUGGUUAAGCGUUCAAAAUGUCAUUUUUGGAGAAUUUUUAAUUUCUUAUUUCAGACAUAUUCUUUCAUUUGAUGGCCUCUAAGUAGAUCCAGAGAACAUCACUUUUAUACUUUCCUGUCCCUCACUGGAAUCAAUCAAGGAUGUUCAUGAAUUUUUAGAUCUAACGGGCUAUUAUCUUCGUUUUGUCAAAGGAUAUAUUCAGCUUGCCUAUCUCCUUACAGAUCUUUUGAAAAAGGAUUCAUUUCACUAUUCAGAAGUUAUUUCAACUGCUUUUUUUUAACUAAAAAAACUUUGAGUUUAGUUCCUGAUUUUUCUUUACCAGAUUGCUCCAAAGUGUUUAAGGUGGAAAAUAAUGCAUCAGGUCCAAGAUUGGUGCAGUUCUAGUGCAAGAAGGAUAUCUUAUUGCAUUCUUCAGUCAAAAGUUAUCUCCUAGAAUGCAAGCUUCUUUUACCUACAACAGGGAAGUAUUUUCCAUAACUGAAGCAAUCCAAAAAUAGCGACAAUAUUUGUUGGGUCAGCAUUUCAUUAUUAUCACUGUCAGCAACCCUUGAAGUCACUCACAAACCAGUUUAUCCAAACUCCGGAGCAACAACAUACGCUGAGUAAACUUAUUGGCUAUGAUAUUGACAUUCAUUAUCGUCUAGGAAAGCUUAACUCAGCUGUUGAUGCUUUAUCUCGCCUCCCUACACUUUAUGCUAUAAUAGUUGUUGCGACUAAAUUAGUCUUGAUUGAUCAGUUACACACUUUGAACAAAUGUAAUGAUAGUUUAUUGUCGUUACAGUAGAAAUUGUAGGACGAUCCAACUUCUGUGCCCAUUUUUUCUUUCAAGACAGACUGCUAUUAUUUCGCAAUCGUUUGGUUGUUUCUGCGGUUCUAACAUUGCGUUCUUUAUUGCUUGCUGACUUUCAUUCUUCAAAAAUUGGUGGUCAUGCUGGAGUAUCGCGUACGUUUCAUCUCUUGUCUUUUAAUUUUUAUUGGGCAGGGAUAAGAGCUGAUGUUCAAAAGUUUGUCUUGAAAUGUCAAACUUGUCAACAAAUGAAGGAUUCCACUUUGAAACCAGAAGGUUUACUCCCUCAUUUACCAAUCCUAGAGGUCAAAAAGUGGCAGCAAUAUUUGUUCAAGAAUUUAUUCGCCUUCAAGGAUUCCCUGCCACCACUGUUUCUGACCGGGAUCCCUUAUUUCUCUCUGAAUUUUGGAAUGAACUACACAAGUUACAGGAAACUCAACUUUCCAUGAGUUCAUCAUACCAUCCAAAAUCGGAUGGUCAGACAGAAAUCCUCAAUAAGUGCCUCAAGAUGUACCUCUAAUGCCUUGUUGCAGGUACACCUAUAACUUGGUGUUCUCUUUUACCUUAGGCUGAGUUUUGGUAUAACAUCGUGUACCAUCACAGUUUAAAAUUAACUCUAUUUGAAGCAGUUUAAUGUUGCCUUCCUCCAACUGUGUUGCGCUACGUAAAGGAUAGUUCCACUAAUACUGCAGUAGCUUCUUCCCUUAUCCAACGUAAUGAGACUUUGGCUAUCUUAAAAGCGAAUUUACUUCAUGCCCAAGAGCGUAUAAAAAUGAAUGUUGAUAAAGGGCGUCGUGAAGUUACUUUUGAGGUAGAUGAGUGAGUAUUUGUAUGCCUUCGGCCUUAUCAUUAGCUUUCUUUGCAUUUACAGAGACACACAAAAUUGAGGAGGCAUUUAUUUGGGCCCUUCCAGAUUGUUGAACGAAUUAGAAAUGUUGCUUACAAGUUAGAUCUUCCAGCAUCUUCUAAAAUUCACUAUGUGUUCCAUGUUUCGGUCCUUCUUCUUUGAUUGUUCAACUCGAAGAUGUGUUGUAAACAUGAUGUAUCAUUCGUGGUGCUCGUUGAAUUUCUCAGUGCCUCAUCAAAUGGUCAGGGCUUCCUACUUUUGAUGCAACAUGGGAGGAUAUUCACAUCAUCCGCUAGAGGUUUCCCAAUUUGAACCUUAAGGGCAAGGUUCCUCUUCACGGGGGCAGCAUUGUAACAACUCAACAGGAUACGUCAACUACUCCUAGGUGUAGUACAAGAGAUAGGCAGUUACUGAAACACCUCAACCAGUACGUGGUUCCUAAAUCAAGUGGAAUACUGCCUUAUCUAAAGCAGUUACAGAAUGGAUAAGAAUAAACUAAGAUAGAGAAGCAUAUAUAUAUAUAUAUAUAUAUAUAUAUAUAUAUAACACUAGUCUAAAAUAAACUGUCGAUGAUCUUGCUUUUAUUUGUUUCUUGUGUUUAACUCUGAAACCUCGCUUUUGUUGUUUUCUCUUUUGUUUAUCAGUGUAAUUCUUAAAUAAAAACAAAAGAACAGAUCCCUCUUUGUGAAUCUGCAAAUCAGUUUAUUUCAAUAUUAAUUAUCAUCAUUACAGAUUACCAAAUGAUACAGUAUUCACCACCACCAUCACCACUAUCACCACCACUAAUAAUAAUAACAUAUUCAGUAUAAUCUCAUAAGUGAGUCUAAGAAUGAUAGGGAUCACACAACUUUCUUCCUACCUUGUGAACGUAAAGACGUUAUUUCUGAUGAACCUUUGACUCAAGAGAAAUAUAUUAAAAUUAGCAUGAAAAAGAAAUGUUGUAUUGAAGAAGUCAUAUCGAAAAUAGUUGAAACAUAGUACGAUAAUUCAAACAAAGAAAACUACUUGUAAUGGUGGAAAAGAAUUAAUGGCAUAAAAUAAUACUAGUAAUAAUUAUUAGUGAAACUUAACAACAAAAGUGCAUUAUAUUCAUCACUAUUUACAGAAAAUAUUUUUUGGGUUAUGUCGGUUUAAUACGUAAUAUUUAAGAUUUAAAUAUUUAAUUUCAUAAAUUAAAAAAAUUACAUAAUCUUCAACGUCCGAAACCCAUGAUCUUACCCGAAAAUCCAAGAGAUUUUAUGAAAACUUUGAUUUGUUCAUUCGAUUAUAAAUUAAAGAUCAAUAAAUCAUCAAGAGAAAUAUAUCAACACAAACAAAAAGAAGUGUCAUAUUGGGCUUAAGAAAACAAUGGAUGAUUUCGAAUUGGACUUUGAUCAAUUAGAUCAACUAUUAAACAUUCUUUCUCCUCCUACUCUUCAAAAGCAAGAUUCAUCAAUUUCAUUACAAACACAAAUUUGUAAUGAUAUUGAUAGUCAUCAAAAGAAUAAACCAAUUAUCACCACCACCACCACUAUAAUCGAUGAUGAUCAAUUAUUGAACUUUCUUUCUUCUCCUCCUUCUCCUCGUCCUCCUCUGACUAGUACUCAUCACAAGGAUGAUGAUGAUUUAUCAAUAUUAUUACAAACACAUAGUUCUAAUGAUCUUGAUAGUCGUCAAAAUGAUGAACCAAUUAUCACCACCACCACUACUAUAUUCGAUGAUAAUCAAUUAUUGAACUUUCUUUCUUCUCCUCCUCCUUCUCCUCGUCCUCCUCUGACUAGUACUCGUCAAAAGGAUGAUGAUGAUUUAUCAAUAUUAUUACAAACACAUAGUUCUAAUGAUCUUGAUAGUCAACAAAAUGAUGAACCAAUUAUCACCACCACCACCACUACUAUAUUUGAUGAUGAUCAAUUAUUGAACUUGACUAGUACUCUUCAAAAGGAUGAUGAUUCAUCAAUAUUAUUACAAACACAUAGUUCUAAUGAUCUUGAUAGUCAUCAGAAUGAUGAACCAAUUAUCACCACCACCACUACUACUAUAUUCGAUGAUGAUCAAUUAUUCAACUUUCUUUCUUCUCCUCCUCCUUCUCCUCGUCCUCCUUUGACUAGUACUCUUCAAAAGGAUGAUUAUUCAUCAAUAUUAUUACAAACACAUAGUUCUAAUGAUCUUGAUAGUCAUCAGAAUGAUGAACCGAUUAUCACCACCACCACCACUACUAUAUUCGAUGAUGACCAAUUAUUUAACUUUCUUUCUACUCCUUCCCCUUCUCCUCAUCCUCCUCUAACUAGUACUCUUCAAAAGGAAGAUGAUUCAUCAAUAUCAUUACAAACACGUCAAAGCUCGAAUGAUCUUGAUAAUCAUCAGAAGGAUGAACCAAUUAACACCACCACUACUAUUGUCGAUGAUAAUCAAGUUCAAGAUCCCAUGAAAAAGAAGGAGGUGGAAGAGAAAAAGAAGAAGAAUAAGAAUGUCUUACGAAGAGAUGUUGAAAGGCAAAGAAGGCGCGAUAUGGCUAAGCUUUAUCAGCGUUUGCGCCUUCUUAUUCCUUCCAAGUAUCUCAUGGUUAGUAUAACAACAACAUUCACAUUUAGACGAGUGUGUUUGAUACGAGGAAAGACAUUUUUCUUAUAAAAUUAUUUUCACUAUUGUUAAAAAAUUCUUUUUUUUUUCGUAAAAAUGCUUUAGAUAUUUGAUUGAUGAAUGUUUAGAAAUCAAACACAAAAUUCCUAAAAUAUAGUUCUCUCUCAUAUCGAAUAGAUUUAGAUCUAUAUUGUAAGCUUGUUGUGCCUAUGAUGUUCCUAGUCAAAAAUGUUCAAGAGCAUCACAUUUGUGUGAGAUGCUGUAAUUUAUUUUCUUAAAUAACUUUAAAUAAUUCUCACCUCGAGAACAACCUUUAUGAUUGAGUGUGACCCUAUUUAUAUUUCUUUAUGAUAGCAGAUUUAGUUGGUCCAACCCUUUUUUUGUUUACCGAACAUUGGGCCCGGCUCUUAAUAUAUUGUUCAUGCUUCAAAUGUUCAAUUCUUGGUGUGCGGGGUAUUAGAGUCUCUAAUUGAUUCGGGAUGUGGUAAUUUAUUUUUUAUAUGAUCUUAAAGAUUCUCGUCUCAUGAUCUAACUUUUAUAAUAACUCUACAAAUCUAUUUUUUUUUUUUUUUUUUAAAUNNNNNNNNNNNNNNAGAGAGCUAUAUCUGACCAUCUAGAAGAGAUUGUGGAUUAUGUAAAAGACUUGAGGAAAGACAUAGAGGAGUUGGAAAGAAAAAGAGAAAGUUUGAAAGAAAAGAAAAAUAUGACACCAUCUUCUUCUUCUUCUAUGAAAUUAAGUGAUGAUGAAGACAGAAUAAUAGUGAAAUCAUGCAAUGAAGAAGUGGAAAUUUCAGUAAAAGGAGGGAUCUCUAUAUCAAAAGUUGUUAAAGUUGUUAUGAAAGAAGGGCUUAUUGUUAAUAGUUGUGUUUCCUCCACAGUUGAUCAAAGUCUUCAUCACAUUAUUCAAUCUGAGGUAAUUAAGUUGCUAAUUAAUCUUUUCUUUUCUCACACUACUACUAAAAGAGGUUUUUUCCACUGUGAAUCAAUGAUAAAUUCAUUUUUUUCCCUUUUUAUUGAUUUAAUUAAAAAAGUUAUGAGAAUAGCUACUAAAUGCUUUUCGGUGGAAAAUUUUAAUGGAAAAUAAUGAAACCUCAGUAUUAUUAAUUUCAAGCAACAUUUACAGGAAAGUCAAUUCGAUAGCUGAUAGCAUAAUUAACUAAUUUGACAUUAAGUAAUCAAGUGUUAUUUUAAAUAGUCAUGUGCUUUUACCUUCUAACUUUUAGCAGUGGUUUGAUGUGAGGUAUAAGAUAUAAUAAUUUCAAGAAAAAAUGUAAAAUUAUUGCUUGGUUGAAGGUAUUAAUUACUUGGGAAUAUUUAUUUCAUUUAUAUCUUAGUAAUGGGAUAAGUUAUCUAUAUACAUAUACGAUAACUUAUCCCAGGAUGACUAAUUUCGAGAUAAUUUACUUCCCUUAGACUUGUUUGGUCGGAAAUAAGUUAUCUCAGAAUAAUUAAUUUCGAAAUUAAUUAUUUCAAAAUUAAAUUUCUCACCAUAUACAUAAAAUAACUUAUUAAGGCAUAAAUAGUAAAAAUAAUUUCUUGACUGACUAAUACGUUCAAGUAAAAUAUAAAAUAAAUAAUCUUAUAUUAUUCCAAAAUACAUUAUGUGCACUUUUUUGUUUUUGUUUUUCUCAAACAGAAGGGGAGAUAUAGAUUGCUACACACUAUGUACGAAACAAAUAAAGGACAAAUAUAUAUAAUAAUAAAUAAAUGGUUUAUCAUAGGAUUCCUUAAUUACCUAAUAAGGAAACUUAUAGUUUUAUUUUAUGUGCAGGUAAAUACAAGAGCAGACAUUGAUUUUGCAAUGCUACAAACCAAGUUGAUAAGUUUAUAUGAGCCAUAACUUAUAGAGUACAUAGGAAAAAAAAACUAUAUGUAUUAAUUUUACGUAUUACUAAUAUUUUAUUUAAUAUAUUUUUUUAAUCUAUAUAUAACAUGCAUGCAUGCAACACGUUUAUUAUAUUUAUUAGCAUGAAUUAAGACAUGAUUGUCCCUCAAGACUUUUUCAGCUCCUUGCGACAAUAUCUGUGGUGGAUACUUUUGUAAACAAAUUUUUUCUUAAAAUUUAUAUAAUACAUAUUAUUUUUAAUACAAAAAAUCAAAUAUUACAUAAGAAAUUAAAAAAUCUCAAAAUAACUAAUACAAGCAUAAUCAAUAUAAACAUUACGAAUAUCAAUACUAAUACACCAUCUAUCUAGACAUUGAUUAUACUUUGUUUAGAUUAGAAAUUUUCUAGUCAACGAUUACAAGAAAAUUAAAUCUAUAGAACAAAAUAGGCAUUAUCAGAUAUCUGGAGAACUUUUAUUAUUUAUUAUGCAAGUAUAGUAGCUUCAAUCAAAUCUAUAUAUUACAUAGUUUCAACUAUAGCACUAUCAAUUAUUGCUUGUAUAAUUAUCCUUUCAAAAGUGAUCUUUCUAAAAUAAUUGAUAUAAAUGUGUGAUUGUUACGGAGGAAAAUAUUUUUAAAGUCUUAAUGUUUACAAGUGAAUAUGAUUGAGUUUUUUAAAAGAUACUCUUCACAAAAACUUUUUCAUAAGUGAUCACCCACGUUGAUUCUGUCGUCUUUGUCUUUCAACACACUUCAUUAUCAUGAAUUGUGACCCUCAUUCCCGUAGGCCACCGUAGCCCCCAAUCCCCAUCACCUACCCCACUCCACCUCAUUAAACAAUAGCAUAAAUUUUUUUGGCCAUAAAAAUUUAAUCUAAAUUUAACAACAAUGAUAAAAAAAGAUUCAUUCAUACUAUAAACUAGUUUUUUUUUUUUUGAACAUUUUUGUCAAUUUCAUCAUAAAUUUAAAACUCUAUCAUUACUUAUUUAUUACUAUUUCCCAAUACAUUGAAAAUUAUCCCAAUACAUGGGAGUGGACAAUUUAUAUAUAUUCUAAUUUUAAUUAUUUAAUUUUUUUAAUUAACAAUUACAUAAUUAAAUUAUUGUCAAAUGUAGUAGGAGAAGUAUUUAAUUAAGAAAAUAAAAAUUAAUUAGUACAAAUUUAUUUGUUAAUCAGUUGUUAUAAGUUAUACUUAUUAUUACGUUUGAAAUAGUUUAAUAUUAGUUCGAAUUUUAAUUAUGUAUAGUUUAUACUUUGCACAUCUUUUUAGAAAUUUAAUAAAUUGUUUUAAUUAUUUUUUUGAUGUUAGUUGGACUUUAUAAUUUUUUUUUAAAUGAAUAUGGAAACUAAUCUAUGAAUGUAGAGUUUUAAUAAUAACAUAUUUUGGCAUACUUAAAUUUUUAUUACUUUUAUUCUUCUAUGGAUAGAUAUAUUAAUAAAAUAAGUCGUAGUUAAAUGUAAAAAUUUAUUUUGCUAAAUAAUUUAAUCACAAUAUUUUUUUUUUGAUAACAUUUGUAAAAGAAGAUGUGACUAAAAUUUAUUUACAAAUUUUACAUGAUCCAUGACUAAGAAUUUAUACUUAUUGCUAUGAAAUUUUAUUGUGUUGUUGUCACAAUCCCAAUGGCCAUAAGUGGCACCCACACUAAUCCUUCUGUGGGAAAAUCAUCUAAACCGAAUCAUUACUCAUUCACUUAGUCAAUAUUAAGAUGUUAUUAUUAUAAAAUCAACAUAAUAACAAGAAUCCAGAACUAAUCAUUAUUAAUGCGGAAAUCAAACAAACUACUUACUAAAAUCCUCAAGACCCGAAAGUCAUCGUACAAGAACUAUUAACAAUGAUCAUGUCUAAAAAGAUAUCCAAAAAUAAAGUAAAUAAAGAAUGUUUCAUUGCACGAAAGAUGGACAAGAACAAAUAAGAUGACCCAUGGCAGCUUGGAGAUGGAGUGCUCACCCUUGGAUCAAAAUCUGCUAUCAAACUCUAGAAGUGAGGUCAUGUCUGAGCCUUUAGAACACUUUCUGUACUCAACACAAAAAGAGUAACAUAACAACCACUUUGUUCUUAUUAACCAAUGAUAUCCAUCAUUAAAUAUAAAACUAAUUAAUUAAUUAACUACUACUGAAUGCCCACAGAUACAAAACAUGGCUUCUGCCUAACUUUGCUACAUAUCCACUUCACUGCCACCAUUUUGACACAACACCAUUGCUAUAAUUAAGAUAACAUAUCACAUAACACGCUAGUUAACCAUCUAACAACCACGAAUUCUCUCUUAAUCUUUUUCUUUUUUAAUUCAUAUUACAUGACCACAAUUUCCAGUAGCACUAUUAAAACUCCCGUCAUCACCGUGCAAUUGUUGACCCUUCAAUUUAUGCAACACCCGUUUUAACACAGUGAAACUAAAUAACAAGAUUGCAAAUUCAGUUUAUAUGGUAGAAAGAAUAAUAUCACCUUAUACGACCAUUCACAUCAUUCCGCAACCACACCAUUAUAAUUACCCCAUUAAGAACAACCCCCAAAAACAUAUACCUGAAUUGGAGUUGUCGAGAACUUUUCCUUCUAUGCUUUGGUGUGAAGUCUGUAACUUCUGCGUUUAAGGCCUUUGAUAAAAAAUUUUAAUAUGUUAAACCCUUCCACUUAAGUUUUAUUCUAGUAUAUAAGUAAGAAAAUGCCAACUUGCCCAUUAACCACCAACUAAAAUAAUGUCUAAUAUAUCCAGAACUUCGAAAAAUUUCUCGAAAUUGGUUUGGAACCUCGAGGAAAUAGAUCAAAUAUGUACAUUGACUAAAAGUAUGUUCCGACCCUAUUGGAAAUAUUAAAACGCUAAUCUCGAGGUCGUCUUGAUCGAACGUUAACCAUGAUCAGAUAUAACUUUAUUAAAGCUCAAUAAUUUAACUAAUGACUUAAUUUAUUUUCGAACAUCUCAAGAAUUGUAGCUACUCAUUCUGUGAGUCAUAAUCCACGUAUACAAACUACGAAGAGAGCUAAAAUAGAGAAGAUGAGAAAAUUUCACAAACGACCGGGAGGAUCGUUACAGUUGUAAACAAUAGUUAUAAAAAAAUAUUUAUUUUACAAAAAAAGUUAUGUAGAGUAAGUGAUUUUAUCCAUAACAGAUAAUUUGUAUCUAUCUUCAUAUGUAUAGCGAGAAUUUGUAAAAUUUUCUUCAGAUUAAUUAUAUUUAUUAAUAAAAUAAUUAGAUAUAACAAUCUAUUUAUUCAAAUUAUAUAUGAAACUUACAAAUAAGAUCCUAUAAAUUUGAAUUGAAUCGAAUAAUAAUCACCUCUAAACAAAUGAUAAUUUUUAAAACACUUGAUUAGGAUAAAGCUUUAGUGAAACAUAUUUAAAUUUUGUUUUUAUAUAUUUAAUUAAUCAAAGUUAAUAUAAUUAUUUGUUUCUUAAAAUUAUGUUUGAAACUUCCAAGCUAUAAAAUUGAAUCACAUUAUUGAUAAUACUAAUUAUACUAGAUCAAUAAAGAUAUAUUUUUGAUGAAACAAGUCUAAAGUAAAAUUUAAUAAAGUUAAUUUGUUUAAAUUUGUUAUUAUUAGCUAAUAAGAAACAGCUAAAUUUAAUAACUUAUUGAUUGAUAUAUAAAUUAUUGUACAAAUACACUUCUUGGCUCAACUAAUUAUAACUACAUUUGUAAUAAUUAUUAAUUAAUUUAAUUUAACAGUAAAUUAUACAAGCAUUGUUUUGAUAAAUGAGGUUUAAAACUUUUAAUAAAAUAAGAACUGUCAUACUUGAUCAAGAUGAAUCUUGAGUGAGAUAUGAUAAAAUUUUAUUUAUAUUCGUUAUAAAUAGAAAAUAGAAAGUAAUCACAUUAUAAUUACUUAUUUAUUUUAAUGAUAUCUCAAAUUUACUAGUAAGACGUAUUAAGAUUGAAUCAAAUUAAAUCAAAUUACAUUAUAAUCACUUAUUUAUCUAAACUAUAUUCAAACGUACUAGUAAAAUUCGGUAAGAUCAAAUCAAAUGAUUAACAUAUCUAAUUAUCUUAGAUCGAUGGUGUUUGAUUUUAUAAUAUAUAUUGUCCAAUCACUAUAUAUAUAGAUAUGAUAUAAUAUAUUUGGAACGAUCCUGCAAUUUAUUUUGUAAAUUUGUUCUAUUUCAACCCAUCUCUUAAUUAUUAGACAUAAUUUAGGAUCUAUCGGGAUGGCUAGUGUCUAUUCUCGAGGUGUUCGGAGGCGACUUAAAUCAUUAUUUUGGGUUCUUGAUUGAUAAAGUUAAGUCAAAUCAUGACCGAUCUUUUAUCGAGACAACUUGGAUUAGUAUCGUAGUAUUUUUAAUAGGUCCAAGAUGUACUUUUUAUUAAAUUUACAUAUUUGGGUUGUUGUCGUGGAACUUCGAAUAAGUUUUGAGGAUCUAUCUGAAGUUUUAGGUUAUUUUAGACUAUUAAUUAAAUUAACGGGUAAUUACAAUAAAUUCACAGACUCAUAAACUACUCUAUAACACAUUCUGCAUCAAGUUAAUUAACUCCCUGGAUCAUAACAACACAAAAACAGGAGAGGGUUCAUCCGAGAAUUUAAGUAAUAGGGAGUCGACAUUUCGAGGACAAUUGAAAGUUGCAGGUGAGAGUGUUCCCAUGAUCACUGGUUCAUACAUCGUUAUCAUACAAUUGCUGCAACCAUAUGAUUUUAGAUUUGGUACAUGUGGGAAUUGAGAAACCCAUAAUGUAAUAUAAUAAUGUGAGAUUUAAGUUAUGCCAAGAAACAGUGCUAUGUAAUUCUUGAUUUAGGCUAAGAAGUAGUAGUACUUAAUUCUUGAUUUCUUGCUUAUGCUUGCAUAAUUAGGUACGUUAAUGGUCAAUUAUGAUUUACUGUGGUCUUAAAGAGGUUAAGGAUGGUUGAUGACUAGAUUAAAUUGAUGGUGCUUAAGUCGUGUGAAUUAAACAGGACAAGAUAGGUAAAUUAGGCUUUUAGGCAGUAUUUGAGAAUCAGGCAUGGCAUCACUGUUCAGUUGUUUUCUUAUUAAUUUAUAAGUACAUUCUAGUUAAAACUUUAGUAUGUAUUUGCACCACUAGUCCACCGUGUAUUUAAUAAUAAUCUUGCAUGUUAUUAUUCAAAUUUUAACUAUGGCCUUGAAAUUAGUAAUAUAAUUAUUUAUCAAUUAACAUUUCAAUUUUUGAAGCCUCAGGGUGACUCUUUGACCAGAUUUUUUUCUUUAUUUUUAUAGUAAUAUAAGUGUUAUUAUAUUCAUACUCUUAUGAGAAUUAUAUAUUUGAAUAGAUUUUGAUCAUUCUGAGACUUUACGAAAGGGCAAGUUUGUUAAUUGACGUUUGGGCUUUUCUUGAGGCAAGUUGAGACUUUUCUUAAACUCUUUUUUAAAGUGUUUAUUUAUUAGUUAUGUGUAAUGGGAGUAGUGGAAAUUAGGGUCCCGUAUAAGUGAUGGUGACGAGCAUCUAUGCAGGUAAAGGUGUUGUUUGAGGGGAUAAAAUAAAUUAAUUGUAUGUUUUGAACUGUUUUUUCCUAUUUGCUAGCCCGAUGAAUUGAAUUGAUAUGGUAGAUAAAUUAUUGAAAAAGUUAGCUAAUGAGAAUACUCUUACUUGAUAAGUUAAGUGACUUUGAAAUUGAUGUCUGAUCUGACUUGAAACACGAAAUAUUUUGCUUGACUUUAUUGUUAAUUUGGGAUUGGAGUUGCACGCAUACACAUCAUGCGUCGUAUUUCAUUGGGAUCAGAGUGCACUCCUGUAUAGUAUAUUUAUUGAGAUUGGAUUGCAUGCCGGCACAGUAUAUUUAUUGAGAUCGGAGUACAUGCCUGCACAGUAUAUUUAUUGGAAUCGGAGUGCAUGCCUGAAUAGUAUAUUUAUUGAAAUCGGAGUGCACGCCUGUACAAUAUAUUUAUUGGGAUCAGAGUGCGCACUUGCACAGUACAUAGACCUUGUGAGUCCCCCAUGGAUCCUGACCUUAAAGUCAUUGCUCGGUAGGUGUGUACACAGCAUAUGCAUUGCAUUACAUUGCAUUGAUUCAUUUGGUUCAGAUUGGUUAAGGUGUAUUUGUUGACCUUGUACUUAUUGUAUAUGUGUUACUUAUUUCACUAGAUUGAGAACUUCUUGGAGUGUAUUAUGAUAUUCUUAUGACUUUUAAACUUGACUAUUCAGUUAGAUUAGGGUGGCUUUCCUGAAUGCAGGUUGUGUGUUUAUUUUAGAUGAUUGAAGCGGUGUCACGCAUUACCACUUUGAAUUAGGGCUGGUCAACGAUGCUUACUGAGUACACAUGGUUCUGUACUCACCCUUACUUUUUUCUACACCUUACGUGCAGGUACAGAUCCGACGACCUCCGUACAUUGAUUCCUGUGAUUUCUUUUUAUGCUAGCAUCAUUGGAGAUUCGAGGUUGCUACUAUUGACUUUAGAGACUGCUGAAAUAUUCUUCAGCCUUAUCUUUAUGCAUUUUUCGCAUUUCAAGAUACUGAAACUUUCUUUGAUUCUGUAUUUAGUGGCUUAUAUAUUGGUGACUUAUAGACCUGGGAUUAUCUAAGAUUUGAAUUUAUGAGUCUAGUAAUCUACUCAUGAGACUAUUCGGGAUUAGUUAUGUUCUUAUUUUCUUCUGCUUCUAUGAGUUUGAGGUGUUGUUCUUGAAAUUGGGUAUUUGGCUUACCUAUCACGGGGGAUGGAAUAGGUGCCAUCACGGUCCCGAAUUUGGAUCGUGAUAAUAUCGCUAUCAAAUGUGACCUUUUAUAGUUUUUAGUGUUGCUACAAUAAAUUUUCGCUGAUGAUAAAAAAUAAUUAUUAGUUACAAAAUUCAAUCAAAAAUCAUUUCGCCAUGCCAAAUAGUUAUGAAACUUGAAGCAAAAAUUUAAUAUCUGCCACAAUUUUUUUAGAACUUGAAACAAAUAUAUUUAUUUAGUUAUAGUAUUUUGCUUGAGGUAAUUUAUUGUACCUAAAAAGUUAGUAUUAUUGCAGUAAUUAGUUAUACGAGAGUAUCAUUUUACUGACAAAAGGAUAACAGUAAAUUUCACAUGUCAAGCAAUUAACGAUUCAUGCAUAUAAUUUUGGAAAAAGGACAUCCUAUAACACUUUUUAAAACAAUAGCCCAAGUUUGAUAUCUUUCCAAAAAGUGGUCAGUCGGGUGUACUAUUUUCACUUUAUAGUCAUUUUCUUAUUUUGGUCAUUUUGGCCCACGUAGUUCAGAUACAAUCUAUAUACAAUACUGAUAUAGUCCUUAUACAAUACUGAUACAGUUUUCAACUUGGGUCAUUCAGCCUUUUUAAAAAUAUUUCAAUUUUUUUUUAUUAAUUUUUUAACUGGAAAAAUAUUUUACUUUUUUUUAAUUGUUUAGAAAUAAUAAUUAAAUAUAAUUAUAUAAAAAUGAUAUAAUUGUUAUAUAGAACAUGUAUGAAUGUAUCUAUAUAAGAUAUAUGUAUCAAAUAUGUAUAUGUAUAAAAUAUAUAUAUAAAAAGUGUAUAAAAAUUAUAUAAUUAUUAUAUAAAAUGUGUGAAAAAAUACAAAUAUUGUAUAAAUUGUAAAAAUUAUACAAUUUUUGUAUGGAAUAUUAUAUGUAUAAAAUAUGUAUAAAAACUUUAUAGAUUGUGUGUAGAAAGGUAUAGAACAUACCAACAAAUUGAAAUGGCUAGAAAGUGGAAUUUAAAUUCCAUGGUCAUUUUUAUGGAAAUUGUUUAAUUUGAAGUGUCGUUUCUGUCCUUUCACCUAUAGUUUUUCUCUACCACUUUUACUCUCUCUCUCUCUUCUUUUUAAAAUUAUUAUGAAACUGAACCAAUAUUUUUUAUGAGUAAUUAAUUCUAAUUUUUAUUUUCGUAAUUUAAAACAAAAAAUACUUGAGAUAUAUGAAAAUUAUUAAACUACACUAGACAUGUUGUAGGUGAAAAUUACAAGAGUUGAAAACUGAAUAACUGUAAUCGAAGAUAGAUAAAAUUUAUGGGUAAUCACCUAACAUUGAGUCUAUCACAUAAAAAAUUGAUUUCAAUUGUUUUUAACAUAAAAGUCAUUUAAUAUUCAAAAUUACUGUACAAUUUUUUUUUUUAUUUUGUGACAUAAAAGUAUCCUAACUUUAAAAUUUAGUACAUAAAAAUAUUUUAUUUAUUUUUUUCAAAAGAUGUUUAUAAAAUUUACCAUGCAAAUACAUAUAUUAGUGCGAAAAAUAGUCAGAUCAUAUUUUCUUCAAUAUUAAUAAUAUUAAAUUAAAAUUAUUAUAAAAAUAUCAAAUUAAGGAAGGUAAGUAUAAUGUUGUGUGCCCUCAAUAAGUUAUGUGUUAUGAAGUAAAACAUUAGAAAUGUUUCUAACAACAUCCCGAAUGUAAUUAAUUUUUUUUGGACCAUUGACAUAUUUUUGAUAUGAUAUAUCAAAAUUCAGAUGAAAUUUACUUUUUAGUUAAUUUGAUCAAAGUUGAACGAAUUUUAAGUGACAAAGAAUUAAGAAAAAAUUUCUUUUAUGUUACAAAUUUUUUAUCUUGAAUGGUGUUUAAGUAAAACAAAUUAAAAUAAUAAUAAUAGUAAAAAUUGAACAAUAAAUUUUAUAAUUAAUGAAGUUUACAUAAUAAUUUAAAAAAUUCUAGAGUAAAUACAUAAAGACCUCCCUGAUCUUGUCCAAGUUUUGCAAAAAGACACUUAAAUUUUAACUUCGAUCUAUUACCCCACGAUUCUUCUUUAUUUCGUUGCAAAUACACCAUUUAAAUUUUCUGCGUGUGAAAAGGCUCAAAAUUGACUUUAUUGACCAAUUAAAAGCUGCCACGUGUAAAUAAUUUGAUAUAUAAUUAUCUUUUUUUUUACAUCAAUAUUUAUUUAAUUUUUAAAAUUAAACAACAUCAUCAUCACCAUAACUCUCUCUCCUCAAUUCUCUCAAUCAUCACCAUAACUCUACUCAUCUUUUACCAUCAACAUGUUUACUUUCUUCAAUUUCAAGUUCUUAUUUUCAAUUUUUUUUUUUACAUUUUGAAUAAUUUUAUAAAACCCAAUAUAUUUCAAGAUGAUUAGGAGUAUUUUUUUUAUUUACAUUUCAAUAAGAUAUUUAUGGGUUUUAGAAAAUUCACUAAUUCAUUUACAAAAAAUUUAAAUUUUGAUAUUAUUUUUCUCAAAAUCUUCAUUGCUUUAGAAUAUCAAAGUUUAUUUAGAUAAAAGGAUGAUUAAUUUCAUUUUAAUAACUUAAUCAAAGUUGAGAAAGUGCUAAAAAAAAUUGUAAGAAAAUGGUUCUAAUUGUUGUGUAAUGGUAGAAGGGAAUGGAGAUGUUUUGUGGAGAAGAAGGACACGUGGAGUAAAAUUAUUGGUGCAAAGGAAAAAAGAAAGUCAAAAAGUAAGAGAGAGAAAAAAGAAAGAAGAAAAAAAUAUAAAGAAAAUAAUUAAAAAUAAAAAAUAUGUAUUUUUUUAUUAAGUAGACGUGUCAAAUUUUAAUUGGUGCGUAUAAAACACCUACUUUUUGAAACUGGGUUUCGUCCAAAAAUGGUAUAAUAAUAUCGAUUUAAAAUUGUUUAGGGAGAUAUUAGGAUACUCAUAAAGUUUAAGUGUCUUUUUAAAAAAACGGUCCAACAUUAAAAAAGUAUUUAUGUAUUUUCUCAAAAUUCUAUUAUAAAUUCAAUAUUCACACCAUGAACUGGUUUCUUUUAAAUUUAAUACUCACGCCAUAAUUAAUGUGAUGCCAUUGAAUAUUCACACCAUGAACUGAUUUUUUUUUUUUUGGACUUUCUUACCCCUCCCUUUCCAAAUUAAUUAUAUAGUUAAUAGGUGUCAAUCUUAGUUAACGAUAUUCCAGGAGAGUCAUGCAAUGUUGUAACUUGUGGUCUAUUUCGAUCUAAUAAUUUGUGAAUCAUUACUUAUAUUUAUUAUUAAUAUGACCAUUAAAUGAGUAUUUUUUUAUUAAAUAUCACACUUAAAUAUUUUUUUUACGUAUAAAACAUUUAAACUAUAAUAGUCAAAAUUCAAAACACUUUAGCUAUAAUAAACAUUGAUACAUUAAAAGGUUAUUAAAAUCAUAUAAUUCACAAGCAUCGACCGUAGUUAACAUCCAUCUAUGCGAGUUACACAUUAAUGUUGUAAUUUUAUGUCCGUAUGUUACGCCGGUGUAAUAACUUGCGAAUCACUACUUAUAUUUGUUAUUAGUAUGACCUCUAAUUAAGUAAUUUUAUUGAUUAUUAUGUAAAAAUAAAUUUAUUCUAUAAUCUUAGAUAAUUUGCUAUAUAAUUUGAGAAUAUUUCAACAGUCAAAAUUCAAAAUACUUUAGAAUAAUAGAUAUCGACACAUUAUAAAAAUCAUAGAAUUCACAUAGUCCACAAGUGUCGGCCUAAUAAUUAACAACAACGCAAGAGAGUUACAUAUUAAUGCUAUAAUCUUGCGCGCUUAAUGUUAUGCCGAUUUGAUAACUUGAAAAUCAUUACUUAUAUUUCUCUUCUAUUAGUUAUUAUGUUUAAAUAAAUUCAAAUUACAUAAUUAAAUAAUUUUUAAUAUAUUGACGUUAGUCAAAACUCAAAAUGCUUUGAUAUGAUAGAUAUUGACGCGUGAUAGAAAUCAUAAACUUUACCAAAUUGUGUAUUAGACUAAGUAAUUAGAAUAAUUUUUAAUUAGAAAAAAUAUUUAUUUAUACUAUUACCAAACUUAAAGUUUAAUUGCCUCCUUCAACACUAUAUUAAAUGAAGAAUAAUGCUUAAAAAUAUAGAUCCUAAUUUUGUAUCAUACUUUAUUUUACAUACAUUAAAAACGACGUUAUUUAAAAUAGUAUACAAAAUAAAAUAUGUCUAUUUUUGAAUAUUUACUGAUAAUUAGAUACUCAGUGAUUUUAUUUUUUUUAAAACAUCCUCUUAACUAGUAUUGUCGAAAAAACUGAAAUUUUUUAGCCGUAGUUAAAAUGGUGAUAUAACAUUCUUGUUUGGAACUACAUAAUAUAAAAAAAUUUAAUUUGGUUUUCUAGGUAUAGUUAUAAACGCCCCAUUAUCGGUUAAUUUUUUAUUUAAAAUAUCUAAUCUCAAAAAUUACAUUGUAUUUUUUCUUGUAAAACAUUUAUUGUAUAUACAGUACACUAAUCAUUGAUAAACUGGACAUGAUUUUAUUUACUCAAUUAUUUUAAAAAAUAUAUAUAAUUAUAAACUUUCGAAUCCAUGCUUAAUUACUAUUCUAAUUUGUAUUGCUAAGUAAUUAAGUAAAAUUUUAAGCAACUAAAAUAUUCUUUUAUAGUUAUAUUAACGUGAAGUUCAAUUGUCUCCUUCAAUAUGAAAGUUAUUUUAAGCGAAAAAAUAAUUUUUUUAGAGGUACUCAUUCGUAUGUUCUUAACAUAAUUGGGUGGAGAGUUCAUGUAUACAUUCAGAAUAUAAUUUGUAUAGGCCUAUUAGAUAGUAAUGAAAAAUAAUAUUAAUUUGUAUAAAUUAAGUUACAAAAGUGUUUUUUACUAAAGAGCAUAAACUUUUUUUUAAUCAACUAAACUAUAAUUUUUAAAAACUAAAUUGUGUAAAAAAAAAAUUAAACGAGGACUGCCAAAGAUUUUUCAUUCGUCUCAAUAUAAAAUAUAAAAGAGAUACAUCAAAAGAUUUUUUAUUUUUCUUAAUUGCCAAAGAAUUUUUACUUUCGUAAUUCAAGGAGUUUGGGAAUAGGAAAGGUUAGUUUAACUUGGAGGGAAAAGUUUUGAGAAAACAACGCAAAAUUUAAUGUAAGGAUAUUAUGGACUUUUUAUAUUUAUGAUCAAAUUUGUCAAAAUUAUUAUGGCCAUUUAGCAGUGCACUUGUACUGUACUGUAGUGUUCUAGGGCUGGGCAUGGUAUGGUAUAUAUCGAAUACCGUAUCGAAAUCGAAAUUUUUUAUAAUGCGGUGUGGAUGUUAUGAUAUAUGGUAUGCUAUUUGGUAGGAGUUUCAAAUGAUUUUGGUAUUUGAUAUGAUAUUUGGUAUUUAUACAAUAAAUACUGAAAUACUGUAUACCGCAUCAAAGUUUUUUAGUAAUAUAUAAAAUUCAUAUAAUAUUAUAUUUAAGAUUAUUAAAUAUAUUUAUAUAUCAUCCAUUAGCCAAUUGAACGUAAAAACAUCUUUUAUUCAGAAAUAUAAUUUUUGAGAAACUUAUUAUUUAGAAGUACUAUGAUUAAGUUUAUGUAAUGUUGUUCAUAGUUUGCAUCUUGGACUACUCAAUAGCGAUUGAAAUGUUCUUUUUGUGUAAUUGAUCAACAAAUAUAGUUGUUAAUUUUAUAUGAUUGAUACGUUUUUAAAGUUUAAAGUUGUAGUUUUUUAUAUGAAUAUAUGUAAGUCGAAAUCAAAUAAAGUACGGUUAUCGAAUUAUGUUAUUGGAAAAUACCAAAACCGAAUUUAAAAAUACCGAAGCAUACCAAAAAAAUUUGGUAUGGUAAUGGUAUUGUUCUUUUAAAUACCAAAAAUCGAAGUUAUCAUAUCAAAGUUUAAAAUACGUUACUGUACCAUACCAUGCCCACCCUAUACUGUUGAAUUCAUCACAUUAAUUCCCACAUCUUUUUAUAUGCCUUCAGUUAAAUAGCGUCUCUCGAUUAUAGUACUAGUAGCAGUAUAUAUAAUAGGCCACUUUUGUUUGUCAAAAACAUAUUUAACUUUCCAUAAUCUGAAGAACUGUUAAGUAUUACUAUUAUGGAUUCCAUUGUAGGAAAAAUAUGGGAGUAUCUGUGCCAUCCUACUAACUCUGUUUUCCAAGGGCUACAGAUGGUGAAGAAUUGCUUUGUCGAUAAGCCACAGUGGCGUAAGGAUUUUGUUUGUCAAGUGCUGGACAUGCUAGAGAACAGUGAUGUCAAGUUGCUGGAGAAACUAAAAGUUCCUGCUGGCAAAGUGGUGUUAAGGCAAACGAAAUUUGGUGGCAAAGUGUUGCUUGCGCUGACGAAUGUUGGUUGAUAAAUUGUAGGGAACCUAGAGAGUAAUGUUGGUGGGUGGUUCAAUGAUAAGCUUCCGAGUACUGAAGAUAGAAAUGAGCUGCUUCAAAUUGCUUCUCUUAUCAUAGAGUUGAUGCUGGCAAAAAGUGAUGGAAGUACUUUUGAUCGCAUAGUGAUAUUGCUGAAGAAGCUCACUGUUAGUUUUGAUAAUUAGAAGAAGGAAAAUGAAGUUGAUAUAUUUGGUGGUUUGCUUUUAUAAUUAGUCUAAAGAUCAGUUAAAAAUGCAAGUACUAAUAAUAUAGCAGAGGUACUAUCGAUGUCUAUGUUUAAAGUUCAGUUGAAAUGCAAGUACAAUAUAGUAGACGUACUGUCAAUGUCUAUGUUUAAAGAUCAGUAAGAAUGCAACUGCUAAUAUAGUACACGUACUGCCAAUAUCUAUGUUUAAAGAUCAGUAAGAAUGCACUGCUAAUAUAGUAGACGUACUGCCAAUAUCUAUGUUUAAAAAUCAGUAAGAUUGCAACUGCUAAUAUAUAUAGUAGACGUACUAUUGAUAUCUAUGUUUAGAUGUCAUGGAUUUGCUAUUGUAGAACAUGGAUUUCAGUUUUUCAUGAUUCCGUUUCAUUAUGGUGCUGUCUCAACUUUACUAUUUGUUAAGAUUUUGAUAUGUUUUGAGUAGUGGCGGAGUUAGGAUUUUUAUUGAGGGAAUUUAGUCGUAAAUAUAUGAACUAAUCUAAGGGGUUGAACACUACUACAUAAAAGAUCAUAUUUUUAACCAUGUAAAGUUAGUACAAAAAUAUUAUAAUUUUUUGUCGAAGGUAUUUCGGAUGAACCCUUGGUGCAAAGAUGGCUCCGCCACUUGUUUUGAGAGUUGAUUAGACAAGAUAUGAUAUAGUUGCAGCUUAAUGAAGACAUGAACUUAGCAAGGAGGUGUGAUGGACGUAUACGAAUUUUGGAUAGAAGGUUAGGAGGUAGUUAGGAGGAUUGUCCUUGUUAGUAAUAGUUUCUUGUUCGUAGUUUUUUGUUGAUAGAUGGUUUAGAUAGAUGAUUUGAAGUAUUAUUUUGGUCUCUCUACUAUUUGCUAUGUUAUUUCCUAUUGUAUUUUUUUUUAUUUUUUACCUUUAUUACAUCUUUUUCUAAUCUUGGGUCUAUCAGAAACAAUGUAAUUCUCUUUCUCAUCUUUAAGGUAAUGAUACGAAUUGGGUACACUCUAUCCUUUCUGGACUUCACUUUAUAAAAAUACACUGUAUAUAUUGUUGUUGUUUGGACUUGAACUCUAAGUGGCUGCACCACCCUAACCUCUCCGGUCCCUGCAAUUAUGUUCUUUAUUUUUGAGUUUGGGUGGCUGUAUUUUAUUUUAUUUUGAUGAAUUUAUAUCACUAGACGGAGAGUCUAGCAGCUUUUGUUAAAAAAAACAAAAACAAAGGUUCCCAAUAGAGGUAAGUACAUUUAAAGGGGACUAGGCAUUACCUUAUCAAACUUACUGAGAUAACAAAUAUUUAUUGAUUAACAAGCAUGAACAAAAAAUGAGCUAAGGAAAAUUAAAUAUUAUGUGAUCAUUAUAGAAUUUAUAAUAUUCUCUAUGAUGAAAUUAUAAAUGAGAAGGCUCGUGUAAUACAAUAAUAUGAAAGCCAAGAAGUUUGAGUUAUCAACCUCAAACUUCCUUUUAACAUAUAUAUGAAUUUAAAAAAAAUAGUUUGGUGUCUACAGUAACUUGAAACAUCAUCUUGUCUUCUUCAAAUCUGUCCAAUAUCCUUUGAUAAUUCUAUCACUUUUUGGAUGUAUUGGGUUUUUUUGAAACUUUUGACGAUGUCAUAUCGUUUUAUUUUGCCAGUCGCAUUAAUAGAGAUGUAAGCGCUUAAACUAAUAUUCUCUUCGUUUGUAGAUUUGACACACUAAUUAAAAAAUUAAUAAACAAAAAUAUAUUUAUAUAUUUAUAUAUUUAUUUUUGUAUGUCUUUUUAAAGUUCAAUAAUUAAUAUAAUGAUUAAACAUUCAAAUUUAAUACAUAUUACUUCAUUCGAUGCAUUAUGUUUAAAAUAUUGAGUAUUUAUAAUUAAAACUAGUAAUAAGAAUUUAAUUUUGAUUUUAAGAACUGAAAUUAUUUAUGCACCAUUCAAUAAUUUUCAACUAAGGGUAAAAUGAAAAAGAAUUUAAUGUCGCAUGUUAUUAACAAAAUUUCGUUAAGCAUUUUAAUGGACCACACACAUUGUCUUGCUUAAUACACUUCCUUUGUGGCUACAAGUCCAGAUGUAGUACUUCCUCCAUUUUAAAAUAGUUGAUCUUUUUUUAUUUGAUACUUUCUUUAAAAAAAUAUUUAUUAAAGGAUUAUUUUAUUAAAGUAGCCAAAUUAAUUAUGCUUUGAAAAUAUAAAUUUGAGUAAAUAUACCUUGUUUGGUCACUUAAUGUUGAGGGAAGUAUUGAAAGAACAUAAUAAAAUACUCUUGAUUUCAUCAAAAGAGACAACUAGAUUGAAACAAAUAUUUUUAGAAAGAGGAUCAAUUAAAACGAAACAGAAGAGUACUAGUCAACCAACUACAAAGACAAUAAAUUACAAUAGACAACACACAUAUUGACACACUACCGGGUCCUUUAGUAGAGUAUGAUAUAAAAAACAACUAAUGCAUGCAUUAGAUUUAUGCAUUGUUAAUAUUUUGUUUGAUAUAUUUUUUUCACUUUAUAUAUAAUUAAUACAAGUAUUAGUUAUAUACUCUAUUGUGUAUUAUGCUAAGCAUAACUAAUACCAUCAUUUUUGUAUGUAUUAGUAAUACAAAGCUUUUAACACAUGCAUUAACUUCUUAAAUGACUAAUUUAACUCUUAAUUUUUUCUCAAUUUCUCUUUCGUUCUUGUUCCUCCUCUAUACUCAUUUCACUGGAACAAUCUGAGAACUCAAAAUUGUUGCAAAGUAUCACAUGAGCUCUUACGUUCCGUUCUUGUUUCUCUUUUUUUCGGCAAAAAGUUUGUUCCGUUCUUGUUUUUCUUUUCUUUUUUUCGGUAAAAUGUUCACCGAUAUCGUUGCCAGAAUUUUGGUUUAGACGAAGUGAACAUUAGGGUAGAAUGCUAAUUUCACAUUUCACUGAAAAAAUUAAAUUUUUUAUGGAAUGUUACCUCCUCCAGAUAAGUGAAGAUGAGUAUUCAUUUUUGGCACAAGAUUGAAAAAGAGAGUGUAGAAUGUUUAAUAAAGAGUAUUUUAAUAAAUUAAUAUUAUUUGAUAAAAACUAUAUUUUGUAUUUUAUUUUUAAUACAUCAAAUCAAACAGUGUGUAAGAAAUAUUGUCCGUGCUAAAUUCUCUACUGUAAGCUCAAGUUCAAGGCAAGUCUACAAUGAUGAUAUACAAUAUUCAUAUAAUAUUGAAGAGAAGAAGAAGAGAAGAUAUUUUGAUUUGGGGAUUUUUCUCUGUGUGUCUCCUCAAAUGUGCAAUCUGCGAUACAUAUAUAGACAAUUGCAACCGACUUCACUAAUUGAUAUGCCAGCUGUACUCCAACUGAACUAACUGCUAAGACAUUGUGCUAACUAACUAACUGAGCACAAUUAGUAACUACUAAUCAGUAAUUAAUAUGGCUAAUUACAUGACUGCCAUGUGCUUAUCAUAUGACUCAAUACUCCCCCUUAAGCUAGAGGGUGAAGCACAUUGAACACUCCCAGCUUGGUCAUCAAAUGAGAAUGUUGAACUUUGUUUAACCCCUUGGUCUAUAAGUAUGCUUGUUGGUCUUCAGUGCCCACAAUUGUUGUCUUGAUGAUUUCUUCCUUGAUCUUAUCUCGAUAUAUUUUGUUCUUUCAUGAAAUAUGGGAUUAGAUGCAAUCUGCAUUACACCCUUACUGUCACUUAAGAUUGUUACUGGUUUCAUCACUUUCACUCCUAGCUCUUGAAACAAUCCCAGCAACCAUAUAAUCUCAGCCAAUGCUGAAGCCAUGCUCCUAUAGUCUGACUCUGCAGAACUUUUUGAGAGUGUCUAUUGUUUCUUUGAUUUCCAAGACACUAGGGAACAUCCAAAUUUAAUUAUAUACCCAGUCACAAAUCUUCUAGAAUUUGGGCAUGCUGCCUUGUCUGCAUCACACCAAUAUGUAAGUUCUUGGCUAGGAAAUGAACUCAUAAGAAUACUGUCACAAUUCAAAAUAGGAUCAUGACCGACGCUAAGGAGUUUAGGACUACAAAGCAAGCCUCGUUAGAAUUCUACAAAAAAUUGAGUAGAAUUUUUCCUGUUCUGGGGACUGUCAGGAAAAUUCUCUAUCUUAAAUCAACAACCCCGCAUCACAACCAAUAUAUCAAAACACCAACACAAUCCACCAAAACCCAUCAACACUCAUUCACCACAAAACAAUAAUACGAAAUUCAUCUCCAAACUAUGAGGAGAAGUCAAUAACUUCACCAAAUCAAAGUAAUAAAAGAAUACUCAAACUCUACAUAAGUGACUUUGGAGUGACUCUAAGAUUUUCAAGGAAAAGAAUCUAAAAAUAAAUAAACUAUUGCCCACGCGAACAAAUGCGGGGCUUACUAGUGUAGACACCUAAUUUUGUCCCUCUCGAAGUUGAAUGUUAUAUAUUUUUAGCUCAUCUUACCACAUAUCCUAACCCAUUCUACACUUUCCCCAUAAGAAAAUAAAUACAACAAAUCCUAACAAAUUAAAUUCACAAUCCCAAAAUAUUCCCUUAUCAUAACCAACCCAUCCAACUCACCAUCCCAUACUCCCCUAGCACCUACCUACCCACGUGACCCCUCCCCAAAAUGUUUUCUUCCACUUAAGAGAGAAUAAUAUACACACAGCUGGACAACUAUACACACACAAAUCAUUCUUCCAUUUAGGCCAAAUCCAUCGAUAGCCCCUCAAACUUGUCCCUAAAAUUCACUUAGGCCCCUAAACUAACACUUGUACCUAUUAAACUCCUAAAUCCCCCAAUUUGGUUCCAAUUGAGCAUUUUUUGCCCUAAUGGCACUACGCGUGCAGUGCACUUCGGGAAGCGGGUGAGGUACUUUUUUUUUAUUAAAUUAUGAAUAAAAAUGUGCCAAGUGGCACUAAGGGCCCCAAAAAAAUUAAUUAAAAAAUUUAUAUUUAAAUUAUUUUAUUAAUAUAAUUUUUAAUUAUUAUAAUUUUUUAUUUCUUUUUUAUAAAAAAAAGCACCCCCACCCCAUUCAUUGUCGUCUUUAUCACUCCUACCCCCAGAUCAUCGUCAACCCCCACCCCCCUUCCCGUCAUCGUCGUCUCCUUCUCCAAGUUUGAAACCCAAAUGUUGAAUCAAGGAUGUCCUUUUCUUUUUCGUCAUACCACCACAAUAAAAAUUACUCUUCUUUAUGUUUGCUAUGAUUCGUCAUCGUUUCAACCUCCCCCACUCCCGCGUCUUCGCCGUCGCCCCCUCCCCCCACCUCACAUCUUCAUAUGAACAAAUUCUUUUUAAUCAACCAUAAUUAUUUUCAUUUCUUGAAAAAUUUCAACAAGAGUCACUUUUUAUCCUCCAUUAGUAGCAUCAUUUCUUGAAAAAUUACAAUAAAUUUCAAUAAAGAUCACUUUUAUCACCAUUUUUUUCCUCCACAAGAAAGAUUACUUUUUUUCCAUUAAUAUCACCAUUUUAUGAAAAAUUUCAAUAAAAAUUAUUUUUUUUAUAAACCCCUUUUGGAUUCUUGAAAUAGAUUUAAACAAAAAUUUUAUGUGUGUAUUUUUUAGGAUCAUGGCGAAGCAAGAUUCACUUUAAUGGAGAAGAAGAGGAAGAAGGGUAUGAUUAAGCUGGGGAAUGUGGGGGCUGGGCUGGGGAAGGUGGGGGUUUCUAAAAGAUUUUAUAAUUUCUUUUUAAUAAUUAGUUUUUAAUUUUUAUUUAUAAAUAAUUUUAUAAUUAUUUUUUAAUAAUUUGGAUCCUCAAUGCCAUUUUUUAUUUUCAUUUUUAAAAAAAAUUUAUAAUAUCUUUUUAAUAAUCAGAUUUUUAUUUUUAUUUUAUAAAUAAUUUUAUAAUCUAUUUUUAAUAAUCAUUUUUUUAUUUUUAUCUUUUAAAUAAUUUUAUAAUUAUUUUUUAAUAAUUUAAAUCCUCAAUGCAAUUUUUUAUUUUUAUUUUUUUAAAAUUUCAUGAUUUCUUUUAAAUAAUAAGUUUUUUUUUAUUAAUCAGUUUUUUAUUUUUAUUUUUAAAAUAAUUUUAUAAUUAUUUUUUAAUAAUUGGAAUCCUCAAUGCUAUUUUUAUUUUUAUUUUUUAAAUAAUUUUAUAAUUAUUUUUGAAUAAUUUGGAUCCUCAAUGCUAUUUUUUAUUUUUAUUUUUUUAAAUCUUAUAAUUUCUUUUUAAUAAUCGCUUUGUUAUUUUAAUGUUUUAAAUAAUUUUAUAAUUAUUUUUUAAUAAUUUGGAUCCUCAAUGCCAUUUUUUAUUUUCAUUUUUUAAAAUUUUUUAUAAUUUCUUUUUAAUAAACAGUUUUUUAUUUUUUUUUUUUAUUUUUAUUUUUAAAUAAUUAUAUAUUUAAUUUUUAAUAAUUAUCGAACCCACAAUGCCACGUGACAGCUUUCAAUUAGCCCCUUUUGCCACAUCAGUGCGUGUAUAACACACACUUUGAGUUUUUAGCUGAUUGACAAAAAAAUGUCCAAUUGGAACCAAAUUAAGGGUUUCGAGGUUUAAUAGGCAUAAACCUUACUUUACAGGUCUAAGUGAAUUUUAGGGAUAAGUUUGUGGAACUAUGAUAGGUUUGACCUUCUAUUAUAUGCAAUAGACAUACAUAUUCUAGAGGGGCCCACGGGAUACAAAGCCACUCACAUAUAGAGACCCACUUCAUCAUCUUUAUCACAGACCUCACGAUACACUCAGCUCACCAUUUUUUUCUUUUCUCCAUACGCACACCCACACACUCUACAUACAAAUACACAACACACACAAUAAUCUCACAAUCACACUCCUCCAUCACUCACACAACAACAACAACACACAGUAAAAAAAUGCACACACACACAUGAUACACCCAAUCGACGGAAUACACACGCCGAGAGAGAAAUCGAGAGGGAGAUUGAGACAGAUCCAAAAAAGAGAGAGUGAAAAUAAGGAGAGAGAGAGAGAACUGAAGAGGUAGACCGUUCCGGCGAUUCGUCGCCGGAAAAACAUCAUCUUUUUUCCAAAAUUUGAUCUGACUUUUCUUCUGCUUUUCAUUCCUUCUGGGCUCGUCGGAGUUCCAUCAGCUCCGUCAUAUUCCGGCAAAAUCACUGAACCAGCCGCACUGCCAGUCCGAUUUUCUCUAAAUUCUGGCAAGCCAUUUCCUUCCCGUCACUGCCUGAUCUCACCGGAGCUCCGGUGAGUGGCGAAGCAUCGGAAGAAAACAGGGGGGUCGUCUUUGGAAUUUCGAGUUCGAGCUUCGUCCGUGAUUAAUUAAUUGGUGAUUAAUUAAUUGGUUUCAGGCUCCCGUCGUAGUUGAAAUCAGUUUAAUUAGUCGAAUAAAAUCCCCAAUUUAAGGUGCAUCUCUUUAUCUCAUUCUUAUCCUUAGUUAAUUUUUAUUGUUGUGUGUGGUUGAUUGCUAUUGUCUCAACUUUUUUUUUUAUCUUAUGCGUGAUGUGAAUGAUGAAUGUCGAAUGAUAUUGAUUGUGGAUUGCUGAAAUAUUUUGUUGAUUUGUUAUGUUGGAACAAUGGUUGAGAAUGAUUUGGGAUGGGAAUUGAAAGUUAAUGAAGUAAAUAAAAUCGAUUGUUUGAUUUGAAAUGGAUAUUAAUGUCGAUUGAAUUCGGGUUAAUUUUGAUCCAUUGGUGAUGUUAACGUGAUAGAAUCAUGAUAUGCCAAGUCGGGUAGGCAAAUAGUAGGUUCGGGUAGGCAAAUUUAAAACUUGUGGAUUGUUGAAUGUUGAAUGGUGUUAUUUUAUGAAUUUGAUUCAAGUGUAUUCAUUUGACUGGGGAAUGCCCCGAGGUUUCAUGUACUUAUUCACCUGGGAAUGCCCCAAUGUAUCAUGUACGCAAAGGAUGUUCGUGAUGAAGGCUCAAGGCAUCGGGUAAAGCAUUGGAGCCCAGUCUAGGAUUUGUUUAGAAUAGAGUAGGUUUACAUUUCCACAUUUUUUUAUUUUGGACUGUAUAAUUGGACUGGACACUACAUUUUUGGGAUUUGUUUUGUUUUGUUUGUUUGAUUGAUUGUUUGUUUGUUUUUGUGUGGUUUAUAUAUUUAUGGUGUCAAAUUAGCCGAUAUGCUCCACCAAGACAUCGUGGUAGAACCACGGGACCGAGGGGUGUCUAACACCUUCCCCUCGGUCAACAGAAUUCCUUAGUCGAAAUUUCUAUUCGUGGAUCAGUUUUAUAGAAUCAAAAUCAUUUUGAAAAAGGAUUUCCAAAGGUGACUUGCACACCCGAUUAUGCCAAGUCGAGACUCUGAGUUUUAAUGUAAAUAAUCCUUUUUGAAAUAAAUUUUCAUUUUUGUCACUUUAAUAAUAAAACCCUUUCAAACUUAAAAUCUAAUCUUUUUAGUUAGAAAAGGGUUGUGACAACCAGGAAUAUGCCACUUGAAUCCUCUAGCUAACAAAAUCCCCAUCGUCACGUGCAGUUUUUGUAAAAAUAAUAGCGAGGAGUGAGAUGAUAGCUCAGUGAGUAAUGACACUUAGCCAUAACCGUUUUAUUGGGACAAGUCAUAAAACAUCAUGCAAUAAAUGCUCUUUCAGAAAACAACAACAAUAAACAAUAUUAUUCGCUUCAUGUAAGCAAAAUGAAUCAGCAAUUCAAUAAUAAACUCAAUAAGCAUCAUAUCAUAUCAAUUAUUACAUAUUUGGGAGGUUUUCAAGAAUGAAUCAUGUAAUUAGUAUGGUAAUCUAAUUCAAGAAUUGUCAAUAAUAGUGGAUCCCUCAUAAAGUAAUAAAAUAUCAUAUCAGUAGGUCCCUACUCGAGGGAGAUCAGUAACAGUAUGCUAGUUCUACCUUUCCACUAGCGAAGGCUGUAAAAGUAAUCAAUGAAUACAAAGUGUAUCGGGUCUAAUGAUCCCGCCGUUAGUUACGGAAUUCAAAUCAAGGUCUACUCCCAUUUAUACUUGUAAACAAUAGAUUAGAUAUUCAUAUGAAGGCAUUUUUCAGAAUAAAAUAUAGCUUUAAAGUUUAUAUCAAAUCAUUUUAUAUGUAAAUUUGAAUGAACUCAUGCAAAAAAUAAUACUUAUUUUCUCAUGUAAGUGAAGAACUCUCGUAACAUAAGUGGUCAUAUCUCAAGUAACGAUAAAUAUGUCUUAUGAACAUCUCAAAUACUCAAUUUUAGUAUCAUAUUAAGUAAAAGACUUGCUCUACAUGCAAUUUCAAAGCAUUCAGUAAUUCUUGUUUCAUCAAAAUCAUGUGUAAAAUAUGUUCAUGUGUAAAAUAUGCUAAGUUAAGAAACACAAAUCAUGGGAAAAGUUACCACGUACAGUACAAUUGCCGAAAUACCGAACUCGUCACCUCGAGCAAUUAGCAUGACUUCCUUCGAUCAAUCUAUAAUCACAUCUUAUCAAUCUUGUGUCAAUUCUCUUAUUUAAGCAAAACUCAUAACUAAUUCAGGACACCCAUCACUCCGACUUAGUUUGAGUCUGGAUUAGUUAAAUUAUACUUAUCCACGCUCAUAGUAACUCAAUUAGUCCACAAUCCAUCAUUUUAGCUUAUUCUUCAAAUUAUUUACCAAAAAACAUAAUUUCGUACCUAAAAAACAUAUUAAAGUAACUUUACUGUUCAUCAUACUUUAAUUUUUGGUAGAUAUAAAAAUCAUUUAUGAAUAUGACUUUUUGAUAAAUUUAAAUAUAAGCAAAUAAUAACAACCACUGAGCAAUCCAUAGUUUUAAAUGCUAACGAGCAGACUAUAAAAUUACUGAAUAAAUGAGAUAUUGAUAUGUUUAAAAAUUAGUAUAAUUUUAUGCAUAUUAGUUUAGUGCAAAUUUCUUUUAAACCUUUAACUUUGAAGGGUCUUCCAGAAACAUUUCUAACUGCACUGCGCGAUGUUAGAAAUUUAAAUUUCAAAUAGUCUUUAAUGGGAUCUAUUGAAUCUACUCUUGCAUAUGGUCCUGUAUAUUUUAACACUCAGCCAAAUUUACAAUUAUCUUUGACUGAUGUGCUUUGACUUUAAAUGUAAAAAUCCAUGAUUAUAAUUAUGCGCCUGGAUCUGAACUAAUAUGUUUAUCCUAUCGCAUUUAUUAUAGAUUCUUAGCUACAAUGAAUCCUCGAUGUAAACUGAUUGAUAAUACUUUUGAUUAUACUAUGCUUAUUGAAACACUACCAGGAGACCUAUAAGAUGGGAUGAGAUUAAUUUCUCAACAACAUGGAUUUUAAACUCAGUCAUUUCUCCAAAAUAACUUACGGAGGAUGUGACAAACUCAGAGUUAACUCAUGUAACUCAAAAUACUGACGGAAGAAUCUGUCUUCAAUAUGAUGAUAAUUCUACCGUUUACAAUCGAAAUUCUUUUUCUAUGCCUAGAAUAUUGCCUGCUAUGCAUCACAUCUCUCCAGCUGAACCAGUAUAUGGUCCAGCUAGAAAUCGUGCUACAUCAUUACAUACUUUAAGUUCUGCAGAUUUGUAUACUCCACUUAGAAGUAUUGAAAAGAUUAAAAUCAAUCCUAAAACAAAUAUAGUUCAAGAUAAUGAUAAUGUCCCUGAUAAAGAUAACCUCACUCCUUUUGAAAUGGAGUUUGAUGUUAAUUCUUGUUAAACCGUGAUUCCACAUCUAAUUGAUUUUAGUCUUGGUUCACAGUCAAAAAAUUAUAUUUAAAAGGAAUUUUUUGGCGAAAAGUGAAAAAUGUUUAGGACAUGAUUUUUUGAAACUUAUGGUCCUGAUGAAAUGAAAAAUAUUUCUGAAGAAUUCUAUGAAAUGUGUGCAUUAAAUAAUCGAAUUAAUUGUUUUGUGCCAUUAUUUAUAUCUGUAUACCUGCCUUUAUAUGUAAAAAUUAUUGAAAGAUCAUACCAAAAUUCAAAUGGUACUAUUACUCAGACUAUUUACCCUCCUCAAUCAUCUUUUAUACUUUCUAAUAAUACUGGUAUAACUUUUUCUGCUUUUCAAAAAUUCGUUGAUAAUGAAGUUAGAAAAAUCACUAUUUUUAAAAUAAAUAGUUUAAUUGCUCAAAAUAAUUAUUUGAGUUUGUAUGUAAAAGUUCUUGGAGAACAUAUUUCUUCUCUUGAUAAAAAACUUAAUACUGACAACUUUGAUUAAGCAGCUAAGUGAUAGUCAAAAGGCAUCUGAUAUUGCUUCCACUUCGGAAAGCAAAAAAGAAGAUUUGACAGCUGAGCCUCAUAUUCAAAGAUCUCCUGAUAUUCAAGGAUUUGGAAAGCCCUCUGAUUUAGAAGAGCUUGAAAAAUUAUUUGAAAAGAAAUUUUCUAGUUUAAACAUAAAGCCCAUAGAUCUGUCUAAUACUUUUGCUGAUAACCUUGAGUCUACUCCGAUUACGGACAUAGGUACUGAAAUCCACUCAGGGUUAAAUAAACUCAGAGGUUUGGUAAGAAAACAACAGGGAGAAAAAAAUGUUGAUGUUCCUCGUAUGCAAACUACUUAUUAUCCAAGACUAACUCCUCAAGAUGUUCUGAUAGAGGAAAGAGAUUGGUACUUGACAAACACGUCUUAUAGUGGAGAUCAUAUUUAUGAAUGAAAUGUAGAUGGAUUAUCAGAAAGACAAUUAUCUAUUUUAGUCCAUCGUAUGUUAAUGUAUUCUACUUUUUCCAAAGUCACUAGCCCUAAAGAUAGUGAGGGCAAUCUUGUUCGAACAGAUGCCACCAUUUAUAAAAUGAUUGUUGCAGGUUUUACUGGCCAACUUCGUGGCUGGUGGGACAACUUUCUUUCCAACGACGAAAGAAACAAAAUUUUUAAGGCUAAGAAUAUGCUGCCUAGAAUUGAUAACCUAGGUAGACAACUACCAGAAGGUAGAGAAGAUGCUGUCUAUACCCUUAUGCUCACUAUUAUUCAAUAAUUUUGGGGUAGAUUUACCAACCAACAUGAAAAUACUCAUACCUUCUGAAAUGACCUUAGAUGUAAACAUUUAGGAGAAUUCAGAUGGUACAAGGAUACUUUCAUUAGUAGAGUUAUGGAUCUGCCCGAAUCCAGGCUAGAACAUUGGAAGGCUAGAUUCAAUGAUGGACAUCCUCCUCUUUUUGCAAAAAGGGUUAAAAAAAUCAAUUAAGGGACAAUAUGGUGCAAUCCCUUGGACAGACUUUACUUAUGGUCAGGUUAUUGCAGCCUGUUCUCAAGAAGGCCUCAAUCUUUGUAAUGAAUUGAAAUUGUCUAGACAAAUUAAGUUGGAUAGGCUUAAAGAAAAAACCCAAUUAGGGAAUUUUUGUGGAUAAUUUUGUAUGGAAAAUCCUGCUUCUACUUCUAAGAAAAAGAGCCAUAGAUAUGUUGUUGUUAGAACUAAUUACCCUGAUAAGACCUAUAGAAUAAAGAGAAAAUCUAGACAUAGAUCCAAAGAAGAGCGUGAAGCCAGAAAAAUCCAUCGUAGGUCUACUAGAUUUACAAAAAAUAGGUAUAAGAGAGAUUUAACAAAAAUCAAGUGUUAUAAUUGUGGUCAAUUUGGUCAAAAGCAAGAUCUUGUCAGGCAGGGGUAAGCCGCUGUGCCUGCCAAACUAACUUCCAAAUAUCAGAUUUAGCCAUAGUCGGAAGACCGAAUCAAAGCACCAACUGAAAUAUAAAAGAAUUUUCAAAUAGCUUAAUAACUGUAUGAAAGAAUUAAUCUUUUUACCCAAACAAGGGGCCUGUUAGAUUUUUAAUAUACUUAUGUUGAACCCAUGUGUCUAGAAGUUCUGACUGUGCAAAAGGUCGCCCUAUUUUUCUUCAUCUUUCACGGGCUAAAGAGGCACAACUUACUAGACGUAGUCACUAAGACAAAGCCAACAUAAGUCAUAUUAAACUCGACUGUACCACCAUUUCGGAACCAAGUUAAGAAACUAUAGAAAAUUCCUUCAUAUUUUGAUAGAGUCUGGAUCUUUCAUAGUAACCUAGUAAACGAAGUUAGAUCUUCAACAUAGGUAUGAGAAGCCUUUUAGCUGGACAUAGUCACGACUGAAAGGGAAGAAGUAGUAUUAAAAGUACGUCAGAAGAGAAAGAAUAAGUACCUUAAAUUUGGCCGGAUGCAAGGUCGAAAUAGUGAUUAACGACGACUAUUUGCGUUCUUUUAUUUCAACCUUCAAAUAAUAUACAAAUGAAAGAAGAGAUAAGGAGGAGCACUAGGCUUAGAGAGAGAAAAGAAAAAUAAAUUUUCUAACUUGUACCUCCCUAACAAAUGAGGUACCUAUAUAUAGAAAAGAAAACAUCUGCACAUAGUACUUAUGAAUCCCACAUCCGAGUCCCUGUGCAUAGUAUUUUCACUGUUCUAAAAGGUCCCACAUAGUAAAUAUAGUUUUUGGGUCCUUUAGGUCAUAUCUUGUCUUUUCCUCUUUUGAGUUGGCGAAGCAAUUCUUUCAUUUUUUCAAUUUCUUCUUUAUCUAGAACAUUUUCAGGAGUAAGUGGCUGGGAAUCUGGAAUAUCUUCGAUCAUUUCUUCACUUGUAAUGCUUUUCAUGGAAACAUCUGAGUGUUGUUCGACUGUUUUAAUUAAAUUUCUGCGAACCUCUUCCAAAUAUUGUUCAAUCAUUUCUAUUUUAUCUACUUCAUGAAUAGAAAUUCGUCUGGAAAUGUAGCUGAGAUUUUUAUCCUCAAUGACUUUAUUUUGAGGAGUAGAGUAUUCAUGUAUAUUUUUAUUAAUGAACUCUAUUAGAUCUUGCCCAUGCGGUAAUUUAGUGAAAGGGUCUUUUCUUGUCAGUUUUUCCAAGAAAUUGUUAUAAAAUACCCUAUAGAUCCCAGGUAUUUGUUCUUUUGAGUAUCCAAAUUCAAAACUCCAUUUAUGUAUCCAUGGGAUGGAGAAUUCUAUAAAGAAAUACAUCUGAUCAAUUUUGUCAAGCUUACAGACAUGAUCUGAAUGAUGUAAUUCCCUUAAAAAUGGUGAUACCUUGAUCCAUUUUUUAUAGAGUUGUAAAUAUUCUUUUGGUAGAAUUUGAAUUGUAGGGUCAUGAUAUGACCACCAUUGUAUAAACCAAUUAGGAAUGGUUCUUCAAAUACUUUAGAACAAAUUUUCAAGAACCAAGUAUGCUUAUGCUUGAUAUUGUUAUAAUAUAAGGUCUGGGUAAAAGCCUUAAUAUAGUCCCAAUAUGUAAAAGAGAUUUUUGAUCCUUUCAUCAUCAUAGCCUUUUCGGUCAUAGUAGUUGUGCCCCAGUCAUAUAUUGAAAUUAAUUUUUUAAUAACAAUCUUUGAAUAUCCGUGUACAUCUGGGGUUGAAUCACCUAUUUGGUGAUGUUCCAAUUCUACACUCCCAGUGGACUGCAAUAUCAUUUCAUAAAAUGCUCUUUUUUGUAUGACUCCCCUGCAAAAUAAAGGUUAGCCAAUAAAUAUUUAUGGAGGAGUUUCCAGGGAUCAUUUUGUUUGCAUAUUUCAGAGUUUUCUACGAGAACUAUAAGCUCUCGAUUGUCUAGCUUUUCAUAUUGUUGCCUAUCAGCAGAAUUUUCUUUAGCAAUUGAAGCAAACGAAUCGACUUGCUUUGCAUUUAUAAAAGACUGUAAUUGCUCAUAUCAAGGAUGAUCCUUCGGAAUGUCGUCUAGAUAGAUUAAAUGCUUAUAUGUUGAGUUUUUUCAUUUUGUGAAGAAGAUUAUGCAAUCUGCGAAAUCCUUGCAUUUAUUAAGCUCAUAUUUUUCCUUUGUAAUAUUAGAAAAUUAGAUGAAGAUGAGGCAUAAGAUGAUGAAGGGGAGAAUUUCCCCCCUAGGAGGAGCAUCUUCCUCCUUGGAUUCUGUCUCUGCCUCGGUCUAUGGCUAUCUGCCAGGGUGGAUCCGUAGUCAUACUGCAUAAAAAGAUUAGUUACAUAAAUCAAUAUCAUACCAAUCAAUUUCAUCGCGUAUAUUUUUAAAAUUAGGAAGAAAUAAGUCUUCCUCUAUUAUGUCAUGAAUGAUUUUUUCUAAUAUAAUAAAAUACAUAUCUUCAUUUAGAGGAAUGCAUUUGAUAAUAGUAAUUAUUAUUUUUCAGAAAGAAAGUAUGUGUAAAAAUUCAUUUAAUCAUUUAAAUAUUCUCUAGACAAGAAAUCAGGUAAAGAGUUUUCACUCCCUUCCUUGUACUGUAUUUCAAAAUCAAAAGGGGCUAAUUGAGUUUGCAAUUAACUUAGAAGCAUCAUGUUUAAAAUCUUUAUCAAACAUAUAUUUAACUGAUUGAGCAUUAGUCCUAACUAUAAAUUUCUGAUUAUAUAAAUCAUCAUGGAAUUCUGUAAAUCAGCAUCGAAGUGCUUAUAUAUUGAGUUUUUCAUCUUUUGAAGAAGAUUCUGCAAUCUGCGGAAUCCUUGCAUUUAUCAAGCUCAUAUUCCCCCUUUGUAAUACUGAAAAAUUAGAUGAAGAUGAGGCGUAAGAUGAUGAAGAGGAGUAUCUUCCCCAGAGAAAGAGCUUUCUCCUUAGUUUCUGCCUCUGCCUCGACCUCUGGCUAUUUGCCAGGAUGGAUUCGUAGUCAUACUGCAUAAAAAGAUUAGUCAUAUAAAUCAAUAUCAUAUCAAUCAAUUUCAACGUGUAUAUCUUCAAAAUUAGGAAGAAAUAAGUCUUCUUUUAUCAUGUCAUGAAUGAUUUUUUCUAAUAUAAUAAAUUGAAUACCUUAAUUUAGAGAAAUGCAUUUGAUAAUAGUAAUUAUUAUUUUUUCAGAAAGAAAGUAUGUAUAAAAAUUAAUUUAAUCAUUUAAAUAUUCUCUAGACAAGAAAUCAGGUAAAGAAUUUUCACUCCCUUUCUUAUACUGUCUUAGAAAAUCAAAAGGGGCUAAAUGGGUUUUCCACCUUGCAAAGAUUAAUUUAGAAGCAUCAUGUUUAAAAUCUUUAUCAAACAUAUAUUUAUCUGAUUGAGCAUCAGUCCUAGCUAUAAAUUUCUGAUUAUAUAAAUCAUUUUGGAAUUUUGAAAUACACUUAACAAUAGUCAACGUUUCAUGAGCCACAAUGGCGUAUUUUUCUGACUUUCAGAUCAUUUUUCAGAAUGAAACCUAAUGAGACAUUCAAUAUUAUUAUGGGAAUUUACUUGUUUAACUAUUCCACCAUAACCAACAUUCGAAGCCUCAGUCUCAACUAUUUUUAACCAAGCAGGAUUAGCUAAGGUUAAACAAGGUAAAGACUCAACACAUUUUUUAAUCAUGUUUACCAGAUAAGUGUGAGUAUUAGUCCAAGGUCCUUUGUAAUUCUUUUUUAGCCUAUCAUAUAAAGGGGCUAAAUAACGAGAUAUAUUUCGAUAAAAAGGAGAAAUGUAAUUAAGACUGCCUAAGAACCUUUGCAAUUGAGUUUUAUUAGUCAUCGGGAAAUUUUUUAGCAAAGUCCAUAGCCCUUUGUAUGGGUACGAUUUUUCCUUUGCAAAUAUUAUGUCCUAAAAAUCGAACAUUAGUUUGAAAUAAGCACAUUUUUUAUUUAGAAAUGACCAAACUAUUUUGUAACACAAUUUGCUUGAAUAUAUUCAGAUGUUAAAAUGCAAUUCUAAUGUUUUUGAAAAUACAAGAAUGUCAUCAAUAUAAACAAUUAUAAAAUUCAUAUAUAGAUUGAAUAUAUCAUUCAUGAUAUUUUGAAAUUCAGAAGGAGCAUUUUUCAGACCAAACGGCAUUACAUUCCACUCAUAUUAUUCAAAAGGAACAUUAAAAGCAGUUCUAUAUGUGUGCUCUUUAAAAGUCUGAAUUUGCCCAUUACCAGAUUUUAAAUCAAAAUUUGAAAAUAUAUUAGUAUCAUAUAAUCUAGAUAUCAAAUCCCUUUUAUUAGGUAUUGGAUACCUAAUCCAUUUCAAAACUUUAUUAAGAGGUUUAUAAUUAAUUACAAGUCUAGGCAUACCACGUUGUUUUUCAGCAUCAUUAUUAACAUAAAAUGCAGUAAAUGACCGAAAUUUUGAAGGUUUUAUACACUACUAAAAAUAAGAGAAAAAGCGACCACAAAAACCGACCACAAGUGGUCGGUUUUUUCCUAUUUUCGACUAAAAAAUUGACCAAAAUUUUUGGUUGGAAAAGUAGUGGUAGCUUUUUAAAAAUCGACCACAAGUGGUCGUUUUUUUUCAUUUUUAAAAUUCAUUAUUAUUUUAUUUAAAUUGAAAAAAUAAUUUUAGGGAAAAAAAUCGACCACAGGUGGUUGGUUUUCUAUUAAAUUAAUUUAAUCAAAAACUGACCACUUGUGGUUGGUUUUUAAUUAAAUUAAUAAAUUAAUUUAAUAGAAAAUCGACCACAUGAGGUCGGAUUUUUAUUAAAUUAAUUAAUUAAUAUAAUUAAAAACCAACCACAAGUGGUCAUUUUUGAAUAAAUUAUUUAAUUAAAUUAAUAAAUUAAUUUAAUAGAAAACCGACCACCUGUGGUCGGAUUUUUAUUAAAUUAAUUAAUUAAUAUAAUUAAAAACCGACCACAAGUGGUCAGUUUUUGAAUAAAUUAAUUAAUUAAUUUAAUUUAAAACCGACCACCUGUGGUCGGUUUUUAUUAAAUUUAAUAAAUUAAUUUUAAUAAAAAUCGACCACUUGUGAUUGAUUUUCUGGAAAUAGUCCAAAAACUGACCACGUGUGGUCGGUUUUCUUAUUAUGUCCAAAAAUCAACCACUUGUGGUCGGUUUUCUGCAAAAUAAGUCCAAAAAUCGACCACAACAACAACAACAAUAACAAUAUACAACAAUAUCCAAAAUGAAAAUACAACAACAACAACAAAAAUCUAAAUGAGUACGAAAAAACUACAACCAUAGUUUCAAACAACAAAAUGUCAAAAACAUACAAAAAUCCAAACUAACAGUCAACAUCAUCGAAUUCGUGCUCCUCUUCCAUGUCCUCAUCCGUGCUGAAAUCAUCGAGGGGGCGUAGAUCUUUUGCAGCCCGAACUGCAUCACCAGGACACGGAGGAAUAACCCCUGCAGUCUAAAUGAAAGAACUGAACUGCUGCUGCAGCUUCCCGAAUUGUGAUGUUGUUGCCUUCUCCGCCUUUUCUUCCUCUCUCUCUAUUCAGCAAGCUCUUCAUGAGUUGAGAAAUCAUAUUUUGUAGUCUUUCAAUGGUUUCUGUAUCAACCGAAGAGCUAGAGUAUGCAGGGCUAGACGAACUCCUAAUACUAUCGCCAAAAUAUUUUAUGGGGCAUCUGUAGAAAUUGCCUCUAUUUGCAGGACCCGAAGCUUGUUUCAAUAACUCAUUCCGUACAUGAUCGGGUAUUGGGUCACCUUGACUUUCAGGAGGAUGACUACUACGAUACUCACCAACAAGACGCCUAAAUUCGUCCUAUAUUCAAAAUAAAGUUAAUACUAACAGACAAAAAAAAUACUAAAGUAGUUAUAAUUGAAUAAUACCAACUUUGAGAAAAAUAUUUAUAAAUUCAAAAUUUGUUUCUUACGUGGAUAACUUUUGCACGAGGUUCAACCCAGACAUCUUCAUCAGUCGGGUUCUUUUUCUUUUUCAGAUGAGUCUCCUCGAAAAUCUCAUCAUUUGGUAGUUCUCUACCCCUUUUUUUUCCUGUAUAUGAAAAAAAUAACAGUGUUCAAAUAAUUAAAAAAUUCAAAUAGAAAGGAAGAAUUAAAACUGUAAAAGUUACAUACCAAUUCUUCCUUCACAGCAAAAGUACUUUUGACACCCGCAGUAUGCAGGGAGCCACCCUUGGAUGAUGCCCGAUCUCUCUUUCCUUUUUCCCUCAACAAUUGGUAUUCUGGGCUAUUCCAGUGGCGUUGAUACAACGACCAUAAAGGGAAUCCACUUAGGUUUUACCAAUUUCUUUUGGGCAUAGUCCAACAGAUCGUUAAAUCUGGUUCUACAUCUUCUGAAAAAGUUCUUCUUUACAAGAAAUUGAUUUGCAUCAUCCCAGAAGUAAAAUUUCUACAACCAAAAUAUAAUAUUCAAUCUUGUGUUCUAACAAAUUGUUAAUAAGUAGUCGAUAAGUUAAAUCCUUACCUUAAAUUCUUCAAACAUUCUCUCCCUGACAAGUUAUGGAACUAUUUGCCAGCUAGUCCAGUAGCCGUUGAAGUGCCGACUAAUACAUAUUCGUGCAAUUUGUCCAACUCCAGCAUCCGGCCUAAACCUACAACACAAAAUCAAACAGUAAUUUCAUAGAGAACAAUAAAAUAGUAUUGAAAAAAUGAGUAACGCUAUUAUAUUUAGAAAUGUUACCCUCUAGCAACUGGAACAAUAUAAAUCCUCCCAGAAUCUAUGUCUCCUGGCUGCCUAGUAAGUGACGGUGGAUGCACUGGCAUCGGCGGAUCUGAAGCACCAGAUGGAGGGCCUCCAAGCUGAAGAUCCGACAACCCAAUAGAUCCAGCAGAAUCACUAUGCGAAACUGCGUGACUGCUUUAGGAGGGUAUCAAUGAUGGUAGAUGUCUGGAGGGGGCAGCGGCUGUCCGAUAGUACUGGGCUGGCGGUGGCACGGUCAUAGGAGCAGAAUGGGUUGGUGUAGACCCAUGUAGUGGCCCCACAUGCAUAGGAUUCGGUAUCGAAUCCCCGGACUACCUAGAAUAUGAGGGUCGUGAUGGCCCAUCAGCACACUGACCCUCAGAUAUGUGAAUACCGGUCGGUCGUCUAUAAGGAGGAGGUUGUUUUUUCUUUUUUGGUUGUGUAGUAUCAACCCUUCCCUUACCUCUGUCAUCUCUAUCCGACAUCUAAAUUAUGUUAAGUUAACAAGUAGUUAGUUGGUACAACAUGAAUAUAUAUAUAAGAAAACAUUCUAAGUAAGUACUUUCAAGUUACUAAUUCACAUUUCAAAUCGCUCCAACAACACGAGAUAUAGACAAGAAUAUUUUUAGGAGUAUAUAAAUCAUGGAAAAUAAAAAAAACAAACUUAAACAGUAUAUUACAUAUCAAUCUUAAACAAUAAACAUAAAGGUAAAGAUAUAGUACAAAGCAUAAAGACAUCAAUACAUAAUAAAUAUAGCCUACACAACUAAUCCUCCUCUUCUGAAGACUCUCCACUAAACCAUUUACCCUCUUCAGAGGUUUCCUCAUCUCUUAACCACUCAGCCUCUUCUUCUCCAAUAUUAACUUCUUCAAAAAUAUUUUCGGGGUGAUUCAAACCGUCCACUAAUUCAAUGUCCACUAGCUGGUGAUUAAUCUGCAUUUCAUUUUGAUACGUAGUCUCCAGCACAUUCUCAACUUCCACCCGGCCUAUAGGCUUUGUUUUGAUUACUGUCACACCCCUUUUUUACUUCCAAAAGAAUAGAUUUUUAAGUUUGAAAAGGGUUUUUAUUAUCAAGUGACAAAAGAAGAAUUUGUUCCAAAAAGGACUUUUAACAAUAAAAAUCAGAGUCGCCACUUGGCGUAAUUCGGUGUGCCAAGUCACUUUUGGAAAAUCCUUUUCAAAAUGAUUUGACUCUUUAAAAUUGGUUUGGAAACAGAGGUUUCGGCUAAGGAAUUCUGUUGACCAAGGGGAAGGUGUUAGGCACCCAUCGAUCCCGUGGUUCGACCAUGGUCUCUUGGUAGAGCGUAUCGGCUAAUCUUGAAACUAUAAAAUGUACAAACCACAUAAACAUACAAAACAAGCAAACAAACAAAUCACACAAAAUUAAAAAAAAACAAAAUAAUGUUCAGUCCAAAUUAUACAGUCCAAAAUAAAAGAGGUGCUAAAAAUAUAAAACCUAUUCUAUUCUAAACUAAUCCUAAGCAAAACUCCACUGAAUGUUCCGAGCCUUGAUUACGAGCCUCCUUAGCAUACAUGCUACUUCGGGGCAUUCCCCGGAUAAAUCGAUAAAAAUCCUUCGGGGCAUUUUACGAUCAAAUGAGUACAAUUUAAACUUUUUGUGCGAUAAAGUAGAACGAACCAUUCACGCGCAUAUUCAAACAUUCCAACAAAUCGUUAUUCCUAAAUUUUCCUACCCAAGUUCAACAUAUCACAAUUCCAUCACGUUCAACAUUAUCAAUACAUCAAAAUUAAUCAAUAUUUAUUUUUGCAUUUCUAAUUCUCACCCCGAUUUCAUUUACCCCAAAACAAACUCAAGUUGUUCUCAACAGAACCAUUAAUUAAUUUCAAUAUAAAGUCAACGAAUCAAGUCACGCCGAUUGCAAGGAUUCACAUACAUUCAAAACACCACGAAAUCACAUCAUCAACUUUGGAAAUAUAACAAAAGAAAAGAGUUGAGAAUUGGACCUCAAGAGAUUCGGAUACUGAUUGAUAAUAACGAAUGAAUGAAGCUGAAACCCAAACUCUCAGAUGAGAAAAACCUCAACAACGUCUGAACCAACUCGUAAUUGAGCACCCACAACCCGAACGGAUACGAAUUCCAAACUAGUAAGAAACAACAAAAUAUCCGAAACAAGAAUUUUAAUGGACAUCUAAACUCGAACAUGAAACUCUAGAAAUCUGAACCAAAUAAGAAAUCGUCGACAACAGGGAAUCAACAAAACCUGAAUCAAAAUUGAUUAGACCCUUUUUAGGAGUAGCCAAAUCCAGUUGUAGUUUUCACUGGAAUUAAUGAAGAAAGUGAUUGUUUUCCAAUGGGUCAUUUUCGGAGAGAGACGGUGGAUUCCGGUGAGUCGUUCGCCGGAAAAGUUGAACCAGUCAGCUGGGGUAUCUUCAUUCUAAGUUUUCACACUUCUCACUCGAUUUCAGCUCACUCUUUCUCGUUGUUACAUCUUCCGCUCCGUUCCUCACCGUUUGUGAUCUCCGGUCACCCUCGAUCACUGUCCCUCAUGUCAUUCUGCUGAUAGCUCUCUCUCUAUUUCUCUUCUCUCCCUCAUGAUCUCUCUCUCAAUCUCUUUACUGUGUGUAUUUCCAGUGGUUGUGAGUGAGUGCGUGAAGACGAAAAUUAGUGAGGUUUGAGUAAUGUAAUGUGUAGUGAGGUCAGUGCUUGUGAGUUGAGUGUUUUUCUUGCUGGAAUGGAAAUUAUGUGUGUGUAAUUUAUUUUGUGAGGGAAAAGGUAAAGAGACAUGAUGAGUGUGUGCAGGGGUCCUUUUUGUUAAUUACGUGAGGUGUGUAUAUGAAGAAGAAGCCAAUAUGUCUUGUGUAAUGGUCAGAUUAUGAGUGAGAAUCCAUCCUCCCCUUUACAAAAAUGGCCUCUAUGUUUUUUUCAAUUGGAAAGAGAAAAAUGGAAUCUCGAAAUGGGACUCUUUCACGUGUUGCAUAUGGUAUGUGCCUCUUCUCUUUUUUUGUUGGAAUUCUGUAUAUAUGGAAUUGGCAAAAACAUGUAAAGAAAGCUAGGUAGGGGGAGGGGGUCGCAGGUAAUGGUAAGAGGGUGUGGGGGUGAUGAUGUGUUGUCAAAUUUUAAUAGGGAGGGUUGUUAAUUUGUUAUUCAGAGAAUCAUGAGGAUUAGGUUGGUUAGGCAUUUGUUAUUUUUUGUAUUUUUGUGGGGUAUAAUCACAUGGAUGAGGGUGUGUGGCAAGGUGAGUUAAAAUAAAUAAAAUUGGACUUGGGAGGGACAAAAUUAGGUGUCUACGACAAGUCCCCUUUGAAUGUAAACAUGAAGUGUUUUUGGACAAAGAAGUAGACAAUGAGAGAGAAUUUUGUCCCGACCAUUAUUAAAAGAAUGAAAUAGAAGGAAGGAGGGACACCUAGUCUUGACUUAGUACAUCCUACCUACCCAACUUAUAAGGGAAUCAAGUGACAGGUAUCUUAAAGAAUUGGAAGGAGAUGGACUAUACCGAGUUGGAGAGUUGAGUGAGGCCCCAUCGAGGUUUCGGUCGCGGCUUUGUCAUUACAUCAAAAAAUGAAAAAUUACAAGAGUUAAAAAGAAAAAUAAAAUUAUAAAAUUCCUAUCUAUGCAGCUUUUUUUGAACUCUUGACUUGAGUUUCAUCACCCUAUUCUUCAGGAGGGCUCCUGACUUGUAAUUUUUUAAUUUGUUACUUGACUUUCAAUUGUUUCACCUUGUUGAUUGACUUUCUAUUUAUUAGCCUUGUGCUUCGGCGGGCUCCAAUGUUGCUUGAGUUAUCAAAACAAGAAAGUGCAUCUCCUUACAAAUGCCGCUUGAAUUAUCCAAACAAGAAAGUACAUCUCCUUACAGAUGUUGCUUGAAUUACCAAAACAAAGAAAUGCAUCUCCUUACAAAUUCCGAUUGAAUUACCCAAACAAGGAAGUGCGUCUCCUUACAAAAUGCUGCUUGAAUUACCAAAACAAAGAAAUGCGUCUCCUUACAAAUGUUGCUAUAAAUACCCAAACAGGAAAGCGCGUCUCCUUACCAAUGCCUCUUGAAUUACCAAAACAAGGAAGUACAUCUCCUUACCAAUGCUGCUUGAAUUACCCGAACAAGGAAGUGCGUCUCCUUACAAAUGUUUCUUAAAUUGUCCAAACAAGGAAAUGCAUCUCCUAACAAAUGUCUCUUGAAUUACCCAAAUAAGGAAGUGCAUCUCCUUACUAUUAUCGCUUGAAUUACCCAAACAAGGAAGUGUGUCUCCUUACAAAUAUUACUUGGAUUACCCAAACAAGGAAGUGUAUCUCCUUACAAAUGUUGCUUGAAUUUCCUAAACAAGGAAGUGUGUCUCCUUACCAAUGUUGCUUGAAUUAACCAAACAAGAAAGUGCGUCUCCUUACAAAUGUUGCUUGAAUUAUCCAGACAAGGAAGUGCGUCUCCUCCCAAAUGUCACUUGAAUUUCCCAAACAAGGAGGUGCAUCUCCUCACAAAUACUGCUUGAAUUACCCAAACAAGGAAAUGCGUCUCCUUGAGAUAUUGGAUUAUGGGUUUUACCAUGGUUUUGAUUACUAAAUUUGUGAAGCAAUAUUGCAUCUUGAAUUUGCGGAAGUGAGGCAUUUCAACCUUUGAUAUUUAGACCCUGAAUUCCUUGAUUUGAAGAUAACAAGUAUUCCUGUUUCAUACAAAGAAAACUUAUGAGUUUUAAAAACAUGGUGGCUAGUUUGUGGCUUUGGCUUUUGUGGCAAUUGUUGUUGCCCUUGUCACAUUUAAUCUUACUUUCAACCAUUAGCAUAUGUCAUUGAAUCGCUGCAUCAUUGAUCAAAACUCAGAUUAUUAAGAGUGACUCUGAAACAAACACAGUAUUUCUGCUUUGCCAUGCUUCUCAGAUAAACCCUUUGAACAUUGAUAUUUCCAUAAGUUUCCAAACUUUUCUGUUGACAAAACUUUUAGCAUGCCUUAUUUUGGCUCACAAUCAUGUCUCUUUCAUGUGUUGGCCUUUUGUCUUGCUUUGUGCAAUUGAAGAAGCUGGUAGCUAGUUUUGAAAUCUUUUCUCACUUGUUUUGAUAUGGACUUGACUCAAAGACGAGAAAAAUGACAAUGACUUUUAUUUGAACAACUAACUUAAGAAAACAAAAUAAAAGUAAAGAGAAGAAAGAAAAGACAAUGAAUGUCCCUAUUUGAAAUAAAGAAAUGAAAAAUUUAUCUUGAAAUGACAGUCAACUCUAAUGAUUAUGCCAUGCUCUGAUCUUUCCAUCCAAACUUUCUACCAAUUUUUGUUGAGUUAAUGGCCUUAAAACUGAGUUGCUUCCUUAGGUCAAUUGCAUUUAAGACCUCAUUCGGCUAGUGACACCUUGAAGGGCUUUCGCCAACAAGCCUUUCUCAUUUUUCUCUCAGCUCACCAUUGCCUUAUGGUGUCCGUGAGGGCUUUUCACCAAUGAGACUCUCUUAUUUUCAAUCUCUCAGCUCACCAUUUUCUUAUGGUAUCCGUGAGGGUUUUUCGCCAAUGAGACUCUUAUUUUAAUUUUUCUUAACUCACAGUGGUCUUACAGUGCCCGUGAGGGUUUUCACCGAUAAGACUCUCUCAUUUUUAUCUUUCUUGACUUACCAUCAUCUUAUGGCGCCCGUGAGGGUUUUCACCAAUAAGACUCUCUCAUUUUUACUUCUCUCCUGGUUCCUUAUGCUGAGGAAGACAAGUAGUUUCCAAAAUGCGUCAUUAUAUCCCUUGCAUGCUUAGCCUUAACAUUCUCAAAGAUUGAUCUGAAGGUUUUUCUUUGGUUGUAACUUGAUUUUUGGAUAGGGUUAGGAAAAAAGGAUGGCAUGAGGCCCAAAUGAAACUUGAAGUAGGGAAGGACUUACAACUUUUAGAAUCGACUCAAACAUUGAGGAUUAACCGAUGCCCCAGUUCUUUGGCUAGGUGACUCUAAAUUAUUUAUUUGGUUGGACCGAGCUCAGAGUAAGGCAGCCUACGUAUCUCACUUCUGAAAGAGGAAAAUCAAGUCGCACGUAGUUCCAGCAGCUUAUUCUUAUGAUUGAUUUUUUAUUUUGUUGUCUCUUUUUCUCUUUGGGACUUUUCUGACUUUAUUUUUCUUGACACUCUUCCUUUUGGACACAUUUUUUUCUCUUAUUUUUUUUGAAACUUUUCUGACUCUACUGUUUUGCUCGACAUCUUUUCUUUUGAGCUUUGUUGACUCUAUCUUGAUUCCAAAAUAGGGGUAUGAAAUAAAAUAGAACUAAAGCUCAAAUAGGGUAAACAAAGAAUGACACGAUGUUUGGAUAGUAGAAUAAAAUGCCUUCAUCAUAUCAAUCCUUAAAAAUGCAAGUACACAUCAUGCAAUGUGAAAAUGAAAGAUGGAGAUCAUUUGUGACACUUUCACAAUACUAACUUUAAAUGAGCAUGUGUGCCACUACUUCUUCUGGGCUUGUCAAACAUAAAACUCUACCUGUGUUAUAGAUCCCUCACAUCAACUGACCCAUGCUUUCAUGGAGCUGAUUUUUCUGUUCCUCAAAAUCACACAUCCGCUAUUUGACCUAAUUGAGCUAUGUUUUUCAAUUGAUGACCAAGUUAUUCUUGCGAUUCUCAAAAUAAUUGCUUUAAUUUUCAAAGAAGGCUUGAACUUGUCAGUUCCCUUGUGUUGUAGGAAUUUGAUGAUGUUUUUCCACAAAAAUUACCGUAAGGAUUACCCCCAAUCUGGGGAAUUGAGCACCAAAAUGAUUUUAUGUCGGGUUCACAACAACCCAACAAACCUGCUUAUAGAAGUAAUCCUAUGGACACUAAAGAUAUUAAGUGGCAAGUUGAGGAUCUCCUCAACAAAGUCUACAUCAAAGAAAACAUGAUCCCAUGUGUAGUUCCAGUGCUCUUGGUACCAAAGAAGGAUGGAACUUAGCGCAUGUGUGUGAAUUGUAGAGCCAUCAACAAAAUAACGAUAAAAUAUCGUCACCCUAUCCCUAGGUUAGAUGAUAUGAUAGAUGAGCUAAAUGGCUCUAGUGUGUUUUCUAAAGUUGAUCUUAGGAGUGGAUAUCACCAAAUUCAAAUGCAACCUGGUGAUGAGUGGAAGACCGCAUUCAAGACCAAGUUUGGUCUAUAUGAGUGGUUGGUCAUAAAAGAGCGACAAUCUUCAAUACUGUAACCCUGAACAUCAGAAUGAUAUGUACAUCGUACAUUAGCAUCAAAACUUCUUGAAUACGGGUCAGGAUAUACCCAAGGAGAGGAGUAAUCAUGCCUCGCUGUACCAAUUUUUGAAAUAUGUUGGCAUACGACUCUUCAAUUGGUGUGAAGCUAGCCCUCAAUUUCUUCCUCCUUUCAUUGUUUGGAUUGGAUCCAAAAUUUAGCCUAAAAAGGCUUUGAUAGAUUUGUAGAGUUGAAGGGUAACUUUGAGGAGUUCGUGCGUGCCAUUAUGAGUAAGAAGGGAGUUGAACAUAUGGUUGUGCACAGUAUACUAGAUAUGGAGGUAGGGAAAUGGAGUAUAAUGGAUUUUUGGAGGUAUUAUAGAGAGCUUGGGGAUGAACUUAGGCCUGAGAUUGACGGCAAUGACGACAUCGUCUUCUUGGAUGUGCCCAUUCUCCAACUACAAUAGCAACUGUAUCUUUCUCAUUCUUCUUUCCUCCAGUUUCCUUUAAUUGAUUGCAAUAUUGUCCCAAAUGUUUCAUGGAUUCCUCCUGUUCAUCUUGCUCCUUGAAUUUUGAUAUCUCAAGGCUUAUAGGAGGGUUAACACUUGAAGACAUACCCUAGUUUUUGUAUGAAACAUCUUCUUUACUCGCAAGUCUUAGGGAACUUUUCAUGGCAUUUCCUGCACUCUUUAUUUUUCCAACCAUUUUCUCUAGCUCUUCUGGCACACUAGGCUUCUUGUUAAGAAAUUUUGGUGGUCCAGUUAGCAUAAAAGUAGGAUCAAAAGUAUCGCAAUGAUCACCAAAAGUAUUAAACAAGGGUCCAUUAGCAGCAUGAGAAAGCACAACUGUUGGGUGGUUGGCCAAUGUAGAAACCUCAGUAGGGGAUUGAGCAACAAGAUCACAGAUAGCAUGUGGUAUUGUGAAUGUAGCAGGCUUAUACUGAGGAGCUCGAGGAAAAAUGGUGGAAGUAUUGUGAUACUUUUGGCUUGGAAUGAAUUAUGAGUCAUGUUGUGGUGCAUCAACAAUAGUAGGACACUAACUUUGUGAUUUUGGUGGAAAAAUUGAGGUAUUUUUAGGAUCAAUGGCAAAAAAUGAAGGAGGAGGCAACCCACUGGCCCAAACUUGGUGCAUUUCUGUCAUUUGUUUCCUUAGUUUCCUAAUCUCUUGCUUUAAACUCUCAUUUUCAUAACUCUUUGUUUGAUCAUGAUGUCACUCUCUAUAUCUUUGUUGGACACAACUAACCCUUUGAAUUUGGCGUGAUGUGGAGCACCAGCCAGAAUGCCACAAACCAACCACCUUAAACUGACUCACCAAAAAACAACAAAUGUGUUAGAGUUUAACACUUUUUCAAAACUCUUUUUCCUUUUUUUAUAUUUUAAAAAGAUCACCGAACCCAAGAAGGGUUCCUACGUAUCUCACUCCCGAAAGAGGAGAAUCAGGUGUGCGUAGUUCGUGAAGUCUUGCCAAAAUGGCCAAUUAAUUCUUUUUCCUUUCUUCAUUCUUUUUCUUGAAACUUUAAAAAGAAAAGGAAAUAACAAAUUGUCAAAAGAAUUGACGAAUUUUUUUUUUUAGCAUUUUUCAAGUUUAACUCCCUAUACAAAAUAAAAGCUAUGAUUACCAAAGAAAAAUCUUUUUGGGUUUUUGAUUUUGAAUUUCAUAUGGAAAUGAAACUAAAACCUAUUAAAGGAAAAAACUUUUUUGUAGUUUUCUUUUAAAGGUGUAUAUGAAACACCUACUCUAAUAAAGAGUGAAGAAAAUUUUUGAUUUUUUAAUUUUUCAAAUAAGAUCCCCGAACCAACAAUAGGCUACCUACGUAUCUCACUCCCGAAAGAGGAGAAUCAGGGGUGCGUAGUUCGUCCAGAUUGGACAAUUAAAGAUUAUAGAACAAACAAAACAUUGACUUGAGAGACACGACUACAUGAUGAAAAUAAAAUCUUUUUGGAUUUUUAAUUUGACACUUCAUACAAAAAUGACACCAACAACUAUGAAAGAAAAAUCUUUUUUGAAAAUUUUGAAUUAUGGAUACAUGGUAAAGGAAUAAAAGGAAAAUCUUUUUGAUGUUUUUGAGAAAAUGAGUGUGAAAGGUAAAAUUUUUUUUUGGAAUUUUUGGAUUGUGAAAAAAAACUCAAAAGCCAUAAAGAACUCUAAAAACUUAUGAAACACUCUUUUUUUAUUUUUGACUCACUUUUUUUCUAUUUUUUUCAACAAUUCUUGCCUAUGCACUUUACUUCUAACAUAUACUUUUCCCAAAUCAAUCCGUCAAAUGAUCAUGUUACCCUCAAAGAUGCAACAUUUAGCACGUAGGGAUGCUUUAGAGGUGAGUCUCCUACAAAGGACCAAGUGGGCCCCGCUAAGUCUCAAUAUGAUGCACAUAAGCAUGACCUAAAGGCUGACCUACGUUGGGGUUCACUAACAAGGAUGAUUGGGGGAGCGUAUGGUCGAUAGUGGUUGCUUUGCUUUCCACCUACUCCAUAACACCGAUGGCUCCCCCCCCAAAAUAAGGGUGACUCAAAUAGAGGCCAUGUACAACACGUGUACUAUAGACUUGUUGUAGAAAGAAUGACUCGGAUUAUGCACAUGAUGCCAGAUAUAAAGCGGUAACACAUAAGAUAAAAACUGUAAACAAAGAGCAUGUAGGCACUCAACAGUGAUAAUACAUAACAUAAAACAACACAAAUAAAAUGUCCAUACACCUAUAGUGCCAAACUAAGCCGAUACAACUCCAAAAUAAGCUCGAAUUCUGAAAUAGUCCCCAGCAGAGUCGCCAGAGCUGUCACACCCUUUUUUUUUACUUCUAAAAGAAUAGAUUUUUAAGUUUGAAAAGGGUUUUCAUUAUCAAAUGACAAAAGAAUAAUUUGUUCUGAAAAGGACCUUUAACAAUAAAAAUCAGAGUCGCCACUUGGCAUAAUUUGGUGUGCCAAGUCACCUUUGGAAAAUCAUUUUCAAAAUAAUUUGACUCUUUAAAACUGGUUUGCAAACAGAGAUUCUGGCUAAGGAAUUCUGUUGACCGAGCGGACGGUGUUAGGAACCCCUCGAUCCCGUGGUUCAAGCACGGUCGCUUGGUAGAGCGUAUCGGUACAAACCACAUAAACAUACAAAACAAGCAAACAAACAAAUCACACAAAAUUCAAAAUAAAAUAAAAUAACGUUCAGUCCAAAUUAUACAGUCCAAAAUAAAAGAGGUGCUAAAAAUAUAAAACCUAUUCUAUAAUAUUCUAAACUAAUCCUAAGCUAAACUCCACCAGAAAUUCCGAGCCUUUAUCACGAGCCUUCUUUGCAUACAUCCUACUUCGGGGCAUUCCCCGGACAAAUCGAUACAAAUCCUUCAGGGCAUUUCCCGGCCAAAUGAGUACAAUUUAAACUUUUCAUGCGAUAAAGUAGAACGAACCAUUCACGUGCAUAAUCAAACAUUCCAACAAAUCAUUAUUCCUAAAUUUGCCUACCCAAGUUCAACAUAUCACAAUUCCAUCAUGUUCAAAAUUAUCAAUACAUCAAAAUUAAUCAAUAUUAAUUUUUCCAUUUCUAAUUCUCACCCCGAUUUCAUUUACCCCAAAACAAACUCAAGUUGUUCUCAACAAAACCAUUAAUCAAUUUCAAUAUAAAGUCAACGAAUCAAAUCAUGCCAAUUGCGAGAAUUCACAUACAUUCAAAACACCACGAAAUCACAUCAUCAACUUCGAAAACACAACAAAAGAAAAGAGUUGAGAAUUGGACCUCAAGAGAUUCGAAUACUGAUUAAUAAUAACGAAUGAAUAAAGCUGAAACCCAAACUCUCGGGCGAGAAAAACCUCAACAACGUCUGAACCAACUCAAAAUUGAGCACCCACAACCCGAACGGAUCUAAAUUCCAAACCAAUAAGAAACAACAGAAUAUUUGGAACAAUAAUUUCAAUGGAAACCUAAACCCGAAUGUAAAACUCUUGAAAUCCGAACCAAACAAGAAAUCAUCAAGAACAGGGAAUCAACAAAACCCAAAUCAAAACUGAUUUGAUCCUUUUUAGGAGUAACCAAAUACGGUUGUGGUUUUUACCGAAAUUAAUGAAGGAAGCGGCUGUUUUCUAAUGGGUUGUUUUCAGAGAGAGACGGUGGAUUCCGGAGAGCCGUUCACCGAAAAACUCAAACCAGUCAGUUGGGGUAUCUCCGUUCUGCAUUUUCACACUUCUCACUCGAUUUCAGCUCACUCUCUCUCGUUGUUGCAUUUUACUCUCCGUGCCUUACCGUUUUCAAUUUCCGAUCACCCUCGAUCUCUGUCUCUCACGUCAUUUUGAUGCCAGUUCUCUCUCUGUUUCUCUUCUCUCUCUCACGAUCUUCCUCUUAAUCUCUUUAGUGUGUGUAUUUUCGAUGGCUGUGCGUGAGUGCGCGAAGAUGGAAAUUAGUGAGGUAUGAGUGAUGUAAUAUGUAGUGAGGUCAGUGCUUGUGAUUUGAGUGUUUUUCUUGCUGGAAUGGAAAUUAUGUGUGCGUAAUUUGUUUUGUGAGGGAAAAGGAAAAAAGAUGUGAUGAGUGUGUGCAGGGGUCCUUUCUGUUAAUGACGUAAGGUGUGUAUAUGAAGAAGAAACCAAUAUGGCUUGUGUAAUGGUCAGAUUAUAAGUGAGAAUCCAUCCUUCCCUUUACAAAAAUAGCCUCUAUGUUUUUUUCAAUUGGAAAGAGAAAAAUGGAAUCUUGAAAUGGGCCUCUUUCACGUGUUGCAUAUGGUAUGUGCCUCUUUUCUUUUUCUUUUUUUUUUUGGAAUUUUGUAUAUAUGGAAUUUUCAAAAACAUGUAAAGAAAGCUAGGUAGGGGGAGGGGGUCGCAGGUAAUGGUAAGGGGGAGUGGGAGUGAUGAUGUGUUGUCAACUUUUAUUAGGGAGGGUUGUUAAUUUGUUACUAAGAGAAUCAUGAGGAUUAGGUUGGUUAGGCAUUUGUUAUUUUUUGUAUUUUUGUAGAGUAUAAUCACAUGGAUGAGAGUGUGUGGUAAGGUGAACUAAAAUGAAUAAAAUUAGACUUAGGAGGGACAAAAUUAGGUGUUUACAAUUACAGCCCACCAAUCAGACUUGUCAUUGCGUAACAAAAAAGGAGCAUAAUACAAUUUUUUAGCAUUUUGCGCUAGAACAAAUGGAUCGUAAAUAGGAUACGACCUAUUGUGCUUCACUUCAAUGAUGUUGUGCUCCUUAUGUACUCUUGUGCCUACUGUGCUUGGAUCAAACCUUUUAUAACGAAAGAGGACAAUUUUUUUAUUGGGAAACUGGCAUACUCCAGUUCUAAGAUCUCCUGUAUGAUGCCAAAGUAAUCAACAUCAUCAUCACCCUUAACCCAAACACCACUAUUGUUUGUUUUCCUUGACCUGAAGUGUUGUUCGGUGGAAAAACUAAACCCAUUUACUUUGUAUUGCGACAUUGCAUUAGCUUCAAAUGGACCCAAAGAAAUAUAUCUCAAGAGAUUAUCGUAUGCGGCUGCAUUUGGUGAAUGGUGUACCUAAAAUUAUCAUACAUAUAUAUUUUAGUUGAGGAAUGUGUAAAUGUUUAAAAUUUGAAGCAACAUUAAUACACUAACGAACCUCAUUUUUAAACUAUGUUGCAAAGGAUGCAUACACUUGAUUUUUGUGGAAUUGAGUCUUAAAUGAAAUGAACAUCCAACAUGGGAAACACAAUUAUUUUCUUUAAGGGAAUGAGUAAACAAACAGGAUAUGUUAUAAUUUGAAUCUCCUUACUCCAGAAAGGGCUCAAUUUCCAGGCAAUUCAACAAGACAUACAAAGUUGCUGAUUUGCGCUCCAUGGGAUUGAGCCGGCGAGGUAUGAUCUUUUUAGCCUUACAACUAUAUUGAUUGAAAAUUGAUAUCGGUUGCAAAUGAGGCUCAUUCACAUCGUCCUGAUGACUAUUCGGGUGAUUUCUUGAACAAGCAACUUCAUCACGAAAGUAGAACGAACAAAAUUGAGAAGUUUCUCUUGUAAGAUAUGCCUCAACAAUAGAGCCUUCCACCCUGUGUUUGUUUUUGGGACCUCUUUUCAGUUUUCCAAUUGCCCUGUACAAUAAUGUCAAGCUUAGAUGUUUACUAUAUUUUAAAAAAAUAAGUAUGCAUUUAAAUAUGUUGCAAAUGCUUACCGUUCGAACUGGACCACCUAGCCGAGCUUCGUGUACAAGGUGAAUGGAAAGAUGUUCCAUCACAUCGAAGAACACUGGCUGGAAAAUCUUCUCCAGCUUGUUGGUGAUAACAACAAUAUUACUUUCCAUUCGCGCCAGAUUUUCUUCUUUUAAUCUGGUCGCACAUAAGUCUAUGAAGAACAAACUGAUCUCUGCUAUUGCUUUCCAUAUGUUUUCAGGUAAACUAAUAAAAGCAAUUGGAAGUAACUGUUCCAUGAGAACAUGAAAAUCAUGGCUUUUCAUUCCAUGUAAUAUUCCUUGUGUCAUAUCAACUCUCAUUCCCAAAUUUGAGGCACAACCAACGGGCAUCUUCAAACUCUGAACCCACUCACAUAUUUGCCGCUUUUGAUCCAACUUGAAUGUAAAACUAGCCUUGGGAUUAAGAACAUUACCAUUGGGCCCCUGCUGUAAGUGUAAUUCUCUGCGGUUGUAAUAUUCUGGUAAGUCAAGUCUAGUCUUAGGAUUAUCCUUUGUUUUGCCAGUGACAUCCAUAACUGUGUUGAACAAGUUGUCAAAGUAGUUCUUCUCAGUAUGCAUGGCAUCAAUAUUAUGUCUAAGCAAAUUAUCUGGCCAAUAUUCUAACUCCUAAAAUAUACUUUGCUUAGUCCAGUUAUGCAAAACACCAUAUCCAUCAAGCCUGUCCUCGCUGGCUUUAGGCAAAGCCUGAACUAUUUCCCAGACGUCAUGACCAGAAAGCAUUGGAGGUGGACCACCAUGUUCCCUUCUAUUCCUUCUGAAGGCAUUCUUGAGUCUCCUAAAUUCAUGAUCAGGUGGCAAGAAACAAUGAUGACAAUCAAACCAUGAGUUUUUCCUGCCAUUUCUCAUUGUGAAAGAUUUUGUUUUUUCCAUGUAGCAUGGACAAGCCAGCUUUCCAGCGGUCAUCCAACCCGAUAACAUUCCAUAAGUAGGAAAAUCAUUAACAGUCCACAUUAGAUAUGCACAGAUUGAAAUUCUAUUUAAGAGAGAUGUCCUAAUUUUCAACCCCCUCAUGCCAUAAAAUUUGAAGUUCAUCUAUCAAAGGUUGCAAGUAUAUAUCUAUUCCGCUUUUUAGAUUAUGCGGGCCAGGAAUAACACUAUUCAAAAAUAUAUAGGGACUAGUCAUCAACAUUUCAGGAGCAAGAUUGUAAGGAGUGAUAAAUACAGGCCAACAUAAAUAUGGCGCACCACCAACUGAAAAAGGGGAGAACCCAUCCGCACAUAAUCCCAAUCAAAUAUUUCAUGGCUCAACUGCAAAAUUUCGAUAAGUUGCAUUAAAAUGCUUCCAAGCCUCUCCAUCAGAUGGAUGACACAUAAUACCAGUGAGCCUUCUAUUUUCACUAUGCCAUCUCAUAUGAGGAGCUGAGCUGUUUGAAGCAUACAACCUCUUCAACCUUGGUAUAAGAGGUAAAUAAUGCAUCGCCUUAAUAGCUAUUUGAUUUCCAGUAGAACCAUACUUAUAUAGAGGGUACUGACAAAACUUACAGAACUCUAGGUUAGCAUCUCCCUCUAAGUAUAACAUGCAGCCAUUUUCACAACAAUCAAUUCUAACCGAAGAGAGACCUAACUUUGACACUAAUCUUUUUGCCUUAUAGAAAGAAUCAGGAACCUCCAAGCUGGGGUCAACUAACUCUUUAAUAAAGUCUAUAAUUGAGUCCAUUCCGCCUUCCGCAAUAUUCCAGUCAAAUUUAAUGCUUAAUAAUCUAACAGGAACAGACAAACGAGAGUGCGAACACCCGCCAAAAAAAGGAUGACUAGCAGCAUGCAAUUCGUCGUAGAAAUUUCCCGUUUCGCUAUUAGGAACAUCUUCAAUAUUUUCCCUAAAGUCAACCCCGUGUUGGAUCCCAAAAGCAUCAUGCACUAUUUUUGUCAUCCUAGUAUCUUGAUAUUCAUUAUGCCCUGCAGACCUACGACUUUCUCCAACAACAGAGUUAUUUUGCACAACAUCACCAAGAAUACCAAUCAUUCUUAAAAAGUCUUCGUGAAACCCCUUUCCAUAAAGAUGUUCAUUUACAUCUUCUUCACUUACAAUAUUUAUACCAUCACAUCUAACAUAAGGACAACGAACUACCCAAAAACGUGUCCAAAGAUCAAGUGUCUUAGCAUGUUUAAAAAUUCUUUUAACACCGUCAACAAAUUCCUCCCAAAUACCCAUUCUAUUCUCAUUGUUCUGGUGAUAUAUCCAGCUAUAAUCAUGUUCUAUCUAUGCAAUCAAUCAGAUUCAAGUAAUUAGAUCAAGCAUUUUCAACUAAAAAAGGCACCAACAAAUAAAGUAACCAACCACAUCACCUCCUAAACAAAAUUUCACUUUUAAAGACCAAAACUUAAACUUUAUCAACUAAUAAAGUCACCAACAGCAUCACCUCCUAAACACUAAUUCAUUAUUAAAGUCAUCGGCACUUAAGCAUUUUCAACUAACAAAGGCACCAACAGAACUAAUUUACUAUUAAAGUCACCGGCACUUAAGCAUUUUCAAUAAAAAAGUAACUAACAACAUCACCUUCUAAACAAAAGUUCACUUUUAAAGUCACCAAAACUUAAGCAUUUUCAAGUAACAAAGGCACCAACGAGACUAAUUCACUAUUAAAGUCACCGGCACUUAAGCAUUUUCAACAAAUAAAGUAACCAACCACAUUAACUCCUAAAAAAAAUUUCACUUUUAAAGACCAAAACUUAAACUUUAUCAACUAAUAAAGUCACCAACAGCAUCACCUGCUAAACACUAAUUCAUUAUUAAAGUCAUCGGCACUUAAGCAUUUUCAACUAACAAAGGCACCAACAGAACUAAUUUACUAUUAAAGUCACCGGCACUUAAGCAUUUUCAACAAAAAAGUAACUAACAACAUCACCUUCUAAACAAAAGUUCACUUUUAAAUUCACCAAAACUUAAGCAUUUUCAAGUAACAAAGGCACCAACGAGACUAAUUCACUAUUAAAGUCACCGGCACUUAAGUAUUUUCAACAAAUAAAGUAACCAACCACAUUAACUCCUAAACAAAAUUUUACUUUUAAAGUUACCAAAACUUAAGCAUUUUCAACUAAUAAAGUCACCAACAACAUCACCUCCUAAACACUAAUUCACUAUUAAAGUCACCGGCACUUAAGCAUUUUCAACAAAUAAAGUAACCAACAACAUCACCUUCUAAACUAAUUCACUAUUAAAGUCACCAAUACUUAAGUAUUUUUAACUAAUAAAUUCACCUAAGAAACCACAUUCAACAAACAAUCAACAACAAUGAUAGUGAAUCGUAAAAGGCCACACACGAUUUUACUAGACUUCAAUAUGGAGCAAUAAAAAGAAGAUAACAACAAUGCUAUUGAAUCACACAAGGCCACACAUGGCUUCACUAGACUUUAAUAUGAACAAUAAAAAGAAGAUAACAAAAAUGCUAGUGAAUCAAACAAGGCCUGUAAUGACCCUUCAGGUCAUUAGCCGUAUUCUCACUUAUUUUGCCGAUAGAGCUCCUCCAUAGACAUCCCAAGUCAUUAGUGACUUGCUAGAAUUGAUAGUUUAGUUACAUGACAGUUCGUUUGAUUUUUAGAACCACUUUUAUAAUUGGAAGUCUUCGUCAAUUCCAAACGGCCGCCAAACGAAAUUUCAGUAAAAUAAUUUUGCAUGCAACUAUCAACUGUGCCAACAUCUAAGUAAGAUUGAUUUUAGGAUAGAUAGACCCUUGGUUCAGAUCUCAUAGCACCCAAGCUCAUUCCGACCAAUUAGUCGAAAAGUCAAAUAUCAAAAUAUAGGGGUGUGGGACCCACAAGUAGUAUAAAUGACCUAGUAUAAAAAAUAUGACUUCACCAAUGCAUCCGGAAUGUCAAAUUUAGUGGGGUUACAUAGUUUGUUUGCAAAAAAUGGAGUCCAAAUAAGUUUGGAAGGUCAAGGCCCAUCUAAAACCAAAUAAAAGGGGGCUUUUGGUAGAUUUUGAGCAUUCUUCACCUCUAUUAAAACCCUAGCAGUCCUAAAAGAGUGGUGACUCAAAAAUUGGUCUUGUGGGUUGAUUGGAAACUAAAGCAAGUUGUGUAAUCCAUCUUUUUACUACAAAUCCAAGGUAAGAAUUCCUCUAAUUUGAUAUUAAUUUCAUUAUUUUUUUGACUCAAAACCCUAAAUCAUUGUGGGUCAAUUGUAUCCCCAAAAUUGAGUGUUUGAUUUAAAUUAAUUAAGGGUUUUAACUCCCUAAAUAUAAUUAGUCUAUGGUUGGUCUUGGAAACUCCUUUCCAAGGGUGAAACCUAAUUGGGAUUUUGGUGUCUAUUUGAAACCCUUGGCACAGUGAUGCUAUAAUGGGUAUUUUCAUUCUUUUUGUAAUUCUUAGAUUAUAUUGUUGAUAGCAUUGCUUGUGGAAGAGGAAGCUUCUCAAAAAUAAAAGGAAAGCUCGUUGGUUCAUGAGUUGCUUGUAUUCAAGGUAGGUUAGGCUUACCCGUAGUAUAGAUUGAGCUUGUUUGUAAAGUAAUCAUUGAUAUCUUGUGAGAUUGGGCAGGGAAUUUAGACAAUAGUUGAUUAAAUAGUAAAUUUAGGAUUUAUUAAUUUCUAUAGGCCAUGGAUUUGUAAGGUAUUAUACUUGACCCUUAGCCUAGGACCUUGGUUAGAUUAAUUGUGGUCUCAUGACUAGUGUGUGAACAUUAUAGUUGUUCUAAGUAGACAUGAAUAGUAUACUUCUCUAUCCUUAGGAGUGUAUUGACCUAUAUAAAAUACCUAGAUAGGAGAUAAACUUGGUGUUGGGUUGACUUAGGAAGAAUACUUGAAGAAGAUUUCUCUAAUAUGCUUAGUAAGGAUUGAUAAGCCCUUAUGGUGUGACCUAGAUAACCUAGCCUAAAUUCGGGUAGAAGUUUGUCUUUUAGAAGUGACUUUAGUAUUAGUGGGAGUAAGAAGUGGGACUUGACCCACCUUAAGCUUGAACUAUGUAACUUCUUGGUGACCUAGAUACUUGAUGAGUGUCAAAAUUAUGUUAUUGGAUUAUAAGGGUUAAACCUGGUUAUCAGUUUAUGAAUAAGGUUGAUGGUUGAAAAAUGUGUAUUCUUGAUUGUUGUCUAAUUACAGUGUUAUGGAUAGCCAAGGAAAUAUGGUAAUUGUGUAUGUCAUCUAGAUACUCAUGCCUAUGCUUCUACUCACAUGUCAUGAUGAUGACUAGUAAUAAAGUGUGAUGGUUUAUGCAUCCUACAUCUCUAUUACUCGAUUAUUGUGAACUUGUGUAUGUUUAUUGAUUUGGGUCAUUUAUGUGUGUGUGUAUGUUGUUGGCUUGAAAAAUAUUGAUACAAUAAUGAUGUCCGGUAAAUCUGGAAGAAUUAUUGAUACUAUGAUGAUGCCCGGUUAGUCCGGAGGAAUAUGUGACAUUAUGAUGAUGCCCAGUUCGAGUCCGGAGGAAUAUGUGAUAUUAUGAUGAUGCCCGAUUUGAGUCCGGAGGAAUAUGUGAUAUUAUGAUGAUACCCGUUUAGAGUCCUGAGGAAUAUGUAAUAUUAUGAUGAUGCCGGGUUUGAGUCCGGAGGAAUGUGUGAUAUUAUGAUGAUGCCCGGUUUGAAUCCGGAGGAAUAUGUGAUAUUAUGAUGAUGCUCAAUGAAUUCGGCGGAAUAUGUUGAUAUUGUGAUGAUGCCCGGUCAAUUAGGAAGAGGUAAGAAUAUUUUGAUGCCAUGUGGGGCAAAUUUACUUAUCUGUAUUGAUAUUUGUAAGGUUAGGCUGUGUGGGGCCAAUCGCCUAUGUGCUAGAAUUAUGAGGUCUCUAUUGGUAAAUUAUUAUUUAUUUCUUGUUCCAAAUCACUAUAUAAGAGGUGUGACCCUUUUUUAUGUUAAACUAGCUACCAGAGGAAAUUUAUGCCUAAUAUUGAGUUAAGACUUAGUGUUACAUGUAAAUUUACAUAAAAAUUCAAGGGCUAACCUAAUAUAUAAACUUGACUUGAAUAAGAGGUUAUAUUAUGAAAUAUUGCCUAGUAAGGUGGCUUAUGUUAUAAUUAGCUACUUCUAAAAUAUAUGAUUAUUAUUUGGAACCUAGAAACCUAGUAAACUAGUUGAUGGACUUUACUCGAUUAAAAUAUGGAAACAAGUCCUUAAGGUUGUGACAUGCUUGGUGAUGAUAGAUCUAGUAAUGCAUAAUGGAUGGUUAAAUUAUCUCCUAAUAUGUGAAGUUGAAAUGCCUUAAUUGAUAACUCAUGUCAUGAUGAUGCUAAUUAAAGAAUGGCCUUAUGAUAGUUGAAUAACCUAUACUAUGGGUGGCUUGUAGCUUUUCCCCAAUUUGAUGACUACUGAUUUUAAGACUUGUAAUUUUUUGACUUUUGGAAAAAUAAGGUUAAUUAGUAUGGACUUUGCGGUAUUUAUCAAUAAAUUAUAGAACUAAUGUUACAUACCUAUGCUAUGAGAAUUGUUCUUUCUUUAUGUUGAAUUAUGGUACGGGUACUUGGAAGUGGAUUUCAGUAAUGAGUCAUGGCGGGGUUGUGCUACCCGCGGUUUUUGAUAAAUUGAUGGAGUAGUUGUGUUUUAUGGUAUUAUUGGUUGUAUUCUUUUGUGUACUCUCCGGUGGUAUGGGACGCCGUGAUGAUUUCUUUGUUUUGCUCUCUUUCGUGUACUUCCCGACGGUAUGGGACGUCGUGGUAAGUUCUUGUGUGUAUGUUCUAAAGAUUGUUGAUGAUGAUUAUGGCAAGUAGAUGUUUUGCUAUUAUGUAUAUGGUUGUACGCUUUCAAAAUGAUACUCAGUUGAUAUGGUUAUUAUGGAGUAUAUUGUAAUAAUAUGUCAUGUUAUUGCUUAAGUAGUAUAGAUGUUGUUACAGUGGUACCAAAGUAGAUUCAAGUACAAUCCUGUCCCUUGACUUUAAGAUCAUUGUCUUUCUUUAUAUCGUCUUUACAUUAUAUUUGAGCUCAGUAGGCCGAUGAUGCCUACUGAGUACUAGUGUUUUAGUACUCAUACUACACUUCUGUACCUUUUUGGUGCAGACCCAGGUUUUAGUUGCCGUCGUUGAGCUAGUUCGUACGAGUUGACUAUUCGGAGACAGGGUGAACUCUUGGAGAUCGAGUUACCCUCUAUACCUUCUAUCCUUAUUUGUCUUUUGCUUUCGAUACAAAUGUAUGAGAUUGUUUAAGACAUUUUAGAUUCUGAGAUUGUAAAUUCCUCUUGUUAAGUUAAAAAGCUCUUGUAUUAAUACUAUCAGGUCGUGGCAUUUGUGUUUGAAUAUCGUUUCUCCUUAGUUGUGAAAUGUUGUUAUAGGUUGUGUUCACAUAUAGGGUCCAAUUUGGACGUUCUUACCUAGGUAACCCAUUCAAUAGCUCCAGGUUACGGUAUUGGUUUACCUAUUGAUGGGAUGUGAUAGGUACCAUCAUGACUCAAAAAUUAGGUCGUGACAAAUUGGUAUCAAAGCCUAGGUUUCACCGAUAUUAUUGACACAAGAGCAAGUGCCUAAUAGAGUCCUACGGAUCGAAACGUUGACAUUCGUUUCCUAUCUUCGCGAGGCUAUUUGACAUUCUUAGGAAUCCUUCAUUUUUUUCAUUCAUAUCGUGCUUAGAGUUUGAGUUGGUGUGUAGUAUCUUUUCAAUAACUCAAAAUUGGUCAUGGGGGAUGACUUGGGAGCUUAGUUAUCAUCUUGUAUCACGAUUAUCUUCAAGAUUAAGGUAAGAAUUUCUUGAAUUCAUGUUUGAAUUUCUUCGUUUGGACCCAAAUCCCAAUUUAACUUUGGGCUUGAUUUUAGCCCAAAGUAUGCUUAAUUUUUACCCAUUAUUUGAGGAUUAUGAUUCCUUUUUCACAUGUGAACAUUGGGUUGGCUUCGGAAACUCAUUUUCCAUAUGUUGGAUCCACUUGGGCUUUUGGUGUCGUUUUUGGACUCGGAGCACGAUAGUAUAAUAUGGGUAUCAUUAGACUCAUAUUAAUGGGUAGAUUAUUAUUUUGAUAGUGUGAUGACAUUUUGAGUAUUGUAGAGUGAAGAUGAGCAUGUGGUGCAUAAAGUGAGGUUUUGCAGUUUGGCCGUGAGGUAGGCUUCUGUCUACUUUUCUACAUAGAUAAUAUGUGAUAUAUGUUGCAUGUGAAUAUGGAUGUUAGGAUUGAUUAUGAGUAAGAUAGCUUAGCCUUGAUUAUUGAUGUUUUGGGAAGUUAGAUGAGGGUCUUGGACUCGUAAGAUAGUAUGUUUAUAACCUUGUAGACUCAUACUGCCUUCUCCCUAGUUUAGAUUAAAUUGUAGCAUAGAUUUGAUACAUUGCUAGAUUAUAGAUAUGGUUUUAGUGUUGGUCCAACAUGAUUUGAAUAUUUGAUCUUAUUGGGAUAGUGUGGUAGCUUUGAAAUCGUAAGUUGGGUAGAGUUAACUUGAGUGCCCUUAUUUCUAGUCAAAGUUGCUAUCUUAGGUUUAAAUAUGGCUUACUUGACAUCUAGAAGAUGAACUAGAUACCUUAGCCUAGUUUGGGGUAUAGUAUGCCUAAUUAUGGAAAUUGUGGAUUAGAAGUGGGAUCGUUCGGCCCACUUAGGCCUAAGCUUGUGUUAAGUCCUGUGGACUUAGUUGUGGAUGUUAGACAUAGAUGAGGCUACUACAUCUUAGAAUAAGGUUACUUGGUAACUUGUAUUGAUUACAAGUUCCCGAAUUGUAGCUUUUGAGUAAUGGUUAUGAUACUCCUUGUGGAAGUGAUUGGACUAUAGAGAUGCUAUUUCCUCUUAGACUUGAUGAUUGUCCUAUAGAGUUAUUAUUUUCUCUUAGACUUGAUGAUUGGCCUACAGAGAUGUUAUCUCCUCUUAGACUUUAUGAUUGGCCUAUAGAGUUGUUAUUUCCUUAGUCAUGAUUGUUGGUCCUAUAAAGACGAUGUUCCUCUUGAAUAUGUAAAUUGGCCUAGAGAAGUGAUAUUCCUCAUUGUCAUGAUGUAUGAGCUAUUGAUAUAUGAUAUCCUGUAGACAAUUACAUAUCUAUCUGUAUUAUGGCUCCUAUAUGUGAGAUUUCUCCUAUAUAUAAGAUGAUUAGGGAUAUGCUACGACUUAUAAAUAUGAUUAUUGAUAUGAGUUCUGGAUGUGUGUAUUGGCCUAAAGUCAUGAUUGUGAUGUUGUCAUUAUUUUGGAUAGAUUAAUGGGCCAAGGGUCGUGUUAUGAUAUUGAUUGUAUAGUCGAGAAGUGUUUAUCAUUAUAAACAAUGUGAUUACAGUUUAUGAAUAUAAAUAUAUAUAUGUGGGUGUCCUCAUCUCUUCGGUAUGGGAUGGAGGAAGAUGCAGUAUGAUGUUUUUUUUAUUCCACUGAUUGAAUAUGUAACACCUCGAUAAUUCUUAAUAUAUAUUUUAAUAUUUUAGGUGAGUAUAACUCUUAAUCUAUGAAGCCUUGCAUGACAGAAUACUGGUAAUGGCAUGCAUAGAUUCGGCACGUUCAUGAUUAUAUACUAUUAUAAGUGAUGUGAUUAUAGCUGAAAUAUGAUCUUAUGACUGCUCUUCUUUUUAGACGGUUAAGCUAGUGAUGAACCUUGAAUAAAUAUUAGAUGUUGACUGUUAAAUAAAUAGUGGUUAGUAGUUAUCCCGUGAAUUAAGGAUUAUGUGAAGGAUAAGGUUUGGGCUAAUAACUAGAGGUUAUGUGAUGACUAGAAAACUAGUGAUUCUAUUAUAAUAAGUGUUGGUUAACUAAUAACAAGCGAUUGGGAAGUAUUGACUAGAUAGAUAUUCUAUGGUGAUAUGAUUAUGUUUAUGAGUAUUUUAGCGUAUGUUAUUCGGUAAUGACUAUUGUGAUGCUCAUACUCGGCAAGGCCAGAGGAUAUAUGGAUGAUGCGUUGAUACUCGGCAAGGCCGGUGGUUGAUUACAAUGAUGAUGGUCCUAAUGUAGACAGUUAUGAUGAGUUAUGAUAUUAAUCAUCUACCCUGCAUUCAUUCCUUCAUGCACGUUGCCUAUCACCAAUAUAUGUCUAUGUCUAUCAGCCGGUAUGGGGUGGUUGUAUUGAUAUAGGUGAAGAAUAUGUCUUAUGCUGUUAUGUGUUGAUUGAACCUUUCGAGUUUGGGGCGGUGAGGGUACGCAUAGGCUCGGCUAGGUAUUUGGUUGUCCGGAGUAGCUGGUUAUUCAUGUUGUUAUUGAUAUUGUUGUUAUCAUUGUUAUGAUCAUUAUUAUGGCUACCUUAUGACAAAUUGGUCAUUGAUCCAGUAUCAAAAUUUAAGGUACAUUUUUGGCCUCUCCUAUUUUAUGAUUGCAUUAUUAUGUACGAUUAUUUCACGUCUAGCCAUGCGGAUUAGAGACCCUGAGAUGAUAGUAUUUAAAUUCUGAUAAGUGUUAUAAUGAGGUCUUAAAUGAGAAUAUAAUGAUAUAGGUUAUGCUUCGAGACGACCUCAUGUUUAUAUGUAUAUAUAUAUACAUAUACAUAUAUGAAGAUAUGGCACUGCCGUAUAUCCCUUCCUUCGUUGUUCAUUUUGUAUAGUCAUUACUUCGCCUUGUAUAUUAUUAUAUAUCUUUCUUUCGCGCCUUAUUCGUAUAUAUACCUAGGAUAUAUGGUAUAGCAUUGAUGUAUAUUGAAUGUAGCUGGAAUAAGAUAGUUUACCCUGAUACUUCCUUAGUCUUAUUAUGUUAGACUCUUGGACAUGAACAGGAUAGUUUUCCCUUAUUAUUCUUAUUAACUCAUUAUAUGAUUUCGGGACUCUUGGGUGUAGUUUUCAUUCUAUUUAUAUGUUGUGUAUAUCUGUUUUAUCCCUUUUGAGAUUCUAUGAGUAGUCAGCAAGGUGGCCUAUGAGUUAGCUUUACCUCCAUACUUUGCUGUUGUUCACCAAGUUUUCCAUGUCUCCAUGCUGCAGAAGUAUAUUCCUAACCCAUCUCAUGUGCUUAGGUAGGAAUCAGUCUAGUUAAAUGGGCAAUUUACCUUUGUAGAGGAGCCCACACUUAUUUUACUGAAAUUUCGUUCGGCGGCCGUUUGGAAUCGACGAAGACUUCCAAUUAUAAAAGUGGUUCUAAAAAUCAAACGAACCGUCAGGUAACUGAGCUAUCAAUUCUAGCAAGUCACUAAUGACUUGGGAUGGCUAUGGAGGAGCUCUAUCGGCAAAAUAAGCAAGAAUACGGCUAAUGACCUGAAGGGUCAUUACAAUAUCCACUACUAAAGAACUUUCGUCCUCGAAAGUUAAAGAUGAGGAAAUACUUGAAGUCUCGAAUAGUUGAGGAUACUAGGCUCGCAUGUCGCCCGCUAACCACUAAGUGGCCUCCUUCACUGGGCGGUGCUUCCAUUGAACCUUAACUACAGGAAUCUCUCUAUACACAACCGCCUCACAUUACUAGGAAAAAUAAGUGCGGGCUCCUCUACAAAGGUCAACUACCCAUCUAACUAGACUGAGUCCCACCUAAGCACAUAAGGCGGGUUAGGAAUAUACUUCUGCAGCAUGGAGACAUGGAAAACUGGGUGAACAACAGCAAAGUAUGGAGGUAAAGCUAACUCAUAGGCCACCUUGCUAACUAUUCGGAGAAUCUCAAAAGGGACAAAACAGAUAUACACAACAUAUAAAUAGAAUGAAAACUACACCCAAGAGUCCAUAAAUCAUAUAAUGAGUUAAUAAGAAUAAUAAGGGAAAACUAUCCUGUUCAUGUCCAAGAGUCUAACAUAAUAAGACUAAGGAAGUAUUAGGGUGAACUAUCUUAUUCCAGCUAAAUUCAAUAUACGUCAAUGCUAUACCAUAUAUCCUAGGUAUAUAUACGAAUAAGGCGCGAAAGAAAGAUAUAUAAUAAUAUACAAGGUGAAGUAACGACUUUACAAAAUGAACAAUGAAGGAAGGGAUAUACGGCAGUGCCAUAUCUUCAUAUAGCUAGAUAUAUGUAUAUAUAUAUAUAUACAUAUAAACAUGAGGUCAUCUUGAAGCAUAACCUAUAUCAUUAUAUUCUCAUUAAGACCUCAUUAUAACACUUAUCAGAAUUUAAAUACUAUCAUCUUAGGGUCUCUAAUCCGCAUGGCUAGACGUGAAAUAAUCGUACAUAAUAAUGCAAUCAUAAAAUAGGAGAGGCCAAAAACGUACCUUAAAUUUUGAUACUGGAUCAAUGACCAAUUUGUCAUAAGGUAGCCAUAAUAAUGAUCAUAACAAUGAUAACAAUAAUAUCAAUAACAACAUGAAUAACCAGGUACUCCGGACAACCAAAUACCUAGCCGAGCCUAUGCGUAGCCUCACCGCCCCAGACUCGAAAGGUUCAAUCAACACACAACAGCAUAAGGCAUAUUCUUCACCUAUAUCAAUGCAACUACCCUAUACCGGCUGAUAGACAUAGGCACAUAUUGGUGAUAGACGACGCGCAUGAAGGAAUGAAUGCAAGGUAGACGAUUAAUAUCACAACUCAUCAUAACUGUCCACAUCAGGACCAUCAUCAUCGUAAUCAACCACCGGCCUUGCCGGGUAUCAAUUCAUCAUCCAUAUAUCCUCUGGUCUUGUCGAGUAUGAGCAUCACAAUAGUCAUUACCGAAUAACAUACGCUAAAAUACUCAUAAACAUAAUCAUAUCACCAUAGAAAAUCUAUCUAGUCAAUACUUCCUAACCACUCGUUAUUAGUUAACCAACACUUAUUAUAAUAGAAUCACUAGUUCGCUAGUUAUCACAUAACCUUUAGUUAUUAGCCCAAACCUUAUCCUUCACAUAAUCCUUAAUUCACGGGAUAACAACUAACCACUAUUUAUUUAACAGUCAACAUCUAACAUCUAUUCAAGGUUCAUCACUAGACCAAAACUGUCAUUUAUCCAUCAUCCAUUAUUAUCAACUACUCAUCCUAUAUCCCUUAAUCAUUACUAGAUAACACAUUACUACUUGUCACCCAACCAUCUUUAUCAACAGACAUUAUUCCUUAACUAACCAUCGUUAGCUACUAUGUUUGAGCUAAGCAAAAUUCAUUAACUAAUACAUUGGAUUCCUAGCCAUCAAGUGCUAUAAUCCCCUAAUAGACAACUAGUUACCGCAUAGCUUAACCGUUUAACAAAAAGAUCAGUCAUAAGAUCACAUUUCAGCUAUAACCACAUCACUUAUAAUGGUAAAUAAUCAUGAAUGUGUUGAAUCUAUGCAAGUCAUUACCAGUAUUCUGUCACGCAAGGAUUCAUAGAUUAAGAUUUAUACUCACCUAAAAUAUUAAAAUAAAUAUUAAGAAUUAUCGACGUGUUACAUAUUCAAUUAGUGGAAUAAAAAAAACAUCAUACUGCAUCUUUCUCUACCCCAUACCGGAGAGAUGAGUACACACACAUAUAUAUAUUUAUAUUCAUAAACUGUAAUCACAUUGUUUAUAAUGAUAAACACUUCUCGACUAUACAAUCAAUAUCAUAACACGACCCUUGGCCCAUUAAUCUAUCCAAAAUAAUCACAUUAUCAUAAUCAUGGCUUUAGGCCAAUACACACAUCCAGAACUCAUAUCAAUAAUCAUAUUUAUAAGUCGUAGCAUAUCCCUAAUCAUCUCAUAUAUAGGAGAAAUCUCACAUAUAGGAGGCAUAAUACAAAUAGACAUGUAAUUGUCUACAGGAUAUCAUAUAUCAAUAGCUCAUACAUCAUGAUAAUGAGGAGUAUCACUUCUCUAGGCCAAUUUACAUAUUAAAAAAGAACAUCGUCUUUAUAGGACCAACAAUCAUGACUAAGGAAAUAGAAACUCUAUAGGCCAAUCAUAAAGUCUAAGAGGAGAUAACAUCUCUGUAGGCCAAUCAUCAAGUCUAAGAGGAAAUAACAACUCUAUAGGAAAAUCAUCAAGUCUAAGAGGAAAUAGCAUCUCUAUAGUCCAAUCACUUCCACAAGGAGUAUCAUAACCAUAACUCAAAAGCUACAAUUUGGGAACAUCAAUACAAGUUACCAAGUAACCUUAUUCUAAGGUGUACUAGCCUCAUUUAUGUCUAACAUCCACAACUAAGUCCACAAGACUUAACACAAGCUUAUACCUAAGUGGACCGAACGAUCCCACUUCUAAUCCACAAUUUCCAUAAAUAGGCAUACUAUACCCCAAACUAGGCUAAGGUAUCUAGUUCAUCUUCUAGAUGUCAAGUAAUCCAUAUUCAAGCCUAAGAUAGCAACUUUGACUAGAAAUAAGAGCACUCAAGUUAACUCUACCCAACUUACGAUUUUAAAACUACCACACUAGCCCAAUAAGAUCAAAUAUCCAAAUCAUGUUGGACCAACACUAAAAACAUAUCUAUAAUCUAGCAAUGUAUCAAAUCCAUUCUACAAUUUAAUCUAAACUAGGGAGAAGGCAAUAUGAGUCUACAAGGUUAUAAACAUACUAUCGUACGGGUCCAAAACCCUUACCUAACAUCCCAAAACAUCACUAAUCAAGGCUAAGCUAUCUUACUCAUAAUCAAUCCUAACAUACAUAUUCACACGCAACAUAUAUCUUACAUCAUCUAUGCAAAAAAGUAGACAGAAGCCUACCUCAAGAAAAAAUCGCAAAACCUCACUUUAUGCACCACAUGCUCAUCUUCACUUUACAAUACUCAAAAUUUCAUCACACUAUAAAAAUAAUAAUCUACCCAUUAAUAUGAGUCUAAUGAUACCCAUAUUACACUAUUGUGCUUCGAGUCCAAAAACGACACCAAAACCCCAAGUGGAUGUCUUCGUCGAUUCCAAAUGGCCAUCGAACGAAAUUUCAGUAAAAUAAUUUUGCAUGCAAAUCUCGAUUGUGCUAAAAUCUAUGUAAUAUCAAUUUUGGGAUAGAUGUAUACCCUUGGUUCAGAUCCCAUAGCACCCGAGCUCAUUUUGACCAAUUAGUCGAAAAGUUAAAUAUCAAAAUAUAGGGGUGUGGGACCCACAAAUAGUAUAAAUGAUCUCGUAUAAAAAUAUGACUUCACCAAUGCAUCCGGAAUGUUGAAUUUAGUGGGGUUAUAUAGUUCGUUUGCGAAAAACGGAGUCCGAAUGAGUUUGGAAGGUCAACAGUAAAUUUUGACCUUACGGGCCCAUCUAAAACUGUAUAAAAGGGGGAUUUUGGCAUAUUUUGAGCAUUAUUCACCUCUAUUAAAACCUUAGCAGCCCUAAAAGAGUGGUGACUCAAAAAUUGGUCUUGUGGGUUGAUUGGAAACUUAAACAAGUUGUGUAAUCCAUCGUUUUACUACAAAUCCAAGGUAAGAAUUCCUUUAAUUUGAUAUUAAUUUCAUUAUUUUUUUGACUCAAAACCCUAAAUCAUUGUGGGUCAAUUGUAUCCCCGAAUUUGAUUGUUUGACUCAAAUUAAUUAAGGGUUUUAACUCCCUAAAUAUAAUUAGUCUAUGGUUGGUCUUGGAAACUCCUUUCUAAGGGUGAAACCUAAUUGGGAUUUUGGUGUCUAUUUGAAACCCAUGGCACAGUGAUGCUAUAAUGGGUAUUUUAAUUCUUUUUGUAAUGCGUAGAUUAUAUUGUUGAUAGCAUUGCUUGUGGAAGAGAAAGCUUCUUGAAAAGAAAAGAAAAGCUCGUUGGUUCAUGAGUUGCUUGGAUUCAAGGUAGGUUAGGCUUACCCGUAGUAUAGAUUGAGCUUGUUUGUAAUGUAAUCAUUAAUAUCUUCUGAGAUUUGGCAGGGAAUUUAGACAAUAGUUGAUUAAAUGGUAAAUUUAGGAUUUAUUAAUUCCUAUAGGCCAUAGAUUUGUAAGGUAUGAUAUUUGACCCUUAGACUAGGACCUUGGUUAGCUUAAUUAUGGUCUCAUGACUAGUGUGUGAACAUUAUAGUUGUUCUAAGUAGACAUGAAUAGUAUAUUUCUCUAUCCUUAGGAGUGUAUUGACCUAUAUAAAAUGCCUAGAUAGGAGAUGACCAUGGUGUUGGGUUGACUUAGGAAGAAUACUUGAAGAAGAUUUCUCAUAUAUGCUUAGUAAGGAUUGAUAAGCCCUUAUGGUGUGACUUAGAUAACUUAGCCUAAAUUCUGGUAGAAGUUUGUUUUGUAGAAGUAACUUUAGUAUUAGUGGGAGUUAGAAGUGGGACUUAACCCACCUUAAACUUGAACUAUGUAACUUCUUGGUAACCUAGAUACUUGAUGAGCAUCUAAAUUAUGUUAUUGAGAUUAUAAGGGUUAAACACAGUUUUCGAUUUAUGACUAAGGUUGAUGGUUGAACAAUUUUUAUUCUUGAUUGUUGUCUUAUUACCGUGUUAUGUAUAGCCAAGGAAAUAUAGUAAUUGUGUAUGUCAUCUAGAUACUCAUGCCUAUGCUUCUACUCAUAUGUCAUGAUGAUGACUAGUAAUAAAGUGUGAUGGUUUAUGCAUCUUACAUCUCUAUUACUCGAUUAUUGUGAACUUGUGUAUGUUUAUUGAUUUGGGGCCAUUUAUGUGUGUAUGUUGUUGUCUUGAAAAAUAUUGAUACAAUAAUGAUGCCCGAUAAAUUCGAAAAAAUUAUUGAUACUAUGAUGAUUCCCGAUUAGUUCGGAGGAAUAUGUGAUAUUAUGAUGAUGCCCGAUUCGAGUCCGGAGGAAUAUGUGAUAUUAUGAUGAUGCCCGAUUCGAGUCCGGAGGAAUGUGUGAUAUUAUGAUGAUGCCCGGUUCGACUCCGGAGGAAUGUGUGAUAUUAUGAUGAAACUCAAUGAAUUCGGCGGAAUAUGUUGAUAUUGUGAUGAUGCCCGGUGAAUCCGGAAGAGAAAAGAACAUUUUGAUGCCAUGUGGGGCAAAUUUACUUAUCUACUUUGAUAUUUGUAAGGUUAGGCUGUGUGGGGCCAAUCGCCUAAGUGCUAGAAUUAUGAGGUCUCUAUUGGUAAAUUAUUAUUUGUUUCUUGUUCCAAAUCACUAUAUAAGAGGUGUGACCCUUUUUUAUGCUAAACUAGCUACUAGAGGAAAUUUAAGCCUAAUAUUGAGUUAAGGCUUAGUGUUACAUGUAAAUUUAUAUAAAAAUUCAAGGGCUAACCUAAUAUAUAUACUUGACUUAAAUAAGAGGUUAUAUUACGAAAUAUUGCCUAGUAAGGUGGCUUAUGUUAUAAUUAGCUACUUCUAAAAUAUAUGAUUAUUAUUUGGAACCUAGAAACCUAGUAAACUAGUUGGUGGACUUUACUCGAUUAAAAUAUGGAAACUAGUCCUUAAGGUUGUGACAUGCUUGGUGAUGAUAGAUUUUGUAUUGCAUGAUGGAUAGUUAAAUUAUCUCCUGAUAUGUGAAGUUGAGAUGCCUUAAUUGAUAACUCAUGUCAUGAUGAUGCUAAUUAAAGAAUGGCCUUAUGAUAGUUGAAUAACCUAUACUAUGGGUGGCUUGUAGUUUUUCCCAAUUUGAUGACUAGUGAUUUUAAGACUUGUAAUUUUUUGACUUUUGGAAAAAUAAGGUUAAUUAGUAUGGACUUUGCGGUAUUUAUUAAUGAAUUAUAGAACUAAUGAUUACAUAUCUAUGCUAUGACAAUGUUGCUUUCUUUAUGUUGAAUUAUGGUAUGGUUACUUGGAAGUGGAUUUCGGUAAUGCGUCAUGGCAUGUUGUGCCACCCGCGGUUUUUGGCAAAUUGAUGGAGUAGUUGUGCUUUAUGGUAUAAUUGGUUAUAUUCUUUUGUGUACUCUCCGGUGGUAUGGGACACCGUGAUGAGUUCUUUGUUUUGCUCUCAUUCGUGUACUUCCUGGUGGUAUGGGACGUCGUGGUAAGUUCUUGUGUGUAUGUUCUAAAGAUUAUUGAUGAUUAUUAUUGCAAGUAGGUGUUUUGCUAUUGUGUAUAUGGUUGUACGCUUUCGAAAUUAUACUCAGUUGAUAUGGUGAUUAUGGAGUAUAUUGAAAUAGUAAGUCAUGUUAUUGCUUUAGUAGUAUAGAUGUUGUUACAGUGGUACCAAAGUAGAUUCAGGUACGAUCCUAUCCCUUGACUUUAAGAGCAUUGUCUUUCUUUAUAUUGUCUUUUCAUUAUAUUUGAGUUCAUUCGGCCGAUGAUGCCUACUGAGUACCAGUGUUUUGGUACUCAUAUCCCAGGUUCUAGUUGCCGUCGUUGACCUAGUUCGCACAAGUUGACUAUUCGGAGACUGGGUGAGCUCUUGGAGAUCGAGUUACUCUCUAUCCCUUCUAUCCUUAUUUGUCUUUUGAUUUCGAGACAAAUGUAUAAGAUUGUUUAAGAUAUUUUAGAUUCUGAGAUUAUAAAUUCCUCUUGUCAAGUUUAGAAGCUCUUGUAUUAAUACUAUCAGGUCGUGGGAUUUGUGUUUGAAUAUUGUUUGUCCUUAGUUGUGAAAUGUUUUUAUAUGUUGUGUUCACAUAUAGGGUCCAAGUUGGACGUUCUUACCUAGGUAACCCAUUGCAAUAGCUCCGAGUUACGGUAUCGGCUUACCUACCGGUGGGAUGUGGUAGGUGCCAUCAUGACUCAAAAAUCGGAUCGUGACAAGGCAACACACGGCUUCACUAGACUUCAAUAUGAAAAAAAACAACACUUCAUUAUAACAAAUUAGAGAGAAGUCAACUUACCUUUGCUUGGACUAAAUUAAAGUCAAACAUACAAGCGGUCACCGAAUAAAUAGCAAAGUAAUCCUUUUCCUGAAUUCAGAUUUUGUCAAACGGUAACAUCAAAUUCCAAGCAACACACUAGGCAAGUAGAAUUAAAAAAUCUUGACUAUUAUGCAAAAUAACAAAUGUCUUGCCAUCUUUAUUUUCUCGUAUCUUUAGUGUAAACAUAGAGAUUUUUGGAAGGGUAAACAAAUAUCUUGCCAUCCUUAAGUAUCAAUCAUAGGCACCGACUUAAUGACAACACAUUACAACAAUAAUAUGUAUAAUAAUGUUAUACAUGAAUCAACAAGAUGGGCAUUCAAGGAAAUGACAAAAAAUAUAAAGGAGGCCUUAACAUACCAUUAAGCUAUAUCACCUAACGUCGCAUUGUCAUCUUGACCGACACAUCGUAACAUAAUAAUUGCGAGAAUAAAAAAGGCUACGAUAAUGGGCAAUAGAUAAUUCAUAAGGAACGUCAUAGGCACCUAAAGUUUAUAUUAGCAAUUUGACAAAGUUUUCAAAGAAAAAAACUUUAUAAUUUUUUAAAUCCGACUUUGGGGUUUGAAUAUUUGCAAACAUCAACUAUAUUCAAACUUGGAGCUAGCUAAUGACAUGAAAUAAGGUAAAAUCAUAACAAUUAAGUCAAAAUUCACUUCUAAACUAACUAUAAUCCAACAAAAAAAGGUCUCAUACAGUUAGAACUAAAAGAAAAACAUAGCUAAAGGAAAUUUUUGGAACUUACCGGAGCUAGGGCGGCGGGAAACAGCGGCACAGGGCGGUAGACGUCGGUGAUUUGGAGAUUUGGAGCUAGGGGCCGUCUUGGAUUUGGAGAUCUUUUAUUUUUGGUUGAUGAAAUCGCGACUAUGGCUUAGGUUAAUCGUAUUGGAGUCGGGUCAGGUUGGGUUUUUAAUUGAACUUUUUUGUUUUAAUGUUUUAUGAAAACCGACCACUUAUGCUCAUUUUACAAAAUAUCUUUUGGAAAAGUGGUCGGUUUUCAUAAAAUAUUAAAAAAAAAUAUUCUAAUUAGUUAACAUAUAUCUUUUUUUUUAUAAAUUAUGUUUUAAAAAAUUUUUAAUCAAUUAAUUAAGUUAAAAUUAAUUAAAAUUUUACAAAGAUGAUAACAAAGAAAACUAAAUAUUUAUGUCAUGCCUACUUCAAUCGUGAUUUUACUAUAUUAUCCCUAAUUAAUUACUAUAAAUCAUUUAUGUAUUAAAAAUUAAAAAUAUUUAAUAAAAAAAAUUGAAAUAGACAUUUAUGUCAUGACAGUUUCAACUGCUUCAAUCGUAAUUUUACUAUAUCAUUCAUAAAUAAUUAUUAUAUAAGUCAUUUAAGUAUCAAAAAGUUAAUAAUAUUUAAUAAAAAAUAAAAUAGCCAUAAAAUAAUAAAUUAUUUUUUGAUGUUUUUUAUAAAUCAUUUAACUAUGAAAAAUUAAUAAUAUUUAAUAAAAAUAACAAAAUACCCAUGAAAUGAUAAAUUCUUUUUUGAUGUGUUCGCUUAAUUGAAGACUUAUAUGGGAUCACUUUAAAAAAAAAAAUCACAAAUAUUUUUUAAGAUAAUUUUAGUAUGUCACUUAUAAUUAGUACAAUAAAAAAAAUUAUAAAAUAAUUAGAAUUUAUCAACCAAAUAAACAAAGGUUUUAAUUUAAUGAUAGAAUUAUACAUGACGUAUAAUUUUUAAGCAUCUAUAUUGGGUCGUGUGUAGCACGACCUAAGCCCACGAGUAUAUAUAUAUAUAUAUAUAAAAUAUCGUACUUAAAAGUUAAUUAACCAAAAAAAUUAUCUGAAUNNNNNNNNNNNNNNNNNNNNNNNNNNNNNNNNNNNNNNNNNNNNNNNNNNNNNNNNNNNNNNNNNNNNNNNNNNNNNNNNNNNNNNNNNNNNNNNNNNNNNNNNNNNNNNNNNNNNNNNNNNNNNNNNNNNNNNNNNNNNNNNNNNNNNNNNNNNNNNNNNNNNNNNNNNNNNNNNNNNNNNNNNNNNNNNNNNNNNNNNNNNNNNNNNNNNNNNNNNNNNNNNNNNNNNNNNNNNNNNNNNNNNNNNNNNNNNNNNNNNNNNNNNNNNNNNNNNNNNNNNNNNNNGAUAUGCAUAUAUAUAAAUAUAUUCAAUUGGCUAUCAACAUUCAAAGACGUAAUAUAAACAUCACAUACCCGAUUUUGCUACCCCAUAAUAAUAUACAACAUUUCACAGAAACUCAGUUGAAUUAUCGGUUCAUUUAUCUUAUGUCAUUAAUAUACCUUCACUAUAUAAUAUGUGUAUACUAUAUAUAUAUAUAUACACACACACAGAGACACACACACAUAUAUAGAGACAUUAUCGACAAUACCAAUAGGUACUAUAUACAUCACAUACGUACACGAGUAUCUUAUCCAAUAAUAUAAUGCGACGUAUUUGAUCAUAUACAUACUAUAUACAUCACAUACCCGAUUUUACCACCCCAUUGUAUUUCACAUAUACUCAAAUAAGCAUUCCACUGAAGAAGUACGGCAUCGGUUCUUGCGAAUGAAUCUGUUGUUGGAAGAAAGCUAUAACUAAAAUAGUUGGGCUCGAUCCCAGACUUAAUAGCAUUCAACGGAAUAGAGGUUAGCGAAGAAAGAGGGAAGAGAGAAAGCAAAGGCUUCGGCUGAUGUAGAUUCGGCAAAUGAUUACUCUUCUUCAGGUGCAGAUGAGGCUUAUGGGGAAGAGGAGGCAAGGGCAAGAAAAUCAUAAAGAAAAUCCUUGUCCGGGAAAGGCGUAUUAGAAAGGAUGUCCCCUAUAAGAGCUUCAGAGGGAUUUUUCCUCGACUAGAAGAGGACCAAUCCUAAGGGCUCCUAACAAGGUCUAGUAGUUCUGUCCGUCUACUUUCUUAAUAUGGAACUGGGAUUGAGACUUUCACUUUCAUGCUAUGAGUUGAAGAUGGACUAAGCCCAAGAGCAGUCCAAUCUUAACGGGAAAGAAAGUUUUUUGCUCGACUUCCCGAGGCCGACCCGUAACACCUUCUUUGAUCUAAGUCGGAACUUUCAUACUUUGAUGCUGUCCUCCCCGCUGUAAAUGCCUUCCUUUCUGCUGACACUGGUAUUUCAUACCUCUUCGCCUACUGGGAUAGUAGAAAAAGGGUACUGCCCUUCUGUCUUCUGAGGAAAAACUUUGAGCUUUCGAGCGCCUUGAUAACAUACACACAUGCAUAUAUAUAGACACAUUAUCGACUAUAUCAAUACGUACUAUAUACAUCAUAUACGUACAAUAGUACCUUUUCCAAUAAUAUAAUGCGAUGUAUUUCAUAUAUAUACGUACUAUGUACAUCAUAUACGCGAUUUUACUAUCCCAUUAUAUUUCACAUAUACUCAAAUAAAUUAUCGAUUGAUUUAGCUUAUGUCAUUAAUAUACCAUCCCUAUAUAAUAUGCAUAUGUUAUAUAUAUAUAUAUAUAUACACAUAUACAUACACAUACAUAUACACACUAUCUACUAUAUCAAGUUCAAAAUACGUACUAUACAUAUCACAUAUAUAUAUACAAGUAUAUUAUCCAGUAAUAUAAUGCGAUGUGUUUCUUAUACAUACUUAGAUUAGUGAUCGAUAAAUUAUAUUGGAUUAACUUAAUAUAUUAGGUUUUGAUUAUAUUUAUAAUUAGGUGUUACUUAAAAUUAUUUAAUUUUUUUACUUCAAAAAUCUCCACAAGUGGUUGGUUUUGUAAAAGUAUUUUUUAAUUAUUUUUUAUAAAAACCGACCACAUGUGGUCGAUUUUUUAAAUUUAUUUUUUAUAAAAACCAACCACAUGUGGUCGGUGUUUUAAAAUUAUUUUUUAUAAAAACCGACCACGUGUGGUCGAUCUUUUAAAAUUAUUUUUUAAUUAUUUUUAUUAAAAACCGAUCAAUUAUGAUCCAUUUUUUUAAAAAUAAAUAAAUAAAUAAUUCUAAAAAACCGACCAAAGGUGGUCGAUUUUUAUAUAUAUUUUUAAACUAAUUUUUUUAAAUAAAACCGACCACUCGUGGUUGAUUUUAUUAUUUUUUUAAAAAUUUCAUUUGUUAAAUAAUUAAUAAUAAUUAUUAAAAUUAUUGUAAUAAUUAUUUUGAUUUUUUAAAAUAUAAAACCGCCCACUUGUGGUCGGUUUUUGUUUAAAAAGAAUUAAAAAAUUCAAAUACCGAUCACUUGUGGUCGGUUUUUCCGAUCACAAACUGUGGUCGGUUUUACCUUUUUUUUUAGUAGUGAUAAGACCCUUUUGUAAGAGAUUAUCAAUCUCCUUUUUACAGAAUUUAACUAAUUCUGUGCUCAUUUGGCAGGGUCGAGAUUUGGUUGGAAUUUUAUCUUCGCUGAAAUCAUCUUCAUAAGGAAGAGAAACAAUAUGCUGUUUGCGAUUCCAAAAAGCAUUUGGGUGAUCAACACAAAUAUCAACAAUCAUUUGUUCAGAUAUUAUUUUUAUUUUUUCCUGAAUUUUCACAGAAUUUAUUGUAUUAUGAAUAUUCAUACUCAUCAUUUCAAGUUGUAAGAAAUUUAUCUGUUAAUGUUUCAAUUCAAUUAAAGCAUUUAUGUCCCUUGUUACUGGAUCCGUAACAAAAGGGUAGGAAAUUUCUUGAUUUUUAUAAGUAGCCUUGAAAACAUUCGCAUCAAUAUGUGUGUAAGAAUAAAUAGCAUUUGUAAAAGGCGUUCCUAAAAUAAAAGGAGGAUAUAACUGAUUUUUUACUAAGAAAAGAAAAUACGGAAUGCAAAUCUUAUUUCUACAAAUAUGUGCAUGAGGUAGUUUAUAAUUAAUAUCAAGAGAAUGAUCAGAUGCAGAUUUGACUAUAUGCGUGAUUUUAUGAAAAUAUCUGGUUGGAAUUAAUCCUUCCUGGAUGCAACUACCAUCAGCACCACUAUCAAUCAUAGCUACAUUAGUUACAGAAAAUUUAUUAUUAAUCAAAAUAGUAUAGUUUAUAUACCAUUUAUGGGCCGUAACUAUUUACAUCAUACCCAAAAAAUAAUCAUUUGCUACAUCAAGAUUAGAAAUAUCUUUGUUGGAAUUUUCAGAAUUUUCCACAAUUUUUUCUUUCCCUUUGGAACUGAAGGCAAUAUCAUUUUGAGAAAUAUCCUUUUCAAUCUUUGAAAUUCUAAGAUCUAAAAUCAUUUGAUUUUGUUUCAAAUAAAUAAUUUAUGUUUUUAAAUCUUCAACUUCUAUUUUCAAAUCAGUGAAAGACAUGCCUUUACCAGUUGUUUGACUAAUGGCAAGACGUCUAUUAACUUCGAUUAAAGAAUAAGGCAUAAUAUCAAAAAUAGAAUCAGUAUUUUUCUUAACAUGUUUAUUAUCAACAGACUUUGAAGUACCGAUUUGGGAAGAAGUAAGAUCAAUGAUUUUUUGUCGAAGCUUUUCAUCAGUAACUUCUUUUAAUAAUUCUAAAGCGCUAUCAACAGUUAUUGUUUGAAUAUUUAAAUCUAAAUCUUCAAAUUGGGAUUGCAAUUUAUAGAAAGUAUCAUCAUAAUAACAAGUAUUGUUAUUACAAUUAGUGUAGACAUUAGUAUAGGGUUUUUUGUUGGCAUGGUUUUCAUUAUCAGUUAAGUCAAAUAAUUCAACCUCAGUAUCGGAUUCAGAUUCGUAAUUAUAAUCGGAUUCAGAACUUGAAGUAUAUAAUAAACCAUAAACCUUAUCAUGAACCUCAUCAAAAAGUCCUAAGGACUUAAGCUUUGAAGUUUAUAAUUUGGAGCAAUAUGACCAAAUUGACCUUAAUUAUAACAUUUAAUUUUUGCUAAAUCUCUCUUAGACCUAUUUUUCGUAAAUCUAGUAGACUUACGAUGGAUUUUUUUUGGCUUCACACUCUUCUUUGGAUCUAUGUCUGGAUUUUCUCUUUAUCCUAUAGGGCUUAUCUGGGUCAUUAGUUCUAACAACAACAUAUCUAUGGCUCCUUUUCUUAGAAGUAGAAGCAGAAUUUUUCAUACCAAAUUGUCCAUAAAAAUCACCUAAUUGGAUUUUUUCUUUAAGCCUGUCCAGGUUAAUUUGUCUAGACAAUUUCAAUUCAUUACAAAGAUUGAGACCUUCUUGAGUACAGGCCGCAAUAAGCUUAUCAUAAGUAAAAUCUGUCCAAGGGAUUGCACCAUAUUUGAAACGGAGUAUAUAAUAUGCCACUUCGGUUUGUCAAAAACAUAUUUAACUAUCCAUAAUCUGAAGAACUGUUAAGUAUUAUAAUGGAUUCCAUUGUAGGAAAAAUAUGGGAGUAUCUGUGCCGUCUUACUAAUAACUCUAUUCUGCAGGGGCUACAGAUGGUGAAGAAUUGUUUUGUCGAUGCGCUACAGUGGCUUAAGGAUUUUGUUUGUCAAGUGCUGGACAUGCUACAGAACAAUGGUGGCAAAUUGCUGGACAAACUAAAGGUUCUUGGUGGCAGAGUGGUGUUAAGGCAAAUGAAAUUUGGUGGCAAAGUGUUGCUUACGCUGAUGAAUGUUGGUGGUUGGUUCAAUGAUAAGGUUUCGAGUACUGAAGCUAGAACUGAAUUGCUUCAGUUUGCUUUACUUAGCAGAUGUACUAUCGAUAACUAUGUUUAAAUUUCAGUUAAAAUGCAAGUAUAAUAUAGUAGACUUACUAUUGAUAUCUAUGUUUAGAGAUCAGUUAGAAUGCAAGUACUGAUAUAGUAGACUUACUGUUGAUAUCUUUGUUUAAAGUUUAGUUAGAAUGCAACUGCUAAUAUAUAUAGUAGAUUUACUAUUGAUAUCUAUGUCUAAAGAUCAGUUAGAAUGCAACUGCUAAUAAUAAUAAUACAGUAGACUUACUAUUGAUAUCUAUGUUUAAAGUUUCGUUAGAAUGCAACUGCUAAUAAUAAUAUAGUAGACUUACUAUUGAUAUCUAUGUUUAAAGUUUCGUUAGAAUGCAACUGCUAAUAAUAAUAAUAAUAGACUUACUAUUGAUAUCUAUGUUUAAAGUUUAGUAAGAAUGCAACUGCUAAUAUAGUAGACUUACUAUUGAUAUCUAUGUUUAAAGUUUCGUUAGAAUGCAACUGCUAAUAAUAAUAUAGUAGACUUACUAUUGAUAUCUAUGUUUAAAGUUUCGUCAGAAUGCAACUGCUAAUAAUAAUAAUAAUAAUAGACUUACUAUUGAUAUCUAUGUUUAAAGUUUAGUAAGAAUGCAACUGCUAAUAUAGUAGACUUACUAUCAACAUCUAUGUUUAAAGUUUAGUUAGAAUGCAACUGCUAAUAAUAGUCAUAGAUAUACAUGAUGUAUACAUAGGAAGGGACGGAGUACUUUCUUCGUUUACUUUUAGUAAUCCGUGUAUACACACACACCUAAUAUAGCAUAGCAGUAUAUAUAAGCCACACAAUUCUCAUCAGAUAAAAAGCAAAAUAUUAUUAUCCUCCCUCAUUCCUUACUAUUCAUAAUCUCAAAAAAGUACUUGCUAGUAUUAUAAUGUCUUCCUCUGAUGAUGAAAGCAAUUCCUUUAUAGGACAGAUUAAGGAGUAUCUGGUCCGAUUUAAGGAUUUUGUUAUGGAAGGGUUACGUAAAAUGAAGGAUUUUUUUGUCGAAGCAUUGCAACAGCUUAAGAACAGUUUUAUGGAUAUGCUAGUGAAGCUGAAGAAAGAUGUUGUUGGCCAAUGUGCACAAUGUAUAAAGAACAUUGCAUCCGAAUUGCUGCAGGAGUUAAAGAAUUUCUUUGGUGAAGAUGAAAUGGACAAAGUUGUAGUGCAAAAUGAGGGUUUUGGCAAGAGAUCUGAAACUAUGUUUGCUCGGGUGCGUUGUGCAGAGGGUUUAAGCCAUGUGUUGCAGGAAUCAUUAAGCGACUUUGUGACUGCGUUGGAUGGAGUGAUCAAGGUCAAGAUAAAUUGAUCAUCAAACAUAUAGUAUUAUAUUAACCAUCGAUCUCCAGCCUCUACUUGUUUAUGUUGCUUUUCUUUCAUGCUUUUCUCUACUUUUAUUUUGAAUGAAACAUCUAGUAUUCGCUGAAUUAUUAUCAAAUUUGAUACGACAUACUUCAACUUCACAGGGGUUUUAUUACCUCUUGCUCUGAGCUAGAUUUUAGUUUAUUUUGUCAAUCUUUUUAACUGACAUGUGGUCUUUCUGGUAAUUUUAUUUUUUAAAAUAGCAGCUUAUAUGAUAUACUACAUUCCAUCAACCAGCAUAACAGUACAAACCCAGCAUAACAAUACGAACCCAGCAUAACAAUACAAACAUUUAAAAUCAAGUUAGUUUCAAAAUUUAUCAAGGUUUCAAAUCCAAACUACAAAAUAUGCAAAAGUCUAAAAACUACUCAUCAUCCUCUUCUUCAUCUGCAUUCUCAGCCUCACACACAGGAUUUGAUUCUUCAUUUGUGGUGUAAUAAUCAUUUAGUGGGUCUAGACCUUUUGCAGCCCGAACUGCAUCACUAAGAUAAGGAGGAAGAAUCCUUGCAGAUCGAAUAAAAAAGCUGAUCUACUCCUGCAUCAUUCUAAUUUGUGAUGUUGUUUCCUCCUUCUGCUUCGCCCUCUCAUUCUGUGCAGCAGAUUCUUUUGUGAGUUGAGAAAUCGUAUUUUUUAGUAAAUCAAUGGUUUCUCUAUCAACUGAUAAGGAAUAGGAUGUAUCACCGGACGAAGACCUAAUAUUCUGGCUAAAGCAUUUUCUGUUGUACUCGUAGUAUUGGCCUCUAACUGGAGAACCCACAGUUUGUUUUCAGAACUCCUCCUCUGCAUCUUCAAGUAUUGUUUCACCUUGACUUUCAGGAGGCUGAGUACUACGAUACUCAAUAAUGAACUGCAUAUAUUUGUCCUAUAUUCAAAGUAAGGUUAAAAUUAAUAGUAAAAAAAUAUUAAACUACUCAUACUUGAAUACUAUCAACUUUGAAAAAAAGAUUUAUAAAUACAAAAUUUGAUUCUUAUAUGUGUAGCUUUUACACGAGGCUCAACCCAGAAAUCUUCAUCAACUGAGUUUUUUUUCUUCUUUACAUGAGUCUCCUCGAAUAUCUCAUGUUGUUGUAUCUUCUUACCCAAUUUUUUUCAUGCAUAUGAUAAAAUUAUUAAUCUUCAAAUAAUUAAAAAUUUAAACAGAAACAAACAAUUAAAGCUGUAAAAGUUACACACCAUUUUUUGCUCCACAGUAAUCCGACUAAUUGCUCUCUCAGUAUGUAGAGAGCCACCCUUGAAUGAUGCUCUGAAUUUCUUUCCUUUUUCACUCAGCACUUGAUAUUCUUAGCUAUUCCAAUAACGAAGAUAAUCUUGCCCCAUAGGUUCGGUUAUAAAACUUGGUCGUACCCUGUUCAUUCUGGCAUAAUCCAACAGACCAUUCAUUCUGAGUCUCGCUCUUCUAUAAAAAUUCUUCCAUAUAUCAAAGUCAUAUUUUGAAUCCCACCAGAAAUAUUUCUACAACAAAAAUAAAAGUUUAAUAUUCAAUUUUUUGUUCUAAGAAUGUGUUAAAUAGUUGAUAAGUGAAAAUUUUACCUGAAAUUCUUUAAACAUUUCAUUUCUAUGUAAUUUUGGAACGUUUUGUCAACUGGUCCAAUAGCCGCUGAAGUGCCGACAAAUGCAUUUAGUCGUAAUUUUUUCAACUCCAUCAUCGGGCUUAAACCUACAACACAAGAUCAAAUAUUAAUUUCAUAGAGCAUAAUAAUAUAGUAAAUGAAAAAUGAAUAAUAUUGUUAUAUUUAGAAAUCUUACCCUACUCCAUAUAGAACAAUAUAAUGCCCCCGAUUAAUAUCUCUAUCUCCGAACUGCGGAACAAGUGCUGGUGCAUGCAUUGGUGUGGGUGGAUCUGAAGCACCAGAUGGUGUGCCUCCAAGAUGAAGAUCUAUCAAUCCAAUAGAUCCAGCAGAAUCACUGUGAGAGCAUGAAUGACUACUAGUAGAGGGUACUGCAGACGAUGGUAAAUGAUUGUAUGUGCCAGCGAUCGUCUGAUAGUACUGUGAAGGCGGUGGCAUGGCGAUGGGAGCAGAAUGAGUCGUUGUAGAGCCAUGAAGUGGACUCACAUGCGUAGGAGCAGGAACUAAAUAAUGCAACGACCUAGAAUAAGAGGGUCGUGCUGGCAUGUCCUCAAAUCGAUUCUCAGAUAUAUGAAUACCUGACAGUCGUCUAUAAGGCGGAGGCUGUUUUUUCUUUUUUGUCUUUGUAGGAUCAACUUUUUAUUUACCUUUGCCACCUUUACCUUUCAUCUAAAUUAUGUAAAGUUAACAAGUAGUUAGUCCUUACAAAAUGAAUAUAAGAAAACACUUGUGGUAAAAUAUUCCAAGUAACUAAUUUCAAGUUACUAAUUCACAUUUCAAAUCACUAAAUCAGUAUUAAAACACCAGUGAAAUAGUUACAUAACCAUUGCAAGUUUAGGCUUGCUCCAACAAUAUGAGAUAAACAAGAAUAUUUCUAUUACUACAUAGAUUAUGGAAAAGUGACAACAACAAUCUUACACAGGAUAUUACAUAUCAAUCUUAAACAAGAAACAUAAAGGAAAAUAGUACAAAGCAUAAAAACAUCAAUACAUAACAAAUACAACCUACACAAACUAAUCCUCCUCUCCCGAAGAUUCUCCACUAAACCAUUCAUCCUCUUUGAAAGUUUACUCAUCUCCUACCAACUCAACCUCUUUUUCUGCAAUAUUAACUUCUUCAAAUAUAUUUUUCGGGUGGUUCGAAGUAUCCACUAAAUCAAUGUCCACUAACUGGUGAUCAAUCUGCAUUUCAUUUUGAUAUGCAGUCUCCAACACAUUCUCAACUUUCACCCAUCCUAUAGACUUUGUUUUUAUUACAUCCCAUCAAUCAGACUUGUCACUGUGCAAUGGAUAAGGAGCAUAAUACACUUGUUUAGCAUUUUGCGCGAGAACAAAAGGACAGUAAACAAGAUAUGUCCUAUUGUGCUUCACUUCAAUGAUGUUAUGCUCCUUAUGUACUCUUGUGCCUCUUAUGUUUUGAUCAAACCACUUACAUCGAAAGAGGAUAAUUUUUUUUAUUGGCAAACCAGCAUACUCCAUUUCUAAGAUCUUUUGUAUGAUAUCAAAAUAAUAAAUAUCAUCAUCACCCUUAACCCAAACACCAUUAUUGUUUGUUUUUCUUGUUCUGGAGUGUUCUUUAAUGGAAAAUUUAAAUUUAUUUACUGUGUAAGUGGACAUUGUGCGAGCUUCAACAGGUCCCAAAGAAAUAUCUCUCAAGAACUGAUCGUAUGCGGCCACAUUUGGUGAAUGGUAUACCUAAAAAUAUUAUAUAUAUACAUACAUACAUAUAUAUAUACUAGUUUCGUGAGGCCCAUGCUAAGGCCAGGACCAACUCUGAUAUUAAAAAUAAUAAUUUAAUUUAAAAAAUAUAAUUUAUGUUAUAUGACGUAUUAAAUAUAUUUUGUUGAUACAAUUAUUAAAGUUUUUAAUCACAUAAUUGGAUAAUUUUUUUAAAAAUAAUAUUUGUGCGGAAGAAAGUAUUAUUGGAGAAUUAGAAUAUAUCAAAAGGCCACAAGUAAUUCGGUAUUUUAUAAAAUAACAUCAUGUUAUUUUAAUAAUGGCAAUUCAAUGAUGAUCAAAAAUAGAAAAUAUUGAUAUUUUAAUGAUUUUGUGGGUAUGUAAUUUCUCUGUUAUAGAUAGAAAUAAAUUUCAUUUGAUAUUUAUUAUUUUAUUUUCACCUAUAAUUUCAUGACAAGAGUAUUUGCAAAAUUUAUUUUUUCAAUCUAAUACAAUAAAAUAUUUCAAUGACUUCAAGUUUAUAAAACAAUGGUAACAACCUUAAUUUAGAAGAUUUACAUAAACUAACUUAAUAGAGAUCUAUAAGAAUAUUAAAUAAUAAUUAAAUUAAUAAAUUAUUUCAUUCGGCCCAUUUACUUGUCAUGUUUAUUAUUUACGUGCCCUUUAAAAAAUAUUUUAUUCAUCCUAUUUUAAUUAUUAAUUUAUCUUUUCAUGCCGGUUAAAAAAAUAUAAAGUAAUUGUACUAUUUAUUAUUGAUUAAAUUAUCCUAUUUAUUAUAUAUUUUUUAAAGAAUUGAACAAUAUUUACUAUAAUGGUGUAGUUGGAAAUUAUUACUACUUUGAUUUUAUAUGAAAGUUAUUUUUGAAUAAUUUUUUUGAGAAAAAACGAUUAUUAUUAAUUUAAAAUGAAGGAAAAUUUAAUCAAAAUAUAAUUUAUUAAGUGAUAAGAAGAGAUCAAUUACAAAUACACAAGUGGGAAUGACCUUAACAAAAAGAAUAAGGGUAAAAAUGAAAUUAUUUAACAAAAGAACACCAUCAAUUGCCAUAUGUACUCUCUUAAUUCACUUAGCCAAGGAAGUAAAAUACCUAAAAUGCCUUUAUGAGGACUACCAAAAUUUGAGAUUCUCCCUUAUAUAUAAUAGUAAUAUAUAUAUAUACUUAUACACCUCAUCUCUAAACCAUAUUGCAAAGGACGCAUACACUUGAUUUUUGUGAAAUUGAGUCAUAAAUGAACUGAAAAUCCAACAUGUGAAACACAAUUAGUUUCCUUAAGGUGAUGAGUAAAUAAAUAUGAUAUGUUAAUAUUUAAUAUCCUUACUUCAGAGAGGGCUCAACUUUCGGGCAAUUCAACAAGACAUAAAAAGUUGUUGAUUUGUGUUCCAUGGUAGUGAGCCGACGAAAUAUGGUCUUUUAGCCUUACUAUCAGAUCGAUUGAAAAUUGAUAUCGAUUGCAAAUGAGGCUCAUUCUCAUCGUCCUGAUGACGAUUCGGUCUGUUUCUUAAACAAGAAACUUCAUCACCAAAGUAGUAUGAACAAAAUUGAGACGUUUCUCUUGCAAGAUAUGCCUCAACUAUAGAGCCUUCCACCCUAUAUUUAUUUUUGGGACCCCUUUUCAAUUUUCUAAUUGUCCUACAUAAUCUUAAGAUUAAAUGUUUACUAUAUAAAAUAGAUAGGUAUGAAUUUAAAUAUAUUGUAAUUGUUUACCGUUCGCAUAGAUACAUCCACCUAGUUUGAAUUGGACCAUCUAAUCGAGCUUCGUGGACAAGGUGAAUGGAAAGAUGUUCCAUCACAUCGAAGAACCCAGGCGAAAAAAUCUUCUCCAACUUGUUGGUGAUAACAACAAUAUUACUUUUCAUUCGAACCAGAUUUUCUUCUUUUAAUGUGGUGGCACAUAAGUCCUUGAAAAACAAACUAAUCUGUACUAUAGGUUUUCAUAUGUUUUCAGGCAAACCAAUAAAAGCAAUUGGAAGUAAUUGUUCCAUGAAAAUAUGGCAAUUAUGACUUUUCAUUCCAUGUAAGAUUUCCUGUGUCAUAUCAACCCUCUUUUCCAGAUUUGAGGCAUAUCCAUUGGGCAUCUUUAAACUUUGAACCAACUUACAAAUUUUUUGCUUUUGGUCCAAUUUGAAUGUAUAACUAGCCAAUUAUAAUAAAAUAGUUCUUCUCAAUAUGAAUGACAUCAAUAUUAUUUCUAAGUAAAUUAUCUAGUCAAUAUUCUAACUCCCAAAAUAUAUUUUGCUUAGUCUAAUUAUGUGAAACGUCAUAUCCAUCAAGCCUAUACAAUGAUUCCUCCAGCUAUCAGAAGUACCUGCAUUUCUCCAACCAUCAUAGAUACCAGUAUGAUUAGUAUUUCUCUUCCAAAUAUCAUUAUAUCCUCUCCCUCCAUAGGGUCGUCGGGAUUGAAAACUAGGUAGAUAUCCUAUAAGUUUGUAGCAUUAUUCUUUUGAGUAUCCUUUUAUCCUACAAUGAUCACAUUGCUCGGACUGUUUCCUUCCUCUGAAUCCCUUACCUCGACCUACACUUUCUUGUAUGGCCAUUAUUUUUUUCAACUGUUUUGGCUGCCAAAUUGGUUGCAGCUACAUGUUGACUUUCAUCUUGAAUAAUCAUAGCAUACGUUUGCCCUAAAGUUGAUGCAAUUGAUUUUAUUAGGAUUUGUCUCCUAGCCUGAUCAUACAAGUCAUUGAGACCACUUUAAAACUGAAGUAACCUCUGUUGAUUCAGAUGCUCGAUGUAGUCUUUAGACUUUGUACAUUUACAGCUUGGUGAUAGGACUAAUACAUCAUAUUCAUGCUAUAACUCCUUCAAUUUUGAAAAAUAACUAGUGACAGAGCUUGUACCCUGCUGUAAGAUUGUAAUUUCUUUGUGUAACUGCCAUAUGCAAACUCGAUUAACCUUGUCAAAAUUUUCUUUGAGAUCUUCCCAAACAAGAUGUGCAUAGAUGCGUAAACAAUUUCACUAAGAAACUCUUCAGAAAUCGUGUUCGUUAUCUGUGAGAGAACAAUGGCAUUGUAAGUUUCCCAUUGCUCAAGCAAACCAUCCUUAUACAAAUUUUUCUCACAUGUGCCAAUGACGAAACCCAGCUUCCUCUUACCUAGCAGUGCGAUCCGCAUCGAUCUGCUUCAUAAGCCAUAGUUUUCAUAUCCAGUGAAUUUAAUUGAAAUUAAAACUUAACCUGAUGUAUCCGAAAGUCCCAAGUAAAGUGGGUGAGUAGCAUCAAUUUUAGUUUCCGCCAUUGAUGCCCUAAGAAAUCAAUAAGGUGCACACAAAUUGAAAUUUGAUCUUAUCGAUAUCUACAUAGAUUAAUAGCACUCAAAGCCCGACGAUCUACGACUUUGAUACCAUUCUAAAUUCUCUGCUGUAAGCUCAAGAUCAAGGCAAGUAUACAAUGGUUAGGGGUGGGCAUAAAAUACCAAAAACCAAAUUACCGAAUCGAACCAAAAAAUUUGAUAAUUGGUAUUCGGUAAUUUGGUAUUUGGGAUGGUAUUUAGAAGUAAAAUUUUAAAACUACGAUAUUUGGGUUCGGGAUUGGUAAAAAAUAUUACUACCAUUUGAUAUUUGGUAUUGCCCGAAAUUCUAAUUAUAGUUAAGUGACCCAUAGGCCACAUACCUAGUCCACACUCCAAAGGUCACAUACUUGUGUGAAUAUUACCCAAGUAAACUUUGAACUGUUAAACACAGUCAUAAAGUAGACUUUUAAUUUUACACAAUAGACUUCAUUGUAACCAACAUAUGACAACUUUUGAAGAAAAUAUCACGCUAAGACUGAAAAUCGGGGCGUGGAAGGGAACAACAUAAAAAGAAGUCUUCAUGAUAUGAUACAUAACACCAUUGGUGGCUGCACUUGCCCAAAUCUAAUGUUCCUAACGUAGGUCGGAAUAUGGAUUUAACCAAGGGUACUUGGUCAAGAUUUCUUAAUCCUUGUGUUCAUAUGUCAACAGCGGAUAGAAGCAAAACUCAGCAUUUGGCAGACAACAUAACAUAUAUUACUCUCCAUCACAUUUAUAAAAAGUAAUAUUAUGACUUUACAUCACAUUUACAUCCAGUUCGUGUUGCAUCCAGUUUGAUGUAAAUGUUAUUCGUGUUACAUCCAAUUCUCCCCUUCUUGGAGCUGGAUCAAACUACAAUAACAUAGGUUUUAAGAUGUUUCAUUAAUUGAGUCACACGUAUCAACGUGUAACAACAGACCAAAUAAAAUUGAUUUUUUCUGGUGUAAAACUAUGUAUUCAGAGGUGUCAAACUACCAAACAAAAUUGAAUUUUUCUGAAAACGUUGGUUGGAAAUCACCACUAUUAUCACCAAAUAGGAUCACUACAAGCAUGUCCAACUUUAAUAUGGUAAUACCGAAUUCCGUACCGAACCAAAAUUUAAUUUACCAAUUACCGAAUUACCAAACUGAAGUUUAAUGGUAUGGUAUUGUUAGGUGACAUACAAUAUUCAUAUAAUAUUGAAGAGAAGAAGGAGAAGAGAAGUUAUUUUGAUUUGGGGAAUUUUCUUUGUGUAUCUCCUCAAAUGUGCAAUCUACAAUACAUAUAUAGACAAUUACAACCGACUUCACUAAUUGAUGUGCCAGCUGUACUCCAGCUAAACUAAUUGCUAAGACACUGUGCUAAUUAACUAACUGAGCACAAUUAGUAACUACUAAUCAGCUAAUCAAUAUGGCUAAUUACAUGACUGUCAUGUGUUUAUCACAUGACUCAAUAGUCUGCAUAACUAAUACCAGCAUAUCUAAUACAAAUAUUAUUAAUGCAAGCAUUAUCAAUACACUCUAUUCAACAUUAUUCUUGUACACUCUACCAAACGAUCCCUACAUAUAACUGGGUAGGAAGAUGAAAAGUAAAUAUAAUGUAAUUAAUGAUGAAGAAUUUGUAAUUAAUGCUUAAAUAGUACACCCUUCAAAUCUAAAUAAUUCCUCUAUUUUGUGUUAGUUGACUUCUAUGGACUUGACACAUCUAUUAAGAAAAUCAACAAAUUGAAUUGCAUUUUAUGUAUUUAUUCUUGUAUGUCUUUUAAAUGCAAUGAUUAGACAUUGAAUACACAUUCUUUAUUCCAUGCAUUACGUAUAGAACAUUGAGUAUUUACAAUUGAAACUAGUAACAAUUAUUUAAUUUUGGUUUUGGGGAUUCAGAUCAUUUAUGCACCAUUCAAUAAUUUUGAAAACAGUAAAUAUAUUUGGUGUUUCUAUCAAGGUCAAAAUGAGAAACAUAUGUAUAAAACAUUUUUAAUUUUAGAACUUAGAUAACUAAAUUAAAACAUAUACUUAUAAAAAGAAGAUCAACUAAUACGAAACGGAGAGAGUAUUUAGAUGUGGAAAAAAUGCAAGUACAUGUUUGAAUGUAUUUUUUGUGGAGUAAUCCUUCCACACUUGCAAGUAAGUAGUGACCAUUGAUAUCACCUAAAUAGUAAUUAGAUCACAUUAAUUCCCACAUCUUUUUAUGCUUCAAUUUUCCAAUCGACAACUAGGGAAGCUCAAUGGACAGCCAACAACAUUAAGUAUAUGCUCUCUGAUUAUGCAAGCAUUUUAUUAGUACUAUUAGUAGCUAGUACUAUAUAUAAUAGGGGCUAAAGUUAACUAUCCUCAUUAUACAUUAUCUGAAAAAACUUACUAUAAUGUGCUCCUCUGAUGAGAACAGUGCAAAUAACACUUCCUUCUUAGGAAAGAUUAUGGAAUAUCUGGUUCGUAUUAAGAAUUUUGUGGUAGAAGGGAUAUGGACAAUUAAGACUUGUUGUGUCCAAGCGUUGCAAGGGCUUAAGAACUGUUUUGUGCAAAUGCUAUCGACGCUGAAGAGUUGUGUUGUUCAAUCAUUACAGUGGCUUAAGAAUUUUGCUUGUGAAUUGUGGGACAAAGUAAAAGAAUUUCUUUUGUGUGGCCUGGGAAAUGAUGGUGGCAAUGGAAGUGAUUUUGGUGGCAAGCAAAAUGAAUAUGGUUUGUUGGAUGAGGUGCGUUGUGUAGAUGUUAUAAGCCAAAUGUUCGUGGAUGAGUUAAAAAAGUUGGUGUUUCUGCUGGAUGGUGUGAUUGAGGCCUAGUUUAUAAAUAUGAUGAAAGAUAUUUAGGGAGGAAAAAGAUGAGGGAUGAGUAACCAUUUCAGUUUUUUGUGUUAGGUUUUGUUACCUUUUUAUGUCUAAAGGGUUAGCAGGCUCUAGUUGUUUAUGUUAUGCUUUGUGUUCAAUUUAUGGUCUUAAACCGUAACGUUUGUGCUGAUCAAUCGUCGAGCAAAUUAAAAGGAAAAUAUAGUAACUGUGUUAUUUGAGUCAAUCUUAUGUGUUCCUUUUUGAAUUCUCCUCACGCUUUUCCAUCACAUUUUUCUCUUCAAAAACACUCGUCCCUUGGAUUUUUAUCCUUGUUCCUUUUAUUUUGAACAUUGAGAUGGUUCAUGCAUAACAUUCUUUUCUACACUAUUUAGGCGACACAUGCUACGGAGUUGUAGACUUGAGACAUAGCACCAAAGAAUUUUCUUUGACUUGUUUUGCUAGUUUGUUAUUGUAUGUUCAAUAUAUAGUCUUAAGCAUGUUGCUUUACUAUAGUUCCAAACAUGAUUGGCAACAAAGUACUUGCAAUGUUUUUUUUGUUUGUUUAAAAGGAUCGGAAAAAUUAGGUCAUGUAGGUAUAGGCAUACUUAUAUGGCGUAAUUAAUGUUUAAAAUAAUAAUUUGUAGUUUAAGUUUAGGUGAAAUUGCUAAGUCUGCACUUUUGUAGUUCAUAAUAUUUUAGUGAAUUUCAGGGUUUGAAUAUAUUUCCUAUCUAAAGUAUUUGUAUAUUUAAGCUAAUUUCGGAGAUUAUAUACCGUAUUAAACCUAGUUGUUGCUAUGUUUUGUAGUUACACAAACAUUUUAUAGUGUGUACAAGAAAAACUACUUCUAUCUACUUCCAAAAUAACUUAACAUUUUCCAAAGAAGAGUUGUGGUAUCUGCAUAUUGAUGGACAUUGAAUUAAUCAACGACUACACAAAUCGCUGUCAACAAAGAAAAUACAAGAGAUGUGUUGUAUUCCAUGUUAAUGUUACAACUCGGAACCAAAAUAAGUCUAGUCAUAAAUAAAAUGAUCAAAAUAAGUCAUCUAUUUAAUAAGUUAUCAAAAUAGUUUAAACGUAAUAAAUUAUUAUGUUUUUUACUUUUUUUUAAUGGUCAAUUAACGGGGUUGACUUUUUAUGAAAUAUAAUAAAUUAUUACGUUUAAUUAUUUUUUUGGUAAAACAUAAUAAUUUUUUACGUUUUAUAAAAAAAAUAUAUAUAAAACAUAAUAAAUUCUUACGAUUUACAUUAAAAUUGAAAUAAAAAAGUCGAUUUGUCAUAUCACAAAAAAUUGAAAAAUAAAAAAGAGAGAAGUAUUAGUUGCCUCAUGAACUUGGCACUAACCUUAUAUUUAUUCUAUAUCAAAAUAUAACCACUUCUACCCUUAAUUAUUUGAUUUUUCUCUAAAAUAAUUAUACUUUUGAGUUUUCCUCUACUCUAAAAUAGUGAAAUGUUGAAUUUUCGUCGAUCAAAUAUGUUAUUAUCUAAAAGAAUUAUAUUUUUUAUGUGUUAAAAAUAUGAAAUUAUUAUUUCUGAUUAGUGUUUCGAUUAAAAUUUUAAGGAGACUCAUAUGCACAAAUAAGUUUCUUAUUAUAAUUAAUGGAAUAAGAAAUCACAAUUUAAUUUAGGAAUAUACAAAAAUUGAACCGAUAAAAUGUUACAAGUAUUAAUUUAUCGUUAUUGGGUUAAUGGAGGUUGUCCGAUAUUUAAUUGGGUUAAUAGAAAAAAAAAAAAAAGUCAAAACACAUGACAAGUUGUCCGAUGAAUUAAUGACACAUGACUUUUAAUCAAAUAAUUAUAUUAUACUAUACUAUACAAUAUUAUAUCAUACUGUACCGUAUAUUAUGAAAUCAUGACAAACCAUCCUCCAAUCAGAGUUUAAGUGACCUUUUCCUGCUUUAAUGAUUUCUGCUUCUCACCCUUUCCUCAGGGGCGGAUAGCUUUCCAAGCUCUUUUCACUAGAGAAGUGUUCCCUCAAAGUUUUUCUCCUUCACUUGAACUGAAAAAUAAGGGUAAGAUCAUUCUUAAAAAAUUAAAGCAAAAGUCAGACGAGAAAAUUCAAUGUGAAUCGUAGUUAGACCUUAAUGAUCGCAGUUCAAAGAAAUCUUAAAUGGUUAGGACAGGGAGGAGGGAGAGGACCAGCAAGAACAGGGUGCAUUGGGUGUAUAUUUGUUUAUGGGUCAGGUCGGGUUAGUCUAGGGUUGGUGUUUUUUAAAAAAAAAAUUGGGUCAUUUUAAUUGAUUUGGAUUUUUCGUCUAUUUUAGGGGUAUGAAUGACAAAUUUAUUAACAACAACAAUAUAUAUGAUCAAAAAAUUUAGCGGAGCGUAAAACUAACCAAUUUUUAAAAGUUAAGGGAUAUAUUUGACCUUUUUUCCUUUUUUGUUUUGUUAUUCACAAAAUUUCGUCAAGCAAUUUAAUGGACCACACGGACAUUCUUGCUUAAUAUACUUUCUCAGUGGCGAAGUACUUUUUUUUUUUUGGUUCUAAUUUAUAUGAUUCCUUUUUUUUAAUUGAUUUAAAAAAGAAGGAUAAAUUUUUACUUUUAGUAGUAUUUUAGCUUUAAAAUGUUUAUUUUACUCCUAAUUAAUUAUUCCCUCUAUUUUAUUUUACUUGUUUUAAAUUUUCUAAUUUAAUUUCUCAUUUUACUCAUCAUUUUUCACAAAUCAAGAAGAGAUAAUUUUUUUUCUCCAUGAAGCCCUUUGCAUUAAUUGUUUUUUCUUAAAUUAAAAUAUAAACAUCAUUUAAAAGGGAUACUAUGAUAAAUUAAUCAUGCUAUUAAUUAUUAUUUUUAAUCAAUUUGUCAAGCUAAAUUCAGACAAAUAAAAUGAAAUGAAGAAAAUAAUUUAUAGCCACCCAAAUACAUUUAUUUUAGAUCACAAAUUUUCAAAAAAGAAAAAUUCUUUCUUAAAUUGCUUACUGAAUUAACCUACCUCGCAUUAAAUGAGACAGAUGAAGUAAUAGUCCACCAAGUAGGGCAACAAGGACAAUAAAUUAGAAUUCACAACACAUAUACCGGCACAUAUACAUAUGCUUGGGAAAGAAGAAAAGUAAUAUAAUGUCAUUUAAUACUUAUUUCAUUUGUUUUUACUAUUUUGAGUUGUCAUAUUUAUUAAAAAAAUAAUUAUUGAUAUGAUUAUUGCUAUAACACUCUUAUUAAAUGAUGUAUGUCUUGAAAUUAAUUUGGAAUAAAAAUAAUUAAUGUUAAGUAUAUAAUAGGAAAAGGAAAUUAUUUUUUUCUUGAUUUGUCAAAAAUAACAAGUAAAAAUAAAAAAUUAAAUUAAAAAAUAGUGACAAGUAAAAAAAAAUGAAGAAUGUACUAAAGAAUUAAUAAUUAAUAUUUUUUUAAUAAACAAUAAUUAAUGUGUUAACAGUACUACUUUUUUUUUUUUCUAAAUGAGUGAUUGUUUAGCUUUUCAUUUUGUUUCUAAAUAAGAGGUUGCUUUAAAUAACCAAGAAGUCAUUAAUAAUAUUUUUUUCAAAUUUUUAUCCUUCUUUAAAUAAAAAAAAAUUAUAAAAUCAAAAAACUACUAAAGAGUUGCAUUCUUUUCAAGAUACUAGUUUAGAAUAGUCUUAUCGUCAUCAAUAAAACUAUAUAAAAGAAUUAAAUGUUAUAUCAAUUUAAAUGAUAUAGAUAAAUAUUGUAGGUAAAAUGUUUAUCACUUUUAUAUUUAGAAAUAUUAAAUUUUCAUAUAUUUGAAAUAAGGAAGAGUUUAAUACUAAAAUUUAGUUAAUUUUUAAAAUCAUAAAUAUUACUCCCUCCGUCGAACUUUAUUAGUCCACUUUCCUAUUUCGAGAUGUCCAACAAUAUUCCUACAUUUCAAAAUACUUGAUCUUCUGUGGAGUAUUUAUUUAAUAAGGUCAAACAUAUGGCAAGGUCCCUCAAUUUAACUCGAACUUUCACUUCACCUAAAGCGGACGUUGUUCAUUUUAAACACGUAAACCAACUAUCAACUGUGUCAUUUUGACACAUUUCGACACCAACUUUGACGCUUGGAUUGAACUCGUUUCCAACGGGAAUUAAAUGGCCAAUUGAUUUGUGCCAACUCAUUUUAAUCGCCACAUCAUUAUAUACACUCACAAUUUAAUUUUAUUUUUGUAAAAAGGGCCAAAACACAUGACAAGGUGUCCAAUGAAUUAAUGCGUGAUUUUUUUACUAUAUAAUUACAUAAAUGCCCCCACAAUAUUUUUCCCACGUAAUCUUCUUUGAGCUUAAUUAAUCUCCAUUAAUGGAGGUUGAAUUUUUCAAGAAUGAUAAAUUCAACGAUGUUCUCCCACAACGCCAUCCUCAUUCUCUAAGGAUAAUAAAUGCGCAUUAAUAGCUUCACAAUUUCAGACAUACGUCUAAGAAAAAAUAUAAAGGAGGAGGUCAAUGUUAAGUUAGAAAAUUAAUUAACGGAAGAAAGCCUAAAUAUGAUUGGGAGUUUCUUGGAAGAAAACAUAAUACUUUACAAGAUGGGUGCUUGGAAGUGAAUCUUCUCCGACCAAAUUGUAUUUUAAUAAUAUUUUUUGAAAGUUAAUUAUCAUAUUGAUACAAUAUUUUAUUCUUCGUUUUUGAAUUAAAAACUCAAUUUUAAUAUUCUUUUUAUUUUCUCAUACACAUUAUUUUUAGACAAAAUAUUGUUAGAAGUGAUAUGAAAAAAAAAUAUUUUAAAAAAUUAUUGUCUAAGAGAUAGAGAGGGUUUGAAAGUAUCAUUAAAAGAGUUUGAGCUUGAAAAAAUCGUGGAAGAAAAUGGAAUGAAAAAAAGGGUAAGAAGAUGAUAAAAUUAAAUAAAAAUGGACUAAAAUAAGGUUGUCACACGUCAAAAUUCAAGUGUAGAACACUUACUUGCCAUGUCAACGAAGGUGUCAAAAUGACAUAAUUUAUAGCUGAUUUAAAUGCUUAAAAUAAAGGGGAAAGGACACCCACUGGCCAUUUUGAAAACAAAUGGUCAGCAUAUGGUAAGUUUCCCACAUGGUAGCCAGUCGGCCAAAAUAAUACCCCGUAAUAGCCAUUGGGAUAUUUUGGCCUUUUUCUUCAUAUACAGUUUUUAUACCAAAUUGAGACAAUGCUUAUACCAUAUUGAUACACUUUUUCAAAGGAGACAAAACCUAUGCAUGCAUAUACAAUCUCUAUGCUAAAUUAAUACAACGUUGUACCAAAAUUGCUACAACGCUUAUACCAUAUUGAUACACUUUUUCAAAGGAGACAAAAUCUAUGCAUGCAUAUACAAUCUCUAUACUAAAUUGAUACAAUGUUAUACCAAAUUGAUACAACGUUUAACGUCAUUUAGUAGCCUUCGGGCUACUUUGGCACUUUCCUAUAUAUACAAUUUUUAUACCAAAUUGAUACAAUGUUAUUUAAAAUUGAUACACUUUUUCAAAAGUGACGAAACCUAUGCAUGCAUACACAAUCUCUAUACUAAAUUGAUACAACGAUUAUACCACAUUGAUAUACUUUUUUAAAAGAGAGGGAACUCACACAUACAUAUACAGUCCCUAUAUUAAAUUGAUACAACGUUUAUACCACUUUGAUACAAAUUUUUGUAAAAAAAAAUAUAGUAGUGAAAUAAACAAAUAGAAAAGUUGAAUUCGUUUUUUCAUAAGAAAAUGGACAACAUUUUUUCUAAAUGAAACAAUAAUUUUUUUUUAAAAAAAAAAUAGAGAAGGAGACGAAGUCUACAUUGAAAUGGCUAAAAGUAGGAAUUACUUUAGUGACUAAUUAUAGGUAAUUAGUUUUGGGUGGCUAUGGUGGAAUUAUUUUCGAAUAAAGAUUUAAAAUAAAAGAUAGUGUGAAGUUGAAGAUCCGUGGAUGUGUGGGGAAAGUUAAUAACAAGGAAGUAGCUCAAUGUCAUGCAUUUAAGUGGAUGGCCCCAGCUUUUAGUCCUUUCAGUUUCACAAGGAGACUUUUGAAGUAAGGACCAAAUCUCUCUACAUGAUGUAUAUUGUAUAUAUACAUAGGAAGGGAAGGAGUAUUUUCUUCGUUUACUUUUAGUAAUCUGGACACACACACAUACACACACCUAAUAAAGCAUAGCAGUAUAUAUAUCCAACAAAAUUCAUCAGAUAAAAAGCAAAAUAUUACUAUCCUUCCUUAUUCCUUACCAUUCAUAAUCUGAAAAAGUUGUGCUAGUAUUACUAUAAUGUCUUCCUCUGAUGAUGAAAGCAAUUCCUUUAUAGGACAGAUUAAGGAGUAUCUGGUCCGAUUUAAGGAUUUUGUUAUGGAAGGGUUACGUAAAAUGAAGGAUUUUUUUGUCGAAGCAUUACAACAGCUUAAGAACAGUUUUAUGGAUAUGCUAGUGAAGCUGAAGAAAGAUGUUGUUGGCCAAUGUGUACAAUGUAUAAAGAACAUUGCAUCCGAAUUGCUGCAGGAGUUAAAGAAUUUCUUUGGUGAAGAUGAAAUGGACAAAGUUGUAGUGCAAAAUGAGGGUUUUGGCAACAGAUCGGAAAUUAUGUUUGCUCGGGUGCAUUGUGCAGAGGGUUUAAGCCAUGUGUUGCAGGAAGCAUUAAGCCACUUUGUGACUGUGUUGGAUGGAGUGAUCAAGGCCAAGAUAAAUUGAUCAUCAAACAUACAUUAUAUUAACCAUCUCCAGGCUCUAUUUGUUUAUGUUGCUUUUCUUUCGUGCUUUUCUCUACUCUUAUUUUGAGUAAAACAUCUAGUAUCCGCUGAACUAUUAUCAAAUUCGCUAUGACACACUUCAACUUCAUAGGGGUUCUAUUAACUCUAGCUCUGAGCUAGAUUUUAGCUUAUUUUGUUAAUCUUUUUAGCUGACAUGACACGUUUAAUGUUGGCCCCAUUUUAUGCAAUAAAACUGUCACGUCAGCAUAAAAAGAUGACAAAAAUAUACUAAAACUAAGAUUCAAGAGGUAAUAGAACCCUUGUAAAGUUGAAGUAUGUCGUAGCAACUUGACUAUAGUUUCAGGGUACUGCUUAUUACUUUUAUUUUCUCUAUUGUUGUGAAAAGAAACGUCUAGUUUCAGUUUUACUGAAAAUCUUGAUAGGCGUCCAUGAAAAUCAAGUAUAAAUUGGAGUUGUAGUUGCAGUCCCAAUUGUAUUUGCUCAUGAAUAAAAGUUGUUGUUUUGUUUCAUCAAAAAUAAAAGUUGAAGUUGUAAUUGAAUUUUUUUGAGUAAUUUGAAGCAAAAACACAAGUUUUACUGUCUUUUUUUAUUUCGAAAAGUCAACUCUAAAAACAAAAAAAAUUCAUGUCCAAACGUCUAUUUUAUAUGUUAUUAUGUUUAAUCGUCUUGGUUAUGCUAUUUGUUUUCAAUUUUCCACUGGUCCCUACCUUAUUUUGCUGCCAUUGUUGAUUGUUCCAACUAGGGGUGUAGAAAUUAAAUCGUCAAGUAAAACUCAAUUAACGAUCCAAAUCGACUUGUGAUUUGGGUUGGCGGUUUGGAGUUAGAAAAAAAAUCUAGCUUUUGGUUUGGAUUGAUUGGUUGACAUUAAAAAAAAAAAAUCUAUCAUUCUUGAUUUGAUUUGAUAUUUUAAAGAAAAAGUAUCUUGUUCUAAGAAAAACUUUGUUGCUUUCAAGAGAAUUUCAAAUCUGAAAUAUCUUGUUCUUAUUCAUUUCACUCUACACAAGUGUUAUUUUAAUCAAGUUUGCAUUGAAAAUAGUUAGACAAUAAAAUCGCACGCUCAUGCCUUUUCUACUAGCUCGUGCCUUAAAUGUAAUUACAUCUUCUGCGCUCAAUUUAAAAAUUCAUAGAAUUUAGUCAUUAUAGUACAAACAAGGUAUCUUUCGAACUUUUUCUGAAAAAAAUAAAAUUUACAAAAAAUUGGAUUGGGAUUUAUUUGGCGGGGUGUGGGGUGGGGUNNNNNNNNNNNNNNNNNNNNNNNNNNNNNNNNNNNNNNNNNNNNNNGGGGAACGGGGGGGGGGAGAGCGGGGGUGAAGGGGGGGGGGGGGGGGGUGCAGUUGGCUGGUGUGUGGUGGUGGUAGAUGGGGGAGGCUAAAAGAAGAAAUGUUUAGGAUUUUAUUUUAUUUUAGUUUUUAUUAUUUUUUCUAAAUCGAUUAUUGAUUUUUAAAAUAUUUUAAUACUUUUAAAUGCAAAAUAUUGCUUUCACAUGCUUUAAAAUGCAUGUAAAUAUGUAUUUUUACAACUCAGCAAUAUUAAUGUCACAUAUGCUUGAUUAAUGUUCAAAAGAGUUUAAAAUAUUAUGUUUUAUUAAGUUUAAGGAUUUAGAUAAUAAAUAGUUAAAGAGAUAUGUCCACUUUAUAAAAUCGGAUAAGUACAAGGGUCCAUCUGACUAUUUUCCCUAUUGUUAGAUGUACUAAAUUAUCUUAAUGUGUACUUUUUAGUUGACUUUUUUCCUUAAGUGAGAUUUAAUAAGAAUAAAAUAGGAAUUGUAUAAUUAAGUAACUGUCACAUGAAAAAAAGAUAACAUUUCUUUUGAGAGGGACUAAAAGGUAAAUGGUGUCAAAUAAAUUGGGAUAGACAGAGUAGUAACUUUCUCUUAUUAUCUUUAAUAUUAAAUAACUAAAUAAAAUAAUAAUAACAAAUUUAAAGUUAAAAAGUACAAGUAUCAUUAAUAAGAUUAACUUAAUAAAAUACUUCUUUAAUUAGUUUUCCUCAAAACUUUUAACAAAUCAGCAUUUGUUAAGUAAAAUACAAUAGAGAAAUACUUCAUACACGAAACUAUUCUUUUUUUUUAAUAACUUUCAUAAUUUUGUUGUUGCCUUUUCAUUUGAACUCCCUAAAAAGACAAUAGAUUUUCGGAGAAAGAGUAUGUGCACAUUGCUUGACUUUGACUUCACAAAUCACAUUAUCAUUAUGAAAUCUGAAAUUUUAUCAUGUUCUUCAAAUAUUAUUUUUAUUAUUUAAUAAUUAUUUUUAAAAUUAUUAGUCCAAUUUACCUUUUUUAAAGCAUAAUGUAAGAUUAGUUUAGUAAAAUAACCUUCUAAUAUUUUUUUAAGAAGAAUAUUAAGUUAUAAAACUAAAUUCAAUAAGUAAUUGGGUCAUUAAAUACGUUCCAAAUGGAAACGUGUUGCAUUCAACUAUUUAAAUAUUCUUUGGAAAUUAAAACAUUUCGGAGUUUGGUUGGUAUAAGUAGGAAUAUCUCACUCUUCAUAUGAGAUAUUAAUUUUAUCAUUUUAGUAUUUUCUUUGUUAUUUUUUUUGUUCAUUAUUGACUUGAUAUACAUCUUAAGAAAUACUCCCUCCGUCUCAAAUUAUGUGUCGCCAUUUCCUUUAGAUCGUUCCAAAAAGAAUGUCGCAUUUUCUUAUUUGGUAAGUUUUUAAAGACACAAUUACAAUUUUACCCUUAGUGGUCUCACUUGAUUUAAAUACUAUUACUUCUUUUUUAUUUGUCUUUUUAAUUAGAAGUGGUCCCACUUAAUUUUAAAUACUAUUACUCCUUUUUUUAAGACGGGAAAUUUUGUAACUUUAACAAAGUCAAUACUUAUUUCUUAAAUAUCGUGUCUGGUCAAAUGACAACACAUAAUUUGUUAGGGAGGGAGUAUAUGAUAAAUAAAGGUAAUUUUACUACUCCUUCUAUUCCAUUUUACUUUUCACAAUUUGAAUUGGCACAUUGAUUAAGAGAUGAUAUAAUAUGGUAUCUAAGAAGGCUCAAAACAGUCCACAAAUACGCAUAAACAAUCUGCACGGACAAGACAUCAAACGAUGACAACAACAAACACAAACUAACUUAAGAGAUAAUGGAUAAAUAACUUGACAUAGAGAGAACAUGUAAGAUAAGAACUAAAGAGUAUAUUAAACUUAAAAACCCCUACAAACAUGUAAACUAAUACCAAGUUCUUAUGUUGAACCCAAGAGGAACUCGGUUCACUCAAGAACUCACGUUUCUAGCCAAUACACAACCCAAGUGGAACCUUCACUUGUGAAGUCAAGCUUCGGUUUGCCUCAAGUAGGGAGAGGACUUUGGUGAUUCAAAGUGUUUCAAGAACUUACAACAAUAAUCAACUAAGUAAAAAUAAGACUAAAGGGCCAAUUUAUAAUCUAUUAUAACAUAAAGUGUCCAAAAUGUCCUUAAUGAGGGUGGGGUGGCCAUGGAGUGUAUUUUUAGCAUGUGAAAUCCCUCAAACACCCCUUAGUGAGAAAAAGGCACCUUUCACUAAGUCCUAUACUCCAAGACCAUGGUCCUUCAAGCUUCACAACUUCCGCAAGCCAAGCCACCUUCCACACACGGCUCUACCUCAUGGAAUGUCCAAAAUGGUCUUCCCAUGCAUGCUCUCUUCUCCUCAAUGUGACCACAAUUGGGUUCUUCAUGAGUUGACCUCGCAUGAUGUCAUCAAUGGCUAUGAUGGCUAUUUGGCUCGUAUCAUCCUCCCCUUCUUGAAAAGAAUUCGACCUCGAAUUCAUGGCCUGUAAAUCAAAUAGCAUAUUCAUGUUAAGGUGGAACACACUUGAAGUAUAGCCAAGGAUCCUCUAUGAAAAAAGGCACAAAGGAGCCGGCUAUGGAAUCAUCAUCUCUACACAAAUAUAGAAAAAGGGUGUAAACAACUAAUUUUUGACCAAACCUAACGUUUUUAUGUCAUUUUAAUGUUCAAUUUUUUUUUUAGGUCUAAAUUAGAUAUUUUAAGUUUAUCUUAUUUUACAAGGUUUGUUUAAAAGUUUUGAAAAUUACAAAAAUAGAGUCACAUUUUAAAUAAACUUUUAUUUUUAUUAUUAUUUAUUUAUUUAUAAAAAAAAUCUAAAUUAUAUUUGUCUUUUUUUUUUAACUUUUAAAAAAGAAUCUAGUGAUAUUAAUAUUUCUUGAUCAUAUUUCUAAGACUAGCUAUUUAACUUAUUUAUAUUUUAUUAGUUUUAAAUAGAUUUUAUUAUUUUUUAUUUUAUUUAAAAUAUUGAAAAAGAAAAAGAAAAAAAAAUCCGAAAGCUACCCUAAUUCCCAUGUUCCCCCACUUUUUCCAUAACCAACACCCAUUACCCCAUUUUCCUCCUACACAUGCACACACUAUUCUAUAUAUAUGCAUGGACACCAACACAAUUACCAGGACAAUACAUAUACACGGACAGUGAGAAAAUCUACAAGAGAACACAACAACAUUGAAAACACACACAAUUACAGAAAAACAAGAAAAAGAAACAGAGAAAAAACAAAGAGGAAAAAGUGAGGAAACAAGAAAGAAAGCAGAGAGUUCUUUGAGUUUGGAAAAUUCAGUUCAGGUCUCCAUUUUGAAUUUUCGAUUCGAGUUUGUCACUUCAAAAGUUAGUUAUUAUUAACUUUGUGAAUUACAAGAUUGUAGCAAAUUUCGUUAGAAUUUAUUUUCACAAGAGGUAACCCUCGAACCUUCUCUUGUAGCAUAAUAAUGCGUCAAAUGAAAAUAUGAUAUUCGUGUCCCAGCGAUGAUUCCACUUUUUUUCCUUUCCUUUCAGUUUUGGUUUGUUUAAAUCUAGAAUUAGUUCAAUAUUUGUGUUUCUUCUUGAAUACCUUUAGUUAAUGGUAGAUUAAUUUAUUUAUUUCUCUUGGCUCUUGCUUACUGAAAAAGGGACUUAACAAUUUGCUCAUUGUGUCACUAGUUUUGUUAGUUUUGUUUUCUUGAGUUCGUCACUACUAUAAUUUUAAUUGAUGAAAGUUUGAAACAUGCAUGAAGAGUGCGUUUUUUUUUCUUUUUUUUUUUUAAAAAAAAAGAAGUAAUAUAUAGAGGAGAAGUUGAAGUUUACAUAGCGGUGAUAAAGAUAUAAAUAUGAUCAUGUAUUUUUUUUUAUCAGACUAUUAAUUUAUAAAGAUGCAAUGUUAAUACAAAGUUUGGUUACUGUAAGUAAUUUCUUGUUUUUCGUAAAAAAUCAAACUGCAUGCAUUAUGUAGUACACUUUGCAUAUCAAUGUUUUGCAUUGUAUUUUUUUUAAUUUUUAUCACUGUUAAUGUCUUUCUACAAAGAAGUAUAUAACACCAUUUUGAAAUAAUAUAUUUUUAAAAAAAAGGAGUCCGUGAUUUAUUUUGGGCCUCGUAAUGAUUCAGGUUGACAAAUCAUAAUAUUAUUUUGAAUAAUUGAAUAUGAGAAAUGGACGACAUUUGAAGAAAUCUAGUAAUGUAAUUUGUUGAAGUGUUGACUGUUGCAAUAUUAUUGUUUACUAUUUAAUUCACUUCAUCAUUUUAAAAUAAGUUUUAUUGUUACACAAUACUCAAUCAUUUGGUAUAUGAAUUUGACUAUAUCUAGGAUUCUAGAUAUUUAAUAAUAGAAAUAGUGAUACAAGAAUCAAAUAUUUGAUAAGUUGGAAAUUGACAUGAAAAUAUUGAAAACAUAUUUAACAGUGUAGCCUUUGAUUCGCUUUGUCACUUCUUGUUUUUGCGUCUUGAUUUCUUAUUAUUGUAAUGUUUGGAUACCUGUAAAAUUACUUUGCUCGCCAGGCCUAAUUCUAUGUCUGUGGCUUAAGGAAUUAAUAAGCGUGAGAAUGAAUAAAAUGGGUUACAAAUUUAUUCAAGACUCAUCGUGAAUGAAUAAAAAAAAAAUCAUACUCAUCGAUAAGAAAAGAGAGGAAAAACUCAUUUGUAAGGAAGUGAACUCGAAAAAGAAUGACUUAGGUUCUUAACCUGAAAGAAAUUAAGAUUUAACAUACAAGAAUGAAAAUUAAAGAUGAAGUUGGAAAGCCCUGCUACCGACCAUUCGUUAUAAUAAAAUAAACAUACCAUUUGAAGCCGAUCUAAUCGAGUUGGGUAGAUUCUAAACCCGUUAGGUGCUUAUCUAGAUUUGAAAAAAUGGGACUAUCCAUAAAGGCGUGAGAAAUAUAUCCAAACCCGUGGCAUGAUCAGAAAGUACUGCUACCGGCAAGCCACACAUUAAUAUAAUUAAAUAAUUCAAAAAUAAAUAAAAGCGAGAUAGAAGUCACUUUUAGGCUAACAAAUACUAUAUAUUCAAGAGAUUAAUUUAAGCCAGACGUAAGUCAUUAAAGCGACCGUUCUAGAACACGGGACUCGAGGGGUGUCUUACACCUUUAUCUCGGUCAAUAGAAUUCCUUAUCCAAAUUUCUAGAUCGCAGAAAAAAAUAAAGAGUUAUUUUCUUUUGAUUAGGGAUUUAAUAAGGUGACUUGGAACACCCAAACUCAAUUCCAAGUUGUGACUCUGUAAAUAAAAUAAUCUCUAUUCAAAAUGUCACUUCAAUUGGAAAAACUCAUUUUCUCUAAAACCAGCUCCCUAGCGGGGUUGGGGCGGUAAAAAAUAGGGGUGUGACAAAGGGUAUCACAAAAAUGGAGUUUAUCCAAAGUAGUUUCAAGAGAAGACUCUCUUCUUGACCUACAAGUGAUAAACCCUUGGUCAAGAAUGUAAAUACACAAUGGUGAACUCUCUUGGAGCCGUUCUUGGCUCCCUUCUUUAAAGACCCUUUAUCUUGGUUGAAGUUCUUCACCUUGCAUAAUGUUGGUUACGUUCCUCAAGUGGAUUAUGAAUCCCCAAGAAAAAGGCUCCAUUAUAGGGUAGGAUGCCAACACCCUCAUUCACACCUUGCUUGUCGUUUUGAACAAGCAUCAAGUCGGACGCACUACUAGAAAACAGUAAAUUUCCGACGGCCAGUGUAGUCGGAAUGUGGACGGAAAAUAAGGUAGUUCCGACUACUUGAUGGUAGUCAGAAUAUAGCUUGUUGAAAAUCUUUUCCGACUAAAGUAGUCGAAAAUUUCCAACUACUUUAGUCGGAAAUGUAGUCGGAUAUUUAAUAAAUAUUUAUUUAAUAAUUAUAAAUAUUCCGACUACUGUAGUCAGAAAUUUAAUAAAAAAUUAUUUAAUAAUCUUAAUUCGAAUACUGUAGUCGAAAAAUUAAUAAAGAAUUAUUUAAUAAUUUUAAUUAUUCCGACUACUAUAGUCAGAAAUUUAAUAAAUAAAUAUUUAAUAAUUAUAAUUAUUUCAACUACUGUGGUUGAAAAUUUAAUAAUUAAUUAUUUAAUAAUGUAAUUAUUCCGACUACUGUAGUAAAAAAUUUAGUAAAGAAAUAUUUUAUAAUUAUAAUUAUUCCGACUACUGUGGUUGAAAAAUUAAUAAAUAAUUAUUUAAUAAUGUAAUUAUUUCGACUACUGUAGUCAAAAAUUUAAUAAAUAAAUAUUUUAUAAUUAUAAUAAUUCCGACUACUGUGGUUGAAAAAUUAAUAAAGAAUUAUUUAAUAAUGUAAUUAUUCCGACUACUGUAGUUAGAAAUUUAAUAAAUAAGUAUUUAAUAAUUAUAAUUAUUCCGACCAUAAACAACAUAACUAAUGUAUUUUUCACAAUUGGAUCAAACACGACAAAAAUUUAUAAAUACAACCACUUUAAACCAUUCAAAACAAAUAUCAAAUCAAAUAGUUUAAACAUCUAAAUGUCACAACAAAAAAAUAAGAACAAUAACUACAAUCUAAUUAUCAUCAGAUUCAAUAUCUUUCUCAUCCUGAAAUACUUGUGGCAUGUGCUUCUUAACCAACUCCUCCAAUUUAUCAAAUUUAGCAAACUUAGCAUCGUUAGCUGCAAAUUUCUGCGUCAAUUCCACAAUUUGCUUUUUCAUCACUUUCAUUUCUUCCAUAGUUUGUAAAGUAGAAGAGGAACUGGAAAACAAUGAAGGACUACUCGAGGAUUGCAGAACCCCUAUCCUGUAGGUUCUACCUUUCUUUGGACCACCUACCACAGUUGUCCACAUAUUAUUCAGCUCUUCAGGUGAUGGGUGGACCAUGGUACCAUUCUUUGAAGUAGGUUGGGUUUGACGCCACUCUUCAAUGCUUUUUUGAAAUUCUUCCUAAAAGAAAAAUUAUUUGUCAGUAUGUAAACAAGCAAAGUUGAGUAAUAAUAAAACAAUGUAUGUAAAAGUUAUUAUCUUACAUAUGCAUUCUUAGCACGCGGUUCGACCCAAUCUCCUCUUGUACCGUCCUUGUUUUUCUUCCUAUGUGUAGUUUCGUAGACAUCAAUAAAAGGGUGCUCUUUUCCCCCAUUUUCAUAUUCCUGCAAAAUUUUAGAAAAAGAGAUAGUGCAAGUAUGUAGACAAGUUCGGCCAGCAUAGACCAAAACAUCUUAAGACUAAUAAUAGAUCAUGGAGUUCAUGAUUCGAAAAUACUCAAAUCCAACAGAAGUAGUAGUUUAGGUGGAUUCUUUUCAGUUAUUUAAGCUAUAAAUAGAUAGUUUGGAAGGGGUCUACAGCUAUAUAGGGAGCCAAUGCCCCAAAGGUUCUAAUACAUUCAACAGAAAUGUGCCAAAGAUACUAUACACUAUAUAAGAAGCUAUAAGUUAAAUUGGAACUGCUGCAUCAAUUUUCAAGUCUUUAUACACUAUAUAAGAACCUAUAAGUUAGAAACUCUAAUUAUUUUCCAAUAGGAGGUGGCAUUCACUGGAGUUUCCAACCAGUACUUCCUUUAUAAAGUAUUACUAUCAUUUAUACAAUCCACUUCCCAUGAAGACUUAUCACCACUUACCUAGAACUUAAACAUAUGAAAUUUGCUAGUUCUAGCUCCAAGAUAAGUUAAAAAGUAAACAUUCACAAGCUACAAACGUCAUCUUGAGACAUCCUAUCAAUUGUUUACCUUGUUAAGACUUAGGAUAUCACAAAAGAUGCCUUUUUUUUCUUAUUUUGUAUCUUUACCUUAACUAAGCUUAAGAAAUAUAAAAGACUUUGGUCCUUUCUUAUUCCUUUUUCCUAUCGUUUCAAUCCCCAGGAUGUGCAUAUCUGAGACCUCAGUUUAAUAAAGAGGAAGAAAUUAAAGGCUUAUAUCUUUUGGUCAAUAACUUAUGUAGGACACUAACGUGUAUUUUCCACGUACUACAUGUCAGAACUUCUAUUGUAUGUUGUACAAAUUCAGUACUUAAGAUCAAACCAAGAUAAAAUAUCCAUUAUUUCUAUGUAUAUACAAUGCAGACACUUCUUUACGCGAAUGACAAGGUUUGAUCAGAGAUAAGGAAAUAAAGUACUUAAAAGGUUCUGCAAUAUUUGAGUUGGCUGAAUAUACUUCUAAAAUGUUAGCAUUCGUUGAUAUUCAAACACAUGGAAAUAAGAUAAAUUGCGAUGUAAUUUCACAAAGGGUUCCAUAUCCCAACAUAUACAAAUGACCCGACAAAUGCUCCUUGUUUUUCCAUCUUUACCAAUGGCUUCCUAUCAGAGUCAAUUCCUUAUAUUGUCACUCAACUUAUCAAAAUGUCUCGCUAAAGUCAUUUAUCUUUUUUCUUUAUUCCAAUAAUAUCAUUCAAGUUUGUGCAUUUUCCUUACAAACUAACAAUUGUUAAAAGUGACUCAAAAAUGAUCAAAAUAGUCCAUCAAGUUUGAAAUUUGAAUUUAAAUAGUCCUUAUUUUUACAUGAAAUAUUAAUAGGCCUCCAAUUAUUUUUACUUUUGUACUUCUUAAAUUAAUUUUUAAUAUAUUUUAUCAAUAAGUGCAUAAUAUAAUUUAAAAUGACACAAAUCAUAAUAUUAAAAAUGAAUUAAAAAACAAAGAAUGUUAAAUUAAAGCUUAAAAUAGGUAGUUAUAUUUUGAAUGAAAUAAACAAGAAGUACAGUUAUUGUCCAAAUUGGUAAAUGUAUUUAGUUUUUACAGCCAACUUGACGAGGCGAUAUAAUUUUCUCUAAAAUAAUAUCACAAGAUUGAUAAAAAUAAUAUUAAAACCUUAAAACAUUUUUAAGUUACAAAAUGGUUAUACAAAAUCACCUAAUUUUAUUUGAUAGUGAAUGAUUGAUGUUAUUAUCAUGGUAUCCGUUAAUAUGAAUUAUUUUUUAAAAUAAAAAUCCUUUAACAUAUUUAUAUAUGGUUCUUCUACUAGCUAGAGACCUUAAUUUUUUUUAUUUGCAGGAAUUCAUCGUCUUCUUUAUGAAUUAUAAUUUUUUCGACAAUAAUUUGGAGUAGAAGAAACUAAAAACUAACUUGAACUAUUUUAUCAAAAAUAAAUAUUAAUUCUAAAAUGAAUAAAUAUAGAAUAUUCUUUUAUUAUUGAACUCCUAAGUUUCCAAAUAAAUACAUUAAUAUUAUUUUAUUAUUGAACUCCUAAGUUUCCAAAUAAAUACAUUAAUAUUAUUUUAUUAUUGAACUCCUAAGUUUCCAAAUAAAUACAGUACAUAUAAGCUUAUUUCUAACAAUUUUAAUUACAACUUUUGGUGGACGUCAUUAGAUUUAAUAUCGCAGUUUGAAGUUGAAAGAAGAUUGUACUCACUAAGUUUUAUAGUUGAAAGUUUAUUGAUAUUUCGUAUUGUUAACUAAUAAGAAUCAUUUAAAUUCAAAGUUCAAACUUAAGGGAAUUUUUUGAUCAUUUUUUUCUCAUCUUUUGAGUCACUUUUAGCAAUUAUUGAUUUUAAAGAAAAAUGAAUAAAGUUCGAUGAUAUUAUUGGAACAAAAAAAAAGAUAAAGGACUUUAUUGAGAUAUUUCCCUAAGUUGAGUGACAAUAUAAGGAAUUUACUUCUUCUUAUCACUAUAGCAUUACAGUAACAGCCAGCAAACGUUCCAACAAAUGAAUAAGCUCAGACCACCAAAAUCGAAAACAUAAUUUGUUAAAAACUUUCGAUAAACUAACACGAUGGAGCUUCAAAAAACUCAGUUUGCAUACGAGUUAUUGUAAGAAUUUGUUUGACCAGGCAAGAUACCUCAACUUGGUCUUAGCUGACAACUAAACACUCUAGAUCCUUACCACUAUAUCUCAUGAACAUAUGACACUGACGUGGCACAUUAAUUUGUAAGAUGGAAGUGUUCAACUGGCACAGUUGACAUAAGCUGAAGUAUCUAGAUGUGGAAAUCGGAGUAUUUACCAUGUUUAUUUAUCAUUAUGCCCAAAAAGAUAAAAAAGUUAGUUUCUCUUUCUUUUUUUUUUUAAAGAAGAUUUCUAUGAUCAGAUCCUUCAAAAGCUAGCUCUUAGAAACAUUAAAACAAACAGCUUAAACUUGAUACAUGAACAUAACCUAUCUAAAUUGUUUUCCCUAGCUCAAAAGUCAAUUUAUUUCUCUCAAAGUCACAAGUGAUGGAAGUCCACAAAACACUACGCUAGCUUUUGGCCAUUAUUUCGAUGUGUACAUUGUUUAAGACACGAAUGACCAGGUUUAAUCAGAGAUAAGAAAAGAAAGUACUUAGAAGGUUCUGCAAUAUUUGAGUCGGCUGAAUAUACUUCUAAAAUGAUUGUUAAAAGGUGUAAGGAAAGGUUCAUUUAACAUCAUAAUUAGGAAGACCUGAGCAGGGAAAGAAGUAGCCGAACUUAAACUGAUUUGGAGAAAUAUUUGUACUGAGGGUGCAAAUGAGUCUAUUUACAAACUUAGAAUGAGUAUUGCAUACUGAUAGGGGUGUUGAUGGUUUGGUUUAGAUCGGUUUUUUAUUAAAACCAAAACCAAACCACCACCACCACCACCAACAAACCUAGUGUAUUCCCACCAAGUGGUAAUACAAGAUGAACAAGAUCAAGUUCAUAACAAAAGAAACAAGUAACAACAAGAGCAAUAAGAUGUCAACAAUGCUAGUGAAUCGAAAUAGGCUACACACGGCUUCACUAGACUUCAAUAUGAACAACAAAAAGAUGUCAACAAUGCUAGUGAAUCAAAAUAGGCCACACACGGCUUCACUAGACUUCAAGAUGAACAACAACAAGAGCAACAAGUUGUCAACAAUGCUAGUGAAUUGAAAUAGGCCACACAUGGCUUCACUAGACUUCAAGAGGAACAACAACAAGAAGAUAACAACAUUAGUGAAUCAAAAUAGCCCCACACGACUUUACUGUGUCACGGUAUAGAACAGUGAACUAAAUCAAACAAAUCAGAAAUUUAAGCUAUUAUUACCAAUUUUCGUCGGUGUGUAGAGAAACUCAUCGAACCUCCAGUGUGCAACGAGCCACCCGUUUGAGAUGCUCUGUUUGCCUUUGCUCGUUUCCUCCUUUCCCUAUAUUUAGGAGUAUCCCAUUUUUCCAAAAACUGAUCCUACACAUUAGCAUUCAGCCAUCCAGUUUUUUCCAAGUGCCUCUAGGCCUCAUACAAGUGUUCUUUGAUACGUUAGUUGCUUUCAACUUGAAAAUGCGUUGUAUUUCAUUAUCAUGACACGAAUAUAAAGGUAAAUUCAUCAUUGAUAGCAUACUGAAAUGGUAAAUUCUUUGAUUUGAUUAUACCACAAACUGAUUCCACAUAAGCACUCUGAUGUAGAGUAGAAUCUCGUUCCAACUACCCCACGACUCCGUGUAAAAUGGUUUAAUUGUUUCUAUAACCAUAUAUCCACCGGCAUAAGCGGGAAUGAACCUGCAAUAAAAUUACAUUAAAUUAUCUUAGCUUUCAAAACUUUUAAAAAUUACAAAAAAACAUAAUAUUUACUUACCCAUUAUCAUCAGAGGAGAUAAUUAGCCUCCCGUUGCCGUCAUAUUCUACUACCUCUUUAAAUUUAGGAAUCUAGGAAGCAGCUACUAUAGCAUUAGAUGCUGUAGCACUAUCAAUGUAGGUCAAUAUUGAUGUAUUGGGACCUUUAAUUCUCAAUCCAGAAAGGCUAGGUAUGGAUGAUGUUGAAGGUACAGAUGAAGAGUUACUAUGCAGACUAUUAUGGGAAGAAUAGGGCUGGAACUGGUGGGGCGGUGGGGGAAUGAAAAAUGUAUUUGGUAGUGAAAUAGUUACCCUUGGAGGAGGAAUAAUAUUUGUAGUAGCCGGUUGAAGAGUUGGGGUAACAGGUUGUGGUGGUGGUGGUGUAUAUUAACCUUUGGAAAGAUUAUCAAGUCCUUUCUUACGCCGUCCAUUACCAUGAACUUUUGAGGCCAUUGAUUUUCUUUAUUAACCACCUGGAAAAAAAUAACACAAAAAGGAGUUAGUCUGUGUUAUGCUGCCCAUAUAUGUUUCUUAGAUUAAACCAAAACUAAAUUUUGCAUUCCCUGUAGUACUGAGUGAAAGAAAGUCGCAUCUACCAGAUGUAUUGCUAAAAAGUAGUCUCUGCACAUGUGAUUGGAGUAACCAGAACAUCACCUCUUUUAUUUUCAUAGUGCCAUCUCAUAUGAGAGGCAAAGCUUAUUGAUGCAUACAACCUCUUUAACCGUGGUAUAAGGGGUAAGUAAUGCAUCGACUUCACAGGAACCUUCUUCCCUUUACCAUGUCUGACUUUCUUAUAACGAGGCUGAUUACAAAAUUUGCAAUGUCCUAGAUUUGAAUCUUCCUUAUAGAAUAACAUGCAACCUUUCUCGCAACAGUGAAUCCUCUCUGAUGAAAGUCCUAACUUAGAAACCAACUUCUUUGUUGUGUAGAAAUCUUUGGGUAAGUCACGUUUAUUUAGGUUAAGUUCAUUCAUAAGUCCAAUGAUAAAGUUCAUGCCCUCUUGAGAAAUUGAAUAAUCUGACUUAAUACUUAGUAACUGAACGACAAUAGAUAACUUAGAAUGCACUGAUCCUUCAUAUAAUAGAUGACUAGCUUCCUUUAACUGUUCAUAAAAGUGUUUAGCCUCACCAUUUGGUUCAUUUUGAGCCCCUGAGUGUGUCCCAAAACCAUCCCUGACCAUCUCACUAUAUCGUGAACUUUCAACAUUAUUCUCUCUUAUUGGACUUUUAACAUAAUUUUGAAAAGCAAAAUUAUUAGCAGCACUACUCUUUCCAUGAGCUGUCCACACAGUAUAAUUCAACAUAAAAUCCUUCCUAUAAAGAUGUAACGUAACGACAUCUAGACUCAAUAACUUGCAACACUUACAAUUCCAGCAAGGAUACCUAAUUGUCCUUUCAAUAAGAAAAUCAUUAAGUGUCAUUGCUUUAGCAAUAAAUUCAGCUAUCCCAGCUUUAUAUACUUCUCUCAACCCCGCACGGUUAGGAUAAAGUCUUAUAUACAUCCAUGUACGAUCUUUAUUUUCCAUCUACAUAAGAAUGGAAACAAUAAUAGAAAAGAAAACAAUAACAGGGUUGUUUAGAGAUGCUACUACACAGUGGACAUAAGCAGAAAACUAAGAGAUUCAAUACAACAUAGUAAAGAAGCCAGCAACAAUAGAAUAUUUUAAUUAAAAGAAGAAUUUUUUUAUCAGUGAAAGGUAUCCAAUCCAUGUGAUAGCUAUUUACUUGUUUAAUAUCUUAGAAUUUUUCUAUCAGCAACAAUAACUAUUUACUUGUUUAAUAUAUAUGUAUGACAUUUUUUGUGGCCAGGAGCAAUACUUGGAGAGGGAACAAGUGCUACAAUGUCUGAUGAUGAAGAUGAGAUAUAGAUGGAUUUUUCAUUAGACCAAUCUGGAGGUGAUGCACAUGACUUGAUAGGUAUGGGAUUUGGUCUUCCUACUGAAUCUGAAAGGUCUCUAAUGGAGAGGGUCAUACAUGAACUCAAAAUUGAGCUCAAACAGGUAACCUCAAAAACCAUGCAUAUGAGCAAGUUUUUUAAGAUAAGUAUAAAAAGAAAUAUCCAAACAGAGAGCUGAAGGAGGCAUGUAGACCUGCUGCCUUACCAACUCAAAAACUAACCAUUUCACCUCUUUUUUAGUUUGACAAGAACUUUGUUGUUGAUACUUAUCAAGUGCUAAUUUGUAGCUUCGGAUAUCAUAGCUAUCGUUUGGUUGUUGCAGGGAUUUAGAUCAAGAAUUGAAGAUAUGAAGGAAACUGAGAAAGAAAAGAGCAGGGAAGAUACCUGGUGAUACCACUAUUGUUUUAAAGAAUUGAUCGCAGCAACACUCUAAAUGUACUUAUCCUACUGUAAGUCACUCACCUAAUAUAUAGUAAUUAUUUCUUGUGAAACCUUAAAAUUCCUUAGUUCCUGAUUAAGUUGUACGGACUCUUCACUUUUUAUGUACCCGUUGAUAUCUUUGAAUGAAGAGUCCCAGCAACACAGGUUCCUGAAACACUCUCUUGGCAUGGAUUAACUAACUCUAGUAAUAUAAUGUCAUAAUAUAUAUUCAAUUUAGUUUCAAACAUAGCAUUAAAAAGCAGAGAAUAAAUAGACAACAAUCUGGCACCAGAUAUUGGUGUUGCCAAUGCAGCAGCUACAGUUGAAAGAGAUAUGAGGGAGAGGAAAUAGAUAAAAGUUUCAGAUGCAAGGGUUCAUUAUUAAGUUUUUUGCUCUCUUAAAUAUGAUCAUCUAAUUAAGUGGGUCAGAUUAGAUAGUCCACACCAAUGUAUUGUAUUCCUUCUUUAAACUACCUUAGGUCCCCCCGUAGAGGAAUCCAUUUGUACAAUACCAAAGUGGAUAUGCAUGCAACAUGGAUAAUUCAAGAAAGUGUCUUGACAAAUCCCAUAUUAAACCCUGAUGUUUUCCUAUCUGGUUGCUUUCUAGCUGGCAAAUAUAGAACUCAGAUGAGAUUUUUCUCGUACUUGGUUUCUGAGUCGAACGUUGUUAGAUUCAUAUUGACUUGAUCAACCUGCAAUUGAAUCAUAGAUAGAGGGUCUGAAGACUAGGGCUUGCUGAUUAGUUUGCUCUAUUCUAUUAUUGUAACUACGCAAACAAAUCACAUAGGCAUAAGGUGACUAAAUUACCCUCAUCAAUAAGAAAUUCCAAGGGCAAAAAAAGACAAAUAACUCGUAAAAGCCACACAUCUAGAAGACCAAGAAGGCAGAAACCUCAGCUUAGCCUAAAGGUGAAAAAGGCAAGCUCUGUAUGCAACAAGCUUUACACAUUGUUGGACAUUGAAAAUUUACUAAUAAUAGAAAAAAAAAAGAUUCACCAAGUAGGUUUAUUUUUUACCUCGAAUCAGUGAAAUUGACUAUCGUCGUUACCACUUUUUGCGAGAGACGCAACCUUUACGGCCAACUUUUGAGAGAGACGCAGAGAGAAGAGAGCCGAGAGAGAGAAGAAAGACGAGAGAGAAGAGAGAAGCAUGCCCUAGAAAGAGGAAGUGAGAGAGAGAGAGAGAAUUGAGAAAGUUGUGUGUUUAGGGUAUAUUAAAAGUAAAUUUCUGACUACUUCAGUCGGAAAUAAAUUUAAUAUGUUUAAUUAUUUAAAGUUUCUGACUACUUCGGUCGGUUAAGUAUUUAAUAUAAUAAAUUAUGUAUUGAAAUUAAUUUUUUAUAAGAUUUCCGACUACAGUAGUCGGAAAGAAUUUUAUUUCAUUUAAUUAUUUAAUUUUUCUGACUACAUCAGUCGAUUAUAUAUAUUUGAUAUUUGAUACUUACAAUUUAAUUAUUUAUUUAAAUUAAUUAAUCAACUUAAUUAAAUAUUUAAAUUAAUUAAUACAAUGUGAAAGACUACCGUGUAACUUAUAUUUUACAUAUAAUUAUUUAUUUAAUAAUUUAAUAUAAUAUUUUGACCACUACAGUCAAUACAAAUUAAAUAUAUUUAAUUAUUUAAUUAUUUAAUUAAUUAUAUUUUUUACUACAGUAGUCGAAAAUACAUAUUUAAUUAUUUAUUUAAAUAAUUAUUUAAUUUUGGUGUAAGGUACGAUUAUAUAUUUACUAAUAUAUUUAAUUAAUUAUUUUUAUUUUCGACUGCAACGGUUAGAAAUAUAUAUUUGAUAAUUUAUUUUACUUAUUUUUUAAAUUUCGCAUAAGGAACUGCUUAUACAUUUAGUAAUAUAUUUAUUUAAUUAUUUAUAUUUACGACUACGGUGGUCGUAUAUAUACUUAAUUAUUAUUAAUUUUAUUUAGUUAUUAGUAUUUUCGACAACAGUAGUCGAAAAUAUAAAUUUAAUAAUUUAUUUAAAUAAUUAUUUAAUUUUUCAUAUAAGGGACUGAUUAGAUAUUUAGAAUUAUAUUUAUUUAAUUAUUUAUAUUUCCGAUAAUGGUAGUCAGAUAUAUAUUAAAUUAAUUAUUAAUUUUAUUUAUUUAUUACUGUUUUCGACUACUAUAGUCGGAAUAUAUAUUUUUCGAAAUUUGGCGCCAAACAUUCUAAUUGUUUUUGUCACAAAAAGUAUUGAAAUUCUUUUUUAUAAAAAAUAAAAAUAAAAAAAUAAUACUUUUGAUCAAAGUAGUCGAAAAUUUUCGACUACGUUUUUCAGUCGGAAAAUAGCAAAUUUCUGGUAGUGACGUAUAACAAUCUCUACAUCCCAAAAGGUUAUCGGGGUCAAAUGGGUGAAAUAGCCAAGGACAUAGGUUUCGGCUAUUCCCAUUUGUCCCUAUGGUGCCAUCCCAAAACUUAGGCAUACCCUCUUUAUCUCCAUUAGAAUUAUCAUGAGCAAAAAGAGGAUUGAGAAACGUACUCCACAAGUCAACUUCAAAUAUAGGGUUCUCAUGUAUGCACUUACUACUAGUUUCAAGAUCUUCACUAAGAGUAUGCCCAAUAUAAUAAACACGUAACGAAGAAGUAGAUGGAAUUUCUAGACAUGCACCAAUUUCUCUUUCAAGAGAGUAAUCCCCACCUAGAUAUAAAUCACCACGGGAAGCAAAGGGAUCACACACAAAAACAUUAUCACAAGAACAAUCACAACUAGGGUUCCCAAGCAAUACAAGGUUACCUUCACCCGAUCGUUCCCUUUCUCGGCUUCCUUGAGCAAGACUAUCAAUAAGGCCUUCAUCAUACAACAUGCUCAAAGAAUCAUAUCCAACCCCAUGAUCAAAUCGAUCAACACCAAGAGUAUCACUACGGGAAGGCUCAUGCAACUCCUUAGGCAAACCACCAACCACACCCACUUGGCUACUACUAGCCACAUCAUGAUAUUCUAAGUUCAUAGGAGUGUAGGGGAGAUCAUUUUUACCUUGUAGCUCAUAUGAUCUACGGCCUUCAUAUUGACGUGGGUCCAGGCAGCCCAUUCCCUUGGAACACCCAUAUGAUCUAACAUUUAUCACUUCCCAUUGACAGGCCAUGGCUUCAAGUUUAGCCAAAAUAGCACUUGUGGUGUCAUUGCCCAAGGUUUGAGAGGUUGACGCCGCGGGUUUCAUUGCAAUUGUACCUAAAUAAAAAACAAACCUAGAAAAGAAAAGAAAACAAAACAAUUAGUUCACAAAAUCCUCACCACACUCUUACACACUUUGAUUAUCUCACACUUGGUCCAUCAAGUGUUGUAAACUAGCUAGCAAUUUGUGAGAGCUUGGGAGCGAUUCUACUCUUUGGGUCGAAAUGUAUUUUUGUUUUGAAGAAUCAAAAAAGUUUUGUACAUACUUGAACCAAGAACGACUACGAAUUAUAAAUGAAUAAAGCACCACAAGUAAAGCUAACACGAAAGAAGUACUCAAAAACUAGUUCACAACUUAGUAGAUACUUACUAGUUGCCAACUAGUGUAGGAGUCAACAAAAUGAAACUAAUGGAGACAAAGAAAGAAACUAGGAAUUCCAAGAAUUUGAGUCUUGUUGAUGACGUGGCCAAUAACUAUUGGAUGUAGGAUAUGUUGUUGAAGUUGAAGAAUUUUUUAUUCCAAAACUUUAGUUGUUCAAUCUCACUCCUUUGAUGAAGAAAAAUUCAGUUAUGGUCUAGUUGAACAAGAUUUUAGACUCUCUUUUCAAGAGUCAAAAAGUCUUCUAUCAACUUUUCACCAACUAACACUCUUUUAGCGAAACAUCUUUUUGGAGUAGCCUUGUCUCUUUCCUCCUUUGUCUAUUCUUGAAAAGUGUUGUUACUCCCUUUUGGUAACUAUAAUUUUUGAACACCUCUUUUUUUUUUCCACUUUGGUGUUGACUUGAAAGUGUUUCCAAGACAAACACAAAGCCUUAUCACUCUUUUCUCUUUAAAAAAUGAAACAACACCUUUUGUUGAACACCACUUCAAGAAAAAUAAGAACAACAACAACUUUCUAGCCGCCUAACCUUCAACAACAACUUGCCAAGAACUCAAAUCUUGGACUUAGACUCAAUAAGUGUUAGUGAACAAUAUUCUAACACAGGAAACUACUGUCACACCCUUUUUUACACAAAAAAAGAUCGAUUUUAAGCUUCGAAAGGGUUUUAUUAUUAAAGUGACAAGAGAUGAAAGUUUGUUUCGAAAAAAGGGCUUUUUACAUUUAAACUCAGAGUCGCCACUCGACAUAAUCUGGUGUGCCAAGUCACCUUUGAAAGAUCCUUUUCAAAAUGAUUUGACUCUUUAAAAUGGUUUGCAAACAGAGAUUCUGGCUAAGGAAUUCUGUUGACCGAGGGGAAAGUGUUAGGCACCCCUCGAUCCCGUGGUUCGACCACGGUCGCUUAGUGGAGCAUAUCGGCGAAUUUGACAUUAUAAAAUGUAUAAACCACAUAAACACACAAAACAAGCAAACAAACAAAUCAAACUAAAUUCAAAACCACAAUAAUGUCUAGUCCAAACUAUACAGCCACAAAAAAUAGAAAAAUACGAAAAUAUAAAUCCUAUUCUAGACUAAUCCUAAAUUAUGCUCCAAUGCUUUACCCGAUGCCUCGGGCCUUCAUCACGACUGCCUUCCGCCAACAUAAUAUGUUGGGGCAUUCCCCAGUGUAUAAAUACAAGUGAUCACGGGGUAUUUCCCGACUAAAUGAAUACAUUGUCCAAAUGCGAGAAAGACAAAUCAUUCCACAAACAUUCCAAAUACUCAAACAAUCCAUAAGUUCUAAAUUUGCCUACCUGAGCCUACUAUUGCCUACCCCGCUCAAACUAUCAAUCAAGGACAUCAAUGAAUCAAAAUGACAACAUUCACUUUAUCAACUUUCAAUUCCCGUCCCACUUAUUUCUAAUUAAGUUUAAAUCAUUCAAUUCAAACAAUCAAUAUGAUGAUCCAAACAUAUCAAAAUCAAUGAAAAUAAAAGCCACACAGCAUGAAUUCAACACAUAAAGCAUCAAAUGAUUAAGAUUAAUCGAGAAGGAGAUGAGAAAUGGACCUCGAUUUUAUUUCGAACAAUUAUCGACGGUUCAAAGCUCACGAACCAACGAACCUCGACCAACCUCAAGAUCAACCCAUCAACUCGAUUUGAGAAAUUACAAUCUGAAAUAAGACAGACGAACCAACGAAUAAUGAAGCCCAAAUCCCAAGUCCAAUAUGAACAAACGACACUGUUUAGGAUCAAUUUUUAACUGACGACGCCAUUUUCCGGCGGAUUCCACCAAAAAUAGUAUGGUCGGCAAUGCUAUUUUCUAUUGCUAAAUCAACAAGUUUCCGAUGAAAAAUCUUGCUGUUAACCAGUCAAAACAACUCUGUGCCAUCACCUUCACUAGUUUUUCCCUCAAUCUCCUCACUCGUUCUCUAUCUGCAUGCGUAUAUUGUUUGGUGUUGAUAGAGGAAUAUAUGUGGUAGUGUGUGUUCAUCAAUGAAAAUCAUGAAUCAGUGUGUGCUGGGGUGAUGUAGUGAGUUAAUGGACAAAGAAAAAAAUCGAGUUCUAUGAGUAGUCAUGAAGGAUAGAAGAUUAUUUUUGUAAGUUUUUUUCCCCCUAUGGUGCCUAUUACGUGAGUGGACCCCAUUGAUGAUGGGUUUUCUUUGUAUAUAUGGAGUGUAAUUUGGGGAAUCUUCUCUAGGUCCCCCAUGGUGGGUGGGUGUAGGUGUGCUGGGUGUAACUGUGUAGUGUAUAUAUAUUUUUUCUAUUUUUGAUGCCUUUUCCUAUAUCAAUGAAAUGGUGUGGUCCCCUCAAUUUGUUGUGAUAUGUUCCUUAUCCUCCUUUUCUGUUAUGGUGUAAAAAAAUGUAUAAAGGGCUAAGGGUAGGAUAUGGGCUGGGGGGUCACGUGGGGGGUAGGGUAGGUGAGGGUAGGGGUAUGGGUUAAUUAGGUGUCCGCUUUUCAUUGGAGAGGUUGUUAGGAUAGGAUUAAAAUUGGUUAAGAAAUUUGUUAUUUGGGAUAAAAAAAAUGAUGAGAUGGUUGUUAUUGAUUGAGAAUUUGGUUAUUAUUUUUUUUGUCCUUUUUGUGAAGAGAUUAUCACACGGGUGAAAGCAUAUCGUAAAACGAGGGUAAAAAUGGGUGAAACUUACUCUCAGGAGGGACAAAAUUAGGUGUAUACAUCAUGCCCCCUUUGAAUGUAAACACAAAGUGUUUUCAGACAAAGAAGUAGACAAUGAGACAAAAUUUUGUCCCGACCAUUAUUCAAAAAGAAUGAAAUAGAAAGAAGGAGGGAGACCAAAUCUUGAUUUAGGACAUCCUACCUACCCAAGUUAUGAGGGAAUCAAUUCAAGGGUAUCUCAAAGGAUUAGAAAGAGAAGGACUAUACCGAGUUGGAGAGUCGAGUGAGGUUCCAUCGAGGUUCUGGUCCGUGGCUCUGUCAUUACAUCAAAAAUGAAAAUUACAAGUUUAAAACAUAAAUGAAAUUACAAAAACUCUAUCCAUGCAGCUUUCCUUGACUCUUGACUUGCUACUUCAUCACCCUAUUUUUCAGGCGGACUCCUAACUUGUAAUUUUUUCACCCUAUUCUUCAAGCGGGCUUCUGACUUAUAAUUUUUUCACCCUAUUCUUCAGGCGAGCUCCUGACUUACAAUUUCAACACUCUGUUGCUUGGUUUUUAAUCGAUUCACCUUGUUGCUUGACUUUUAUUUGUUCGCCCUGUGCUUCGGGCGGGCUGUAAUGUUGCUUGAAUUAUCAAAACAAGGAAGUGCGUCUCCUUACAAAUGUUUCUUGAAUUAUCAAGACAAGGAAGUGCAUCUCCUUACAAAUGCCGGUUGAAUUACCCAAAUGAGGAAGUGCGUCUCCUUACAAAUGCUGCUUGAAUUACCUAAACAAAGAAAUGCGUCUCCUUACAAAUGUUAAUAGAAAUGCCCAAACAGGAAAGUGCGUCUCCUUACCAAUGCCGCUUAAAUUACCAAAACAAGAAAGUGUGUCUCCUUACGAAUGCUGCUUGAAUUACCCAAACAAAGAAGUGCGUCUCCUUACAAAUGUUGCUAGAAAUACCCAAAUAGGAAAGUGUGUUUCCUUACCAAUGCCUCUUGAAUUACCAAAAUAAGAAAGUGUGUCUCCUUACCAAUGCCGCUUAAAUUACAAAAGCAAGGAAGUGUGUCUCCUUACCAAUGCUGCUUGAAUUACCCAAACAAGAAAGUGCGUCUCCUUACAAAUGUUGCUUGAAUUGCCCAAACAAAGAAGUGUGUCUCCUUACAAAUACCGCUUGAAUUACCAAAUAAGGAAGUGCAUCUCCUUACAAAUACCGCUUGAAUUACCAAACAAGGAAGUGCGUUUCCUUACAAAUGUUUCUUGAAUUACCAAACAAGAAAGUGUAUCUCCUCACCAAUAUCGCUUGAAUUAUCAAAAUAAGGAAGUGCGUUUCCUUACAAAUAUUGCUUGAAUUACCCAGAUAAGGAAGUGCAUCUCCUUACAAAUGUUGCUUGAAUUACCAAACAAGAAAGUGUGUCUCCUCACAAAUGCUGCUUGAAUUGCCAAAACAAGAAAGUGCAUCUCCUUACCAAUGCCACUUGAAUUACCUAAACAAGAAAGUGUGUCUUCUUUGGAAGUGCAUCUCCUUAUGAUACCGCUUGAAUUACCAAACAAGGAAGUGCGUCUCUUUAUCAAUGCCGCUUGAAUUACCAAAACAAGGAAGUGUGUCUCCUUACAAUGUUGCUGGAAUUACCAAACAAGGAAGUGCGUCUCCUUAUAAAUAUCUCUUAAAUUACCCAAACAAGAAAGUGCAUCUCCUUAUAAAUACCGCUUGAAUUACCAAACAAGAAAGUGUCUCCUUACAAAUACCGCUUGAAUUACCAAACAAGAAAGUGUAUCUCCUUACAAAUGUUGGUUGAAUUGCCCAAACAAGGAAGUGUGUCUCCUUACAAAUACCGCUUGAAUUACCAAACAAGAAAGUGUGUCUCCUUACAAAUGUUGGUUGAAUUGCCCAAACAAGGAAGUGUGUCUCCUUAAAAAUACCACUUGAAUUACCAAACAAGGAAGUGCGUCUCCUUACAAAUACCGCUUGAAUUACCAAACAAGGAAGUGCGUCUCUUUACAAAUGUUGCUUGAAUUACCAAAUAAGAAAGUGCAUCUCCUUAUAAAUAUUGGUUGAAUUGCCCAAACAAGGAAAUGCGCCUCCUUACAAAUACCACUUGAAUUGCCAAAUAAGAAAAUGUGUCUCCUUACAAAUACCGCUUAAAUUACCAAACAAGGAAGUGCGUCUCCUUACAAACAUUUCUUGAAUUUUCCAAACAAGGAAGUGCAUCUCCUUACAAAUACCGCUUGAAUUACCAAAUAAGGAAGUGCGUUUCCUCACAAAUGUUGGAAUUACCCAAACAAGGAAGUACGUCUCCUUACAAAAUAUCUCUUGAAUUACCCAAACAAGGAAGUGCAUGUCCUUACAAAUGUCUCUCUAAUUAUCCAAAUAAAUAAGUGUGUCUCCUAGAGAUAUUGGAUGAUGAGUUUUACUAUGGUUUUGAUUACCAAGCUUGUGCAAUAAUAUUUUCUCCUGCAUUUUUGGAAGUGAGGCAUUGCAAAUUUUGAUGUUUAGGCUUUGAAAUUCUUGAUUCGAAGGUAACAUGUGUUCCUGUUUCAUACAAAGAAAACUUGUUAGCUUAAAAACAUGGUGGAUGGUUUGUGGCUUUGGCUUUCAUGGAAAUCGCUGUUGCCCCUGUCACAUUAAUCUUGCUUUCAACCAUUAGCAUAAGUCAUUGACUCACUGCAUCACUAAUUCGAACUCAGAUUAUUAAGAGUGACUCUGAAACAAAUAUAGUAUUUCUGUUUUGCCAUGCUUCUUAGAUAAACACUUUGAACCUUGAUAUUUCUAUAAGUUCCCAGACUUGUCUGUUGAUAAAACUUUCAGCAUGCCUUAUUUCGGCUCACAAUCAUGUCUCUUUCAUGUGUUGGCCUUUUGUCUUGCUUUGUGCAAUUGAAGAAGCUGGUAGCCAGUUUUGAGAUCUUUUCUCACUUGUUUUGACACAGACUUGACUCAAAGACAAGAAACGAAAAAAAUAAUGACAAUUUUUGUUUGGAUAAUUGACUCAAGAAAGAUAAAAUAAAAAUAAAGAUAAGAAAGAAAAGACAAUGAAUGUCCCCUUUUGAAACAAAGAAACGAAAAAUUCAUCUAAAAAUGACAGUCAACACUAAUGAUUAUGCCAUGCAUUUUGGAUUAAGCAGCUUGAUAUUUUCAUCCAAACUUUCUUUCCAUUGUUGUUGAGUUAAUGGCCUUGAAACUGAGUUGCUUCCUUAGGUCAAUUGCAUUUUAGUGGCGCCUUGAAGGGUUUUUCGCCAACAAGCUUCUCUCAUUUUCUUUUCCCCAUCUCACCAUUGCCUUAUGGUGUCUGUAAGGGUUUUUCACUAAUGAGACUCUCUUAUCUUUAUUUUUCUUAACUCACAGUCAUCUUACGGUGCCCGUGAGAGUUUUCACCGAUAAGACUCUCAUUUUUAUCUCUCUUCCAAUUUUUAUUACUGAGGUAGAAGAGUAGUUCCCAAAAUACGUCACCACCUUCAUUGCAUGCUUAGUUUUAACAUUCUCAAAGAUUGAUCUGAAGGUCUUUCUUUGGUUGUAGCUUGGCUUUUGGAUAAGGUUAGAAGAAAAGGAUAACAUGAGGCCCAAACGACACUUGAAGUGGGGUGGGAGUUACAAUUUUUGGAAUCGACUCAAACAAUGAGGAUUAAAUCAUGCCCCAAUUUAUUUUAAUUGGGCAAGUCUAAAUUGUUUAUUUGGUUGGACCGAGCCCUUAGUAGGGCAGCCUAUGUAUCUCAUCCCCAAGAGAGGAGAAUCAGGUCAUGCGUAGUUCUAGCAGCUUGUUCUUCCACUUGAUUCUAAAUUUUUUUCUUUUGUUGACUCUUUUUCUCUUUGAGACUUUUCUGAUUUUAUUUUUCUUGACAUUCUUCUUUUUUUCCUUUUGGACAUAUUUUCUUUUUCUUCUUUUUCUUUUUUUUUUUUGAAAUUUUUCUGACUCUAUUAUUUUGCUCAACACUUUUUUUUUAGCUUUGCUGACUCUAUCUUGAUUUCAAAAGAGGGGUAUGAAAGAAAAUAGAACUAAAGCUCAAAUGGGGUAAACAAAGGAUGACAUGAUGUUUGGAUAGCAGAAUGAAAUGCCUUCGUCAUAUCAAUCCUUGAAAAUGCAAGUACAUAUCAUGCAAUAUGAAUGGGAGACGAAGAUCAUUUGUGACAUCCUUUAAGCAUUAACUUUGACUGAGUCUGUGCGUCGUUACUUCUUCAGCAAACUCCACCUUUGUUGUACAUUCCUCACAUUGAAUGACUCAUGAUUUUAUGGAGAUGAUUUUCUUUCUGUUCACGCAGCCACUAUUUGACCUAAUUGAGUCAUGUCUUUGAAUUGAUGACCAAGUUAUUCUUGUGAUUCUCAAAAGAAGUUCCUUAAUUUUCAAAGAAGGCUUCAACUUGUCAUCAAACAUCUCAAUACUCUACCUAUUUUCUCGGAUGCUCUCUUUUUCUAACUUUAACCCUCUGAUUCAAUGUUCAUACUUAAACUGGAUUUCAAGAUCUGGCUAAAAAUUCCGCUAGCAUGUCAUAUCACUAGAAUCGACAUAAAAUGUGAUGUGUAAAGAAAACAAAAAUAUAUUUAAAACAUAAAGGGAAAGGGACACUUCAUUUAGUUGAAAUAAAAAAUAGAAAGAUUUGAACAUAAACGACACAGGGACAAAACAAGAUAAAUCCCAAACUACAACCUUGAAAUAAUUCAGAAAAUAGAAAAGAAAACAAAACAAACUACCAGACCUCUUCCUAGUAGGGAGAGUGGUGACUUCUCAAUUGCUCAGUCUGACAACUUAGCCACUGGUUUGCAUAUCAGCAUGACUAGAGCUUCCACCACGAUCAACGUUCUGCAUCAUAAUUAAUUUAUCUUGAAUCAUCUUUUCAAUUUCUCUAUUUAAAGCACGACAAUCUUCAAUACUAUGACCCUGAACAUCAGAAUGAUAUGCACAUCAUACAGCAGGAUCAAAACUUCUUCAAUUCGGGUCAGGAGUAUACCCAAAAAGAGGAGUGAUCAUGCCCCGCUGUACCAAUCUCUAUAAUAAAAUGACAUAUGACUCUCUAAUUGGUGUAAAGUUAUCCGUCGACUUCUACCUUAUUUCAUUAUUUUUCUUGGACUAAAAAUAUGGCCUAGAAGGGCUUCGGUAUGUUUGUGGAGUUUGAAGAUGACUUUGAGGAGUUAGUAUAUGCCAUUGUGGGUAAGAAGGGGAUUGAUCAUAGGGUUGUGCAUUGUAUAUUGGAUAUGUAGGUGGGGGAAUACAGUAUAAUGGAUUUUUAGAAAGAUUAUAUAGAGCUUGGGCAUAAGCUUGGGUUUGAGCCUGUGGGUAAUGAUGGUGUGGUCCUCUUGCCCGUGCCUGUCGUCCAACUACAAUAGCAGAUGCAUCUUCCUCAUACUUCUUUCCUCUCACACUUUCGGAACCUUUUUGAAUUGAUUGAGUAGUCACUUUCAAUGUUGCAAAAACUCACAAUACGGCCGGUCUUAAUUCCAUCCUCUAUCAUCUCCCCCAUUUUAAGGACCUCAAUAAAUGGCUUGCCUAAUGCAGGUAACAAGUGUUGAUAAUAUGUUUCAUUCUGCGCUUGAAUAAAUACCUCUAUUAUCUUACUCUCUGUUAUUAAUGGUUUCACCCUAACAGCUUGUUCACGUCAUCUAAUCGCAUACUCUCUAAAAGUCUCAGUACUUUCUUUCUUCAUGUUAGUUAGGGAUUUCUCAUCAGGAAUCAACUUUAUAUUGUAUUGGAAUUGUUACACAAAUUCAUUAGCUAGGUCAUCCCAACUAAUCCACUCGUUGAUGUCUUGGUCAACAAACCAUUCUGAAGCUAGGCCUGAAAGACUCUCACCGAAAUAUUCCAUGAGUAAUUCUUCCUCCCCCCAGUACCCCUUAGUUGGUUGCAAUAACGUCUCAAAUGUGCUUCAGGAUCUCCAUGUCCAUCAUACUUCUCAAACUUUGGCAUUUUAAAACCAAAAGAAAGAUGAACCCCUGGAAACAUGCACAGAUCUUUAUAUGAAACACUUUUGUACCCCCAAGUCCCUGGAGGUCUUUCAUAGCCAAUUCCAAACUUCUCACUUUUCUGGCCAUUUCCCUUGUUCUUCUGUUAUAACAGGCUUCUCAGUGUUGAGAGGAAAUUCAGGUGGGUGAGUAUAGCCAUAAGGAUUAAUCGACUUAAAUGUGGGCUCAAUAGCAUGAUAUUGAUCAGCAAAAAUAUUCAAUACAGUCUCUCUCGCAGAGUGGGGAGGCACAACUUAUGGAUAAACCUCAAAAGUAAGAGCUUCGGGUGGGGGUGGUGCUGCAAAAACAUGAAUAAUGGGUGGAGCCAAGCAUGUGGUAGCUUUGUGUUGAGGAGUGAGGAAAUGAAUAUUGGAAGUGUUUGGAUAGUGUUGCCCCGGAGCAGGUCCUAAUGCAUGUUGUGGUGUGUCAACAAAAAUAUGAAACUGUGUAUAUGACAUUGGAGGCAAGCUAGAAAGAUAUUCUAGAUUAUCAGCGGGAAAUGGAGAAGGUGGCAACCCAUUAGCCCAAACUCGAUGCAUUUCUAUCAUUUGUUGCCUUUAUUUUUGAAUCUCUUCAUUAGCUCCUAAAUUCUCAUUGCCCGAACUCCCUAUCUGAUCAGUGACAACAAACUCAAUAUCUUUGUUGGCCAUAACUUUCUUUGUGACUUGGUGCAAUAUAGAGGACCAUCCAAAAUGCCACAAACCAACUAAGUGUGGUGUGUUGGGUGUAACUGUGUAGUGUAUAUAUAUUUUUUCUAUUUUGGAUGCCUUUUCCUAUAUCAAUGGAAUGGUGUGGUCCCCCCAAGUUGUUGUAAUAUGUUCCUUAUCCCCCUUUUCUGUUAUGGUGUAAAAAAAUGUAUAAAGGGCUAAGGGUAGGAUAUGGGUUAGGGGGGUCACGUGGGGGGCAGGGUAGGUGAGGGUAGGGGUAUGGGGUAGUGAGGUGUCCGCUUUUAAUUGGAGAGGUUAUUAGGAUAGGAUUAAAAUUGGUUAAGAAAUUUGUUAUUUGGGAUAAAAAAAAUAAAAAUAAAAAUAAAAGAAAAAUUAUGAGAUGGUUGUUAUUGAUUGAGAAUUUGGUUAUUAUUUUUAUCCUUUUUGCGAAGAGAUUAUCACACGGGUGAAGGCACAUGGUAAAGCGAGGGUAAAAAUGGGUGAAACAUAUUCUCGGGAGGGACAACAUUAGGUGUCUACAACUACUAAGACAAACAAAAACACACCUAAAUCUAGACACUAUUCUCGGCCAAACACAACAACAACAACAAGAAGACACUUCGGCCAAGAACAAGAACACUUCAACUCUUUUUUCUUUUUUGUUUUUUCGACUAAGAUAGCCCAAGAUUGGUAGUGUAAGAACACAACCAUCCUUAGAUAUGAUACCAAAUGAUACCAUACGGUAUCUAAGAAGGCUCAAAUUAGUCCACAAACACACAUAAACAGUCCACACGGACAAGACACCAAACGGCAACAACAAACACAAACUAACUUAAGAGAUAAUGGAUAAAUAACUUGACAUAGAGAGAACAUGUAAGAUAAGAACUAAAGAGUAUAUUAAACUCAAAACCCCCUACAAACAUGUAAACUAACAUCAACAGGAACUCGGUUCACUCAAGAACUCACAUUUCUAGCCAAUACACAACACAAGUGGAACCUUCACUUGUGAAUUCAAAUUUUGAUUUGCCUCAAGUAGGGAGAGGACUUUGGUUUCAAAGUGUUUCAAGAACUUACAACAAUAAUCAACUAAGUAAAAAUAAGACUAAAGGGCCUAUUUAUAGUUUGUUAUAACAUAAAGUGUCCAAAAUGCCCUUAAUGAGGGUGGGGUAACCAUGGAGUGUAUUUUUAGCGUAUGAAAUCCCUCAAACACCCCCUAGUGAGAAAAGGAAACCUUUCACUAAGUCCUACACUCCAAGACCGUGGUCCUUCAAGCUUCACAACUUCCGCAAGUCAAGCCACCUUCCACACACGGCUCUGCCUCAUGGAAUGUCCAAAAUGGUCUCCCUAUGCAUGCUCUCUUCUCCUCAAUGUGACCACAAUUGGGUUCUUCAUGAGUUGGGCUCGCAUGAUGUCAUCGAAGGCUAUGAUGGCCAUUUGGCUCGUACCAAGAGAAAUAAUUAAUAACAUGACUAUUUUAUCAUAGUACUUCUAUUAAAUGAUAUUUACAUUUUAGUUUGAAGAAAAAAUAAUUAAUACUAAGGGUAAAAAGAAAAAAAAAUGUCUUUUCUUAAUAUGUAAAAAAUGACAAGUAAAAGUAGAAAUACAAUUAAAAAAUUUAUGCCAAGUAAAAUGAAACGGGGGGGAGUGAAUUAUCCUUUAAAUAUAAUAAAUUUAAUAUUUUGAGAAAUGAAUUAGUUAAUGAAUAAUAUUUAAUAUCGAGCUAACAUGAAUCCAAUGUGAUAAACUAUUCAUUGAUUUCAAACUGAGCAAGUAUUGUUCGACAUCUAUUUUUAACAACAUAAACAAGUACCGCUGAAUAGAGGGAAUAAGUUGCCCUUAAUAAAUAGUACCUUUAAAAAGAUGUAAUUAUUUUGCGCUUUCUCCGUUUUAAAAUAGUUGACAUGUAACGAAUGUGCUCUAUUUUAUUUGUUGAAUGACAAUGGUAUAUAACUAAUUUUUUAACAUGUAUAUGAACUAGUUUUUUUAACGUAUAUACGAACUGUAGAACUAGUUUAUUAACUGAUAUAUAUCAACUUUAAAUUGCUAAGUCUAGAAAAAUACAUGAACUUUAAAUUGCAAAGUCUAGAAAAAUGCAUGAUCUUUUUCCUUAGAUUUUUAAAGUGUGUGCACGUAAACAUGAAAAAGUUAAAAUGUGCAAGUGAGUACUUCGUUUCGUUUUAGUUAACUUAGGUUUUUAAAAAAAAAAAAAAAAUUAAAUGAUAUAAAUUUUGAUUAAUAUUUUAAAAUAUAUUUUUUAAUUUUAUUGAUAAAAGAAAAAUUAUAAUUCAUACUCCAUCAAUUCUAUUUUAUAUACCUCCUUUUGAUCGGAUAUAGAGUUUAAGAAAUAUACGAUGACUUUGUAAAGUUUAAAAAAUUGCUCCUUUUAAAAUUAUUUUAAUGCUUACUUUUUAGUUGUCUUUUCUUAUUAAGUGAGAUUGAUAAAAUGGAGAUGAUGCCAUUAAAUAGUUGCUAAAUUAGAAAAUAUAAUAACAUUUUUUUGAAACAAAUGAAAAAAGAAAAUAUGCCACAUAAAUUGAGACGAACGAAGUAUUAGUUUUCAUAUAAUUUGUGUAUCUAAACUUAUAAUCUAAUAUAGCAUUAAAAAUUAGUAAACAGACUCUUGAAAAACAAAACUUGCCAACUAAAAACAAAAGAGACUUGAGUGGAGAAACCACCAAAAGUGCAUUGCACUAUAUAGAAUAAUAAUACCCCAACGAAUUUCCAAAAAUCUAGACAUCGGAUUCUGAUGUACUAAUAUUCCAAGAGUGAGCUAGUUGUGAUUGUGAUACGUAUACUAUAUGAGAUUAUAUUAACAAAAAAUAUCAUUGUUUGAAUUGGUAGCUGAAUUACUCAUCAAUGCAUUCAAAUCAUAUACUUACUAUAGUUAGUAUGUAUUAAUACUGGCUAUAUGUGGUGGUGAACAAGUGCUACUGAUGAUGAUGAAUUUUGAUGAGCAACUGAUAUUGAACAUAGUAGAUUUUGUUGGGCAACAGCUACUGAACCUCGUAGAUUUUGUUGGACAACAACUACUGAACCUCGUAGAUUUUGUUGGACAAGCGAUAUUGUAUCUAGUAGAAGUGCUACCGAACCUAGUACAUUUUGAUCGGCAACUAAUAAAUUUUCACUGGGAACACCUACCGAAACUGGUAUAUUUUACUUGGCGAAUGCUACUUAACGUAGUAAAUUUUUGUGGGCAGCUACUGAAUUUUGUUGGGCAACUGAUACUGUACCUAGUAAAUUUUGGUGGGCAACUGCUACUGUACGUGGUAUAUUUUGUUGCGCAGCUGCUACUGUCUCCGGUAAUUUUUGUUGUGAAACAGCUACUGUGCCCGGUAUAUUUUGUUGCGCAAUUGCUAUUGUUUGCUGGGAAACUGUUACUGAAGCUGGUAAAUGUUGGUGGGCAGUUGCUACUCAGCUUGGUAAAUUUUGGAUGCCAAUUGCUACUAAAACUAGUAUAUAUUGGUGUGCAACUGUUGGAGAAGCUUGUAAAUUUUGGUGGGCAAGAGUUAUUGGGGCUCAAAAAUUUUGAUUGCCAAGUGCUAUUGUUGUUGCAGAAUUUUUCCGAUCAAGUGCCACUGACGCUUAAGAAUUUUGAUUGGCUAGUGAAGAAUUUAUGUGGCCAACUUGUGAAUCGGUUCAAAAGGAUCAAUCACUGGUUUCACUUAGCUUUACCCCAGCUCAUAACCAUCGCGCUGUUUCUAGCUCUCUUCAUAUAUUAUUGUUACCGCCAUAGUAGAUUGCUGCCCGAAGUAAUGGUUACUUUUUAGUUUUUUUUCCUUUUUUUGGUAAAUAAACAUUUUAUUCCCAAGUAUUGAUAUUUACAGCUGAAAGGAAUGGAACAAAAACAUGCACUGCCUCACCGGACAAACUCAGUCUGAGUGUGCAACAUCUGCAUCUUCUGGUCAUCUAAACAAACCGCUAGUCUUUGUCUGUGGCUACAAUCACAUAGUUGAUAAGGUUAGGAACUCGACCUANNNNNNNNNNNNNNNNNNNNNNNNNNNNNNNNNNNNNNNNNNNNNNNNNCGGAAGAGCACCUCUUGGAUAAUCAGUCAAACGAUGGUUUGUGGAGAUCUUCUCCUGUUCUGAAAGAUAACAUUGUUAAUUCUUCUCUAUUCACAAUUGGUAGACUGCAGCAGCUAAGACGAUCCUGUAUACUCCAGCCCCAGUACUAUGUCCGCAACAAAAUUUCAGAGCCCAUUCUAUUUCCUCUUGCCACGCUAAGCCAUUCUUUAGGAUAUCUUGCCGGGUGAGUAAUUUGCUCCAUAUUUCAAAAGAAUAGUUGUCUCAAAGAAUCAUCAACCUGCUUGCAUAGUGGACAUAAUGGAUCCACGUCAAGUCCUCACUUUGCUUAUUUCUCCUUAGAAGCUAACCUUUCCAGAAUAGCCUAUCGUAGGAUAAAAAUCCAUUUGGGACAGCCAUGGUUAUUGCAGAUGAGUUUCCUCCAAUGCACCUCUGGAAGAGACCCCUGUAAUUUCUUAUACACAUCCUUUCGUAUUGCAAAGUGUGAUGGUAACAUUUUAGUAAAAUCAUUAUUGUCAAUAGAAAAUAUUUCGAAGAUUAAGUUACCGUAAGGUAGUAUAAUUUAGUUGGAUGGCACUUCAUGAAGCAUGUAUAACACAUGGUAAUCUUUUGAAAAAGGGGUUCUAUUGGUAUCGUAGCUGUUUUUACUGUAUUAGAGCGGGUUAGAAUCUCACAUUGGUUGGGGGAGUGGACUAUAAGUCUUGACAAGGUACUGUAUGUGGACAAUGUCUAAAGAGAAGUGUAUGUAUGAAGAUGUACUGUUAUCUGAUGUGCUUGUCAACUAUUCAGGAAGACGUAGCCAAGAAGUUGAAAGAGUUUCUGAGAAGAAAGGAGGCUGAAAGUAUUCGUUUAUCGGAACUUGAGAAGAGGCAAAAGCAGCGUGUGGAGGAAAUGAGAAAAACUCAAAAGAAGGUAUGAGUACUUGACCUCUUUUGUUGUCUAUUUCGUGGCUUUGUGCAGCCUCUUUAUCUUUAUAAUUCUUAUGCUGCCUCUGUGUUAUUUUGUAAUUAUAGCCUCUUUGGAUUUUACCUAGUGUAUAAACCAUCUGAUGAAUCUUUUUAGGACCUAGAGAAUAUGAAGUUGAAGGAGCAGAUACGAGCCGAAGUUGGCAAGGAAAUCAGUAAGAUUGAAAUGACGUGCCGUGAUAUGGCAUCAGUGUUGCGCGGAUUGGGUAUCACUGUUGGUAAUGGCACUAGUCGUGAGGUUUGUUUACACUCAGUCUCUUGUUUUUAGCAAUCAUGUGGCCCUUUUGGUUCACAUUCUUGUAUUGUGUUGGCUGUUGUUAGUGUGUGUUGGGGCUUGGUUCUCAGGAUUUGCGCCAUAUUUCAAGAUGCCGCUUACUUAGGAUUAGCUAGUCUUUAGGAUAUGCAGCCACUUGUGUAAUGUCUUGUGUGUUUUACCUGGGAUUUUGGGAGUUGUACUUGUGUUUGUCUUGCAAUCUUAUCUGAAUGGUCGUGUCUUUCUAUUUUUGAAGUGUUAAGACGCAGUUAGAAUGAUAGCACGUGAGACAUUACUUAGAAUAAGUUCUUGUUUCAGGUGCGCGUUGCUUACAAAAAAGCCCUGAUGAAAUUUCAUCCGGAUAAAACUUCAAGAUCUGAUAUACGACAGCAAGUUGAAGCUGAGGAGAAGUUUAAGCUUAUUUCUCGAAUGAAGGACAAAUUCUUACCAAAUUUAUAGUAGUGUCUCUCUGGUUAUGCAAGUUUUUAGUACUAGUAGACGUAUGUAUAUACAAGGAAAAUAUUAACUCUCCUGACUAUAUUACAUAAUCUGAAAAUCUGCUAUCAUAAUGUGUUCUCUGAUGAAAACAGUGCAAAUAACAAUUCCUUUUUAGGAAUGAUUGAGGAACAUUUUAUCCGGUUUAAGAAUUUUGCUUUGCAAGGGCUACAGACAAUUAAGAAUUGUUGUGUCCAAGAGACGUUAUAAUGGCUGAAGGACCCUUUUUUUGCAAAUGUUAGUGACUGAAUCUUGCUUCCCAAGUGCUGCUGCAGAAGUUAAACAACUUCUUUGGUGGCAAGGAAAAGGAUUUUGGUGGCCAAGUUGUGGAGGCUGCAGCAGGAGAGUUUUGGUGGGAAAUGUAAAAUGUGUUAGACGAGGUGCGUUGUGCUGCUGCGAUGAGCCAAAUGACAAAUGACUUGGAGUCGCUGCAGGAUGCGGGUGAUACGAUGAAGGUCUAGUUGUUCAUGUUGCUUUAUGUUCAUGUUAUGAUCUAAACAUUGUUUUGAUUAGGGGUCGACGUUCGGUAUUCGGUUCGGUAUUUUUAAAGUUUGGGUUCGGUAAUUCAGUAAUCGGUAUUUGAAUAUAGAUAUCACACACCAUACUUAUAAACAUUAGUUCGGUAAUCGGUAAAUUAAACUUCGGUUCGGUUCGAUUUUUGGUAAUACCAUAUUAAAGUUGGAAAUGUGCAAAUGUACGUUUAAACAUCAAAGAUUAUAUUUAAUAAAAACCCUAUUAGUAUUCCUUUUGUUGUUUUUUACGAAUAUAUUACAAAGGUCUAAUAGAUUUUUUGGAAUGACUAAUUCUAUUGUCUAUUGGUUGGUUAGACAUAUCAUAUUAUAUAUAUAUACUCCCUCCGUUUAAAAAAGAAUGACCCUUUUUAAUCCGUUUAAAAAAGAAUGAUCCAUUUUCUUUUUUGGCAAUAAUUUAAUCACAGCUUUCCACAUGACAUGUUUAGGACCACAAGAUUAAAGGACAUUUUGGUACAUUUAAUACAACUUUAAUUUAAGGCCACAAAAUUCAAAAGCCUGAAAUGUAAUGACCUAUGAGAGAGGGGUUUUUAGAAAAGAAAGCGUACCAAUCCACCAAACAAAGCAAAAACAAUGUCUCCUACAUAAAUACAAUAGAAUAGAAAUGAUGUUUGUCACUAGAAUGGACCACACAAAUAACAUCUUUCUAGCCUCCUAAAGGAAGUAUUCAAAGAUAAGAUAAGGUUAUGCGCACACAAGCUAACUUCAGGUAUGCAGUUAGUUCUCAAGCGAUCCCUUCGGAUCCUAGGUGCGACCUUAGGGAGCUUGUUUUGGCAGCUACUUCUUUAUUUUCUUAAACUUUAUGUCAAAUGUCAUUCUAUUUUAAACGGAGGAAGUAUAUUAUAUAUGUAUAUAUAUAUAUAAAAUUCGAUAUUCGGUAAAUACUGAAUACCAAACGGUAUUAAUAUCUUGUACCAAACUCAAUUCCGAAUACCGAAAUGUUGAAAUCUUACUCCCAAAUACCAUACCAAAUACCAAAUUACCGAAUACCAAAUUUUUUGAUUUAGUUUGGUAAUUCGAUUUUUGAUAUUUUAUACUCAAACACAGUUUUGAUCAAUCGUUGAGGAAACGAAAAAUAUAGUCUGUACAACCGAAAUCUUAUUUUUCGAAUUUGUUUUCAAUUUUUCAUUGCUCCCACGACCUUAUUUUGCCGUUAUCACAACAAUAACUGUGUCUCAUUUCCAAGCUAAGCUAAGAGAAAGGUACGACGAACAAACUAAAGUAGAGGGUAAACUAAAAACUUUAUUAAUUAUGUUUUGAAAAUAUAAAUUUGAUUUUAUGCACUUUAUUUAAUCAUAAAAAUAGUAUUAAAAGAACAUAAUAAAACACCUUUAAUUUCAUAAAAGGGACAAUUAAAUUGAAACAAAUAUUUUUAAAAAGAUGAACAACUAUUUUGAAACAAAGGAAUUACUCCUUCCCUUAGCUUUUAUUUGUCACAUUUUUACUUGACACACUCAUUAAAACAAAAUAAUUAUUGACAUGAUUAUUUUAUCAUAGUAACCCUAUUAACUAUUAUUUUUUAUUAUUUUUUCUAAUUAAUUUUUUAAAAAAGUAAUUAAUACUACUGGUAAAAUAGAAAAACUAACUAUUUUUUUUUUGAUUUGUUAAAAAUGAAUCAAAUUAUAUAAACAGAGACAAAUAAAUCCGAACAUAGAGUAUAAAUAUAAAGCAAAAAUGAAAGUAAUUUCCAACAAUACUCUUGAAGAUUGAACCAUUAAGUUACCAUUAUGAAUAUUGAAAAAUGACUCAUAAAUUAAAUUAAUAUGGACUAAAGAAAAUACUAUAUAUCAUUUUUAAAUUACUCUGUCCAUUAUUUUUACUUAUUACAUUUUGAUUUAAUACAUCCAUUAAGAAAAUAAUUAUUAACUUGACUAUUUAAUCAUAUACUCCUAUAAUUGAUGGUUGUUAUUAUAGCAUGAAAUUAGUUUAGAGAAUAAAUAAUUAAUUUUAAGAAUAAAAAUAAAAUUCUUGAUCUGUCAAAAAUGAUCAACAAAAUAUAGAAAUUCAUUAAAAAAAAUUAGCGAUAACAAAAACAAACUAUGGAGUCGUUUGGUUGGAAAAUAGUUAUCCCGAAAUAAUUAAUUUCAAAAUCAGUUAUUCAAAGUUAUCCGGAAUAACUUAUCUCACCAUUCAUCUGAAUAUUAACUAAUAUCUCCAACCUAAAAGAAUCUUUUACUUUAUUCGGGUACUUAUUCCUUAUAGUUACACCAAACGAACACCUGUGUAAUAAAUAAAUCAAGUAUACGCGACCGCUUCCCUAGAUUCUAUACCCUAUUCUAUAGUUGCGUGCACGUACAUAUGGAAAAGUCAAAAUAUUGCAAAGUGAGUAUUACAAUAUGCCAUUUUCCAAACCAACAGAGUGUGAAAACUUGCAAAACUGCAUAGCACUAAAUAGAAAAUAUACAACAACUCCUUGACUCGAUACGUAAAGAGUGAAUAUUAGUGUAACUCAACUCAAAAGCUAGUUUAUGAAGGGAGCAUUGCACAAGAUUGGCCGAUCGAAUAAGUCAACUUCAAUGUGGAUUUAGAUUGAAAUCUCAAGUCCCAGGUAUGACAUAUCUCAAGUAAAUCUAUUGUUUGAAUGAGCUAUUCCUAGAGUUCUAUAUAAGAAAAUAUAUUCCCAAAUAUCUCUAAUGAUUGUGAUAUGUAUACUACAUGAAGGUGUAUCUAUAUACAUUAUGUAACGAAAAAUACUACUGUUUGAAUUGGUGGAAGAAUUACUCAUCAAUGAUGCAUUCAUAUCAUAUAUGCUCUCUGUUUCAAUUUGUUUGGUGGCGUAGGGUUAGAAAAUAAAGAAUACUUUUGAAUUUGAUGAUCUUAAAUUAAAGAUAUAUAUGUCAAAUCUAUCAAUAUGUCUUUUAAUCUUGUGAUUUUAAACAUGUCAGGUGAAAAUUUGAAAUUAAAAAAUUGCUAAAAAGGGAAGGAUCAUUCUUUUUAAAAUGGACUAGAAGAAAAGUAGUUCAAAUGAAUUGAAACAAGAGUACUAUAGUUAGUACUACUGACUAUAGUGGUGGACAAUUGCUCCUAGUGAUGAUGAAUUUUGAUGGGCAACUGCUGCUGAACUUGGUACAUUUUGUUGGGCAACUGCUAAAUUUUGCUAGGCAACUGCUAUUGAACAUAGUAGAUUUUGUUGGACAAGUGCUAUUGAAUCUAGUAGAUUUUGGUGGGCAGUUGCUACUGAAGCUAAUAGAUUUUGGUGGGCAAUUUCUAAAUUUUUGUUGGGAACUGCUACCGAUGCUGGUAAGUUUUGCUUGGCAACUGCUACUUAACCUAGUAAAUUUUGGUGGGCGACUACUAAAUUUUUCUUGGCAAUUGCUACUAUAUGUGGUAGAUUUUGUUGGGCAACUGCUAUUGAACAUAGUAGCUUAUGUUGGACCAGUGCUACUGAAUCUGUUAGAUUUUGGUGGGCAACAACUACAGAACCUAGUAGGUUUUGGGGGGCAACUACUAAAUUUUGGUUGGGAACUGCUACUGAAGCUUGUUAAUUUUGCUUGGCAACUUCUACUUAACCUAGUCGAUUAUGGUGGGCAAUUACUAAAUUUUGCUGGGCAACUGCUACUGUACCUAGUAAAUUUUGGUGGACGACUACUAAAUUUCGCUUGGCAACUGCUACUGUACCUGAUAGAAUUUUUUGGGCAACUGCUAUUGAACCUGAUCAACUUUGGUAAGGAACUGCUACCGAAGUUGGUAAAUUUUGGUGGGCAACUACUCAAUUUUGUUGGGCAACUGUUACUGAACUUAGUAAAUUUUGGAGGACGACUACUAAAUCAUGCUUCGCAACUGCUACUGUAUCUGGUAGAUUAUGUUACGCAAAUGCUAUUGAACAUAGUAGAUUAUGUUGGACAAGUGCUACUGAAUCUGGUAGAUUUUUGUGGGCAACUGCUACUGAACCUAGUAGAUUUUGGUGGGCAACUACUAAAUUUUGGUUGGGAACUACUACCGAAGCUGGUAAGUUUUGCUUGGCAACUGCUACUUAACCUAGUAAGUUAUGGUGGGCAACUACUAAAUUUUGUUGGGGAACUGCUACUGUACCUAGUAAAUUUUGGUGGGCGACAACUAAAUUUUGCUUGGAAACUGCUACUGUACCUGGUGGAUUUUGUUGGGCAACUGCUACUGCACCUGGUCAACUUUGGUGGGGAGCUGCUACUGAAGUUGGUAAAUUUUAGUGGGCAACUACUAAAGUUUGCUUGGGAAUUGUCACUAAAGUCGGUAAAUUUUGGUGGACAAUUACUAUUGAACUUGGUAAAUUUUGGUGGGCAACUGCUAUCGAAGCUGGUAAGUUUUGGUGAGCAUCUGCUAAAUUUGGGUGGGCAACUGCUAUCAAAGCUGGUACAUUUCGGUUGGCAACUGCUUCUGUACCUGGUAAAUUUUGGUUGGCAACUACUAAUUUUUGUUGGGGAACUGCUACAUAAGCUGGUAAAUUUUGGUUGGCAAUUUCUACUACGCCUGGUAUAUUUUGGUGGGUUACUGCUGCAAAACCUAGUAAAUUUUGGGGUGAAACUGCUGCAGAAGCUGGUGAAUUUUGGUGGGCAAGAGUUACCGGGGCUCAAAAAUUUCGAUUGCCAACUGCUUUUGUCGUUGCAGAAUUUUUUCGAGCAAGUGUCAUUAACACUUAAGAAUUUUGGUUGGCAACUUGUGAAUUGGUUCCAAAGGAUCAAUUACUGGCUUUACAUAGCCUUACCCUAUCUCAUAAUUAUCGCACCGAUUCUAGCUCUCUACAUAUAUUAUUGCUACCGCCUUAAUAGAUUGCUACUCGAGGUAAUGGUAACUUUUUACUCUUGCAAAGUGUGAUUGUCACUUUUUAGUAAAAUCAUUAUUGUUGAGAUUGUUGAAGGAAAAUUUAAGAGGUUGUGUCAUUGUCAAUAGAAAAUUCUUGGAAGAUUAGGUUACCCUAAGGUAGCAUAAUUUAGUUGGGUGGCACUUCAUGAAGCAUCUAUAACACUGUUUUUACUGUAUUAGAGUGCGUUAUUGGUUGGGGAGUGGACUACAAGUCUUGACAAGGUGUUAUGUGUGGACAAUGUCUAAAGAGAAAAGCUAGGACGCUCUCGACCUUAAUCCCAAAUUUAGACAUUUUUUUUCUUGUGUCUAUCUUAAUGUGAAAAUAUCAGGUGAGCGCUACGUUAUACGUUAUGGUUGUAGAAUUUCUGAUAUGUAAGAAGAAGAUGUACUGUUAUCUGAUGUGCUUGUUACCUAUUUAGGAAGAAGAAGCCAGGAAGUUGAAGGAGUUGCUGAAAAGAGAGGAGGCUGAAAGAAAGCGUUUAUCAGAAUUGGAGAAGAGACAAAAGCAUGAGGAGGAAAUGAGAGAAACUCAAAAGAAGGUGUGACUACUCGGCCUCUUCUGUUGUCUAUUUCGCGGCAUCGUGCAGCCUCUUCCAUGCCACUUAUGCUGCCUCUGUGCUAUUUUGUGAUUAUAAACUAUAAACUUUGAAGAUUAAGAGAAGUUCUAGAACUUUCUGAUAAACAAAAGUGCACCACAGAAGAGAAGUGUGUUUAAUUAGCCAAAAAAAAGUAAGAUUUUUUGUAUGUUAGAAGAUGUACUGAUGUCUGAUGUGCUUUUUACGUAUUCAGGAAGAAGAGGCCAAGAAGUUGAAAAGAGAGGAGGCUGAAAGAAAGCGUUUAUCAGAAAUCGAGAAGAGACAAGAGCAGCGUGUGGAGGAAAUGCGAGAAACUCAAAAGAAGGUAUGAUAACUUGGCCUCUUCUGUCGUCUAUUUCACAACAGUGUUUUUUGACGUUAACUCUAAAAACAACGAAGUUAAACUUCAAAAUUUUAUAUUCUCAAAAUCUCAACCUUAAUUCCAUAUGCAAAAAAUAUGGAUUGUGGAUUUGUGAUGAUCCAUUUAUCAAAAUAGAUAAACAAUAAUAACUAAUCCUCAAAGAGGACAAAAUAGCUUUAAUUUGUUAUAGCCAAAAAGUUGGUUACGUUGUAAUGUUUCGUGAUUAUAUUUCUUUGUAUCUCUCUUCCAUGCUACCUAUGAUGCCUGUGUUCUUUUCUGAUUAUUUGGAUUUUACCUAGUGUAUAAACCGUCUGAUGAAUCUUUUAAGGACCUAGAGAAUAUGAAGUUGAAGGAGCAGAUACGAGCCGAAGUUGGAAAGGAACUCAGUAAGCUUGAAAUGAUGUGCUGUGAUAUGGCUUCAGUGUUGCGUGGAUUGGGAAUAACUGUUGGUAAUGGCACUAACCGUCAGGUUUGUUAACACUCUGUCUCUAAAUAUCUUCCUGCUUAAUUUUAAAUUACUGAAUGCAAUUAAUUCCAGGGAACAUACUUUUAUGAAACAUUGUCAUUCUUAUUUUGCACUUGCCCUGAUUUGUGGUUGGUGGCCUUCUUGUUUUUAGCAAUCAUAUGAUGCUUAAGCUUCACAUUCUUAUUUUGUGUUGGCUGUUGUAAUUAUGUGUUGGGGCUUUGUUCUCAGGAUUCACGCCCAUAUUUCAAAAUGCCGCUUACUUAGGAUUAGCUAGUCUGCAGGAUAUGCAGCCACUUUUGUAAUGUCUUGUCUUUUUACCUGGGAUUUUGGGAGUUGUACUUGUGUUUGUCUUGCAAUCUUAUCUGCAUGAUCGCGUCUUUCUGUUUGUCAAGUGUAGCUACAGUUAGAAUGAUAGCACAUGAGGCAUUACUUAGAACAAAUUCUUGUUUCAGGUGCGCGUUGCUUACAAAAAAGCCUUGAUGAAAUUUCAUCCGGAUAAAACUUCAACAUCUGAUAUACGACAGCAAGUUGAAGCUGAGGAGAAAUUUAAGCUUAUUUCUCGAAUGAAGGACAAAUUCUUACCAAAUUUAUAACAGUGACAUAGGAUAUAAAUGUAGUUUAUUCUCUGGAAAUUUUGUGUAUAGGCCUUCGAUGGACAUUAAAAACAAUAUUAAAUAGUGUCUCUCGAUUAUGCAAGGUUUUAGUAGUAGUAGCUGUAUGUAUAUAAGCAAAAUAUUAACUAUCCUUACUAUAGUACAUAAUCUGAAAUUCUGCUAUCAUUUGUUCUCUGAUGAAAACAGUGCAAAUAACAAUUGGUCUGGCUUAUUGCAAGGGCUAUGGACAAUUAAGAAUUGUUGUGUCCCAGCGUUACAAUGGCUGAAGUACUGUUUUUUCCAAAUCAUAAUGACUCUGAAGAAUUGUGUUGUCCAAUGAUACAGUGGCUUACUAUAGUGCAGAUGCUAAUAGCGAAGUGCUUCAGGAUGCGAUAAAUAACUUAGAGUCGAUGCAGGUUGAUGUGACCAAGGUCGCGAUAAUAUGAUGAAAGAGGUUACGAUAGAUAAAAAGAAAAGAAAAGGUAACCAUUUCAGCUUUUCGAGGUAUAUUUUGAUUGUUACCUUUUAUUGUUUAAAGAGUUAGCAUGCUCUAGUUGUUUAUGUUAUACUUUGUGUUCAAGUUAUGAUUUAUACAUUUGUUCUGAAUCGUUGAGAAAAGAAAAAUAUAGUAGCAGUACUACUUGAAAUCUUAUUUGUCGAACUUGUUUUCAAUUUUUCAUUGCUCCCACGACCUUAUUUUGCCGUUUUAACAACAAUCACUGUGUCUCGGUUCCAAGCUAAGUUAAGAGUAAGCUAUGACGAACAAAUUGAAGUGGAGUGUAAAGUACUAAUAAUACUCCUUUAAAUAGCAAAAUGGGAUUUUGAAAACUGAUCUAAAAUGUGUGCUGAGUCCAUCAUUCAUCUUUUCUUGACUGUUGUAUUACAAGUGGUAUUUGGAAGAAGUUGUUGGCUAGGAAGGGCUUUCAUGCAGUGGCGGAACCAGGAUUUUUAUUGAGGGGUUCAAAAUAUGAAUAAAUAAACAUAGGAACUAGCCGCGGGGAGGGGUGGGUGUCAACAUCUACUUGUAUAAAUAAAAAGGUGAUUUAAACAUAUAUAAAUAGUGUAAUUUUCCAUUGUUGGAGUGUUCGGAUGAACCCCCUGAGCCCAGGUGAACAGAGCAAUGUUGUUUUUCAGGAAAAGAGAAGAUCCCCCAAGCCAUUAUCAAGCUGAUCAUCUAGGAGGUGUUAUUUAGAUCAAGCCUAUUUGUUGGUAGGGGUGUUCAUGGUUCAGUUUGAAUUGGUUUUUGAUUAAAAUCAAUAGCAAAUUAAUUUAGUCAGCGUUUAAAUUUCUAAAACCAUGCUAAACCAAUUAAAAUUGAAACGUCGGAAUUGAUUCUUGUCUAUUUGGUUUGUUUUUUCAGUUUAUAACUGGCUAACGAUAAAUUGAUGUAGUAAAUUACUGAGACAUGAGACAACCUUUUCAAAUGAACAUUGAGAAUCAACAAUUUUUUCUCACAAGAUGAUGUGAUCGAAUAUUCUAUUAUUUUUCAACAUUAUUCUCAAGUUUUAGCAUAUUUAAAUCGUAUAACUUUAGAGUUCACUUUGUUGGGUUCAUAGUAUAUGAAUGAAGUGUGAAUGGAAAAAAUGGAGAGAAAAAUGGUGGAAGGAAGGAGAUACCAAUGUAGAAGGUAUAUUCUGAAAUUGGAAAGUCCUCUAAUUCUCCCACAUUGGUGGGAGAAGGGAACUUUGUAGUAUUUAUAUUAAUGAACACUUACUCCACAUGAUAAGUGAGGCAAGAAAAUAGAGAUGCCUCGCGCCGUCGUCAUCAUCGUUCACUCGGUUCGGCUUCGGAUUUGGAUUUGGAUUUAGAUUUGGCAAAUGAUCGAUCGAUGAGAUCUGUCUUUUUGGACAAAUUUUAUUUGAUGAUCCGAAUUUACCAAACAGUAAAACACAACUGAUUCUCCAUUUAUACAUGCAUGUAGUGCCAAAACUGAACUGAUGCACUGUUCCAGUGAACAGAUGCACUUUUACAGCAAACAGAUGCACUGUUUCAGCAAACUGAUGCAAUGUUUCGAUGAAAGGACACAAUGUUUCACACGAACUGGUAUGUACUGUUUCAGCAAAAUGAUACACUGUUUUAAGUAAACAGACAUGCAUUUUCAGAAAAGACACACACCUUUAAAUUGAACCAAUGCCACCUUUCUGAAGAGGCAUCUUGUGGCUAAAUAAACCUGGUUUCAUCCACAGGUUUUGGUGCAGAAAUUUUCAGAUUACAAACAUUCUUCGUCUUCAAAUACUCUGUGUGAUCAUUAAAUCGUUCAGUGCGUCCGAAGAAUCUGCCUAUUUGAGGUACCGUUAUAGUCAAAUUGAAGGUCAUUUUAUCCUGGGAGGAAGAUUCCAUAACCUCGGGUACAGUGAGGGGAAUUAUUCCUUAAGGAAAGUCCGUGACUUCAGACGACUUGGUCUUAAUCAUUUCUGUUUCAUCUAUUUUUGUGAAAAAUAAAUACAGCUCUUGGAAAGGUCAUUUUGAUCUUGUGUUGAGGGUAUUUGAUAUACUUCAUUGUGUUCUUGGUUAUAUACUUGAACUUUAGUUGAAGUUGUUGUUGCAAUAUACAAAUUCUGCAUACCCGACCAUAUUGUGGAAUAUAACAAUCUUAAGGAAUAACCCUACAGAAUCUGUAUUGCUUGUUUUUGGAGAUUAAAGCUUAAGCUUUCUACUCUGCUUGAAUUUAAAUAGUGAUUAGAAGACAUAAAAUCAUCAUCACAAGUUAAGGUUUACUCGGUUGACGAUUCGAAGUAAUAAAAACUUCAUCGUUAACUAGAAACAAGAAGAAGAGUUUCAAGUUAUUAAACUUUAUAAAUAGUAUUCUGAAAAAUACUAAGUUUUCUGUCUUGUGGUGACAGAAAAAAUGACAACUGAAAGUCAAAUAAUGGAUGCAACAACUUCUGUGGGGGCAAAUAACAUUGUCACAUCAAGUCGCAUAAAUGCUCCGCCAACGAUGGCACCGGCGGAGAAGCCCGAAAAAUUUUCGGGCAUUGACUUCAAGCGGUGGCAACAAAAGAUGUUCUUUUAUCUCGCCACUUUAUGUCUACAACGGUUCACUAGGGAAGACGCUCCUGAGGUGCCCGAGAGAACCUCGGACAAAGACCGCUUCGUUAUUGUAGAAGCUUGGAAACAUUCGGAUUUCCUUUGCAGGAACUAUAUUCUGAGUGGUCUCCAAGAUGACCUCUAUAAUGUCUAUAGUGGAACCAAGACAUCAAANNNNNNNNNNNNNNNNNNNNNNNNNNNNNNNNNNNNNNNNNNNNNNNNNNNNNNNNNNNNNNNNNNNNNNNNNNNNNNNNNNNNNNNNNNNNNNNNNNNNNNNNNNNNNNNNNNNNNNNNNNNNNNNNNNNNNNNNNNNNNNNNNNNNNNNNNNNNNNNNNNNNNNNNNNNNNNNNNNNNNNNNNNNNNNNNNNNNNNNNNNNNNNNNNNNNNNNNNNNNNNNNNNNNNNNNNNNNNNNNNNNNNNNNNNNNNNNNNNNNNNNNNNNNNNNNNNNNNAUUUCCUUUGCAGGAACUAUAUUCUGAGUGGUCUCCAAGAUGACCUCUAUAAUGUCUAUAGUGGAACCAAAACAUCAAAGGAACUGUGGGGGCACUUGAACGGAAAUAUAAAACGAAGGAUGCGGGAAUUAAGAAAUUCCUUGUUGCACGGUUCCUGGACUUCAAAAUGAUUGAUAGCAAAUUUGUUGUCUCUCAAGUACCGG